CUGGUCUUACAGAUUCUCAGUUUUGUCAAAACCCUCCUAACAUCAACCAUGUGAAGCGCACGCCCAAACAAUUGACUUGUCUCACCAAAUAUUUCCAAGUUUAAGUGUGGAACAUAGGAGACCCAGAAAGCUUUGAGACGGGAUAACACUUCUGGGAAUAUGUAUACAAGCACCCUCAAACAAAGGAACAAUACAGCAAAUACCAAAUAGGGUUCUCUUUGGAUAAUCUCCCUCGUUGACGAAACAAACCAUGGGUGGUCAGUCCUCUCCAAGCUGAUUGAUUCAUCUUCAGCAAAAUACUCCACCGGAUCAAAUCCUGAAGAAUAAAUAGUGAGGUGAAGAAAUUCACAGAAAUGAACAUUACACAGCAUGAUUUCACAAAUUCAGCUGAAUCAAAAAUGCUGGCUUUUUGAGAUGUAUGCCCUGAUAGAACAUUGAUUAAAGGACAAACAACUUCUUAGGUUCCACAAGGGCAGUUUCAAUAAUCAAUGAUUUCCGAUCACAUUUUUCCUCUAACUCAGUAAAGCUUGAUAUCAAUUCUUUAAAGGUAGAAAUCAAAAGAAACAAGUAGUACUCAGGAAAAGCAAUUUUUGGCAGAGAGAAAGAGACCUUUACCUGUGGUUUUCUCAUAGAAUUGUACUAGUGAAUGCAGAUCUUUUGGACCCUGAUACUGCAAUCUUGAUGUUUGGUUCACCAAAAAAAUUGAGGGCAAGCUAUGGAUCCCAUAUCUUGAAAAUAUACUGCAACAAGAACAUGCAGCAUCGAUAUCAGCAGACAGAACAACAUUAGGAACAUUUGAUACAUAAUUUCAUAACCAUUUAGGAUUCUUGAUCAUCUUUCAGUACGAAAAAGUAUUGAAUAGAACUGCCCCCAAAAAAAAAGAAAAAGGUUCUGCCAAAGGAUUGUAGCAAAUGAUAAACUCGCUUCCCAGCAGAAAUUAGAGGGGGCCUACAAUGGCUGCAGAGCUCUAAGUUCAAAUUCCAUUUUCACCAAUUGACAUUCUCCAUGACUGACAGGCACACCAUCAGUAGAAACAAGUUUUCUAUGUACUGAAGCUGCUUCUUUCUAACACAACCAAUUAAAAACAAAAAAGAAAGGAAAUAAAAAAGAAAGGACAGAGAAAUCAAUACAGGUUGAAAAAAUAUUUCUUUCUUGAGGAUGCAUAUUAUGUCUAAUAGUACCAUCACAACACUCAGCAACCCACCACACAUUUUAUGUCAAACAAAAUAAGGUCAUCAAAAUCACAAAAUGAGGCCAAUCUAACAGAAAUGAUCUUUCUGUCAGACUAUCUGUUAACCAGACCAGCCAAAAGGACACUGACAAGUAAGAAAUUCAACAAAUCACACCCAAUAAAGCCAUUAUAUUGCAAGUAUGUCAGUAAGUACCUUGGCAGGGCUGAAGAUUGUUCUAUUGUGUAAUGUUCCAUUUGUGGGAACAUUGAACUAAGGGCUUCAAAAGUAGGACGCACAUCGCGAGAAAAUGGGCACCAGGAAGCAUAAAAAAGUACGGAAGUAUAAGCAUUUCUCUGUUUUGAUGUCAAAGCUCUGUCCAGGAAUUCUCCAUCCACCUGCAGAAAGCAAAUCAGAAGCAUAGAUAAUUACACAGAGAUCUUCAUCAGCUCAGUGCUAGAAAGUAAUGCAAAAUGUGGAAAUUUCAAAGCAAAUGUUAUGCAGUCUCAAUCUAUUUCCUAGUGCUCUAGGAGAGAGGAAGACGGUAAUAAUAAAUAAAGAAAGACAGAAAAAAAUUGAUAAAGAAAUUGCAACAAAAAGAAGAUAAAAUUUUGAAAGGCAGGCUCAUAUUUUUCAAUCUAUUAACAGGAAACCACAAUAAAGGACAAAGUAACUAGAAAGUGGAAUUGACCAUGAGGAAUGCAGAACAAAAUUUACAACAGUAUAGCUCCCUUUACUGAUUAGUAAUUUAGUAAAACUGGGGUGCCGGAAAGUUUGACUAACAAAGUAAAAAGAAUACAACUUCUUUACAAAGGGAGGAGGUUGGCAGAGACCAACAAGUAGGAUUGGUCAAUGUUGGAUACCUUCUGUAGACUGUACACAAAAGGAAUAUCAAACCGAUUUAUAAACAUAUGGUGACACUAUUAAAAUUCCAUAUUACAGUGGCUUAUAGAAAUGUUGUAGACAGAAAGGUAAAAAGAAAAAGGAAAAUCAAGAGCUCCUUCAGUACCCAUAAGCCAGCCAAACAAUGUCAAAAUCUAGCAUGAGCAACGGGUAAAUGAACAUCAAAAGAAAAUAGGUGCCACAUAUAACAUUAUGGUAUGACUCAAAGUUUCAGCCAAAUGCACAGAUGAAAUCUCUGGUAGUUUUACUCAAGAGCCACUAAAAAACCUAGUAACUCAGAUUAACUAAAUUAAACUACCAAAAAACUCAUAAACACAAAGGAAUCGUACAAUUAUGGUUUUUCAUUAAAAAAAAUAUUUCAUAACUCCUAACUUUCUAAAAGUGAAAUUACAAUAGUCUUCACAUGAUUGCAUCUGAUUGGGUGCAUAUGUGAAAACAGUUAAAUGUUUUCACCACAGAUAAUGAGUCACACAAAUCAAGGAAAAGAUAUACCAUUUCCUAUCUUGUGACUACACACUCACCAAAAAAUCAGAAUGAGGGUUCUCUGAAAAUUUCACAAAUAAAAAAUUCAUUCAAUGACAUAAGCAGCCUCUAUUAUGUAAAAGAAACCCUCCAAAGAGAGCGAAUCUGUCUACUAUGCCAUUACAGAAGAAUUUCUACCGUAACCUAUCAUCAAGACAGUUCACAAACUUCUCUCUCUUAAGUCUUAACAGCAGAAAACAAGACAGCACAGAGUCAAACUCGCAUGCUUCCCAAUACAGAAGUCAAAUACAAAGGAUGUGCCCCUUAAGAUUAUAAAAAAGUGGCCUAUAACUCCACUCGCCAGAAUAGGAGAUACCAGACCCCCAACCACAUUAUAAAUAGAAAUCUCUAACAUAUGACACGUGCAACGGACCAAUCUCUGUCAGAAAGUUUUGAUCCAGUACUUUGAAAUGCUAUUCUUCAUAAUAGUAAGAAGAAUCAGAAAAAUGGGUAUGCUUUGCACUUCAAAGGUAAACCGGUCAGAGAGCAAAAAUAUAACUAUAGUCUGACAACAUUGUACAAAAAUAUACAUUCUCAUAUAAAAGUAAAUAAAUAAAUUUUCGUAAUCAUCAAGCAAUGUCAUAUGUUUACUCGCACUUCUGCAACAGCCAAGAGUCAAAAUGAUACUUGUACAGACAUCUUUCCCAUAUCAGCUCUGAAUAACCCCAUAACAACAAUUUAACCAUAAAUUCCUAACUGCCACCAAAAGUAAGACAUAGAUCAAUGCCAUGUCCCUUCAACAUAAGGGUUGCUGCUUCGAGCUAAUACUAUACACGCAAAUACUACUUACCACUCAUGUCUUCACUCAUUCGGCCACUAGUAACAUUCUAGAGAACCAAAUCAAAAUUUCAACAAAAGGCUUAUCAUACAAUCCUGCCUAGCACUUUUCAGGAACCAUUUUUAGCUCGUUAUAUGUGGUUCUGCUCUUCAUAGCAUAAAUUACAAUUUAAAUAUUCUAAAACCAAAAAUAUGCAAAGUCCUUAAUCUCAACAGGCAUUCAAAACACAAAUCCAACUACAUAUCUCAUAAUUUGCUUCUUUUUUUUUUUGCCCCACUUAUUGGAUUAAAGAAAAAUCAGUUUUAUUCUACCGACACAAUCAACCACCCUUCAGUCGGCAAAUCAACCUUUAAUUCUCCUAACACAAAAUCCCAUCACAUUAAUCAAAACAUGACAUUUUCAACAAGAACCCCUAAAAAUACAAAACAAUUACAAAUACCCAGAAACCAAAAUCAACCAAAUAGAUCAAUAGAUCAAAUACAAACACAAAAACCCUACAAAUUAACAAAUCAGACCAAGAAAAGCAAGAACCCAAUAAUCCAUAACCAGCUGCAAAUUCGUCAAAAUCAAUUAAAACGAACCCACAUAUAAAACCAACCCAAAAAUUGAAAUUUAAUAACCAAUUAAAAAUCGUACCUCGAAAGGAGGAUUUGGAGAGAUCCCAGGAGGGCACUGCGAUUGAAGAUUAUUAAGAAACACAACUGAAUCUUGCGGGCACAGCGAUGCCGAUGAAACGAGUCGUAUAGAUAAGAUAACACUAAAAAUGAAAAUGAAACGAUAAAAAGAUGAUGGUGAAGAAAUCAUUGAGAGGGGUACGACGGGGGAAAUUGAUAGCAACGCCGAGGUCAAAAUUGGCAGCAAAAACAAACAAAAAAACAAACAGACAGAAGAGAAACAGAGAAAGAACCUGCUGAUUCAAGGGGAAAGGGGAAAAAAGAAGAAAAAAGCAAACACAAGUGUAGCCCAGAAAUAGUUUCAGUUACGAGUGUUUGGUGAUGAAUAGAUAGAUUGAUUAUUGAUUGAUAGCUUAGCUAUAUUUUCCUGUCUGUUUUGUUUUAUUUUUGGUUAGUUAUUUUUUAAAAAAAAUUUAAUACAGAAAAAAGUGUAAAGUUCGCGUUUUGAUUUUCCAGCUCCCUAAAACUAAUUAUAUUGGAAGGCUUUUUAUUUAUUUAUUUAUUUGUUUAUUCCAUGGCUGCCUGGUGUAAGAUGUUCAGAUGCUAAAGUCUAAAGAUGAUGUUUUUAUUUUAUUUUAAUUUAAAAUUAAGAUAAUUUUAUUUAAGAUAGUUUUAUUAGGUGAAUCCUAUGCAUGACAAUAACAAGAGAGUCCCCAAUUUAUUACAUAUUUUUAAAUGAGGACAUAGAUUGUCUGUUUGUAUCAAAUAAGUUCCUCACUUUUUAAUGACCGAAGUACCCUAAUACUAAUGUUUUUGCACAUACCAAUUGAAGAUAUUGCGUUACAGAUAUGCCCAAUUUGCGUCAAAAUACCAAAUAUAUCUUUUGACUCAGUUCUAUUUUUAUUUUUACACAAUUAUGUCCUAAAAUUCAAUGAAAUUAUAAAAUACAUUUAUUUAAAAUUAAAUAUUUACUCAACUUAGUACUUAAUCGACCUACUUAAAUUUUUUUUUUUAACUUAUUACUUGACAUUAUCAUGAAAGUUGGAAAUAGAGUGAGUUUUCUUAACUUGAGUGGAUUUUUUUUUUUUUCAGGAUAUAAUUUUUUUUACCUCAUUAGUGUAUAUUAUGUAAUAUGAUUUAAUGGGUGUCCUUGUUAGUUGUGUUUCCAAAUAAUUGGGGUAUGUGCUAAAUAAAAAGCCGUGCCAUGUGUCUACGUCGAGGGCAGCUACUUUCAGCCUUCUUGUUUCCCUAGAAUUAGGACUUAUUUUAUAUAAUUGGAAAAAAAACUACUUCUUUCGAGAAAUCAUAAAAAAUUAUCAUUGCCUUGCUAAAUGAAAUGUUAUAGUUUUUUUUUUCCUCGGUUGACUGCCCCUUUUGUUUUAUACGUAUACUUUAAGUUCAUUUUUUUUUUCAAUGAAAGGCCCAUUAGGCCAUUAGGAAAAGUAUUUUUGAAUGGAAAUCACAGCUUCAAGAAUAUUAUUCAAUGUUGAACCAUUACAUAUAUGGUAUAUAAUAGUAUAUAAUACACAUCAUGUUUACUAUUCACGGCAUAAAUUUAAAUAGAAUGAACAUCUAAAAAAUUUAUAGUGGUAUGUGAUGUUACACUCUUAUUGGUGAAUGAUUUAAACAAAAAAAAAAAUUAAAAAUGUAUAAUAUUAUUUUAUAAUUCUACAUUGUGAUAGUCGUUUUUAUAAUAGUCCAAUAUAGUCGUAAUAAGAACUUCUAUAAAUAAAGGUAAAGGUGGUGUAUGAACUUAAACGUGUAUAUAAUAUUUAAAAAAUAAACUAAAUAUCAUAAUUUUUUUUUUAUAAGAAAUUAUUUCUACAAUUAUUAGGGUGUCUCGUAUAUUCCAUUUUGAAGUCAAGGAAAUGAGUUCCAUGAUUGAUGAUCCUCAGAUGUGACUAUGAAAGACGCUACGAGUUUUCAAAAAAUCAGAUGGACAGAUAGGUUAUAGCUCUAGCUCAGGAAUAAUCCAAUCCGGUUUGCCAAACACGCUUGCAAUUCCGAGUCAUCUCUCAACAACUGUCAACCUCAGCCAAUAAUACGGUGCGUAGCAAGGCUACCAGACGCGACGACGUUUUAAGGAAAAAGGAGACAAAAUAAAGCACAGCACACGAAAUUCAAUAAUCCCUCCUCUGUUCACUUCCUUGUUUGGUUAAAAGUGAGAAAAUUAGGGCUUGAGGUGAAGAAGAACAAAAUUUAAAAAAGAAAAAGAAAAUCAAUAAAUGGAAAUAACAGAUAAGAAGGAAUCCGAUAUCAAUAACACACAAACAGUCGCCGAUUCCGUCGAUAACAAUAACAAAGACGCCGAAGAACGCCAAGCUCGUGAACUUAAAGCCAAUUUGCAUCCUCUUAAGGUUCUUAUAAUUUCGGCUAUUUUAUUGAAUGCGUUUUAUGGUUUUCAUCUGAUUGGAUUUUUUUUUUGGUUUUAGUUAUUACAAUUUUUUGGUGCUUGAAAUUUGUUAUUUUUUUAAAAAAAAUUAUAUUUAUGCUCUCAAAAAAAAAAAGUUUGGCAUGGAUCUUCUCCGUAAAUAGUCAAAUGGAGGCGAUGUGAGUUUUCGUGUGUACUCGUAUGUACUGAAAUUUUAUUAAUUAAAAAAAAAUAGUUUUGAUGUAAAUUUGUAAAAACACGCCUUAUGAAACCUUUUGAGGAAUUGUAGAAUUUUAGGUUAAAGUUUGCUCUUGCUCAUAGUUUGUGAUAAUGUAUGCACUGAAAUUUUAGUAAUUAAAAAACAUAGUUUUUUAUUUAAAUUUGUGUAAACAAACCUUAUGAAACUUUUUGAGGAAUUGUAGAAUUUUAGGUUAAAGUUGCUCCUGCUCAUAGUUUGUGAUAAUACUCCUUUUUAUUUUUAUUUUUAUUAUUUUUAACCAUGAUAUUGCUCUUGUUGAUGCUGUGAAUGAGAACUGAAAAGUUGGGAUACUAUUAUUUUCAUUCUAAAAUGCAUCAGAGGAAGGUUGUUGAUUGGAACUCACACUGAACAUUUUCCUUGUUGUGGUUAUUAUAAGGCUAUAAUUACCCUAAAUAUUUCACAUACAGUGAAGGGAGAAUCUUAUUGACAUGGCACAAGUAAAAUGUUGCCACAUUUUGAUCUACUUUUUUUAUGGUUUUCUUUUUUCCCGACUAAAACGUGUAGCCCUUUCUUUUAAAAAUUUUAUAAUUGCUAUGUUAUACCACUUAAUUUAGUUUGAAAUUCCUAUAAACAGAACAAGUUUGUCUUUUGGUACACUCGUCGAACACCCGGAGUUCGAACUCAAACAUCGUACGAGGACAACAUAAAGAAAAUUGUGGACUUCAGUACUGUAAGUUCUUUUAUGAUAAGAUCCUUGGGCCACAUGUGAUUCAGUAUAAGUCCUUAGCUUUACGUAUGUGAUUUUACUAGUUCAAAUGCUGAUCUGGCCUUUUAAUAUAAUUCUUAUCUAGGUUGAAGGUUUUUGGGUCUGCUAUUGCCACUUGGCUCGUCCUUCUUUGUUGCCAAGCCCUACAGAUUUGCAUCUUUUCAAGGAAGGAAUUCGCCCAUUAUGGGAGGUAAACAUCUAAAGCUUGAUUUUCAAUUGCUAAUGCUAUUCAAUAAUCAUAUGUUUGUUGCUUUGUUUGGACCCUAAUAUUUCAGAAGCUUGUAACUUUUGGAUAUCAUAUCUAGCUGUAAUUUUUGUAAUCUUUGUUUUAUGUCAGGACUCUGCAAAUUGCAAUGGCGGUAAAUGGAUAAUAAGGUUCAAGAAAGUUGUAUCAGGUCAGCAUCUUUCAUAAAAUUAAUUGAUUAAAGCUUUAGUUUAUUUGACUUGACUUGUUGGAGAGACAUCGAGGAAGUGAUGGAGAAAAUCAGUUUGGCUAUUGCCAUAUAAGUAGGAUAAUUGCCCCAAUUGAUAUAAUUGUUCCAGGAAAGCACUAAAGUCAUUGUUCUACAGCAUCUAUGUAGAAUAGAAAAUGUUGGUUAUCCAUGAAUUUUGUUAGUUACCAGCCUUCAUAUGGUAAAUUAUCAAAUUUUCAUUCAAGUACAAGCUCCUGAAACUCAGUCCAAAUUAUUCAAGUUUUCAUCCUCUGUUAGGCUCUUCUUUUUGCACUAUUUGCAAUAACAAUAAAUAAAUUGAUAUUUCAAACAUGCUGAUAUUAUUCUUAUGGUGUAUAGUUUGCUCUUCACAUCACUAUAAUAUAUGAUAUCAAUAAUCUCAUAGCUAGCAAUAUCCAAAAAAAAAUUAUGCAUACACAAACUGAAGUUGAUGCCAUAUCCUCUUGAUUUUGCUAUCCCAUUGACGUAUUGGGUUUUACGGUUUCUUUACAUUUGGCAGCACUUUUGCACUCUCUUAUGACCCAUCUGUUAUCUGAAUAUUAAGAGAUGCCUUCCACAAUGCUAAAUUUUCACCCGGAUGCCUGUUUUACUUUGAUAAUCAUUUGUCAAAGAUGUAUUGUUUAUUUACAACUGCACAUUUUUGCAGGUUCUUGCCUUGGUGGGUGACCAGCUUGACUAUGGUGAUAACAUAUGUGGUGCAGUCCUAAGCAUUCGAUUCAAUGAAGAUAUAUUGAGUGUGUGGAACCGCAAUGCAUCUGAUCAUCAGGUUUGUGAUUAUUGACUUUGCAACUUGAAAUGGCUAUUGUCUAUUUCUUUCACAUUCUGUUGAUAUAUGAUAUCUCCUCCUGUUUUGAUCAGGCUGUGAUGGCUCUUAGAGAUUCUAUCAAACGGCACUUAAAGCUUCCCCACAGCUAUGUUAUGGAAUACAAGCCCCAUGAUGCUUCUCUGCGCGAUAACUCGUCAUACAGAAACACAUGGUUGAGAGGCUAGAAUUUCACUAGGCUUUAUGAUACUGUACUGAUGGAGAAAGAACAUGACAGUAGGAAGUCUUCUGUUUUUAUUACAUGCUCUGUUUGAAUUUCUUUCACCCGAUCAUGCAGUUAUCCGUGAAUUGUGAUGUGAGAAUCAUGUGGGCUGUCUCGAUAGGUUAAAAUCUUGAUAAUUAAUUGUAGAACGAUACCAUAAAAAACUUUAAGGUUAAUGAUGGAUUCAUAAAUGAGUAAUGUCUUCAUAUUUGGAUUUCAUUGUAUCUUUGCAUAUUAGUUCAGAUAAAAUGUCCGCUCCUGUUUUGCAACUCAAAAGACUUGCAUGUGCAGUGAAUUAGACUAUGUAUUUAGUAUGUAACAUGGUUAUGAUAUUUGCUUUGAGGAAUCAAUGAAGGAUUUAAGUUAUUGGAGAGCAGAUAACUCUUAUUUGAUGAGUUGACAGCCCUUCACCUCGCAAGUUUUGAGCUCCCUUUGUUCAUGACUGACAAGCAUAGUCAAAGCAAUCAAAACGCUGACGAAAUUCUUAUUCAUAUAUCCACCUCUAACCGGCCAUUUUAAACUACUUUGGAGCUGAUACAGAAGUAGACUCCUGGAGCUGAACUUAGCAAAUCAUUGCUCAGCUUCAUUUAAGCAAAAAUUGCCUUCCAGUAGAGUAAACAACCUGGAUGCUUUGCUAAGGAACUGCCUAUGAUGGCUAUUGGCUAAUUACAUCAAGACAAACUGAAAAGAGAAUAACGAGUUUUCAUAUAUAGUCUCAGCAAAUGUCUCUCAGCCAUCCCAAAACUUGUUACAAUUUGACUAUCAAGAGAAUACAUAGAUUUUAUUAUCCGGAGGUGACACAUCUUAUUAAGAAUUUUGAUCAUUGAUCUAUAUUAUGUGAAAUGAGGUGCAUCUAAACAGAGGACUGAAUCCCAAUGAUACCUGCCAAAAUGAAUGAAAUGCAUAAUGUCAAGCAUCUACAACUGCAUAAUCCAUAGUGUGUAAACAGAAAAAAAGAAGAAGAACAAGGAACACCACGGAAUGGUUAAAAUUUAAAAUCAUUACCACAUCCAACUCUCGCCCCUGCAUUCCCAGUUGUUUUGCUGAGUUCAUGUCCACCUGAGCAUUGGUCUCUGCUAUUAGUUAAAAUACAACGAGAAAGUCUAAACAACUUUGACCAGAAAAGAAAGAUAAUUGAAAAUAGCAAACGGGUUAUUACCGGGCCACAAGCAGAAACAAAAGAGAAAAGUUAUAACUUAUAUAAAUUAGGGGCAUGUAAGAUGCUUUCACUACAAGUAGUUCAGGAGCUUGUGCAUGCAUGUUUAAGAUUGUAUGUCUCUGUGGUCUAAAAAUAACUGAGAGAAGAAACUGAAUUUAGUUUUACUUCAAACAUAGAAUCUAAGACACCUCCACAACAAAGAAACCCAACUAACCAAAUAGACCAAAUUAGAUAUGCAUCUCCAUCUUAUGCAGGUGAGCACUUUCCUGUCUACAGCAUCAAACAUUCUCUUGUUUGGCACGUUCACCAAUCCUCAUUCAUUAAGAUGAUCAGAAGUAAUCAACAGUCUUCCAAAGCUAUUCACCAAACUAUACUGGGGCAUUUUGACUGAGAAUUAGGCUGUCCAAAUAACUUAUAGAAACUUCCCAAUGUAUAAGAUCUAUUAAUCCCCUUUGCCUCCAUACGCAAUAAGUUAGAUUGACAAACUUCCUUUGACUCUAUACAAGGGCACAGUCAAAUAAUGUUUCACUAAAGAGAAUAUAAGCACCUUGGCCUAGUACCACUCUUUACAAAAGGAAGGUAGAAACUUUCUGAGAGUAUAUAACCGAUAUGUGACUCAUUCCACUGUGGGAUCAUUUAAAAAACACACAAGACGCACACUACUCAAAACAAACACGAUAACACAAGGUGCAAAAUAAACGGCCCAAUACUUAAUAUGGUGAUUGCAAGCAAAUUGUGCACAAACUACACUGAAUUUCUUACAUUUAAAACUAAACUCUUCAAAGUAGUUGUAAAGAAUCCAAUGUACCUGAAACUAAGAGGAAGAAAAAUUUUUUUUACAUCCUUACCUUAAGCUUCAACCUGACAUAUUAUUCUCCAAAAGAACUGACAGUUUAAAAUAAACAUACUUUUGUGUACAUUUGUACCAAUAAGCUGUAUCCUUGUAAUAAAAAAGAUUUGUAAUCAAAAUUAAGGAGAAACUACUAAACUUGCCUUUUCCAAGAUCAUCAGGAUCAGCAUGCACAACAACAGCCCUCCCCAAUAUUGAGUGUUGCCCGGUCAGAGGAAUCUACAAUUGCAAGAGAGGGAAUACAAGGAAAAACAAGCAACUAGCUGAGAGAAGAAUUUCUAUGGCAGCUCACAUCAAAGAAAACAAAACAAUUGCAUUCUUAUCUGUAUAGCAUUUGUAAAUUAUACUGAAAAUUUAGCAGGAUAUUUAAGAAGAGUCCGCUGCACAAUAUGCAAGGCUCAUGAAGAAUAUUCGAAAGUAAAACGAGGUCAACUACCACUCAAAAUAGCAGAUAACAUAAAUAUAGUUGUAAGUCAUGCCUCUAAAUGAUUUGGUGAAAAAAUAAAACCAAUCUAAUUUCAUACAGCCGACAGUGCACACUGCGGAAGUUUUUGUUUAUUAAUCCAUUUACCAUCCUGUCAGCAAUUGAAACCUCAGCAACUCCUGCAAUGUAGAAAUCAAUACAAUUAGAAUCACAGAAACUGAACUCUUUUACCUCUCCAUAUUAUCAUAUGACAUCCAGAUAAAAACAAAGCAGUUUAUACCAUCAGGGCCUGCAACAAUGUUUCCCAAAUCACCAGCGUGCCGCUCGUUAUCACUGGGAGCCCCAUGAUCCUUCUUCAAUGGAUUGAAAUGAGGUCCUAAACCAAAUUAACACGGCAAGACAGCACUCAUAAACCCGCUCAAACAGAAGACAAACAGAACCUCAAUGAAAGAUAGUCGAAUACAGACCUAUGGGUAUGUUAAGAACUAAGGUUGAUGUGGAGCGGAAUCAAAAGUGGGUGUUUACCAAAUACUAAAUAAUACUAAAUGCUGUCCUUUCAAAAUUAAAAAGAGGCUUAACGGUUAAAAAUAUACCGCAUAGUUGCAUAAACAUUACAAUCUAAGCGGAACACUCACCACUUAAAUAUAAACAUAAAUCAGCAAGGAAUUGCAAAAAGAUUAAAAAAUGAAGAUCAAAGUCAUCUCUUAAGAGAGAAAGAUAGUACCAGUAGAAUUGCAACCAUUAGUGGUGUCACCGAGGGCGUGAAUAUGGAAGCCAUGAAGGCCUGGCUUCAGUCCUGUAAUCUUCCCUUUCACAUGUGUAACUCCUGCGUAUACAUAGCUAAUAAGUCAUAUGAAUAAUCAAAAAAUACAAAGUUUAUUUUUCAAGAUUAUGUUUUAACGAGUAAAAAAAGGGGGAAAAGAAAAAGAACAGAGAUACCGUUGGGUCCUUGAACAAAGUGAAGAGAGCCUUUAACGCUGGUAGCACCAGAAAUGAGAGCCACAGCUUUCACUGUGGCUUUUGUAGCCCCUGUUUCCAUUUUUUAUCUCUUGCUUUCUCUAUCUGGGUCUUCUCGAUAUCAAAUAUUCAUAUUACAUGAUGCACUUUAUUUGAUUUGUUUCUUCUUGUGAUUUAUAAGUUAAUUUCGUAAGCUUGUGGUCUCUGCCUAUCCGUUGGAAAACCAGAGCUUCACAAUUUUCUUCGUUUUUUAUAUUUUUGUUUUUCAGUUAGAAAUUAGAAAAACCUCAAUAUUUGUACUCGACUCAAAUUGAAUUAUCUUAAAUUUAAUAAAUAUUACUAGUAUCAAUUUGAUUAAUUAUUAGAUAGAGAUAUCAUAUUAUUAUUGGGCGGGCAGGGACACAUUUCUACCUCUCUUCUAGAAAAUAGUUACAAUGAGUUCAUAGUUUUUUUUUUAAAAAACAAAUUAAUAAAAAUUCUGUAUAAUUAAUUAAUUAAAUUCUUCUAUUAAUUAUUUUUUUCUUAAAUUUCAUUGAUUGUCUUUGAUCAUAAACUUUAAUAUAAUUUUUUUUGUUAAUUUAUUAUUAUGACAUAAAAUGAUCAAAUUGCCCUGUACACGUGUUAUUGUAUUUAACGAUUCAGGUAUUUAAUUAUAUACUUAUAAUCUAAUAUUUUUAAAUGAAAUCUAAUUAUUAUUUUCACUACCCUUACUUGUAAAUGAUAUAAAUUUGAUAGCGUAAUAAUUUACAUGAGUAUUGCGCCAUAAAGACACUAGGUUAUUUUAAUUAAAGUUUAAUAAUCAUACUAAUAAAGUUAUAUUAGAAACAAUGAAUUUGGUAUAAAAUUAUAAAAAUAUAGAAGUUAGAGUAAAUUUUUGGUGCUUUUACCUUAUAAGGGUAAAAUUAUCAAUUUAAAUUAUGCCAAAACAAUCUUUAUAAUAAGAUAUGAUAAAAAAAAAUCUAAGUUGUCAAAAAAAAAUUAAGAAAGAUUUAAUCAACAAAUUCUCCAACACUCUUUUUUAUUUGAAACUUCUUAAGAAUCACGUGCACUUUUUGUAAUUAUUUUUUAAAAAUGAUGUGGGUUUACAAAAAUUAUGGAAUGGAAUAUAAUUACUUUUAUUAUUUUACCAUCUAAUGUUUUUUGACAUAUCAUUUCAUUAUUGAAAUUUUUUAAUAAUUUUUUUCAUUUUAACGUUUCAAUUUUUGAUAUUUUAUCAUCAAACUAUUAACUCCAUUAAUGAAUUGCUAAUUUCAUAGGAGUAUUUUAUAAUUUCCAUAUAUUCAAUAUUUUAAGAAUUUUACAAGGUAUAAUAUUUAUAAUUUUAUGAAUUCAUUGUUUUAGAUAUAUAAAUUAAUCAAUUGGUAAAAGUAUCAUUUCUUUGUAUAUAAUUAAUUAUAUGUUUUUUUCAGUUUAGGGAGUUGAAUUAUAAUUACAUUAGUUUAUGAGAAAAAUAGGCUUUUGUUAUAAUUUUCGCUAGCUUUAACGGUUUGAUGGUAAAAUGAUAAAAACUAAUGCAUUAAGUGGGAAAAAAUAAAUGAUAAAAAAUUUUAGUAAUAAAAUAAUAUGUCAUAAUAAAACUUUAGUUGAAAAAAUAAUAAUAUUCGUAUUAGAUAUUUAAAAUUAUUUUUAAUUUAUAAUAGAAAUUAAUGUAUAUAUUUGAAUUCAAUGUAAAAGUCGAUUCCAUGCCAUAAAGGUGUAUGGAAUUUUUAUGACAAGCGUUUAUAUGUUUAAAACAAAUAGGCAAUGUCGUACUACUUUCUUUGGAUAUUGUGAUUGGAUGUAGGACCAAGCCCACAAUUUUAGCUAUUAAACAAACUCCCACUAAAUCCUGAAAAUAUAUGGUCAGCCCAGCCCACACAAACUCCUCCCAGGGUAAUGCUUCCCAUAAAUUAUAAGAGUUAAUAAUAAAAGAAUGAUGCAUCAUUGGAGAUAAAAUAUUUUAGCAGUUAACAUAUUAUUUGGAAGUGUAAAAUUGUUGAUUUAUAUAUUUUUAAAAAAUUAAAAAUAUCCCAAUAAAUUUAUUUAUUCUUUGUAUGCAUCAAAUUUAUCAAUCCAGCUACAAGGAUAUAUAAUUAACAUGUUGAAGCAUGAAACUAAGGUACUAUAUAAAGAUGAAAUGACUGGGAAAAAAUAUAUUAUUCAAAUUUAGAUCGAUUUAGACUCAAAGUGUUUUUAUAAUUUUGAAUUAAGAAAAUAAAGUCUAACUAGUAACAUAAAACUUUAAAAAUGAAGGAUGAAAAACUACUCUCUUCAAUAGCAAAAUAUCAUUUAAGACUCCGAUUAUAUUUAUAAAUUAUCUCUUGUACAUUCUAGAAAGGAAAAUACACGUUGUUGGAAAAUAAAUCCAACCGAAGUGUAAUUUAUUUAUUUAUUAUUUUUAUUUUAAUCUUUGUGAGGUUUAUUUUCAGGGAGUAUAUCACUGCUCUUCUAGAAAUAUUAAAAAUAAAAUGAUUGGCGCAUACCGUACAAUAUUCAAAAAUUGUUUUUUUGAUAAGGUACGAUUAUUCAAAUUAAUCCAUCUAAAAAAUAGAUUUUUUUUUUUUUAGAUCAUGAUGAAGAUAUAAUUGAUGGAUAAUGGAUGUGAUAGAAGAGAUAAGAGCGGGAGGGAAAGCCAAUUGUGUGGGCCACACAAAACGACAGUGAGCCUAGCUGUGUCAACCCCACAGAGCAAAACAGUCGGCCGGGCGCCAAGUGGCGGGACCCACGGACCAAACCCCGUGAUCAACUGUCAUUUAAAAUCCAACGGCUAUGACCAAUCCAGAAGGGCAAACGCUUUUUCUUCCAUUUCUUUUGAUAAUCUAUUAACUAGUUAAACUAACUUUUUCUUUUUUGGGUUUUCGCCUUUAUGUAACAACGUUCAGUAAUAACAAAACAACGGGGAAAAAAAAAAAGCUUCUCUUGGUUUCUCUUCUUUUCAUUAUCUGUAAGUAAUUGAUCAUAAAUCAUAAUAAGAUUGUGGGGUUUCGGAUUUGAAGAGAAAGAGAGAUGAGGGAAAUAAUAAGCAUUCAUAUAGGACAGGCAGGGAUUCAGGUUGGGAAUUCAUGUUGGGAGCUUUACUGCCUCGAACAUGGGAUUCAGCCUGAUGGAACCAUGCCCAGGUACUUAUUUUUUAUUUUUUAUAUAUUUUUUUUGUACAUACCUAUAGGGGAAUGAUCUAAUAGACGCUGAUGUUUUUGUUACAGUGAACGACGCUCUCACAUGAUGUUGUUUGUUAAUCUAACAGCUUAGCACCAUUAGUCAUACUCAUAUGCAAACGAAUACUUGUAUGUGUGGUCAUCAUUGUUAUGUUGAGAUAGGUCAUAGAUUUUUGUUUUUGAUUAUGUUAAUUGUUUUCUGGAUAGGGUUUAUUCCGUUUUUGUGAUUUUUUUUUUUUUUGUUUAUGGUUAGAAUGAAUUGUGUACACAAAGAAGUAAUGCAUGCAAGUUUGUACAUAUGUAUGUGAGAUCUUCAACUUUGUGUUGAAAUAAAUUUGCUUUCUAAUGAAUUGGUUUGCUAUCAGAGGCUUUUUAAGCUGGAUUUUAUCCCAAGGGGGGGUGGGGGGUGUGGUGUGUGAUAAUAUAUUAUGUUUUUUUUUUUUUUUUUUUUGCAUGGAAGUGAAAUGAUUAGGUAAACUUGCAUAAAGUAGAGUGAUCAAUUUAGCAUGUUAUGAAGAUAACUCUGUUGAUUUAGUAUAAUAUGAUGAUUUUAUGCCAGAAUUGCUCUUUGUCAUUAUGAAUUUUAUUUUCUUAUCUAUUCAUCAAAUUGGGUUAUUUCCCCUUUUUCCUGAUUUUUUUCAUGUUUAGAUCUUUUUUUUUUUUAAUUUUUAAUUCAAGUGAUCCAUAGCUAUUGUGCUGCAUCAAUUCUGAGUUAUUUAAAUAAGCCUUUGUAGGUUUCUUGUAAAUAAGUACAAAAGCAUCAUGGUUCCAUUAAAUUUAGUCGCAUUAGCAAUUCGGUACCAUGAAAUUUAAAUCAUAGAUCCUAUAGUAGAAUGAUAUAUUUGUGACUGAAAUCAGUAUUGAACAAAGCAACUCUGUUACCUGAGAGAGAAGUUGAGGUUGAGACUCCAGUUUUAGUAUUAUGAAUUUGACUGUAGCCUCUUUCCUUAGGUAUCAUUUUCUUAUGGUCUAUGCUGAGAAGUCUGGGAUGAUUAUUUAGUUGUCAUAUGUACCUUUUUUUCCUUAAAGGCUAUGCUUAAAAUUUGUUGCUGUUAUAGAUUUCUUGUUUUUUCUCUCUGGUUUAAUAGAUUUUCCUGAUGUAUUCUCCCUAUUUGCUUCCAGUGACACCUCUGUAGGUGCUUGCCAUGAUGCUUUCAAUACAUUCUUCAGCGAGACUGGUUCUGGGCAGCAUGUGCCUAGAGCAGUAUUUGUUGAUCUGGAACCCAGUGUUAUUGAUGAGGUAAGAACUGGGUCUUAUAGACAACUUUUUCACCCAGAGCAACUCAUCUCUGGCAAGGAAGAUGCUGCCAAUAACUUUGCCAGAGGACACUACACAGGUAAAUCCUAUAGCUGAAAAUGGCUGUAUUUUUAUACUUAAUUUAUUCACUAAAUUGUUUCCCUGGUGUUGUGUAUUGCAGUGGGGCGGGAAAUUGUUGAUCUCUGCCUUGACCGAGUAAGAAAACUGGCUGACAAUUGUACCGGUUUGCAAGGAUUUCUAGUAUUUAGUGCUGUUGGUGGUGGCACUGGUUCUGGUUUGGGUUCUUUACUUUUGGAACGCUUAUCGGUUGAUUAUGGAAAGAAGUCAAAACUCGGCUUUACUAUCUACCCAUCUCCUCAGGUACUACCUCAAGAACCUUAGUAUGCGAAAGAAAAUUUGAGGAAUUUUUAGCGGCUAUUUUAUGCACAUAAGCAUUUGCUCUUUUUAAUUUGUCUAGGUAUCUAGUUAAUAGUAACAAACUCUUAGGAAAGGUGAAUCAUUAGUCCUUAUAUACAUAUACUUUUCUUCACUCAGGUGCUUAAAAUAUUGGAACAAGACUCUUAAUAAACUAUUUCCAUAUUGUGCAGGUUUCAACUGCAGUUGUUGAACCUUACAACAGUGUGCUUUCCACUCAUUCUCUCCUUGAACACACAGAUGUUGCUGUGCUUCUGGACAAUGAAGCUAUAUAUGAUAUCUGCAGAAGAUCUUUAGACAUCGAACGGCCAAAUUACACCAAUUUGAACCGCUUAAUAUCCCAAAUUAUCUCUUCAUUGACUACCUCCUUGAGGUUUGAUGGAGCCAUAAAUGUGGAUAUUACGGAGUUCCAGACUAACCUAGUGCCAUAUCCUCGUAUCCAUUUCAUGCUUUCUUCUUAUGCUCCGGUAAUUUCAGCUGCAAAGGCCUACCAUGAGCAGAUAUCCGUUCCUGAGAUCACGAGUGCUGUUUUUGAACCCUCAAGUAUGAUGGCCAAAUGUGAUCCAAGGCACGGAAAGUACAUGGCAUGUUGCUUAAUGUAUCGUGGAGAUGUUGUACCAAAGGAUGUCAAUACUGCGGUUGCCACCAUCAAGACGAAGCGGGCAGUUCAGUUUGUUGAUUGGUAAGUUCACAUUCCAUGUGUUUCGAUUUUAUGAAAUAAUCAAAAUUGAUCAUAACUUUUACUAGGAUGGAUAAGAUAAGCAUUAUAAUAAUGGUUGUGAAAUUAUUGUUUCUAUAUCCUAUGUUCUUGGGACCACUGGAUCUUUUGAUUUCUCUUCCUCUAGGGAAAGGGAUCAUGGUCUUAAACUGUGUUUUCAUUAUAAGUCAUACCAGUUUGGUAUCUGUCAUUUGCAAGUAUUAUAGAUUUUAUUAUUCUCAGUGUACCAUCAAUGACCAAUAUGGAAACGGAGGCACAUAAGCCCGUAUAUUACAAAUCACAUUUCUUCCCAUCUUAAGACCAAAGAUGACAGUAAGCAGAAAAAUUCUCAUCAAUUAUUAAGUCGGUGUAGACAAUUAAUAUAGCACAAUUAAAUAUUUGAUUUCUCAACAAACAUUAGAUACAUCAAACCAUUUUAAAUGUGUUAUUCGUUAUCACGAUAAUUAAUAAUCUUAGACAGAGGGUUGGCACACAUGUACUUUCUUUGUUAGGCGGAUGUAUGUUGUUGCAUUAUGUUUUUGGCAUUCAGUGAACUGUUGCUAAGUAAUUGUGCUUUUACAUGGUAUGAUGAGAACUCUUCUGCCUCGUGCUAGGACUAGAUACUUUUUUGUUCAUUUCCCUUUCUUUCAUCUGAAUUACAGUUAUAUAUGAAUAUGUUUCAGGUGUCCAACUGGUUUCAAAUGUGGUAUCAACUACCAGCCACCGACAGUGGUACCAGGGGGUGAUCUUGCUAGAGUUCAGCGUGCAGUUUGUAUGAUAAGCAACAACACAGCUGUGGCUGAGGUUUUCUCCCGAAUUGACCAUAAAUUUGAUCUCAUGUAUUCCAAGCGAGCAUUCGUUCACUGGUAUGUAGGUGAGGGCAUGGAGGAAGGUGAAUUCUCAGAAGCUCGAGAAGACCUUGCUGCUCUUGAGAAAGACUAUGAGGAAGUUGGGGCAGACGGUGUUGAUGAUGACAAUGAGGGAGAAGAUUACUGAAAAUAAUCUUGACAGGGUAGCAGCAACUGUUUCUUUAUCCUAUCUCAUCUCCCAUAUUUUUUCUCCAGCUAUGUAUUGUCUGAAUUCCUAUCCAUUCUAUUGAUCUUCUAAAGUGCCUCUGUGUUGUUGUAUGGCUUUGUAAUUAUGUUGGUUUUAGAAGAACAGUGUGAGAAUCAACAGUCCUCAUUCUUAGAAAUGAGGCAUCUCACUGCCUAAUAAAAUCACUUCCUUGUGCGCCCACUGAAGUGACUGAGUUCCUAGUGUCUUUAAUCUAUUUUCUAGGUAUCCAUUUUUGCAACAUCAUAAAACAUUCUUUCUUGAUGGUCGCUAAAUGCAUGCAUGGAGUUCAAAGGAUCAUGACAAUGAACUUACAUUUUGAUUCGUCUGUGUUCGCCAUUCCUGACCAGCUGACCCUUGUAGACCAGUGAAGAAAUUUUAAUUGGUAUGCAAGCAGGAUUGAAUAUGUUAAACGUUUUGAGUAUUUGCAGUAUUUCCUGAAUAUUCAAUUCUUUGGCCUUCUCCAAAAUCUGACCUUGCUAAUAUUAGUUUAAGAGCAGAGAGCUGCAUCAUGCAACUACGCUAUAAUACAAUAUGCAGUUCAAUUAGUUGAUGGAGAAGUGUUAAAAAGAAGAAAAAAAAAAAAAAAAUUCCUUUCUCUUACCUUCUAGAUUCCAUAUCCAGUUGUCAAAGCCCAUGUGGCAAGACACAUGAUUUUUCAUUUUUGUCAAGGCAUUGAAACUAAAAAUCAUCUAUUAAUGUCUACAUGUCACUAGAAAGUGUUUGGAGGAAUUUACAAGAUAUUUUGCUAAUGAUAUCACUUGAAAGUGAUUGGGAACAGCAGUACAUCACCAUCUGCUCUUUCCUCACUUCAACUAUGCAGAAUUUAUUAACCCAACUUACAACAGUAACACCAGAAUUUCAUGUCUGUUGUGUUCACAUUCUCAUCAGUUACACCAUAGGCAUUACAAGAGCCACUUCCACACUCCUCGAAUUUACCACCUUUGUUUCGAAUCUUCAAGUUCACAUCCGAAGAUGGUUGCAUUAUCUGAAAUGAAUGCAUCUAAUUAAUUGACUUUCGCAAGUAAUUUUAUGUUAAGAAGGAAAGCUUUCAGUUUUUUUGUGACAAACCAAACGUGCACCUAAUGCAAAAUUAGAAAAUAAGCAAGAUUGGCUGGCAAAAGCAUCACCAAAUGAUUUUUUUAAUUAGUCGAUUCUAGUGUGUCAACCGCAAAUGCAACUACCAGGAAUUUUUAGUAUAAUGAACAUGGAGAAAGACAACAUGUGCAACUAAUUUGCAGUUAUUGGUUAUAUGGCCCAACUGGAGCUGUAACAAGAAUACAUGAUGCUGGAUUUCAAUUAUUAUUAUUUUUUUUCCUGUUAAUGCGUAAAAGAUGUUGAUGACAGGACUUUUAAUAAUGUGGGAUAAAGAUAAUUAAUCGAACACGAUUGCUUACACUUUGCAUUGAGUGAUGAAUGUGUUGAACUUCCUAAAACAGAAAAAAUAAAAUUCAAAUUCAUGUGUUUAGCAAUUUACAUUACAAAAAUAGCAAGAACAAGUUCAGGAUAAACUAAUUAAUCUCCUUUUGAUAUUUGUUAAUUCGGCAAACCAGUCCUACGAUCAUAUACUCAACUCUAAUUUUUCCAAUGCAAAGAAACGGAAACAAAAGACUGAACAGAAAUAGAACAUUUCCAUGGUGAUUUGAACCAUGUGGAUCAUAUUUUACAGAGCAUAUGAACACAAUGGUGGAAGAUCCCAGAAAGCUUCAGCAGCAUCAUGGACCGUGUCCAUGUACUCUUGCACACCAUUUAUAGCAUAAAGCGACGCCGAUAUUUGCCUUUCAACUUUCAUCCUUUCAAAUUCUGCAAACUCUGAGUCAGUAGUAGUCUCAGGCAAAGCACCGUUCUCUGGUAAAUCCAACAGUUCUUGAGUAUACGAAAAUUGGUCAACCCCAUUUCCAGAACCCCAAGAAUGAUCAAUCUGAGCAGAACCCAGUUCAAAAUCCUCGAUGCACUUACUCAGGUCCGGCUUGUAUGCAUCAUCAAAUAACUGAGCAUCUUGAAUUAUGUCACUUGAAGAAGAUGAAAGUUCCCCACUUAUGACACCACUGCAGCUGGUGCAGCUACUAUUAGAAGUUGCAGUACUAGUAGGAGUAUAAGCAGUAGUUGUGGUGGUGGCAGAGGCUUCAACACUUUGUUGUUGACAUCCCUUUUUGUUGUUAACAAGGUUUCUUAUCCGAGAUGCAAGAGGAGAAUCAAAGCUUACGUUGGUAUCAAAGUUGGUGCGAGUGUUUGAUCCGCGGAGAAGGCAAGCAGCUUCGUCGUAGGCACGAGCAGCUUCUUCUGCAGUUUCAAAGGUGCCAAGCCACACCCUUAUCUUCUUUGUGGUGUCUUUGAUCUCGGCUACCCAUCUACCCGAAGGCCUUUGCCUCACACCAACAAACUUGCUAUUGCUUUUUGUCCUGUUUCUUCCCUUGAACUUGCCCGCUCUGUUAACUUGAUUGAUGCAUGCUUUCUGCAGCUGUUUUUGUUGUUGAAAUUGAAUUUCCAUUGAAAUUUAUUUUGAAAAAGGAAAUCUAGGACUGUGAAGUCUCAAAGAAGGGAAACUUUUAUGUCUCCUAAAUUUCUUGGUUGUCAUGUCAAUGGAUAGCGAGAAACUUAUAAGCAAGUUUGAGUUCAAUAAUAGGGAUUUGUGGUCACAUUACAGCGACAUUUUCAUUUGUUUUUUUGCGUUUGUUGUGUAAUGAUUUGUUUAUUUUGAUGCACAUAAAACUAUUCAUCCUCAUAUUUCUGUUUUUUCCUAAUAUACCCUAAGUUUGACUUGGUAAGAAAUAAAUAAUUCAUCCUCCAUAUAAUUAAACCUGGAUGUCUGGAUAUGUGUGAAUCAAAUUCAAGACAUUUGGGUUUAAAGUAUAUUACAAUUUCACUUGUGAAAAGUAUGUCCAAUUGCAAAAAAAAAGGGCAUCCCUAGAGCAUCUUAAUACCAUCUCUCCAAACUAAAUCCCUAAUUAUGAAAUUUUUUUCCCCAUUAGGGACAGGAAAGUCGCUUCAGAUUUCGGAAGCACAAAGUCAUAAGAGAGGAAAUCAAAAAAUUCCUUGGUAUGAAUUAUUUAUGGUUAAGGUAUUGUCCUCUUUUAUGCAACCAAGUCAAUAUGAAAGCAAAAUCUGUGAAGGCGGGAAGAGCUGCCACGUGGAGACAGCAGAGAUAUACUUUAGAUAAAACCAAAGAACUAGGGUUUAAACAAGAUUGGCAGUUACCAUAACAAGAUAAAGGCCACGGCAAUUUUACCGAAGACCAAGUCAUGAUGCUUAAAAAGAUCGUCUCACCGUGCACGCUGGGUUUGUUCCAACCUCCUGUCCUAUUCUUUACAUCACCAGACAAAACUUGUUCUUUUUGCAUUAUAUUAUUCCUCGAUUCUUUAUAGAUUCUAAAAUCCCUACCCCAUUGUGUAGUCUGUGUCUGUAGAUGACUGGCAAAGACUACUUUGCUAUUCUAAUAAAUUAGCAAUUCCAUGUAUAAAAAUUAAAAUAAAACGAUAUUGUAUUUUGUUCUUUAACUAUGUUACCUUUUGUGGAGUGGUAAGUUGCUGCUCUCGCAUCAAUUUCAGUCCUUAUGUUAAAAUAUUUGAACUCAAUUCCUCUCUUAAUUAAAGAAUAAUUGAAUGGAAGCAGUCGGUAGUCAUCUGAUUAAAUGAAAGCAGUCAGUAAUCAUCUGAUAUAGCAUCAGUAGUUGUCUGAUUGUAUUAUCAAUAUAAAAAAAAUGUUACAUUAUAUGUAUCAUACAAUACAUCCAUAAGUUGUUUGUUUCAUAUGUUAUAAUUUUUUAAUUUUAGAUGACAACAAAAAAGUUGCUAUAUGUUACAUAUAAUAUUACAUAACAUGAGCCAUUCAACUGAUGUAACAUAAGACAUGGCUUCACCAUAUAAUGAUAAUCUUAAGUAAUUAAUUUUCUAAUAAAUAAGUAAUUUUAUGAUAAAAAUUAAUAAUUUUAAUAUAAACAAAAACCCAAUCACCUUCUCACUCAUAUGAAGGAGAUUUAAAUAUUAUAUUAUUUGAAAUCAACUUAAUAAGAGAUUUUACCAAUUUAAUCAAACUAGCACUCACACCUCAAUUCCAUUUGUUUACAUAAAAUAUAAACAACUUGGAGAUAACAAUUAAUAUCGCUUUCAAAGAUUAUGGUUUCCGUUUUCAAGAUGAAAUACCCGAACAUUGACACUGACCCCAAAAAGAAAAUUUUGUUUGUAUGUAUUAUACAAUUGCAAGUGGUCGCACCCACGAUUGAUUUCUCACGCCCAAGAAGAAUUUGUUGUUCUCAUUCCAUUUUUUGUAUUAAGGACACUUUUGUCAUACGAUAAGGUUUUGAAAGUAACAGCUCCCAUCAACUCUAAAACUACUAAGAGGCUACAAGUGGCAAUUUACAAAGAGAUGCAUGCAACACUUUUAAGGUUUUUAAUGGGAAAAUAAAUUAAAUCUAUCAAACAGAUCAGCCAAAUCUGAAUGAUUCUACUGUGCAAAUUUAUUGAGACAUUGUUCUACUCAUUCAAAAAGAAAAAAUCUCACUCACCCACAUGCGUGCAAAAGAUUAAUCACCAGCAAAGUUCAACUAAAAUAAUCUCAAACGCAAUUGUAUGUCGCAUGAAACCUUUCAUUCCAGAACCCAAAAAUGGCCAAGAUCUACAAACAGACCAUAGUAAAAUGAACCAUAAUAGUCACCAAAAAUACAAUGCCCCAAAACUUCUACAAAAAUUUCCGCCGACCUCAACCUCAAAAUAUGAGUACCGACUAAAACUUCAAACUCAUCCCUUGACUGGACCUUUUAGACACAGGAAUUUACCAAAAAUGUGGUCAAAAAAUUAUACACACUAUACUUUCCUACAUAUUAUUACACUCUCAUCCGCAACCAAUCAAACAAAUACAGACAUACCGUGAAGAACCACACUACACAAUAUGUAUAAUGAAUAAGAAUAGAUGACUGAACACAUCAUUGACAGACUGCUCACAUGCAGCAUCUUCACAUCAAAAAGUCAAUGACCAACACAACAAUAAAUUUCGCUUGAUGAAGCACUGGCCAAGAGAGGUAACACGAUAUACCCAGCAACAAACUUGACUACUGGACAUAAAUGGCUUUUCACAAAGAAUAAUUGGAGUGCUCAAAACAGCAAAAGAAUUUAAGAUGAGAGGAUGGAUUGCAAAGCAAGCUGCUGCUGGGGCUGCAGGGAUGACCAUGUUGAUGCAAGAGUGGAGGGUGGUAAUGAUUGUUGAAGUUGCCUCAACAGAUUAAUCAUUCUGCUGGCAGUUUGCUCAGUCACCAGAUCCUUACCCCCACAUAAAACCUACAACAAAAAUUUUCCCCCAAAAGGAAUUUAAAGGAAAAGAAAGAGUCAAAUAAACAAUCUUAAAAACAAAGAAGAGCAUCGACAUCUGAAGUUCAGAAAGAAAAUACCUCUGCAAAGAUUGUGACUAUUUUGGGCAGGUAUUGAUGGUUAGGCCCUAAAAUUUCCCCAUCUGACCUGUAACGAGAUGCAAUUGUUUUUCAAAAUUACUGUGAACAAAAAUGGAUAAUUCUGCAUCAAGAAAAGAAAUAGAAAGAAUAUCAAGUUCAAGAAAAUUCCAUAUCUCCACCUUUCCACCAUUGAACAAAGCUGGGCGUGCACAACCUUGGCCUCAAUCAAGUCACCUUUUAGAGGCAAGCAACUUAACCAGGCAGGGACAACCUGCCAAACAAAACAGUUGUAACAGUGUUCAACCUUUUUUGUUUUCCUUUUGAAAAUUCCAGACUCUAAAUAAACACCUACUUUUGCCAUUAGAAAACUGUCAGUUCUGAUGAUGGUUUUCAAGGCAAUGUCAAUGACAUAUAUUAAGAAAUGAAAACUAUUUAAGUACCUGAGCUGCAUCUAUACUAUCCCGAUGGAAUUGGCAAAUCUUUCCGAGAGCUGAAACAGCAUUGUCAUAUGCCAUUACAUUGUCUGAAUGCAGCGCAUUUGGGUGCCUUAUCACAAAAUUUAAUCUGGAAAGGGCUUCUGUAAAAUGAUAAGAAAAGGUUUACUAAUAUUACAUAAGACUAUACUGCAGAGAAAACAACCAUUCAAGUUAGAAACUACUUACCCCCAACAAGGGGUUUGAAAACAGAUCCACCGAACUCAGCACAAACUCCAAUCCCAUAAACCGCAGCCUGAAAAAUUAUUGGCACUUACUUUCUCAGUGGAAAACACAAUUGAGUAAAGAAAUACAAAAAGUUACAGGAUUUAAAAGAGUAGAAACCUGACGAACAUCUGGAUGUUUGUCAUUGCAGGCUUCCAGUAAGAAAGGAAGAUAAGUGUCAUAGUAUCUGUUUCACUCACACAAGUUAGAUACAUGCAGAGAAAUUAAAUAUUAUCAAUAUUCAUGAUUAAUCAGAAUUCAGAAUAUUUUCUAAAGGUAAAACUCUUACUUGAGCGCAGCUUCACGGCAGUGCUCCAUAACAUCAUCAAAUAUACAAAUGGCAAUUCUCCUCUCUUCUGCUGUUUUAUCCUUGCCCUAGUCAAUCAAAUGGCUAGUUAGCAUUACAAAGGCCAAGUGCCUCUUCAGAGACAAUCAAAAUUGCCUUUAUCAUUCUUUCUUCACAUUCAGUUUGCAAUAUAUAACCAGUGAUUGUGCUUAAAUGGCAUUUCACGCAGAAAGAAAAGCAAAUAUAUGUGUGCAAUUUCGCAUCAAAGAAAGUUCACAGGAGGUGUUAACUAAUUGUUUGCUUUAUAAAGAAUCAGCUAAACCUUUUAUCAAGCAAAAUAGUAAAACCAUUUAAAUCUUAAAUGAAAUCAUGUUUCUCUGUUUGGUUAUUCAAAUACUAUCUCAUUGCAGUACACCACAAAAGCCAAACCAACAAGUAGCUUCAAACUGCUCACAAUCAAGUGGUAACGGUAAGCAUUUAAAGCUGCCACAACAUCCAGAGCAGGUUCGACAGUUGGCACCAGCACAGAACUCAAGCUGUGAUUAUGGCAAAUAAUUUUAUCAUUAAAAACAGGAGACAGGGUGGGGAGGGCACUAAAAUAUCUCCUUAAAAACCAAGGCUUGUAUGCAAGGAAGAAUAAUAAAAAGGAGGGAAAGGAAAAGUAAGACUACAAUUAAUAUGUAGAUUUCACAUACUCCUCCUCAGAGAGAGAGAGAGAGAGAGAGAGAGGGGGNNNNNNNNNNNNNNNNNNNNNNNNNNNNNNNNNNNNNNNNNNNNNNNNNNNNNNNNNNNNNNNNNNNNNNNNNNNNNNNNNNNNNNNNNNNNNNNNNNNNNNNNNNNNNNNNNNNNNNNNNNNNNNNNNNNNNNNNNNNNNNNNNNNNNNNNNNNNNNNNNNNNNNNNNNNNNNNNNNNNNNGGGGGGGGGGGGGAGAGGGGACAGAAACAUAAGAUAUAACUCACCCACAUAGGUGUCAAGUAAGAAGAGAGCUCGUCAAAGAAAGUCAAGAAAGAGGCUCUGAAUGUUUUGGUCAAUGUUCCCAAGCAAUCGCCAACCUUGGAUCAAGAAAAAGAAAAACAGUAAGCAAAUAAGAUCAGAAUUUGCUGAUAGUCAUGGAGAAAAAUAUAAUCAACCAAUGAAAAAGCCAAAAACUAAUGAGGUAUUGGGUAACAAAACAUACUCGGUCAAAAAUUUCUUCUUCUAGUUCGUUUUCUUCCUUAAGCAGUUCCCCUUCUUCCACAUCGAAGUCCUCCGCUUUUGCCCUAUCUGCCCUUUCUUGUUUUCUGGAGGCGCUGGCUAUCAUCACCUGUUUAAUCUCAUCCACGAUGCACCUUACUUGGCUUUCAUCUAAAAGCAGGCCACAAAUCUGACGAAAACAAAUAAAGAUCAAGCUUCCCAGGUCAUCAAAACAACACAGGAAUCUGAGAAAGAAAAUGCUGUCACUAAGGCAUUGGCAACACAGCACACAGCAUUAAGAAAAAAGAACUUCAACAGCAUAAUCAUUUUGUGAUGUAUGCAAACAACAAAUGACAAAAGGACAAGCAUAAGCUAACACAGCAAUUAUCUAUACAAAAGAGAUGACAACCAUCAGAAUUUUCUUGUGAUAAUAACAAGAGAGGUAUUGCUGUUUCAGGAGUUAGUCAAAAAGCAAUGGCCUUUCAAUUCCCAACAGAGGUUGUCCAACGUCACUUAUAUAGCCAAAAAUUUGAAACUCCAGGACAGUGUUAUUGAAGUUCAAGAUGUCACACUAUACUUAGAUUUAAAAGUAAAGCAAGAAAAACAUUCAGUGUCCCCAUAUCCCAGGCUCAACUACCUCAACAUCAUAAAGUGCACAAUACCAACCUGUAUGCUUUCAUUCAAUGCAUCCAACAUGCUUGCACAAAUAUCUAUCUCAGGCUCCUGCAAGCCAGUUGCAAACACGUUAACACAUAAGCGCAGACUACUAUAGGAAGGAAAAAAAUUGAAAAAGAAGAUAUAUAGCUAAAAAGUCUGUGUUAGAUAUGUGAAAAAGUCAAACAACCAAAAACUAGAACAGAAGUAUGACCUUGUGUAAAGCCUCCACCAAAGCAGGUAUUAUGUAAUCAGUCAAUUGCUUUACAUAGGAUUCAUUGCGACCUUGGGAUUGCCCCUUCUCUACAGCUAACUUAGCCGAACGCAGCAAUUCCGGCAUGGCUGAGGACAUACAUAAAUAUUAAACAUCAAGAUUUCCAGAGACAAUCCGCAAGAACACAUGCAAAUAGAAGGGCACAAAAAAUAAUGGCCAAGCUAAUACCUGAAACAGCUGCCUUCCUCACUUCUUCAUGGAAAUAAAACUUCAGAAGGGGAACCAAUGUAGGAGCAACCUGCAAUUAUUAUAUCUUUACCCUGUCAACCUAGUAUUCUUUAAUAAGAAAAACUGAAAAUUAUUAACCUGACCUAAAGAAUGGACUAGAAAAACCAUGAUAUUUAAACCAAAAUUGACCUGAUCAAUCCAUGGGAAAAACCCUUCCUUCAACUCAUCAGCAUAGCAACAUAGCAUGUUACAAGCUGUAGCUUUUUCCUCCAGGACGCUAGUUUUUAUCCCUAUCCUUUUAUCCCCAAGAGUAAUUGUUUGGAUGCUGCAAAAGCAAAUUGGUGGUAUUAAAAUUAACGAACACCCAAAAAAACCGAACCUCCACUUAUCUCCAUCAAAUUAAGCAGCGUGCUUUACAAACAGAAGACUAGAAACGACAUUAUGCAAUAUAUGGCAAGCACUUAUAUAAUAACAAAGAUUUACCAAUGAGGAAUCAACAAAUAUGCAAGGAAGAGUUCUCAAGACAAGGGGUUCAUAUGAUGCUUUUUUUGUCCUCUUAAUAACAUAUUUCUAUUAACUACAAAAUCAUGACACAAUAUAUGCAACUUUCAGAAAAUUUAAAGUAACAUAAGGUACAAGCAAUCAAAAUCAGAAAACAAACCUUUCAUCUUCAUCAUCAAUAUCCACAUCAGAAUCUGCAGAUGUAAUGAUUACAUCAGGCUUAAGUUGAGCAGACUGAAGCAAAGGGGGCAUGACAACACUCAUGUAAGGGAUAAAUUCCUGUCCCAGACACUUGCAGAGUCUGGCCCAUGCCUGCAACCAACUUAGGCAGUUAUGUAUUUCCCCAAUACUAUUCCAAGUAAAUUAAGCAUUCAUCAGUUGAAUAAAUGCAGAGUGUGUGUGUGUGUGUGUGUAAACAUCAAAGUAAUAUCAUACUUGUAACAUGUAGCUUGUUGUGGGGUCAUCCGCCUCCAUUUGGGAACCUUGUAACGACAUUAGGACUUCCAUAACCUAGUAAUACACAACAACAGUGAGGCCAUAGUUCAAAAGAAAAAAAGAAGUUUUUACAGCUACCACAAUCUAAUAUGUCAGCAGAGAAAAUGUGCAUAACCAAUGGAUUGCAAAAAUGAUGUUAUCAACCAUAAAUGAAACCAGAAAAUUUCAGUAAAUUAAGAACCUAACUGAGAUAUAAAAGGUUAAAAGAACUGAAAAGUAGCAAAUAAUCGGUGGUUUUUAUAGAUGUAUUAGAGGUAACUUAGAGAAUCUAAAAUGAAGUGGAUAAAUAGUAAAGCUUCGGUAUGAGAAAAAAUUCACACAGAAUCUUCAUCCACAUAAUACUAGAACCACAAAGCAAAAUGACCAUCACAAUGAAAAUCAUAAUCUUCAUCCACAUAAUACUAGAACCACAAAAUCCACAAAAUUUUUUCAGUAAGAGAAAAAAUUCACACAGAAUCUUCAUCCACAUAAUACUAGAACCACAAAGCCAAAUGACCGUCACAAUGAAAAUCAGCAAAGUAGAAUAUUAAUACUUAUUGUCACCUGUUUAGCGUCAUCCCUGAAUUUAUCCUUUCCAACAGCCAUUCCAACCAAACUAAUGCACUCCAUAGAUUUGGCACGUAGCAUGCGGUUAGAUUUAUCAUUUGCAUUCACCAAAAUAGCUUUCAAGUAUGGCAUUACAGCAUCAUAAUAUUUUUGGAAUUGUCCCUGUUAACAAGUCACAUAAGACAAAAAUAUUUGAUAUUAUAAUAAAUAAAUGAGGUCUAUUAGGUAUAUUAUAAGCCUACUAAGUACCUGAGAUGAAUCAGCAACUGAUGCCAAGGCAGUCAAAGCCCCCUCUUGCACCAUUUGCUUCCCAUUCUACAUUGCACACAAGCAAACCAAAUAAAAUUAAGGUAUCUUGCAUCACAACGGGAGGGGAGAAGAUAGACAAUAUCACACACAAGGAAAACAUGAGGCUAGGGUGUUCACUCAUUGCAAUACUGGAGUAGGCCUUUCAGUUUCUUUUUUGAUAGUAAACAUAAAAAAGUAUGUUUAGAAAUAAUUAGAAAAGAGAUAAUCAGAGAAAAGAAUACUCGGAUGUUGCACAUAAAGUAAAAGCGUGGUCAAACAAAUAAUAUCACGAUUGCUCUCCCACCCCGAAAUCUGAUAGUCUAAGCCCGGCAAGUGGGUGAAAACUAAGCUUAAAAAAGAGGAAAGUACACAUAAUGCUGAAAGGUAGAUCUUUAUUCCCCUCCCCAGAUCCUACAGCUCCACAUCUUCAGUGUCCACAGAUAUCUUUUCCAUUAUCUUCAAACCCUCCAAAACUUACUUCAACAACGACGACUGUAAGCUGUAUUUUUCGGAUUUUUAGAACUACCAUAAAAGUUGCAACAAUGCUCACCAAGAAAACACCUCGCCAUUAUUUCUCCAUCUCCUAAGAAUAUGAUUCCAUUUAUCUGUGCCGAAAUUCUCAAUACUGUUGUCACUCAAAAACUAUGUAAAAAUUGAAGAAAAUGAUUAACUAGCAAUUCUUAUUAACUCUUUCAUUCUCAUUCUCAGUUUUAUGUCGCUACCUUGUUGUAUAUAUAAAUGGGAACAUCUUGUAACAAUGAGUUUACCAGAUGAGCUACCAAAUGCUGAGGUAUUAAUACCCCUCCACAAUGAAUAAGUAAAAGUCAUUAUUUCUGUCAACUUUUUAAAACCCUCGCAAGGAAAUGAGUAAAUUUAUCAUAUGUGAGAAUUAAUUUAAUUGUACAGAUUUAUGCUUCAAGACAAAACUAAAAACAUUUAUCACUUUCAAUUGAAGAGUAAAUAAGAAGAGAAUUUACAUACCUGUAGAAGCACAAGAAGUUUGCUCACAAUCCCAUCCAAAUAUGGAGUCAAAAUAUCAGGGGUACAAUUUUCACUGAAAUUGAGCACUGCCGAUGCAGCAUGAGCCUGUGGCCGGGAAACAACAACAUUUUAAAAAAAAAAGUUUCAUUGAAUAACAAAAUACUAAGUUAUUAAAAAGAAAUUAUCAUCAUAUACAUAGACACUGCUUCUUAAAGAUGAAACUCUCAGUGAAAGAAUUUACAGAGACAACCAAAGACAAAUCAAAUUUUUAGAAAAAAAAAAUAAAAAAUUUAAUAGAUUAGAAAGCAGAGGCAAGUAAAUCACUCUUAGCUACGGGAACACUUAACAUUUAUUUCUUUGAAAAGCCUUACACAGACAGCCCCAUUUGCUUUGGAAUGAAGGCAAUCCUCACCCAACAAUUUUCAACAAAGCACCAGCAAAGUUAAAUAUAUUAAUUAAAAGGAAAAUUUUAAUUUCUUAGUAAACAAAUGGAUGAUAAUUCCAACACAAAUGAACCAUUCCACAAUGUUAUAUAAAAGAAUGCCUCCAUUUUAAAUCACCAACCCGGAUGUGCAAGCUCAAAAAUUACACAUAGGACACUUAUGAGACAAGUGACAUAGAAAGUCGACAUUGCUCAUUCAUGAGAUAAUCACUACUUUUUAUCUAAAAGAAAGAUACUGCUAAAGGUACAAGCAUAUUAUAAAAACAGAUAUGCAGAUUACCUGUACUCGUGGAUUUUGGAAAUCAUCCAUAGCCCCAACUAGUGCUGGCAACAGACGGUGAUGAAAUUGUGUUUGCAGUUCUGGACCCAAGUCAGUGGACAACUGUCCAAUCGCAUUGAUAGCAGCCCAGCGCACUCGAGGAUGGGGAUCUUGAAAUGAAUUCAGAACCAUAGACACUACCUGGUCCAGAUUCUUUAUCAUUACCUACAGCAAGGGACAAAAUUUAGGAACAGCAGAUACUUUUAACUUAACUUGUGAGUAUAUACCAAAAGUUUUCUAAGAAUUACCAGUAUAAAUCAUAUUAGCCCAGACACACUGCAAGAAGACAUACAAGAUUCAAGAAACAAAACAAUUUGCACAGCCAUAACAAGCUGCCAACAGAUCUUUCACAAAGGGCAUAAGGUGGGACUUGCAUCAUUAGUUAAGUAUAAAAGCAGUCGUAGACCUAUCAUCGGAUAAUCAACAAAACUUACCCUGCAACUCUCUCUAAAGAAAAUAGGAAUAGGAAUGCUUUUUAUUAAUCCUAUCAAUUUGUCUGGCUAAAAGUAUAUAGAACUAAGGUGGAGAUAAAAGAAUUUAAAAGACUGCUUUUGGCAAAUGGAGAAGGUAAGCGAUUCAAAAGUUUUAAACAGGAAGCAAACUGAAUCAUAUAGUUUACUACCUAAAGCAUCUAAGAUAUCCCAACUACUUGUACAUACACCCAAGCAAGUAGAUAAGACCUUAAUAGAAGAUGACAAAAUUUGCUACAUCGGACAUGCAGUUACAAAGAUAAACCAAAAUCAAUGUAGGGAGGCACAUUUUCAUUUUGACUUCAUCACGUAAAACGGGUACAUAUUGGGUCAUCGUGAAAUUGCCUAAACAACCACAUAAAAUCAAAUGCACAAGUACAUGCAAAAGUAGAAAAACACACAGCCAAAAAAAAAGGGAGCAGAUACGAAUAACAGUUAAGCUCCACCCAUCAUACAUGCUAUCAACAAAGAGGAACUUUCGUAGUAAAACCCACACAAAAUUCAAUUUCCAUAUACGAACCUAAAUAAACUAUCAAAAAUUAAUGGUUAUAUGCUUAUUACCUUGGAACAACCCUCUGCAAUUUGUGCAAGUGCAAUCAGCACAGCAUGGUGCUUCUGCCACUCAGGGGCAGCCAAAAACCCUGGAAAAACCGCUGAAGCAACAGGCAAAAUUGUGUUUCCACCCAAAGAUAUUGCCAACCUAUCCAAACACUCCUGCCCAAACCCAUAAUCACUCGUCUCCCCAGCAUCCUCGUCCUCAGUCUCUGCGCUAUGCCACAUAGGAUCAUCCUCCAAAUCCAACAACAUAUUCAUCAACACCAAAAACAACCUCCUUAUAAACUGCGGCAACUUCCUCAUCAUCCCAGGGGCCCUCUCACGAGCUUCAGCCAACGACACCACAAACUCAAUCGCCAAAUGCCUCGUCCCUUCUUCCAAACCCUCAGCCUCCGCAACCUGCAACAUCGACCCCACCACAUCCACCAACUGUUUCCUCAAAAACCGUGGCUCAGUAGCCGCCAACUCAAUCAACAACUCCAACGCCUCCUGCGCCGAUGACUCAUUACCCUUAUUCAGAGCCUCAGUCAAAGUCCUCAUCAUCAAAGGCAACAAAUCAAGAAACCUCUCCUUCUCACCCAAACUCGGCAAACAGUUCAUAAUAAAAUUAACAGUCGCCUCCAAAGCCGCAAUCCUCAAAUCAAAGUUAUUACUUUCUAAAAACUUCGAAAACACCUCGUGCAAAGUAUCGCCAUGAGCAAUUAAAACUUCACCGACAAACUGACUCAUCCGCGACAAGAUCAACAGCGCAGACUCCUGAAUUUUAUCAUUGAAUGUAACCAAACACUGGAAGAUAAAAGGAAUGAGUUCAGGCCAGUCCCCGUCGGGUAAUACGGAGGCGGCAAGUUCCGAGACGGCGUCGCAUAUCUUUUUUAUUAUGGACUUGUUGGUUUCGUUUUGGAGUUGGACUAAGAGAACGGAUUUGAGAUUGGCUUGUGUGGAGGGAGCGAGGCGCGUGAAGAUGAAGGAGGUGGAAUCGUCGCGCGUGAGGUGUUUACGAAGGAGGAUUGCUGACAUCGCGCGGCACUCGGGGAGGGAAGACGAGGAGAGCAUGCGGGAGAGGUUUAAGGCGAGGGCGUCGGGGUGGGACUGGCGGAGGUGAGAGAGGAGGACUUCGGCGUGGGAGCGGUGCUCGUUGGAGGAUGACAUGAGGUUGGAUAUUAGGGUUUCGAAAUGGGCCGGGUUCGGACCGAGGAGGAGGGCGAGCUCCUGCUGAGUUGAAUCAGUAGUGGCCAUGGCCGAGUUAAUUAUUAGUUUGUUAUUUUAAUUGGGGUUUUAGAGGGGAGUUGAAAAUUGGAAGAGGAGGAUGGCGGGAGAUGAGUGGGUGGUUAUAUUGAAUGAAGAGACAAGUAAAAGAAAAUGGAGGUUUUUAAAUGAAAGGACUAAGGGAGGGUUUGUUUGAUUGGUGCUGUCCAGUUUUCUAUGGUACGGUUCGGUGCAAUGAACAAUGAGAUUGUGCCACCAGCCACGUCAAUUGCGCGUGAAUAAAACUUUAAAAGUCGUCUUUUUCGGAGAUAUUUUUAUGGUAGUUUUAACUUUGGGAGUGUAUAUUUCCAAGUUCCAACCCCAUUAGCCUAAUUUUUUAAAAGUAAGUAAAACAAGUUGAUAUUAUUUUUAAAUAUAUAAAUCAAUCAAAAUUUUAAAAACUUAGUUAAUUAAAUCUUUCUUAUUACUUUUAUAUUUGGGUGUCUUUGACCAUUAAAAAUUUAAUAUUAUUUUAAAAUAAUUUUUAUUUGAUUAUUUUACCAUUAUAAUAUUAAUAACUUAUUCAAAUAAAUAUAAACUCUUAUAUCUAAUAGUUUAAGUAUUUAAAUUUAUUGGUUAAAUCUAUAAACUUUUUCUUUAUUUAAAAUUUUUAAAAAGAAUGUGGAUUAAUUGUAAUUAUAUUUUGGAAGUGGGGUGGGUUUACAAAAAUUAUGAAUAGAAAAUAGGGAAAUUAUCAGACAUAUACCCUUAAAUGACACCCGUAUCAAACGUAUGUGAACACUUUUCAAGUAUAUCACUUGUAUACCCUAAGUUGACAAAACACUUCUGUCGUCCACCAAUCCGUUAACUUUCGUUAGAAAGUUAACAGAAUUGUGACAAAUUGAUUAUUUUGCCCUUGAAACUCGAAAUGAGGUAAAAAUAUAAAUUUACCCCAAAAAUUAACGUAAAUUUUCAAUACACAAUUUUUUUUAUUUUGUUAUUAACAAUACAUUUUUUUGAUUAAAAAAAGAAUUAUUAAUGGUACAUAUUAUUAAUAAUUAUCCAUAAAAAAUAUCCAUAUUAUACCAUAAAAAUUUAUUAACAACAUAUUAUUUAUAAUUAUACAUAUUAUACCAUAAAAAUUUCCAGUCGGAGCUUGGAGGAGUAGAUCUUCAAAAAUUUAAUUUAAAUUUUGGAGGAGUAGAUUCGGUUGUAAAGUAGUUUUUUUAGCAAUUAUUAAUAAUUAUCCAAUAAAUGGGAUGACAUGUCAUUUUUAUCAAUAUAUAUCAUAUGACAUGUCAUUUUUUACUAGGUAAAUGGGAUGACAUGUCGUUUUUUUAAUCAAAGUUUCGUCAAUCUUAAAAGACUAGAUUACCCUUAUGAUGUAAGCGCUUGCGAACAGCAAUUAACAGAUUGGUGAACGGCAUAAGUAUUUUGUCAACUUAGGGUAUACGAGUGAUACACUUAAAAAGUGUUCACAUACGUUUAAUACGGGUGUCAUUUAAGGAUAUAUGCCUGAUAAUUUCCUUAGAAAAUAUUACCACCCUUAUAUUGUUAAAGUAAAAUUUCACUCUUUCACCUUCAUAUAUUUACAAACGUCAAGAUAGUUCCAAAUUCAUUGUAAGUAUACACUUUACCCUUACGCUCUAUUGUUUAAGCAAACUGAUGGAGAUAGAGCAUAGGGGUGUCAAAAAAACCCGCCCGGACCGGAUCCGGCCCGGACUCGGCCAAUCCGGUCCGGGCAAAAUUCGGACCGCAUAUAUUGAAAAAGCGGAUCUGGGUUUCAGAAUUUAAAACCCGGACAUUUCCGGGCACGGUCCAGGUUUAGCACCAAAAACCCGGAACCCGGACCCGUUUUCCGAAUAAAUUUAACAAAAAAAAAAAAACGAAAACCAGUUACCCAAACCCAAAUCGCAAAACACCCAAAUCCAAAAAUCCAUAAUUCCCCAAAUCGCAAAACACCCAAAGCCAAAGGCAUAAGCAGCGACGCUGAGACUGCAGCACGAGUUGUGGAAGAAUUUAGACAGCAAGAACCGGAGGAUUCGGAGGAUAUAUUCGACAUCAACUGGGAGCGGGAGCGGCAGCAGGAGGAGGAGGACAGGAGGGGAAGCAAUUUUGAUGAUGAUGUGGUGUUGUUCUCGCAACAGAAGCACGAACAAGAAGAAGAAGAAGAAGAAGAAAAAGAAGAAGAAGAGGAAGAAGGAGAAGAAGAAUUUGAGUUUGCAGUUGUUUGCAAUAAGCAGCAAGAGUGCUCGUCCAUCACAGCGGAAGCAUGCCGUUUAUGAAUGAGGAGAAUAGCAAUUACCCCUUCGAUUUAUUUCUCCACUGUUUUCAGAGAUAGCAUGAAAUCAAAAGACAAAUAUCUGAUUUAAAAUAUUUUUUUUUGAAAUAAUUGUUUGCGGGCUUAGAAGCCCGGAAGACAAAACCCGGACCCGGGACACGCCGGGCUCAAGCCCGGACCGGACAUGCAAAAGCCGGGUUUUGUCCGGGUCCGGAUUUCAAUUUUUGGCGUCCGGUCCGGUCCCGGGUUGCACCAAACCUGGACCGGACCCAGGUUUUGCCAAGCCUAAUAGAGCACCUGAGAAAAAAAUGAAAGUAAAAAGGAGGAAGUAAAAUGAAAAAUAGUUUCAAAGUUUUUAAGUGGUAUAUUUUUAACAAUAUUUUUGUCAUGAUUAACACUUAAUACGGUAAAUUGUAUAGGGAUGGAAUGUUGACUCGCAAUAAAUUUAGAGGCAUACUAAAGUUUAUUAAUAAAUAAUGGGAGGGGAGUGAUAUUUACCCAAGAUUUAAAAUCCCGCUAACAUACCACUUAAAAAUGAUAGUGAAUUUUUUUUAAGCUAAAAAUAUUAAUUGAAAAGAAUGUAUAAAAAUUUUCGAAAAACAACUCUAAAAUGCAAUUUCUAUUUUUUGAAAAACAUAUUUAUUCUAGUUAAAUAUUCUAAAAUAUAUGUAAAAUGCAAAGUUUUUACAAAACGAGUGAUGACAAAUUAUAAUUGUUAUGGUUAUCUUAAUCUUGUAUUUAUUUUAAACGCGAGCUAUGCGAUAAAAUGUAAAUUGAUAAUUCAUCAUAAGAUACUUUUUUAAUCUGUUCCCAAAAAGGGGGGGAGCGCAAAGAAGGGUGUAUGUAAAAUUAUCAAACCCAAAUGAAACUUCAAAGUUAAAAAAAUGAAAAUAAAAAUAAAAAUUGAAUUCACUGUUGCUCUGACAAUUUGGUUAUGGAGGGAAAUGCAGUCCGGUAGUCCCGGGUCAGACUCCAGAGGAAUAUGCGUUAGGCUUUUAGCCUUUACAGAUAUGAUAUGAUCAGAUCAGAUCAGACUAUCACCACCUACUCAAUUUGGUCCCACUUAUGAUGAUGAUGGAUUUUGAAGAAUUGAACAUAUGUUUUGGUCCGACGACCCAGUGUGGACCAUCUGAUCUUUUGAAAUAAUCAUGACGGCUGUAAGCCACCAAAGCCUUUAACAUGCGACCUUCACUUGACGGUGAGGUGGUGGCUUCUUUAGUACGUCACUGGAAACCUCAUGCUAAAAACCUAUAUCAGGAAUUUGGACAACUGUAUUGAGUCCAAAUGAGCUUCGGCGUUCUUAGAGAGCUGGGCUUUGGCGCAUCCAAGCGGAACCAAACAGCUCUUAGUGACCACUGGGCCUUCAAUUGUGAGUUUACUGUUUAAUCAUUUAAUUUGAAGUUUUAAUUACUAAUCACUUCUUUUAUUUUCCAAGAAAGGGUAUUUUUGGAAAUACAAUUUUUAUUUAUUUUUUGCAUAGGGCGAUCUCUGGCAUUGUAACUAACAAAAUCAUAUUCUCAAAUGCAAGAUUUUAGAAAGCUACUCUACCUGGCUUUUGAGAAUCAGAAUAUUUCAUAGUCACUUAAAUUAAAACAUUUUUUCCUCAUCCAUCAAAUUAAUUUGUGUAAUCACACUCCAUUUAGUAAAAUAAAUUGUAAUAAUUACCUUAGCGGGGGGUUGAAUAAAGUCUUAGAAUCAUAUAGAGGAUUAGGCAAAAACGAAUUCAAAAUACAGUAUCGUUACCCUUCUGCUGCGUUUACUUUUUGGAUUGAAGUGGGAAUCAUUGGAUUAGGAGUGUGGAGUGGGAGUGAGAGUAGGGUGUUUACUUAUACUAAAUGAAAGUAUGGAUUGUCAAUUAGAAUCCCAAUUAUUUGUUUAUUUUGUCUUGGAUUGGGAGUAAAUUAUUUUAAAUUACAAUUUUAUCCUUAUGUACAGAAUUAUAAUUUGUAAUUAAAAAAUUAAUAAAAAAUAUAUUUGGAAAAUAAAAUAAAUAUUUUAUUAUAUUUAUAAAUUAAUAAUAAUUACUAAUAUUCUUAAUUAUGUAAAUCAUAAUUUUUUAUUAAUUUUAAUUUAAAUUAUGUGAAUAAAAAUUUUUAUUAAAUAUUAUUUAUUUAUUUUAUUAAAUAUUAUUUAUUUAUUUUAUUAAAUAUUAUUUAUUUAUUUUAAUUUUAUAAGGAUAAAAUGGGAAGAGGGGAGAGUGGAUUCCCACUCCCACCUCCCUCAAUGGGAGUGGGAAUCCCACUCCCCACUCCAAAUUUGGGUGGGACCCACGGAUUCCUACUCCCACUCUCCCCAUUUUUAAGGUAAGUAAACACUGGAGUGGGAGGAAUUCACAUUCCACACUCCCACUGCAGAAAGUAAACACUACCUUCUAGUACUUCCCACCCAUGGAAGUAUAAUUACUAAAUGGAUUUAUACAGCAAUGUCAAAGAGACUUCAAAUGUUUCAGAUUCUUUUUAUUCAGUCAACACAGGAAUCACAUCAACAUUAAAUCCACAUCUCAUGUUUUCCCCUUGCGUUUGGAUAUAAUAGUAUUGAUUUAUCUAACUUUGUUCGUGAUAAUCACUCGAAAGCAUAUCCUCGGACAUAGCUCAAUUGACUACAAAUAUGGGUGAGAUUUCAAAUUUGCAUUCAAACAUUUUAAGCCAAAGGCUUGGGUAGGGGGGAGGGGUGUUGUUGUUCUUGAAUCACUCGUGCAAGCACUGUUCUUUUGCUUUUCAAUUUUAAUCAACCAUACAAACCCCCCAUUAUGUUAUGUGAUAAAAAUUGUCAUCAGUACGAAAAUUUCCAAAGCUUUCAAAGCGAUUCUAACAUGUGUUAAAAAUUGUUGAAGAAAGAAAUAUUGUUAUAAAUCUGGAAUUUUUGAACAUUAAUUGGAAAUUCAUAAUGAUUUCAAUCCUUGAAAUAUAUUUUAAUGAAACAAAGUUUUUACAUAAUCCUUGUAAAUUUUAAAUAAACUAGUGUAGUUUGUAAAGUGUCACCACUAGUUGCAUUAGUGGCAUGACUUAUUGUAGGGACGACAAAGCAAAUAAACGAAUCGAAUUUGAAUUGAAUCACAAACGAAUGGGUCAACACUCUGCUGAUUUAGAUUCAAUUUGUUUAUUAAUCGAAUAUUCAAUUCGAUUUGUUUAAUUCGUUUAGUAAAAUUAAUAAAUGAAUCAAAUGGAAUCUGCAUUCAUUUACUGUUUAUUUAUCCUAUAACAAAUCCAUAACGAAUUGAAUUAAAUAUGAAUUUAUUUACAAAUAUAAUUAAUAAACAAAAGUUAACCAAAAUAAAAUAUGAAAAUACCACAAAUUUAACAUCCUACAGAGGGUUAAUCUCAUUUGGAUGAUACAUUUUUCGAAAAAUAUAGAAAAGUUAAUAGAAAUUUUAAAACUAGGCAAACAGAUGACAAAUCGUUAAUUUUUACCGUUAAUUAUAAUGAGGUAAGGGUAAAAUAGGAAUAAUUGAUACAAAUAAUAAAGAGCAAAUGGUUAAUGACAUUUUAGCGACACAUGUUUUGACAUCUAUCAUACAUGUGACUAUUGUUUGGAAAAACACUCUUACACAUAACAAACUGUUAAGUUCUGUCGUUAACUCUGACGAUACAAAAAUAUUGUAAUUGAUAGAGAAUAUGACAAAAGGAUAUUGAUAGAAUUUUGCUAAAAAAAUAUAUUGGAUACCUUUGUUGCUAUUGGACUGGGUAGAUAGAUUGGUUGCUAUGAACAUGAUUUUAAAAUAACAAAUGUUCACUAAGCCAUCAUAUUGGAUUCUUGAAGAUUUGAGUCUAAUAUUUGCAAAAUUAAUGCUAAUGAGAUAAAAACAAAUAUUGGAUUUAUGUCAUGCUUCAUGAUUAGUGAGAGAUUUGCUUCUUUCUUUUAUGUUAAAGAAUUAGUUUGGUGAUUUUUUCUUUAAACAUUAGCUUAAUUUAACCCCCAAACAAGUUUAUAUUUAGAUUUAAUUUAUAUUUUUAUAAAAGAAAAUUAAAAAUCAAUGACUAGCAAUAGAAAUAUCAUUUUCUAAUUAACCGAUUACUUUCAUUAGCGUUAACAAAGAAAGUUAAUGGUUUGUCACCUAUAGGAGUAUUUUCAAAUAAUUUGUCACUUGUGUGAUAAAUGUUGAAACACGUGUCACUUAGGUGACAUUAACACUAAUAUUUUUUUUUUUAAAAUCACAUGGGGUAGAUACGUUAUUUCACCAAAGGCCAAUCAAUUUUGUUAAAGUUAAUGGAAAAGUUAAAGAUUUGUCACAUAUUUUCCCUUUUUGAUAGUUGUCCAAAAAGAAAAAAAAAGUCAUAAACGAAUCGAAUGCAAUCUACCCAUUUAAAAUUCGUUUAUUAUUUAUUUAAUUAAAUUACUUAUUAAUCUUUAAUAAAUAUGAAAAAAAUUUAAAGUUUGAAGGUUAAUCUAGUAAUUAUAAAUGAUAAUAAGUUUGUAUUUUGGAAGAGGAUUAAUGACACCUGGAUGAUAUGGGUGGAUAUGGGUUGGGUUGGGUUGGAUAGGGUUUAUCAAGACCAAACCCAACCCAUUAUUAAAUGGGUUGAAAUAAAAUCAAUCUGAUCCAAUUAAAUAAACAUGUUUAACUCAACCCUUAGAUAAUCGGAUUGGGUUUGAUUGAUUGGGUUGAUGAUUUGAAGUUCAAAUCAAAAUUAAAAAUUAAAUAAAGAAAAUAUAUGAAACUUGAAAUAAAAUUUAUUGAAAUCAAAUAUAAAUAUAUUAUAACAUGAAAAUUGUAUUCACGGUAUGGUAUUUGACAAAAAAAAAAACUGAAAAACCAACUACAUUAAAAUCAAGAAAAUUUCAAUAAUGAGCUUCUAAACUUUAUUAUCGGCUUCCCACAUCUCUUUUUUGAAUUCCAAAUUCAGACCUUUUAGAUAAUUAGCUAGUAUCACAUCCUGCAAUAAAAUGAAAUUGAUUUAUAAUUAUGUACUGCUAACUUGUUAAUUAUUUACUAAAAAAUAAAGAGAAAUAGAAACUAACUUACUUUCAAAAUUAAAUUUAUAAGAUAAUAAAUUUACCAGCAAUUAUAUGCUACUACAUCAAUCAAUAGCCACAGGCUUAGCUGGAAUAAUUACCAACUCUAAAACAAAUAUAUAUUAGUGAAAAAUUAGUUUAAGAAACAAUAAAUAAACAAGACAAAAAAUAUACAAUACACACACACAUAAAAAAUAUAUUACUUAUUUCAAGUGAUUCAUAAAAUUAUUUCUCCUCCAUUGAUGGCUCACUAUCUAAUGCAACUAGUGAAUAUCGUAACCAAUUUUGUGAGCAUAUUAAAGCUUUUAUUGUUUUUUGAUAUAAUGAACUUCAAAAUAGAUAAAGAAUACGCCCUCUAGCACCAAAUGCAGACUUAAAAGCUACUGUUGAUACUGGAAUUGCAAACACAUCUCUUGCAACAUGUGAUAAAAUUUGAUAUUUCGAAGAAUUAACUUUCCACCAUUCUAAAAUAUCAAAUUUAGUAUCACAUGGAUCUUCAUUGGGCUCCAACAUAUGCCUAUAUACCUUUUUUUUAUUAUUAUUAAAACGUGUACCUUCUCUUUCAUUUUCUUCAACUUCAAUAGCAUUGCUGUGUGAAAAUCCUUAUCACCAUUUUCCUUUUCCACAUCAACCACAUUAACCAAAGGUGCAUCAUUAGAAACUUGGUUAUUGGCAAUUAUGUGACUAUCUCUAAGGUAGAAUUCAUAAAGGCGUGACAUAAGCCCUUUGAUUCCUUUUGCCACCUCUUCUACUUUUGUUUCACCAUACAUUUCACCAAUAAAAAAUGUAACAUAAUCCAAUUUAUACCUUGGAUCAAGAAUAAUUGCAAAAACCAGCAAUGUGUUAACGUUUUCAAUUGUGCCCGAAUACUUAUCAUACUUCUUUUUUCAUAUUAGCAGUCAUACUACCCAAUAAAAAGUCUUCACUUUCAGCCAAAGAUGUCAACUCAUAUUGAAUUAAAUAUAAGUCAUGAAAGUACAUGUGAGAAGUAACAGAUAAAGAAGCCCUAAAUUUUAAAGUAACUUUAUAAAAAGACUCCAAAAUUUCACAAAUACUUCAACAUUAGCCCAGUCCAUAUCCUUUGCCGGAUCCUUCUUCUUUUUUUCCACUGUCACCUUCUGAAAAAUAUAUCAUAUAAGGUUCAUCAUCGUCUACCAACCUAUCAAAAGUUUUUUGAAAUUUUAAAGCACUUGUUAACAUCAGGUAAGUAGAGCUCCACCAGGCACAUCUAAUGUCGCUAUACUUUUACUUUCAACUUUUUUCAUGCUCACAACAUUUCUUAAAUUUUUGUAACCAUGAGGUUGAAGAUCUUACAUAUCACACGACUUUGCGAAUGCCAGCAAUUGAAUCAUGCAUGUCUUUCGUCCCAUCAGCUAUAAUUAAGUUAACAAUAUGAGCACAACAUCUUAUGUGUAUAAAUUCCCCAUCUAACACUAGGCAAUCAUUAUUCCAAUUUUGUUAGUCUCUUUUUAACAUAAUUUAUAGUCACAUCAUUUGAAGUUGCAUUAUAAACCGUGAUUGUAAAGAUUCUCUCAAUACCCCACUCUAGUAAACAACUCUCAAUCAACUUCCCUAUUGUCUCUCCUUUAUGGUUGGGCAUUGUAGAAAAACUCAAUAUUCCCUUGUGUAACUUCCAUUCAUAAUCUCAAUAAAAUGGGCAGUGAUUGCCAUAUAAUUAAUACUUUGAAUAGAAGUCCAACAAUCAGUGGUUAUACAAACUCUUUGGGCAUUUUCAAUAAUUUAAUUUCUCAUCUAAGUAAAGCUGAUAAAUAUCCAUGGCAAUUGUUCUUCUGAAAGGAGGAGUAAAUUUCAGACAAGCAACCCUACAAAAAUAUCAAAACCCUUCCUUCUCAACAGAGCUAAAAGACAUCUCAUCAAGAAUUACCAUCCUAGCUCAUACCUUUCUACAUUCUUCCUUACUAAAUCCCACAGAUACUAGACUACCAGGAGCACAUAUAUAGGUAAUUUUUGCAUUCACCAAAACCUUUUGCUUUUUAUCCUCUCCUGCCACAAUAUUAUUAUAUUUUGGACAUCUAAAUUUCAAAUGAUUCAACAUAUUUUUAGUCCCAAAACCUGAUUCACAAGAACAAUCUUUUUCACAAUAAUUACGCUUACAUUUAUUACCUCCGUCAUACUUGGUAAAAUGUUCCCACACAUUUGAUGGUGAUCUCGUAAGUUUUCGCUUUUUACGCUCGACAUUAGGAUUUUCAGUUACAGGAACAUUAACAUCAUUCACUUGCAAAGUUGAAUUGUGAUCCAUUUAUCAAAAACAAUAACAAUGAAUGAAUAAAUAUUGAUAACAGUAAAACAAUCUAUAUUUAAAUAAAGAAUCAUUUUUAUAAUGUUUUCAUGACUUGUCUUCUUAUGGCUGUGAGUUCCAACUUCUAAUAUUCUAUAGUCGAAACAUGCAUGUUCAUAAAAUAAAAAAGUAUCUAGAAUAAAUAUAUAAGAGAAAAUACUUACUUGUCUGAGAAUAGAGAUUUGAGAAUUGAGAGAGCGAGUUUAGAUUUAGAAUUAGAGUUUAGAGUAGUAAAUACAAUAAUGAAAUAGUCUCUUUCAUACAAAUAAUAAAAAAGGAUAAAAAAUAGAUUAGCCAUUUGGAUCUUUAGGGUUUUGCAAUUAAAAUUAUUAUUAUUAUUAUUAUUAUUAUUAUUAUUAUUAUUAUUAUUAUUAUUAUGGGUUGGAUAGGGUUUGAUGAGUUCAUCAUAAUUAACCCAACCCAAUUAUAAAUUUGGAUUAAAAAAAUUGACCAAACAAACCCAUAAAAAGCCAAUCAACCCGUCAAAAUUUAAUUGGGUUGGGUUGGGUUGAGUCCAUUGAUUUUUCCCACCCCUACAAAUAAAUGAAUCAAAAUCCUCAAACAUGAUUCAAUUGGUUUAAUUAGCAAAUCGAAUUGAAUUUCUGCUGUACGGCCAAGGCGGAUGUAUUAUUAUUAUUAUUAUUAUUAUUAUUAUUAUUAUUAUGGGUUGGAUAGGGUUUGAUGAGUUCAUCAUAAUUAACCCAACCCAAUUAUAAAUUUGGAUUAAAAAAAUUGACCAAACAAACCCAUAAAAAGCCAAUCAACCCGUCAAAAUUUAAUUGGGUUGGGUUGGGUUGAGUCCAUUGAUUUUUCCCACCCCUACAAAUAAAUGAAUCAAAAUCCUCAAACAUGAUUCAAUUGGUUUAAUUAGCAAAUCGAAUUGAAUUUAGCUAUUUAUUAAACGAAUCAAUUUUUUGAAACCCAAACCCAUUUAAUUCAUUUUGAAUUGAAUCGAAUAAAUGAAUACUGACCCAAAUUACCAUCCCUAAUAUCCUUAAAUUAAAAUCUAGAUAAAAUAAGCAGGCCAUUGCAUAUAAUAACAAUAUUAAACUAGACAAAAAAAUUUAGAGAAAUGAUAGACUUAUAAAUUAUUGUACAAAUUUAUGUGGUAUAAUUCAAUUUUUUUUAGAUAAAAUAGCUCUUGGCAUAUAAUUUCUUUUUGUAUUUUUAUCCAGUCAAUAAAUUUAUAUUACAUUAAUUUAUACAAGAAUUUAUAAUUCUAUUAUCACUCGAAAAAUUAAUACAUAUAAAAAUAAGGUAAGAACAAGUCUAGUUUACACUGUUAAUUGAAAAAUACAUAAAAAAAGAUUAAUUCUACCCAAUUUUAAAUUAUUUGUUAUGUUGGCGCUCCAAUUUUUUAUUAAUAUUUUGUAAUUUAUGUAAAAAGUAGACCAAUGGUAACCUUUUGUUUAUCUUGUAAAAAAAAUUGUGUGGUUAUCUUCACUCUAAAAUUUAUCAUGAGGUGAGAAUAUUUGAACUCACUAAAUUUCUCUCUAUAUCCACCUAAAUAAAUAAAUAAAUAUGUAUGUAUGUAUGUAUGUAUGUAUGUAUGUAUGUAUGUAUAAACAUAUAUAUUAGAAUUUUCAAAAUUUUAAAGUUACCAUUCACUCAUUUUCUCUCUUUACUUUAAGAUUUAUAUUUUAUCUCUCUAUUAUCACGUUAUACAUCUUGAAAUUUCAGUUUUAUUCUUUUGGCCAUUGAUUAUUUCUUUCUUAAGUAAAUCAAACUCCAUUUCUUUCUUCUUAUUACCAUUCUUUUCUUUUUCUUCAUCUUAGAUUUGUUGUUUCAAGGACAAUUAUGAAACCCAAAUAAACUUUUAUAAUUUCUAGGACUUGUAAAAACUUAUUGAUAUUCUUUCUUUAUUGUAGGUUUAUUAAGUAAUUUUAUAAAAAAAAUUGUUAUGAAAAUAAAAAUUUAUUUAAUACAAGGAUUAUAAAGAAAAUUAGUGGGUUCAAAUAGUUUCAUCCUUUAUCAUGAGCACCUAAAUUUUUAUAGUUUUUUUAUUACAAAAAUAUCCUCAAUGGAAUUUAUUAUUUAGACAAUUUAAUUUAAGCAUAACUGCUGUUGCUCAUUAUAAGACUUAGCACACCCAUCCUAUCCAAUUAUCAAACUCAUUUUCAAGCACAGAAGAAACAAUUUCAAGUCCAAAUGCAUCCAUUUGAUGCAGGUUCAACUCAAGGGUUUGGAAUGCUCUCCGUUCUGGGGAAAUGGACUUGAACUUGAAAUUGCAUCUUCUGUGCUUGAAAAUUAAUGCUGGUUUACUUUGCUGCAGCUGUUGAAUUUUUCUAAAUUUGUAACAUUAUCAAACUGUUGAUUUUCAAACUUAGUAAAUCAUCAGAGAAUAAUAAUGUUUACAUUUGAUGAUUUUCUUUUAAUACUUGUUUACUAUUCUUAUUACAUGGUCGUUGACUAUCAAAUUGGGGAUUUUGGCACCACUACUAAUGAUAAAGGACUUCAUGAACAGGAGAAACAGCCGUGUUUUUUGUAGCUUGAUAUUUAAACAGCAGGAACAAACCAGAACCAUAUCAAUUCUGCAUAUGGUCAUUCUAAUCUUUAUGUUAUUUUCUUGGCAUUAAAAUAUUAUUUUUUAUUGUAUAUUGUAUAAAAAUAAAAGAUAAUGUUAGGAUUCUCAAUAUUUAAGUACAAAUUACAAACCAUUCAAAAUAAAUAAAGGGUUCCAACUUCAAGUAAAAAAACCUAGAUCCUUGACCCUUGUUGAAUAAUAUAUGAGUUAAAAAGACCCAAGAAUUCCCAACGUCAUAAGACCAAAGUGUAUACGCAAGGGCCUUAAUUUCAACUUUAGUAUUUUACAAUUAAGUAAAAAAGAAAGCAUUCUCCUUUCAUAUUUGUUCUUUUUUUUUUUUAUAUACUAAUAUAUUAUAAGAACAAUUCUACUAAUAUUUACAGUUAAAAAUCUAUUUUCUAUCCUCAUAUUAUAGCGAAGGAAUAUCUAUUAUGGCAUAAUUUAAAUUUCUACCCUCACAUAACAAAGAGAUAUUUAUUUUAUUAUUAAAUUUCGACCCUCACAUUAUAUCGAAGAAAUAUUUACUCUAUCCAGUAUUAUAAAAAAAUAAUUUCACCUUAUCUAUUUUUAUUGAGAGGAAAAUUAAGUUCUAACUAUUAUUCGGACUCAAACCUAUGCACCACCGUUAAAGUACACUCAAACCGUAAGUGCAUGGUCGUGGGAAUGGGCUCGCAGCCCAUUGGCCUUUUAUAUUUUGUUCUUUUCAACCUGAAAAAAUAAAUUAAUUAAUUGAAACCUCACCGUUUGUCUUUGAACCUUCGACUGGAGAGGCCGCCUGCAAUUUCUCGACUUCCCACUAAACUCAAAAGCCUCAACUCACUCAACUCACUAUUAUCACAUACCAGAUCUAGGGUUUUGCUCUUAUCGUGAGUUAUAGAAAUGGCUAUUUCAUCACAAACGCUUGAUAUUCUAGGUGAACGCCAAGCCGGCCAAGAUGUUCGCACUCAAAACGGUACUCGCCUUCUCUCACUCUAAAAAUUUGUUCGCAUAUCAUUCAUUUUCUUUCAAGUUUUGACUGAAGAUUGUUUUGUUUCGUUUAUAUGUGUGUAUAUAGUGAUGGCGUGUCAAGCAGUUGCUAACAUUGUUAAAUCCUCGCUCGGUCCUGUUGGACUCGACAAGGUAUUUUUCAUUUCUGUUAAUACUGCAAAAGGUGCAAUUUGAAUAGCUUAGUUGAGUUAUUGAGUGUGUGUAUUUCAUUAAAAGCUUUUUUUUUGUGGAUUAAUUGCAGAUGCUUGUUGAUGAUAUUGGUGAUGUAACAAUAACUAAUGACGGUGCUACAAUUCUGAAGAUGUUAGAAGUUGAGCAUCCGGCUGCCAAGGUAGGAUAUAAUAGUUACUUUUUUUCUCAUUGUAUACUAUAUGUUUGCUAUGAUUCUUAUUUAUUCACAGUUCCUUAUGUUUGAUUUUUCUUUUCUGAGGUGACAGGUACUUGUGGAGUUGGCUGAGCUUCAAGAUAGGGAAGUUGGAGAUGGAACUACAUCAGUGGUUAUUGUCGCUGCGGAGUUGCUGAAGGUAAUUGAAGCUAGUGUUUUGCUAGAUGAUAUGCUGAUACUUUUGUCUUCAUUCUCAGCUUUAAACUCUUACGGAUUAGUAGGAAAUUUUUUAUAUGGGAGUAUGCGGACUUGGUGGUAAUUUAUGAUUUUAUCAUACUUUUUGCAGAGGGCUAAUGAUCUGGUUCGGAAUAAGAUUCACCCAACAUCUAUUAUCAGUGGAUACAGAGUGAGUUACUCUUGUUUAACUCGUUCGUUUCAUUAUAGAUUUAUCCUCCAUAUUUUCUCAUUUUUUGAUCAUAUGGAUAGCUUGCAAUGAGGGAAGCAUGCAAGUAUGUUGACGAAAAGUUGGCAGUGAAGGUAAGUCUCCGGUAUUCAAUCUAUAUGUCUGAUAAGCAGUAAAUCAUUGAUUUAAUUUUUUAUUUUUAUAAUUAAGCAUUCUGGUAUUUGUUUCAUUGGUUAGCGUCUUUCAUGGUUUCUUUUUUACAGGUGGAAAAGCUUGGAAAAGAUUCUUUGGUAAAUUGUGCCAAGACAAGCAUGUCCUCGAAGUUGAUUGGUGGUGACAGCGACUUCUUUGCUAAUUUGGUAUGCUCUUGUCGCAAAAAUAUAGAUUUUCAUUGAAACAUAUUCAUAUUCCUUCAUGCCUUGUUAUAAGUUAAUCCCACUUGUCACUGAGCCGUAUUUUGAUGCUCCAGGACAAUAUUUUAUUACUGCUACAUCUAUCUUUAUCUUAUCAUAUCCAAAAAUGAAAGAAGGGGAAAAAAAAACGUUAAUCUGUAUUAUGUAUCAUGUAUUUCAAUUGUAAUUAAUGUUUUGAUCUCUUUCUAGGUUGUAGAAGCAGUUCAAGCAGUAAAGAUGACUAAUCAACGAGGUGAAGUCAAGUACCCAAUCAAGGUUGGUAUUUUAUGAUUGUUCAAUAUAUUACCCGUAUGUCGAUCCUAUUAUGGGAUUGAAAGAUGUUUUAUGUUUCUUUUCUUGGAGUUUCAUUUUCCAACAUGUAAAGUACUUCUUUAUUUAUUUAUCUUUUUGGUGCUGCUUUUGUUUGCAAAAGUUGCAAUACUAAUAGUUACUUUCUGCACAUUCCAGGGGAUCAAUAUUUUGAAAGCUCAUGGCAAAAGUGCCAGAGAUAGCUACUUUCUAAAUGGGUAUGCUCUUAACGCUUUUCGUGCUGCUCAAGGAAUGCCUCUUAGAGUUGCCCCUGCAAAGAUUGCCUGUCUUGACUUUAAUCUCCAGAAGACAAAAAUGCAAUUGGGUGUCCAAGUCUUAGUCACCGAUCCGAGGGAACUUGAGAAAAUUCGUCAAAGGUGAUCUGACAGUGGGUUGUAAUUUACAACAUGGAUUUUAUUAUGCUGUUCACUCUUUUAAAACAUUCUAUAUCUGAUUGCAGCCAGUUUGAUUGGUUUUGCCCUGUAUAUUUAGAUAUGGGAGCAUGCAUGGUGAUAGUGUGGUCGUAUCUCUCCCUUUUUGAACCUAUUAAUUAUAGAAUGGAAGAUUGUGUUAUCAGAUUAAAAAGAAACAACUAUGAACUUAUGGCUGGACUAUGAAUUGUGUUAUCAGAUUAAAAAGAAACAACUAUGAACUUAUAGCUGGACUAUGACCGAAGAAAAAUUGAAGGUCUUUGUGUCUUUGAACUGCAAAUAGCUUGGAUGAUUCAGUCACUUUAGUUAUUGAUUCCUUUGUUUGUGAAUACUGCAUCUUCUCUUCAAGCAGCAGUUGGGUUAUAGCUUCAGUUGUUUUGUUCUAUUUUCCUUUCUUUAAUGGACACUUAAUUUAUGUUAAUCACUUAAUCGGUCUCUGAUGAUACCACUGCUUUCACAGAGAAGCUGAUAUGACGAAGGAACGUAUUGAGAAACUUCUGAAAGCUGGAGCCAAUGUUAUUCUGACAACAAAAGGCAUCGAUGACAUGGCACUGAAGGCAAGCCGUUUAUAUUUUUCCCCUUUUGUUUAGUGCCUGCUUAGCCAUGUGACAAUAUUGUGUUAUAUACUCUGCAUUUACAAAUAUCAUGCCUCUAGCUUUAUGGUGUUUUGUCCAAAAAUAUUUCCAAAUGAACUGUUUCUAUGCAAAAUCAAUAAUAUUUUGGGAAAUGUGAUAACCAUGUAAAAUUAGUGAUUCUGCAACAGUGUGCUCAGGAUGGCCUCGUCCCAUGCUUAGCCGGCUGUACUUGUGUGCCUUGUUUUUAUUUCUAGUUUACCUUGUACCAUGUGUGUGAGCCUGGCUUUGUCAUAUGUAUAACAUGCUUUUUUUGUUUGGUUCUCAGUACUUUGUGGAGGCUGGGGCUAUUGCUGUUAGACGUGUUCGGAAGGAGGAUAUGCGACACAUUGCCAAGGCAACUGGUGCAACUAUGGUAUUUUUUUAAACAAGCUCAGUCAUAUCACUGACUUCCAUAACUACUCUAAUCUGCUUUUGACCUCACUAAAUGCUUGUGCUAUCAUUGAGGAAAUGAGCUUAAAGGUUUAUGAUUGAACAAUUCUUAUGUUUUGACUUCUGUAUAGACUCUUCCUGAGCGCUCAGAGUUUAACCUGUUUUUGUUGGAGAAAUGGCCAAAUUGUUUCUGUUAUACUAAAUAACUUGAGUUAAUCCACAUUUGGUCUUCCAUUUUAUGUAUUGGAACCUACAGGACUUUACUCUGCUAACUAAUGAGUGCUAAGGGUAUUUUGCAUGUUGAAGAACCAACCUACCAGACUUGAAGUUGAGAUCCUAUUUUCAAGUCAUUUGUGUGGUUGACAUUAGUAUUUUGCAUGUUGAAGAACCAACCUACCAGACUUGGAGUUGAGAUCCUAUUUUCAUGUCAUUUGUGUGGUUGACAUUAGCAUUUUCCUUCAUAGAUGAAUUGAUAUUCUAUUGAGCAUGUUGUUAAUUGGUUGUCAAUUUGUCAGGUUUCAACAUUCGCUGACAUGGAAGGGGAGGAAACAUUUGAUUCGUCACUUCUUGGAUCUGCUGAUGAAGUGGUAGAAGAGCGUGUUGCCGAUGAUGAUGUGAUUAUGAUAAAGGGGACUAAAACUACAAGUGCGGUAUGUGGUUUAAUUUAAUUCGCAUUUAUAAAUUUGGUGACUGCUCAACUUUAAAACCUUUUAUAUCUUUCGGACAUGACUCAUUUUGGGUAAAGUUCCCAGUACAUCAUUUUAGGUAAAGUUCCUAGUAUCAUUUUGAGGUUUCUAUUCAUCUGGAGUGGUAAUCAAGCCUAAGCCUUCAACUCCACCCAACUGCUUUACCAACAGAGUUAAAAGGCAGGGUAGCAACAUUUUCUGUGUUUUUUAUUUGGCCAAUGCAAAAUAAGAAGACAGUUUAUCAAGUUUGAAUUUAAUAUAUAGCAUAUUGGAUUAAUUAUUGAUAAAUGCUUAUUAUUUUGAUUGGUGAAGCCUUUUUUUUUUUUUUUUGGGGGGGGCCUCCCUGUCUUGUUUUUCUCUAGGUUUCCUUGAUACUUAGAGGAGCAAAUGACUAUAUGCUUGAUGAGAUGGAGAGAGCCCUGCAUGAUGCUAUAUGUACUGUCAAGAGGACCCUUGAAUCCAACACGGUAAACUUCAGCACUUUCAGAUUAUAUUCUUCUAUUUACUUUCUGAGUUUUAAAUUGAUACAUUUAAAAUUUAGACUUUUUUCUUCAUGUUUUUUCCAAGUUUAGAUAAUGGAAUAGGAAUAUCUGGUGGAAUGAUAUUGAUUAGGACAUGAGAAACCUAUUAUAGAUAAGAGUAUUGGUUUUUAUGGGCCUUUGCCAUUCAAAGUGUGGGAAAUAUACAUAAAAUGAGCUCCAAAUAUGGAAAUGAUUUGAAUCUGUUUGGCUUCCAAAAUUGGGCAUUGAAUACAGGGAGUACUUAUUGUUAUUCUUGUAUUAACUCUUCUUUGUUCAUUGUUGUAUUGGUAAUGCAGGUGGUGGCAGGUGGAGGUGCAGUUGAGUCUGCCUUGUCUGUCUAUUUGGAAUACCUAGCUACAACGCUAGGAUCCCGAGAGCAGUUGGCACUUGCUGAGUUUGCUGAAUCUUUAUUAAUCAUACCAAAGGUCUAAUAUGAGCUUUGGAGGCUCAAUGCACGAACUUUAAUGUCUUAUUUCCACUUGUCUUAUUAUGUUGAGAUAGUUUUAAUGCUUCUAUGCUGCUGCAGGUGCUUGCUGUAAAUGCUGCUAAGGAUGCGACUGAGUUGGUUGCAAAACUACGGGCCUACCACCAUGCUGCACAAACGAAGGCUGAUAAAAAACACUUGUCUAGGUAUUCUGCUUUAUGGAUUAUGGUUCAUCCUCAACCAAUAGCAUACCUGAUUGUGUUUCUAUUCUCUAUUGUGUAUUUGAUUUUGCUUUGUCAAAUUGAUGUAGCAUGGGACUGGAUCUUGCAAAGGGGACCAUUCGUAACAACUUGGAAGCUGGAGUCAUAGAGCCUGCAAUGAGCAAAGUGAAAAUUAUUCAGGUAAUGAUCAUGAAACACAUGAAUGCUUUAGUUUAUGGUGAAGUUUAUCUUCACAUUUUCCCCUGAUUUUGUUUUGUUUCUUAAAAUCUGGUCAACAGUUUGCAACGGAAGCAGCAAUCACAAUUCUUCGUAUUGAUGAUAUGAUCAAGCUUAUGAAAGAUGAAAGUCAGAAUGAAGAGUAGGAUCAGUUUGUCUGAAUUUAAAAUUGCACUAUUUUUGGAUUUCGGGCUGUUUUUGGAUGAAUUGUAAAGGGCUUAUAGUUUACAUUGUGCCGAUUCAGUCCUACCAGAACUAAUUUUGUUCACUGAUUGUGGCCCUUGUAAUUUUCCUGUGAUAGAAUUUUGGCACUUACGAUUCAAAAAAUUUCUCCAUAUGCAAAACUCUCUCCCGAGAGCUUGAUGUAGGAAGCAAAAUCUCGAGCUUGCCCCCAAAAAUUUAAGACCUUAUCAAGAGGCUGGUAGUUGCAAGAACUGAUGCUUUUUAUUAUUUUCCCUUUGGUGUAAAGGUUGUUUGGUUACGUUUUUUAUUCGGUUUAAUUGGACAUUUUAAUAGCCUUUUUACAUUACAACGAUAUGGAAUUGAAUUGUCCAUCUGUGAAUUUUUUCUAGACAAAUAAAAAUUUUCAAGAACGCACGUUUACCAACCAUCCGUUGUAGUCUAGUCGGUUAGGAUAUUCGGCUCUCACCCGAAAGACCCGGGUUCGAUUCCCGGCAACGGAAAUUUUUUUUUUCUCUUUUUCUAUUAUUUGAAGUUUUAAAGCUCGAAUCGGGUUUGUCAGAAAUUUUGCUACUUGUAAGACAUAUUCGUCUAGUUUUAUUACUAUUUUAAUCCAUCAAUUACUAACAUAAUGCGAGUAUAUGUCUGGUUUUUUAUUACAUUUGGUUCACUCAUAAAAAAAAAGUCAAAUGUAGCCAUUUUUUUAAGGUAAUUUCUGACCAACCUUAAUUAAAUUAAUUCCGUAAAAUAAUAUGUCAAAUUUAUGUCUAAACUUAGACAGAUAUGCUCAUCAUGUGUCAAUUAGAUUUUCAAGUCUUUAAACUUAUUAUCGAAGUACUUAUCAAACAACGUAUGUAUUUGAAUUUUUUGGUAUGACAUCUCAAUCACUGAAAAGCUUCGUAACUAGGCACCAUUCUCUAAUCAAUAAACAUAUCAAAUGCUCUUCAAUAUGAAAACAAAGCUAAUCUUCAUUGAUUUCUUCACGUGCCACUUGCUUAAGCAAUAAGUUGUGGAUUAUAACACUACUGAAUGCAUAACUCUUCAAAUUGAUAAAAUGCCUGAAAAUAUAAUUCUUAAAUAACAAUAAUUGUUUUCGCGUUAACUUACUCCAGAUAGUUUUGAGGACAUUUUUAAAUUUUGAUGUCUCUGCAAUAUAGCCCAGGAAAUGAUCAUCAAAGCCUAACUUCAUCAUGCACAUAUCGUUCCUCAGUGCCAGUCAAUUACACUUUGCCAAAUUAUUUUUCGCAAUGUAUCUAUAACAAAAUCCAAAAUUUGUUUGUUAUUAAAAUUUAUAAAAUAAUAAUAAUAAAUUAAUAAAUUAAUAAAAAUUAUGAAAAAAAUACAAGAAAUCUGUUUUUGUGCUCGGUGCUACCCAUCGCAUAAAAACACAAUUGUAUGACAGAAUAUCCGUGCGAUGGCCAGCACUCAUGGCACCCAAAAGUCUUGCAAUGGCCAGCCCAUUGCACACUCUCAAGUCUCAAACAACCACCACCACCACAUUAUGCUCAAACAACUACCAACAUUACUCUCAAAUUUCAUUCUUAACUAAUGAAAUAGAGCAUAAAGAAAAUAGCUAAUCUUGGUUCUUCUCACUGCAUAAUUGAUGUUAGUGAUUUUUGCCACCAUUGACUCUAAUUUCAGUGAUUUGCUGAGAGGGACUUGGGUGACAAGAACGAUUUUGGUGAGAGAUUUGACAGGAAGCCACCAAUGACGGGUGGAUUACAUUGCAUUGAGAGAGAAUUCAGUGAGAAGAACAAUUUCGGCUGAUGGUUUGAUAGGAGUAUUUUGGACUAAUUAUAAUAGAAAAAAAAUUAGGGGAGUCAAAUUUGAAAAACACUAAAAUUUUGUGAUUAUUUUAGUAAAUUUCCCGAGAUUUUCGGGGACCUCUCAAAAUAAAGCUAAAUUUUUAAUAAGAAAUUAUGUUGAGAGGCCUACUGAACUCCAGUCCAUCAGUGACAAAAUUUAAUGUUGCACUUAGAAAUUUAUAAUAGUUGCCACCCAGGCUAUAGUAGUAGGUGGGUGCCUUCAACAAUGUUAAUGACAUUAUUUUAAGUCCCUUUGUUGGUGAGCUUAAUACAAAAUUUCCUCUUAAAAUAUGAGUUUGAAAAAUAAUUUUUCUUGAAUAAUAAUGGACAUAGAUAAAUCCCUCAUAAGUAACGGUAGAUCAUAUUUCUAAUGAUAGUAAAUUUUUAAAUCAUAGUUAGUAGAUUGAUUAUAAAAUUUGUAGUAACAAAUUAAAAAAAAAAUAAAAGUUAUAAUUGAUGGAAUAGACCCAUCAAUAUGGAUAACUCAAAUCCACAUUAUCAGAGGAAAAUAGUAAUUCACCUAACUUAAUGCAUAAAUUAAAUCACUUGGGCUUAACCCAAGUGGCUAGAGCCACUCCCUCACAAAUAUGAGGGAAGUGGUUCGAGUCCCCGCAGACGCCUUGCAGGGAUUUAAUUUAAAUUUUCUUCCUUAGAGCCUCAGAGCUUGAGUGAAGACAGUUUUUCUCUCACAAUGAGAGUUGGGCGUCCCUCGAAUAUUUGAGAGGGUUAAAAACUCUGAACGGUGCCAUAUCAGAGUUGAUGUAAACUGAUCUCAGUAAUUUGUAUGGUAUAAAUAUCAUUAGCAAUAGUUCUCCUAAAAAAAAAUGCAUAAGUUGAUGUGAAUUUAUUAAAUAUGGUCGGUGUAAGUAUACAAAAAACUGAUCAGUAUAGGGUCAUAUUAUUCUAGCUAUUUUGUGUGAAUCAUUUCUAUUUUAGAGUUAUCUUUACUUGAAUCAAUCGUUGCUUCUUCUUUCCCCUUAUGCAGCAGCUCUCCCCACUUAAAUUUUGACUUGAUCAAACUUUGAAACCAAUUAAAUUAAAGGAACUUCGAUUAGAUUGUUCAACUUUAUUCCACAUGUAUAUAAAUAUUAAUCAAAAUUAAGAAUGAGAAACCCAUCAUCUUCAUCGUCUUCUGACGGUACAAAGAAGAUUACGCCAUGUUGUAGCAAAGUGGGUAUCAAGAAAGGGCCAUGGACUCCGGAGGAAGAUGAAAUCUUAUCAAAUUACAUCAAGAGAGAAGGCGAAGGCUAGUGGCGUACCCUGCCGAAGCGUGCAGGGCUGCUUCGUUGCGGCAAGAGCUGCCGUCUCAGGUGGAUGAACUAUCUCCGUCCAUCUAUAAAGCGCGGCCACAUCGCUCCCGACGAAGAGGAUCUCAUUCUUCGCCUUCACCGCUUGCUUGGUAACAGGUACUAUAUAGACUGUUGCUCUAACAAUUUUAGGGUUUUCUGUUAAUGGUGAUAAUUAAUUAAUCUUUGUGGUUAUGGUCUCUAGCUCACUCUCUUAAUUAAUUAGGUGGUCUCUGAUAGCUGGAAGAAUCCCAGGAAGGACGGAUAAUGGGAUCAAGAAUUAUUGGAAUACAUGUCUUAGAAAGAAGCUCAUUAGUCAAGGGAUUGAUCCAACAACCCACAAGCCAUUAAUAUUUAACCAAGUAGUACUUCAUGAUCAACUUGCAUCAUCAUCAUCAACUUCAAACCCUAAUACUCCUUCUUUAGAGAUCAUGGAAGAAGCUGGUGUCAGAAGUACUCACCAAGCAGCAGCAGCAAAUUUCACGACUAAUUAUAAUAUCCCAAUUGAUGGUGGGUUCAUGAUGGGGUCAUUAUUACCAAGUAGUCAUGGUCAUGGAUACAACUGCAUUGAAGAUUAUAUCGACAACUGUGACGCGGAUACAUUCUCUUCAUUUCUCGAUUCUCUGGUUAACGAUGACGAUUUCAUGAAUCAUAUCAAUGAACAGCAGCAGCAGUCAAGCACUUCCAGCUACAAUAAUAUUGGCACCAUUGAUUGGGAAUUCGCUGAUGUCCUAUCCAAAAAGGUGGGUUCAGAUGAUCAACAUGGUGCUGCAGCCAGCUUGAAUGAUCAACUUUGAGUAGUGAAGCUACAAAUGACUGCACAACAAGAUUAAAUAUUAGUUAUAUUUUGGCUUGAUUAUAUAUAAUUUUAUGUUUGUGAUAAUAUUGUUUGUUUUUCUACUAGUUUUUUCGCUUACUUUAAUUUCCCUUGUUGUUGUGUUCAUAUAGCAAUUUUCUUGUGAAAACCCUUUACGUUUGUAUUAUUAAUUGUUUCAAUAUUAUUACGUAAUGCUUGUGAACAUAUGCAUAUAUGAAUAUGCUCAUAGUUUUUUUCUCUCUCUUUUGAACUCAUACAAAGAAAAUUAGGCUAAAGAUGAAGAGAUGAUGAAUCACAUUAAUUAAUCUUUCAUUUUAUGAUGUAUGAGUGAACUUUCUGCUCUUUGUUAGCAGUAUAUUGGUGGAUCAUAUACAUUAAUAUUUCGUUAUUGUUUCUCAAUUAUAAGACUCAAUUCGAAAAUUCCAUUUCUUCUAUAUUUUAUAUAGAUGCAUGUGUUUAGUUAUACUGCUUUCAUUUUACUUCUUUCAUCACAGUUUAUGUGUGCAGAUUGUUUCAUUGGCAAGGGUUUCUUUAGUUUCAAUCCGUUUUAAUUAUUUUCUUUUCAUCCUUGAUUUCUUAAUUUAUACUAGAUAUCGAGAAGUUGACGAAAACUCAGACAAAACUACAUGCAUGUACUUGCUUUAUUUUUUGUAAUUCAUUUAUGCAAUUAGCUUAGCUAUUAUUUUAGUGUAAUUUAAUUCACAAUCGGGCUAUUAUUAGUCUAAAUGUACCCAACUAAUGUUAAGAUAUGCGGAUAUACUGAAUCUUUUUCACUUCUUCUCUUCAUGUUUAUGUUAACAAUUUAACAUACAUAUAUGGCAAAAUUUAAUUCUCUCUUCAUUAUCAUCUUUAUUUAUGAUCGAUCUCUCUCUUUCUCAUAAUCUGCAGGUCUCAUCUUUAUAAGACAUUAUAUCUUUUGCAUGCUAUGUUUCCAUUUUACUUCUCAUAUAUAGUCAAAUAAUUAAUAUAGCAUAGAACAACACAAUUUGUAGCCUUAUAUUAACAAACAACUGAACAAUGAUUUUUACAAAAUUGACUAUAAAGUAAAUACCAAUUAAGUUUUAAUUAGGUUUGGUGUGUCCACACACACACACAUGUAUAACUAUUACUCACCACAUGAUAUUUAAUUCCUUGGAGAAGCUAUAAGAAUGGGAGAUGAUUGAUAAAACAUACAUGUGUGUGAGAGGUAAGUACAUAUUUGUAAGUUGGUGGAUGGCAUGCUCAUUUGACCAAUAUUGUACAUAUUUGUAAGUUGGUGGAUGGCAUGCCCAUUUGACCAAUACUGAUGGGAUGGGGUUGUGUAUAAUUUUGUCAUCUAAUAAUGUCCCAAACUCUUUUUGAUAAUCACCAAUGGCAACGUUACACUCCCUUUCACUAAUAUGAGCAGAGUUUAAAUCUUGAACUUCUUAUAUCACCCUUAAGAGAUGUUACCAAUACCUCCUGGAUCAUCCUUAAGAGAUAUUACUAAACAAACUAAUUAGCACCGAUAUAUGAAAGUAAUUUAUUAAAAGGGAGAUACAACAGAUGUGCACAAUAUUCACACAUAUGCAACUCACAUAAAAUUUAAGAUAAAUUAGAUAUGUAAUUAUGAUAGCAUAUAAUCGCGGUCUAAAUACAAAAUGAUUAAUAAUUUAAUUUAUAUGAUUUAAGAAAAUGGUUAACCUCUUCUGUAAGCAACGUACUCUUGGUAAAUUUUCCCAAACGCAAGGACCAAGAGAUAGAAACCAAGGCAAGCAAUAUAAUUUUUCUUGUAAAGCCAUUUUCAAAGUUAUGACACAUUUUUUUUUUUUUUUAAUGUAACUGUUUUCCCAUUUGGUAGAAGAAACCGAAGAAGAACAAAAUUAAAAGCACCGAAGCAGAAAAAUAAUUCACUGACCUGGAAAAAUGGAAAUGCAAAACCUGGCUGGCUAGCUGAAAUGCCCUUCAUUGUUGAAGAGUGUUUAAUCACUAACUGAAGAAACAAACAAUAGAGGUAGUUCUGAUUGAAAAAAUAAUAAUAAUGAACUAAUUCAUAGAAUUAAGGAAGAAAGAAUAAAGAAUAUGGGUGGUUUGUUUUUGCCGCUGUGUGUAGGUUGUAGUUCAAGCGUGAGAGCGUUAAACGUUCUACUCUAAGGAAACACGCACGCUUCUUCUUUCACACACAUAUCAAUUAAGCGAGACCUACCCUUCUCUAACUUUCCAUUAUUAUUACUUCUGUCAGUAAGUUUCAAUUUAACUAGUAGUGAAACACACUGUUAGCUAAGUACCUAAGAAGCAGUCUGUAUGUGUCUGUAAAAUUUUGUUAUCAAAAUAUUGUGAUGAUACAAUACAAAUGAUCAAAUAGCAUGAUGACAUAUAGUUUAUAUUUUCAGCAUAUAAAUAACGUGUUACAUAGUUUUGAUUUGAGAGUAAAAAUCAAAUGACCUGUCAUUAGAAUUUUAUUAUGUAGAUGACAUAUCAGAAUCUUUUAUAAUUUAUAGUAACACAUGCAAGAUCUAUGACUAGGAGCAUAAACAGUAUUGAGUUUUCCCUUCUUGUAGUAAUCAAUUUUGAGAAGAUCGUGAAACGUAGGUACUUAACACGAAAGAAGGUAGUUCAGUCAUGCCGAUCGGAAAUAGGGACCUAUUUGGUGAAAAUGAAGUACAUAUGUCAUUUUUUAAGAUAUCUUAAAACUAUAGGGUGCCAAUGUUAUUUUGAGUCUGACUGUGACCAGCCGCCACCAUACUUGUUGGUUGCGCCACUUGUCCGCUGGAAACCCAAUUAGCGCGCUUGACUUACUCUUAAGUCGCGUGUGCGAGCGUCUGAAGUUUUGGCAUUUGUGUAGGUUGUUAAGUCAACUUAACUCAACUGAAGAAGCUGCCCUCUGUUGCCUCUGUUUCUGGAACCUCAGCAGCUCUUUUCUUGGUGUUUUUCUGUAAAUCUUUGAAGCUUCUUCAAGAUUCAAAUGGCUAAUAACUCUUCAUUGAUCCUCUAUUUCUCUCGCAACCGUGGCUUAGUCAAAACCUUCUUCUUCAUUCCCACAACAUUGGCUCUCUUAUCCACUCUCUUUAUUCUUUUUUAUAUUUCCACUACUUCCCAUCUCUUCUUCAAUCACCACCAACGCCAUCAUCAACACCAGCUCACUCCUUUUAUUCUAAAAAACAACCCCCUGCCACCACCACUCAAGUCCUCGCCAGUCCUAGUGUCACUUCUCAACGUGUCUAACAACAGCCACGGUGAUGGGAGAGUGAGGAAUCAACGGUCUGUGAAUGUUCCGAUGGAAGCUAAUGGUAUGUGAUUUUUCGGAUUUUUGUUUAUGGGUAUGCAUGCUCUAUGAAAUUGUGUGAUGAUGUUUUGAUGUAAAGCUUCUGUUUUUAGUUGUCUGGAGAUUCUGUUGGACUUGAAUUUUGAUGUCAUUUAGUGUUGUGCUUUUGGGUGUUGCUUGGUUUCCAAAUUUGUUUGAUAUUUUUUAUGGGUUAUUUGGUUGGCUGUUUUGCUAUUACCAUUGUUGUGUUAAAAAGGCAAUCAGGACAAUUGGAAGCGGUGGAUUAUCUGCAUUAUUUGAAAAUUUUUAGUGGUUCAAUUUUAUGGAUAUUUUGAGCUUUUUGUUUAAUACUUGUUGUAGUUAGGGGAGAAAAUUUUGAAUUUUUGGCUUGUACGAUUGCUUAGUUUAUUUUGUUUUAUUGUAUAGUUCUGAUACAAACAGCACGGAAACAUAAAGCGUCCUUUUUAUCUUCCUCCACUUUUGAUUCAUAGUUGCCUCAGUUACCAAUAAUUUGCUUCUGGAAACAUAAAUUUUUUUAUAAUUUGUUCAUUGUUAGAUCCAUAGCAUCGCUUUUAGAGUGGGUAGGGUGAACAGAAAGGUUGAAGAGACUUCACUAUAUGUGUAUUGAACUUUUAUUUUCUUAAUCACAGAAUCUGGAAACUUCUGGUUUUUAUGCUUCAGGAAACAGUAUGAAUAAGGAGGUGUUCCAUGACAGAGAUAUCUUUCUGGAAGACUAUAAGCAAAUGAAUAGGAGCUUUAGGGUGUAUGUUUAUCCUCAUCGUCGAAAUGAUCCUUUUGCAAAUGUACUCUUGCCUGUGGAUUUUGAACCCCGUGGUAAUUACGCUAGUGAAAGUUACUUUAAGAAGGUUUUCAUGAAGAGCCAUUUUGUCACAAAGGAUCCAUCAAAAGCAGAUCUUUUCUUCUUGCCUUUCUCCAUUGCAAGGAUGCGGCAUGAUCGUAGAAUUGGUACAGAGGGUAUUCCAGAUUUUAUCAGUCAUUACAUCUUCAAUAUUAGUCAGAAGUACCCUUAUUGGAAUCGGACUGGUGGGGCUGAUCAUUUUUAUGUUGCUUGUCAUUCCAUUGGAAGGUCUGCCAUGGAAAAAGCAUGGGAAGUGAAACUCAAUGCCAUCCAAGUUGUGUGCUCGUCAAGCUAUUUUAUAUCAGGACACAUAGCUCAUAAGGAUGUCUCUUUGCCUCAAAUUUGGCCAAGACAAGAAGAUCCCCCAAAGCUUGGCUCAUCAAAAAGGUGAACAUACUUACUCCACCCAUUUGCCACUUUCUCAUUCAAUACAUACUAUACAUACUGAAUUUCAAACAGUAAACUUUACUCCUAGAUAUACAUUCACUGGUUACAAUUUUGAGUAUCAUAUACCAGAGAUGAAUUACGUGUUCAAAAAAUUAUUAUAUAAUUUCUUCCAUUUUUUAAGAAAUGAAAAUGUGAUUAUCUUUUACCAUAUCCGUUAAUCUUGUUUCUGUUCACUCAUAUACAGAAUUGGAAGUCUUCUUGUCCGAGGCAUUUUGUAGUUUGUAUGACUUAGAAUUUAGUCUAAACUAGACUAGUUGUACAUUAGAAAACCUUGUGCUUAAUUGCAAUCUAAUUUAGCUUAUCGGUAAUGUUCCUCUACACAUCUGCAUCAGGCGAAGGGGAAAAUUUCGACUCUGUGCUUUUGGGCUAAUUUCGACUCUGUGCUUUUGGGCUAAUUUCUUCAUGCAUGAUUUUGCCAGUCUCUGCUCAUUUGGAAGUGCUAGAAGCACUCAUAAGAGCGUGAACAAACAUAAUUACAACGUAGUAUUUGAUAUAUCCCAGCUAGGUUGCUGUUGAACUUCACUGCAGCCAUUUUUUGUUCAAGAUUUGCAAUGUAUUGAGCCCUUAUAUAAUUCAUUUGAUAACUGUCCCAAAUAUUUCCUCCAAAAAACUGAUGCGAAGUUCACAUGGCUAUUUAUAUUAUGAAUAGAUUCUAAACCUUAGUCUUUGUUCUUCAGAGUUGAUUCUAAUUCUUACUCUAGUCAUGAUUUUCACUUUUGUAAUUCUACCACCAUAAAAAAUAAUGAAAUUGCAGGAACAAGCUUGCCUUUUUUGCUGGAGCUGUCAACUCCCCAGUGCGUGAGAAGCUUCUUCAAGUUUGGAGAAAUGACUCUGAGAUUUAUGCCCACUCUGGUCGGCUCAAAACACCCUAUGCUGAUGGGCUACUUGGAAGCAAGUUUUGUCUCCAUGUCAAAGGCUUUGAAGUAAACACAGCUCGUAUAGCAGAUUCACUGUAUUAUGGAUGCGUUCCUGUGAUUAUUGCAAACCACUAUGAUCUUCCAUUUGCUGACAUACUAAAUUGGAAGAGCUUCUCUAUUGUCGUGGCCACUUUAGAUAUCCCAUUACUGAAGAAAAUUCUUAAAGGGAUCAGCUCCGAAGAAUAUUUAUUGUUACAAAACAACGUGUUAAAGGUGCGAAAACAUUUCCAGUGGCAUGUUUUCCCCAGUGAUUACGAUGCUUUUUACAUGGUUAUGUACGAUUUGUGGCUUCGGCGAAGUUCUGUCAGAGUUCAAUGGAGUACUUCCCUUGAUUCCAAUUGGUAAUUAUACGUUAUUCUCUCUGGUGAUUUGGUUGGUGCCACUGGCCGUUGGCUUUUGUAUAUUUUUAUGACCGAUUCUUUUACUCCUGAUAAAGCCUGUGAGCUCAGAAGUCCAAUUCCUUUCGUGUUUUUAAUUUGAUUAUUCAUAAUGGAAUUUUCAACAGUAUAUAAUAAUUUUAAUUACUAUUACGCAGUAGUAUUUUUAUCAGAGGAAAUUUUGGAAUUUUGCAGAUUUGUUUUGAUUCUAAGACCAAAAUGAGUCUUUAGGACCCCCACAAACACUUGUUCAUCAUCAUUUUUCUGAGAUUUGAUGUAUUUUAUUGUUUUCUGAAAACAUGUUUGCUUUUGACUGAAAUUGUUUCCAAAACUCCACAAAAACAGAAGAGGGGAAUGUUCAAAAGAGAAAUUGACAACAGAGCACAAAUUUGGUGUCAUUUGCCAUGGCCGAUUCAUCAACUUCUUGGUUGUGGAUUUGUACAAUGGACAGACGGUCCAGCCGUCAAUUUAAUAAGAUUACGAGGACUAAGUGUUAAAAGCUUGUUUUUAUUUAUUCCGUACAUUGUUUAUAUUCUAGAUGAUUGUUUUUUUAAAGGAAGGUCUGACAGCAUAUGGAAUAAAGAAUUUCAUUUUAAUAAAAUGAUAAUGAAAAGGAAUUGCAAAUUUGAAUACCUACCUUAACUUUAUCUUAAUUAGUUAAUUAUUUUCUUGAUUGAUUUGGUUAUGGCGUUAUUUUAUGCAUAAAUGAGUGAGAUCGAAGAAAACAAUCCCUUGCUUCAACUGCGUAGUAAACAACUAAUUGCGUAGACAGUUUCCUUGAAGACUACAUAACACAACCAGAAAUAAUUGUGAUUGUUAAUUUUUUGAAGUAGAACGAAUUAAGUAUAUACAUUUUUAUUUCAAACAUAGAAAAACAAUUCAUAAAAUAUGUGGAGGACCAAAAAGUGAUUUGAUAGUUAUACGUGAAUCGUGUAGUUACAUUUAAAUUAUUUCUAAGCCCAUAGAUUGAUUUGUGACAAUAAUAAUAAAAUAAGAUUUUCUUAAAUGUAACUUACAGUCAAUUAAAUUUUUUUUUUUUUUUGUCUUAACCAUGAGGUAUCCUGGGAAUGGCCCCAACUGUGGGAGGUACAUGGCCCCAACUGUGGGAGGUACCUUUAAGCCUAUACUUAAAAGUCCCCGGUCGAACUGGGAGGCACAGAUUCUCCCAACAAAGGCGACUUCCCUGCGAUUUGAACUGAGGAGCAAACCCAGUCAAGCCACUUAAGGAGACUUCAUUGCCAGUGGAGCCAAUACUUUAUUGGUAUCCAAACAAUAUUAUUAUAACAGUAGAGGUUGGUUUGCUUUCAGAUAUUUAGGAGUUUUCAAGGAAAAAAAAAGAUUAAAUCAUUGAUAUUAAUAAAUAAUAAUGGACUCUCAAUCAAAUUUCUCGGCAGUUGGCAGGGAAUUAAAUAUAGAAAUCUUGUAAAAUGUGUUCCUUUUGUAGUAUGUUUAAAGAAAAGGGAUCUGGAUGUUAUUAUCUGAACUUUUGUUUUGUAUACAGAAGUAGUAAACACAAAAAACUAUUUUCCCUUUUUUUUUUAAAUAUAAACAGUAAAAUAUUCAAAAAUUAAGAAAAAUCUGUUCUGUUCGCAGGUUCAGUUAACAGAAGAAUCUUGACCAAUUAAAAAAGGAGGUGAGAAAGUUCCAUACUCUCUCUACUGUCCACACCCUAAAAUGAAGUUUUCCCGGAAAAUCAUUUUCUAUUAAGAUUUCUCGAGAAAUUUCUUAACUAUCCCAGAUUCAAAAUCUCCCUUAACGCCGCCCCCUAUGUUUGGAUGCCGAAAGAAUCGAGAGAAAACUAAAAUAAAGUCAAAUCUUGAACCGAAAUCUUACAAUUUCACCCCUUCUACUAUGAGUUAUCUUCUACUCAUUACACUUUUCGGGUACUUCAAAUCUCAUUUCUUGGCAGUUCACUACUUUCUUGGAUUUGUUAAUUUUACCAAUAUUUAGUUAUUUAUUCGUUUGUUUGUUUAUUGUUUGAAGAUGUGAUUUUUGGUUUAUUCGUUUGUUUGUUCAUUGUUUCAAGAUGUGAUUUUUGGUUCUUGAAAUGUAAUGUAGGGUUUGUGGUUGAAUUUCGUUUCAAGACUGUUUUUUUCUCAUGAGGGAAGAUGGUUUUUAAAUCUAAGAUCAAAUGGGUAGCUUUAUUCGUGCUGGCUUUGUCGAUGGGAUCUCUUUUGGUGCAUCUUUCUAUCACAAAGUUUUCGGCCGCGGGAUUGGUUCAGUACAGUCCAUUGGCUGCCCUUCGCCAGGAUUUUGGUUCUUUGAUUGGUACCCAGGUGAGCUUUUCAUCUUCUUUUUUCUAUAUUUAUGUUGAUUUUGUCUAUGUAACUACAGUAUUGCCUCUGUGUGUGCGUGGUUGCAUGCAUGAUACGGUUAACUAAAAUGUAUUAGCUAUUGAGUUUGGUAAUGUUGCAGGGCAGUAGGAGCAAAAAGCUGUGGGGGAAUGUGAAGGCUUUUGAGUCUUUGCAACCUUAUGCAAAUCCUAGGACCAACUAUCCUGGUAAUGAGUUUUCUUCAAACUGCUAUUCAUUUAAUUGAAACCUUUGUUCUAUUUAUUUAUUUUUUAUUGUACUUUUCUUCAACUCUUUUCUAAUUUUAUCUGAGGUGGGAUUUGAAAUAGCUAUAGUCUGAUAGAAUAAUGGAUUUUUCUUCUUGAGAGGUGGCAUCUAAUUAUGCUGUUAAUUUUAAGCUAAAUGGUCGUAUAGAUAGAUAUGUUAAGCUAGAUGUGUUAUUGACCUGUGUAUUUAUGUGAAGAGCAUUUUGAGUAAAUUUUUGUUAUCUAUAAUUGUUGUUUCGUUAAAUUUAAGAAUGGCCUUGCCUAUGACUGCAACAGAACUUUGUAAAUCUUUAUGCAUUUAUCUAUAUUUGUUGUCUUUCCUAUGUUUGAGCUAUCUUCAAAGUUGAAGUCUAAAAUGUAAUAAAUUAAAUAGCUGUUGUCUUGUCUUGAAAACGAUGAAUGUGAUUCUGAUAGGAGUUUAUAAUUUCAUACUCACACGUGAAUUUAUUUUUAUUCAGAAGGUAUGGCUUGUAACAGUUGCUCAUUUAGCUUCUAUGGGCAGAAGGGUCCAUGCAAAUUGAGUUUAUGACAUUUAGAUUAAAAUUCACUUUGCAUUUUAAGGGAUCAUCUUAUGUUGUUGAUUUCUGUAUCAUAUGGUGAAUUUGGUGAGCAAAACAACUUUACAAGAACCAGAACAUUUUUAUAUUGAUUAUUAUUUAAUUUUUAAUUAAAACAGUUUUUCAACUCAACAUACUCAUCCCGGGUUAUCAACAAUUUUUUUUCAUAUUUUUUAUACAGCUCCAAAUGAAGAGAACAAUGGUUUCAUCUAUGCAAAAGUUUUUGGUGGCUUUGAGAAGAUAAGAUCUUCGGUAUGAUUAGUUCGACGAAAUAUAUGUAUCUUUAUUAUAUUUUCUAUAGGGAGUUCAUAACAUUUUUGUUAAUUUUCUAGAUCUGUGAUCUUGUCACCAUAUCCAGGCUUUUAAAUGCUACACUUGUCAUUCCAGAGAUUCAAGAAAGUCUUCGCUCAAAGGGAAUCAGGUGUUUACACUUGCUCAGUUAAUUAUUUGUUUAAUGUAAGUCUGGUAUGCCAGUAAAACUGACUGUUUUUUGCUUUUUACCCUUUGUAUAAUCACGCAGUUACAAGUUCAAGAGUUUUUCCUAUCUUUACAAUGAGGAGCAAUUCAUAGCAUCACUCACAAGAGAUGUGAUUAUCGUGAAGAGUCUCCCUGAAAAUUUGAAGGCAGCAAGGAAGAGGAAUGAGUUCCCAACGUUUAAGCCCAAAGUUUCCACUUCUCCAAAUUAUUAUAUCCAAGAAGUUUUACCAAAAUUAAAGAGAACACAAGUUAUUGGGUUGAUUCUUACUGAUGGAGGAUGCCUGCAGGUAUGUUAAUAUCUUAAAUGCAUUAGUUUACUUGGACCUUUUCCGCAAAUGAUGUCCUCUUCAGACAGUUUAUAAUUUCAAGUCUUACAUAUGAAUUAUGGGGUGGUUGAAGUUGUUCAGGAUUGCCGCUUUCAACUUGCUCACUGACAUGUUUUGCUGAUGUUGAUUUCCACUUUUACCAUUGUCUUCUGCUAUAUUUAUUUAUUUAUUUAUAUAUUUUAAAGAAAAAGAAAAAUCCUGCUUGGAGAUUUGGUUGUUAAGAAGAAAAGGGAAAAAUUUCCCAACUUCGGGUAGCAAAUAGGACCAUCAUUUCAAAUUGGUCCUUGCUUCACUGUUGCAAAAUGGUUUGAUUGAUGUUCUUGUGGGAAAUUUGAUGGUGUCAUGAGGUUUUCCAUCUUAAAAGUCCCUUACUCAGGAAUUUUGGCUUGUUACAUACCAAAGGAAAAAUACCUUCUGACAGCAGGAAGAACACUAAAACAAACUGAGAGUGAACACUGUCAACUCUCCAACAUAUGGGGACUCUUUCCUCUACUAAACAUAUAUAGGCUAACAAUUCAAACAGCAGAAAAAACUCAUUUUUCUCGCGCGUAGACGGUAUUUAAUUUAUUGAACUGUCUGCUUGAGAUAUUCUAGUCAUUUUUCCCUCCUUGUUGGCACUGUGAGCAACUUAGUUGCUGUUGGCUGCUUGCGUCUUUUAUCUUAUUCAGUCUAUUUGUCAAGAUGCCUGAAUCAUCACCAGGUUAAGCACUUAAGCCAAGGCAUAGGAUGUAGGAAGUAAAAGAGGCAAAGUCGAGCAACCAGGAGCGCAGCGGAUUCCCAUGAUUGUAGUCAUAUUGGUAGUUUUUAUUGCAUGAUGAUUAAAGGCCAUUAUCUUUGGCUCAAAAGUGGAUUUGGAUGCCUUAAGUGUAUUAUGUACAGUAAUGUGGUGCUAGUGUCUUUUGGUCACUCAGUCAACUUUUCAAGAUUGGUUUGAUUCACAGUCAUAGUGUCUUUUUUCCCUUAUUUAAGUGACGAUUUUGGAGCACAGAAGUUAUAGUGGAGCCUUGUUCAUGUUAGAGCUGUAUUAGUUGCUUCUCCGUUAAUUUUUAGUUUACUUAAUGUUGUUUGGAAUCCUAGAUAUUUUUAGAUGAAAAUAAAUAGUGCUGCUGUUAAAGUAUUUUCUUUCUUCUUUUCAGUCAAUUCUUCCACCUAGCAUGUCCGAGCUUCAGAGGCUUAGAUGCAGGGUUGCCUUCCAUGCACUCCAGUUUCGUCCUGAAAUUGAGAUUCUUGGCAGGCUGAUGGUGGAGAGGUAUAACUUUCCUAUUUUGUGAGAAUUUUAAUUCAUGUGAUGAGUAAAAGUUGAGGGAUACACAUCAUUUGCGGUUUAAUUUAUCUGUGGCAGUUAUUCUUACAAUGGAUCUGACUGUGUGACAUGAAUUCUUACAAUGGAUCUGACUGUGACAUGAAUUAACCAAUGAAGUUAUACAUUGAGUAUUUGAACUUAAUUUUUUUUUCUUUUUCUAUUUUGUUUUAAAUAUACUACCGUGUUCGGCUAGUUGUCUGCUUUCUAUGGCUUCAUAUGCCAGAAAUUUUUGCCUGCCCUUGAUGAAUCUUAGCUAUCUAAUCCUCUUUCCCCAGGUUACGAGCAUGGGGCCAACCUUUUCUAGCUUAUCAUCCUGGCUUGGUGAGAGAAACCUUGGCAUAUCAUGGUUGUGCAGAACUCUUCCAGGUUAGUUGCUUGAGCAGUUUACUUUUCUUACCAUUUCUAUGUCGAGUUGCAUGUUUCCUACUCUUUGCUCUUUUAAUUCUAAUGUAAAAAUGGAAGGCCAACCAGUACAGGGGAAGCCUCCCCCCCCCCCAAAAACAAUUUGUCUUUGCCUCAAAAUAGUCUGAGAAGGAAUGAACAAACUUGUUUAUGGAUUUCUCUGUAAUUUUGCUUAUUAUCUUACAAUUUGGUGCUUCUUCUAGGAUGUUCACACUGAACUCAUACAAUAUCGAAGGGCACAGAUGAUCAGACAAGGAAUUGUUAAUGAAGAACUAAGUGUUGACUCUCACUUGCGUAGAGAUAAUGGUUCAUGCCCUCUCAUGCCUGAAGAAGUAAGUUAGAUGUCAAACUUGCUAAUAAUUUACAGAAGCCUUGUACUACUAGCUUUGACUGGUUUAUUUAUUAGGUGGACCAUGCUCAUUAUCCCGAGAUCUUAAUUUUUGGUUUUUGUUAAUCUUAGGAAAUCCAUGUUCAUUUAAAAUUUAAAAAUUAAUUGGAAUUUUGACAUUGAACCUUUUCAGGUUGGAAUUCUCCUUCGAGCAAUGGGCUAUCCUCCUAAAACAAUUAUAUACCUUGCAGGUUCUGAAACUUUUGGCGGUCAUCGUGUUCUAAUCCCUCUACGAGCCAUGUUUUCCAAUUUAGUGGAUCGCACUUCCUUGUGCAGCCAGAAAGAGUUUUCUGACCUCAUUGGUCCUGAAACAUCCCUACCUCAAGAUCUUUUCCAACCACCUCCUGCCAAAAGUGAGAAACAACUUAAAGAAGAGUGGAAUAAGGCUGGUCCUCGGCCUCGGCCCCUUUCACCACCUCCCGAUAGACCCAUUUAUCUACAUGAAAAGGAAGGCUGGUAUGGUUGGAUCACUGAGAGUGACACAGAACCAAGUCCUUCGGCCAUGGAUCUGAGGAAUCAAGCCCACAGGUUGCUCUGGGAUGCUCUUGAUUAUAUAGUCUCAGUGGAAGCUGACGCAUUCUUUCCUGGUUUUCACAAUGAUGGAAGUAAAUGGCCUGAUUUCGCAAGCUUGGUCAUGGGACAGCGACUUUAUGAGAGUGCUGCUUCUAGAACAUAUCGACCAGACAGGUAAGAUGUGCAUUGAUGUUCUCAAUUUUGAUGUGUAUUUGCUUUGCAGUACACAACCAAACACAUCCAGCUAUAUAGUUCCUGAUAUUCAACUUGCUUUGAGCACAAUGACUGUUUUGUCUUUUACCAACAUUCGGCCACUUUUUAUAGAGAAACUGAUCCUUGAUCAGUUUGACUUUUGCUCAAGGUGAAUCAAUUACGAAGGAGUAGUGGUAGUUGAAUAAAAAAUUUUUAGAGUUCUAUUAUGGCUUUCUUGAUAUUAUCUAGAUGUGUCUCUCUGACCAUAAAAUACAUACUAUUCUUUGAUAAUCAUCUCCACAGCAUCCUGACCUUUUAUUUUAUUUUUUAUUUUUACUGGACUUCUGCUUAUUUUAAUGAAGCUGUAUGGUCUAAAUUAUAGUGAGAAAUUAUGCAUCUUGAGAAUAGUUUUCUAACAAUAUUUUUGUUCAAACAGAAAACUUCUUGCGGAACUUUUUAACAUUACUCGUGAAAAUAUGUACCAUCCGAAGCAUAACUGGACGGUUUCAGUGAAAGAACAUCUGAAUAGAAGCUUGGAUGAGAAUGGGUUUAUUAGGCAAUCCCUGUUUUCGAAACCAGUCUCAUUCCUUUCGCACCCUCUUCCUGAAUGUUCCUGUAGAACUUCAUCUGCAACGGUUCCAAAUGAAUUAAAAGGUAAGGAUGGGCGAUUCUUGUAUGGAGGUGAAGAUGAGUGCCCCAAAUGGAUACAGCAUGGGCAGGAAGCUGGUUCGUUGGAGUCAGCAGGUGGAAAAACUGAUGAUAGUGAAUCAUCAGACUAUGAUGAACUGCCAGAAUCUGAUGAUGGUGACAGCAAAAAUGGUACAACUUUAGUCUUUGAUCGAGAUGAGGAAUGGGAUCCUAAUGACUAGUGAUAUUGUUUCCUUGUUUAUCAUUGAAGGCGGCAUUCAGUUUCCAGCAAUUUCCUCUGGGCUGAAAUUUUUGGGGGAAAAAAGAAGGUAACCUGCUAAGGUCAAUUUUUUUUUCUCCACAUUUCUAGCUUAGUGCUUGAGACUGAAAUUUUGGGGGGGGAAAAUGAAGGUAACCUGCUAAGGUCAAUUUUUUUUCCACAUUUCUAGCUUAGUGCUUGAGAGAAAUAAAUCUUCAAAUUUAUUCUUUUUGAGUAGAUUCAAGAAAUCUUCCAAUUACAGAAAAGAAAUACUUGUAUACUUUCAUACGUCAGACAUUUCGAACAAGUUUUGGAAAGACCUAUGCAGUGAGGACAGGAUUACACGCCAUCGAAGAGUCAGAUUUUUCAUUAUGGAUGAAGUUGUAUGAGGUUGGACUCAAAUGAUUGUUAGAUCCAUCUGAAAUUCUGAGGUACAGAGAAUUUUAAUUUGUAUCUUGUUAAACUGUUUGCCCUGUCAAUAGUGCAAAUUUUGCUUCGGGAAUAUUUCAAUGAUAAAGUGUACAUUUAUUUAUUUACUUUUUUUUUUUUCAUGUUUCAACUCUGUGGUACUAAAAAUAAAAUGGUAAAAUAUAUAGAAAUGUCAUAUCCCUCCAUGAGCAUGUGCCGAUCAUGAUGUUUCGGUAGGGUGCCAUGAAAAGGAAAUAUAGUGUGAUUGCGGUUAUCAUGCUAGCUGAAAUCACUGAUAUGAAACGAUUCAUUUUCAAAGCCAAACAAAUUCAAAUGUUACAUAAAGUAUGUCAAAGAAUAUAGAAAUAUAUACUUCGGUUAAAAUGGCAUGACACAGAGUUGACUUGAUCAGAAAAGGGCGAGGGAGGGAAUGAAAGAGCUACAGAAUCGGAACAUGGAACUCGAAUCACAGAAAUUGGCAGGAAGGGUAAAGAAAAGGCAAAUGACCAUUGACCACUCAUAUCUAUACAAACAAAUGUCCAGCAGCUAAGCACCUUUGUUGCUACUCCAUGGCUUGAUCACCGCAACAACUAUGAUUGCAACAAUAAUGAGAAGGAUGAUGAUGGCAAUGCACAUCCAUUUCCUGGAGUUCUUCUGUAGCUUUUUCGCCUUUUGGAGGGCAGUAUUGCCUGACUGCACGUGAUCUACAGCACUUGACACCUGAAAAAGAGCAUAAACGGGCAUGUCAGCGUUAACUAACACCAUUAAUUCUACUUGAUAAAAACAUAAACAGGAAUGUUAAUGGAUAUAACCCUUUUCAAUAUAAAAAUUUAUAUGCAUGCAGAGAAUUUAUACUAAGAAGAGAAGAUGAGAAUGAGUUUAAUUUACCUGAGAUUCUAUAUUGUCCAGCAUGUCUCCCUGUGCAUCUACCAACACCGCCAUAUCCAGAAAGAUCUGCAUAAGACAAGUGAUUAACAAAUGGAAUAAAAUAUAUGAGCUCCUUGACCAUUAUACUAGCCUCUCCAACUUAUAUGACCCUUUUCAGAAGCAUACUGAUCCUAUACCAACAGGCAGCCAUUGGCUUAUUGAAACUCCUUUUGAUUUUCAAAUCAUCCUAUUGACCUCUAUUUCCACCCAUUGGGCUAAAGGAUAUUGUCUCACUGAAAGUAACUUAUAGAACCCCAGCUUAAGGAUAAUUUUACGUUGCUCAUGGCUUGCCUCUUUAUAAGCCAUUAUCAUGAAAUAGAUCCAGCAGCACUAGUAGAUAUUGUAAAUGAGAAAUACUACUCUUUCAUAAUUCAUAUUCCACUAAUUUGGACUGCUAUAUCAUUUGCUACAUUUCUGUCAUCCAUAUAUAUAGCAAUGUCAUGUCACUUCGGAUAAACUUUAUUUUAUUAACUUGAGAAGCAUAGUACUAGUCUUCAUUAAUAUCAAAUUUGAGAAUGAUACUCAAUUUAAAGAGUAUAGCAGGGUUGCCCAUUUAAGCCAUUAAAAUUGAAGAGAAAAUUGGGAAGUUUCGGACGAGCAUAACAGCAACAAAUGUUCAAUUUAAUAAUUUGAUUGACAAAAUUCACUCUAAUAAACCAGUGAAGUACCUGUUGUAACUCAAGAAGCUUCCUUUCCAAAUCUCUAACAGCAUCAUGGCGUUCUUGAAUUUCAGCCAGAGUGUCCAUUAUCUGCAAACACAACAUAUAUCACUUAAGAUUUUCGACGACUAAUAUUGUCAGAUCAAUCUUUCAGUAACUUACUGCCUACUGCCUUAAUUAUACUUAAAAUAUACAAUCCCUUAAGACCUCGCCCCCAAACCUAAUCCCUAUUUCCUUCUCCCAAAAAUGAAAAACAAAUAAAAAUUACAAUAUUCAAUGAGAUUAAGUCCUAGUAGCAGCUAAAUUGAGGUGCGAAUAUGGCAUAAAUUGUUCAAUACACCAGGAAAGAGAGAUCCUCCAGUAGAGAGGAAAUUACAACUUCAGAUAGGAAUAAAGGAAGAAAGAGAGACAAACCUGGCCUCGACCUUGUUCUUGGAUUGCUUUCUGGAAUAUCUGUUCACUGUCCCCGGUCUCAAUCAAUUGGUCAAUUGUCUGUACAGCAUUGAAUAGCAAGAAUGAGCACAAGAAUGCAGAUAAGCUUGGAAUUUCAUAGAGAAAUGAAUUAUACCUCUUCAUCAGCCCUUUUGCCGGUUACUAAGAUCAUUGCAACCAGUUAAAACUAAAAUUAGCUCCAUUUCACAGAAAGUUUCAAACAACUUAUGCAAAUUGGCUGCCACGGAUAAGUAGCAGGUGAAGUAUUCAAACCUGUAUAAACUCGCCUCUCCACCACCUCUCGAUACUCUUGAUGGAUGUUUUCCCUUAGAACCUGCAAAAAGUUUUGGAAACCUUAAAAGCAAGAUACAAGAAACCAGAAAAAAGUACAUCCCAAACAAUUUAUUAGAGAUAAAGGAGUAUUUGUCAAAUACAUUUAUAUCCAAGCUACCUGAAAUUCACCCAUUUUGUCUUUGAACUUCUUUUUCAAGCCACUGUCGUAAAGUAUAACAGCUAAAUAAGUCAGUUAUCGAUUCAUCUCAUGAUAGCAUAGUUCAUAUGGUAAUGAGAACUGAGUGAAAGAGAGGGAAAUUGGAAGUGUAAAUUACAGAGUCGUUGCUGUUCUUGAUCGAUCUACUCCUGUUCCUUUUCCACAGCCAGGCUUCUGCCUACUUGUUAAAUUCUAGACCAUAUAAAGGAGGAUACAUGAGAAAUCUAUGGACUUGAAUCACUAGAACACAAGCAGCAAAGCAUUCUUUCCUUAAGCCAAUGUCUAGAAAAGCAUUCUCACCUCUCUAUCCAGUUCUUCAAUCUUCGACUUUAUGAAACGAGAAAUUUUCCCAACUUCAUCAACAUCUUUCUCCAUUCGCUUCUUGAUUGCUAACGAUAAUAAAAAAUUCUAUCAUAAAUAUAAAUCAAAUGUAUGAAAGGCAUUUAAAAAAAAAUGUGUGUGUAUAUAUAGAUAUAGGCAAAUCCUUAUUACAUUUAUAAACAGUACGAUAACAUAAUUUCUGGACUUUCACCUACAAGGGAGCAGGCUAUUCCAGUUUCAUGGACAAGGAAGAAAGUUUCUGUAAUUCACCAAUCCACUUAAACAGGCAAAUAUGCAGAACGUUAAACAUAUAUCUCUACAUAUGUCGCUAAAUGUCAGAUAUAUAUCUCUACAUAUAUCAAUAAAUGUCAUUAAUGGCUUGCAGAAACCAGUAAACAGCUUGCAGCUCAAAGAUUGAAUCAUUAAAUACACUUCAGGCCUUCCUCAUCAGAAGCCUCUGUCUGCUAAUAAUUUGCAUCCAACCAAGUCCAACAGGUUUGAUAUAUUUAGUAACUUAGUUUUAAUAUUUUUAUUGAAUUCUCUAACCACAAGACAAUAAAACCUGGGACUAGUCAUGAACAUGUAACACAAUUUAUAGUCUAUGUGGUGAGAGUUAUUUUGUACAACAUAAUGCUCCAGCUUUCUCGUGAGUAAUUUUGUUCCUUUUUGCUGAAGCACAGUUAUAAUCCUUAACUUACAAAAGAAAGGGGGAAAAAAAAGGAAGAAAUAAAAGAAUAUCUUUGCCGGAAACAUGCAUGCUUGAAUAAAUAUUAUGAAAACUGCACAAGGUUACUGAAUACCUUUCAUGGCAGGAGCCUUGGUUACAGACUUUGACUCCUCAUGUGCACCCUGCAUUCCAGGUUCGCAGAAAAGAUAAUAGAGCAUAUCUUACUGACAAAAUAACUCAUUAAAGAGAAUUUUCAAGAUUUAGCACUUUUUUGCUUACAAUAUGUACAAGUUUAGCCCAUAUUUUUUAGACAUCCAUUAUUUCCUCUCCCAGAAAACAUGGUUCAAGUGCAAUGCAGAUUCUUUUGAUGUACUCUUAACCAUGGAAAACUAACUUAGUCUCUACAUUAGGAAUUUAGUUUCUCCAUUAGGAAUUUCUUUAAUGCCUCUGCUGUCAAUGUUGUUUUGUAAGUAAACAUUAAUCACUGAUCCAGAAAACCACUUAUUAUUCCUUCCAGCACCCCGGUAAUCAUAUAACUUCCAAAAUGAAUGUUUCUCAACACCUUCUAACAUUGGACAACUACACAGUUAAAUGUGCUAGCAACCUGCCAAAAAAGGAGAAUUCAUACCUGUAGCUUUUUGAGUAGUUUCUCCAACUUCUCAUAUUCUUUGUCAAUAUCUUGAACCUGCCAAAUAAACAAAAUAUGGAUAUGGCAUGACAUUAUAUACUUCAUAUUUGUAAACCAUAAAUUUUAUUAAAGCCCAUACAGCAGACAGCAGACAAUUAUAAGUUGAACAAAAAAUAAGGAAACGCAGCAAAGAGAAACAGAAGGUAACUAUAUUAAUCAUUCCUUUAGUCUGGCAUAUAAAGAACAACAAUAGCAGUAAGAAGUCCAACAGCACCUUUUUAAAGAAAUUUUCCAAGCCAAGUUCUCCAGAAUUCAUUUGCGCUCCUAACUCAAUAUCUCCACCUCUGGAGCUUUGAUCCCGAGGGAGCUCAAAAGAACCCUGCAAGACUCACGAAGUUAGUAAAUAUUAAGACUCUGGCCAACCAAACCUUAGAUUGUAAUUAUAACAGCACCCACUCAUCUAUGAAGCAAUAUAGUCAGUAGCAAUCAAUUUUUAGGCAAUAGCAGAAUAAAGUACAAGGCUUAGAACAAAUAAUUUAUUGCUUUGCUCCUCGCAUGUUCAGUUGCAUUCAUGAUCAUUCCAGAGAUUUAGCCAGCCUAUGUACGAAUUGGAAAGAACCCAAUUUUCCAAAACACACUACAUAAGCUUGACUGAAAAUGAGCACUAGGAACACAUAUCAAUGUAAUUAUGAGAUCAGUAAAUAAAGUUAGGAUUGGGAUAAUGCUAUGCAUUUAGUUUACCAACUCUCCUAUUUUAGAGUUGCCGAAGCUGAUUUUCACUUGAUAAUUUUAAAAAAUUAUCAAAUUAGUCCUUCUCAUAUAGACGGACAUUUGAAUUUAACCAUGUUUAAUAUGACCAAGAAAACAAAACUAUCAGAAUUUCACUAACAAAAUUGGGUUUUCACACCAUCGUUCUGCAAACGACAGAGCAAGGAUCCACACAAAUCACUAUUAGAAAUGUUCAACUCUGUGAGCAAACACAUCAUCUCUUAGCUCAACAAAAUAUAAUAUUACAUUCUUAAGUAUUUCAAAGUCCAUGCUUAUCAGUUAAUCCCCAAGAACUUUACCUACCAUAUUAAUCAACUCAAUCCAAUGCUUGACCAAUCAUUUGAAUCCAUUAAUUCCAAAAUGUAUUAUCAUUAUGAGAGUUCAAUCCUUGAAUAUGAGACCAACAACAUAAUAAUACAUACCAUUAGUUUCCUUUAAAAUUUUAGAUUUUUACUUCAGUUAUUAUAUUGGUUUUUCAAUUCCGAACAACAAAUCAAUCGUUCAAAUCUUCAAUUCACAUUGAUAGCAAAAAAACAGAAAAUUUCAAAUUCCCAUUUAUACAACUCAAUUAAAUUAAUAAACCUAUCAUAAUCAAGCUCAGAUCAAGACAAAACAAACAUAACAAUGACAUUACCAAAAAGAACAAGUCAACAUCCCUACAAAUAAACAAAACAAAAUAAAAUAAAAAGAAAAGUGAGCUGAAAAUGUUACCCCUAAUAGGUCGUUCAUUGUCGAGAAGCUUGACGAAGAACCUCUAGAGAAGCUUUAUGCGAUGAAUGACCAAACGAAAUAUAUUAGCUUACAAUGAGAUGAGAUCUAAAAUUAAAAUUUGUAAUAGUGUUGCUGCUUUUUUUCAAAUUCAAAAUUAUUAUUACCAUUAGAUAUUAAGACCUGGUUAAUAAUAAUUUAAAAACCAGGUCUUUUUUAGGGUUCCUUUCGAGAGAGAAAAGGAAAUGAAGAAUGAAAAAGUUUCGUGAUUUUCGUGUCGAAGCUUGAAACAAAAAGAGAGAGACAGAGCAGAGAUCGUUGAUGGUGGAGCGUGCGGAGGCUUUUUUGAAAAUAAAUUAUCUACGACGCGUUUUAGAAUUUGGUCGAAUCUACACUGUCAGUUAUGUGGGUCCCGUAUAUUAACGGUCCUAAAUUCUUGUAAUGACAGGAAAAUAAUGGGCACGUUGUAUGAGAAGACUGUUCUGGUACUAAUUAUCUUGAAAUGGAAAUUAGUUAUUUUCGAGACUAUUUUAGCCCUGCGGUUUGAUUGUUUUUAACAAGUGUGAUUGUCUGUUGGUGAGGACAUUUGUGUCAUUAAGGUUUUGGGAGUGAGGCUGGAUCUGAUAAGUGGAGGUUGAGUGGGGAUUAUUUCCUGUACAAAGCAUGUCUGGUCCGAGUUGGAUGCAUGAUGAGUUGAUGACUUUCAUCCGCUUGUAAUAAUGUUUUUAUUUUUCAUUAAAAUAAUUAGCCGCUUUAUCGCGCUUUUUUUUUUUAAAUUAGCCUCAUGUGGGCCCUACUUCCAACUAAGUUGAACUGGCACUCACAAGACACAGCGGUUCAGCUGCACUGUUGCCACCGGGGAAAUAGACACGCGGUAUCUGAUUAAAUAAUAACAAUUAGAUCCUUGAUUUCUAAGUUUUCUUAACUGAGGAUAUAUAUUUUCUAUUUUUAAAUAAAUAGGUCCCUAUGGUUAAGAGAAGCCGCCUCCCGUACCCGCCUACCCGGAAGCCACGGUUGGAGUACUCUUAUUGACUUUUGACGUUUCAAAGCUAGAGUAUGCACUUGAUUAUAUAGGACUUUGAAAUUAUACGACUUUGAAAUUAUAGUUGAGCUCUCAUUAGAUUUAUGAUUUAAUAGAUUGUAAUAUAAUUUAUUUAAGGAAAAUUCUAUAAUGCCGUAAAUAAAUUUACGGCAUUGAUACCGUAAUAAACGUGGACCAUUGGAUUAAAUCAACGGUACCUAAUAACUAUAAUAUAAUAAAAGUAUUUAAAAAAAUUUCAUUAACAGGUUUACAACCAGUUAAACAUUUAUUUAAAAAAAUUAACCGGUUAAAAUUUCAAAAUUAUAUAUAUUUUAAAUUUGAAAUCUACGAAAGUCCAAAUAGAAUCAAAGUCUGGUCAUAAUUCGAAGGUCCCGGAAUCGAAUCUAAAACUCGCAGCACGCCGGAUUUUGUAUUUUCGAAGCAAUCGGGUUUGCUGGCCAACCCGAAUUUUGUUUCCUCGAUCGUUCCUCUUUUACUGCAAUCUUCGCUUUGAAAACUGUUUGAAGCCAAAAAGAAGCGAGAAAGAAGAAGCUCUACAAUGGUUCGUGUUCGUGAAGUGGUUUCGGUCCGACGAUAACGACUCGGCGACGGGAGUCAAGAGGAGAACCGGGCUGGGUUCGUCAUUCUUUACUGAUUCUCCUCUAUCGCAUUUGCAUUGUUUUGACCAAGACAGCAAAUAUGUAUAUCUAUAGAGCAUACAUUAUUCUCUCACCUAUGUGUGGUGCUAUUUCACUCAAUUCUCAAACAAGUUGGUUUCUCUAAAUCUCAAAGAAAUGGAACAAACUUUCAUCAUGAUCAAGCCCGAUAGGGUCCAAAGAGACUCGUUGCUGAAAUCAUCAACAGAUUUGAGAAGAAGGGUUUCUCUUGGAAUGGUUUGAAGCUUAUGACUGUGGACCGCCCUUUUGCUCAGAAGCACUAUGAGGAUUUGUUGUCAAAGCCUUUCUUUGGUGCUCUUAUUGGGUGCAUACCCUCUGGUCCUGUCAUUGCUAUGAUUUGGGAGGACAGAAGAACUUAGAAACAAAACAAAAAUUUAGAAAAAUGACAUAGAACUUAUAAAUUGACAUUAAGUGUGAAAUGAAACAAAAAAUGUGUAAAUAGCACAUAAUACUAGUAAAUUGAUGGAAAAAUGAGUAAAUUAAUGUCGGAGUUGUAAAUUGUAAGAAGAACUUCUAAACAAAACAAAAAUUUAGAAAAAUGACAUAGAACUUCUGCUGUACCGUACAUCCGCCUUGGCCGUACAGCAGUAAUAAUAACAACAAAAUUAUAAAUAUAAUAAUAUUUUUACUAAAUAAUAAUAUAAUAAAAUAUGAAUAAUAAUAACUUAUUAUUUUAAUAAUAAUUAUAAAGUUUGAUUACAAUAAUAUUUUCAUAAAUAAUAAUCAUAUAACAAAAUCAUGAAAUUAAUAAAUAAUAACAAUAAUGAAUUAGUAAUCAUAAUUAUAAUACUAUUUUAAUAAAUAUUAUGAUGAUGAUGACGAUGACGAUGAUGAUAAUGAUUAUUAUUAUUAUUAUUAUUAUUAUUACUACCACCAAUUGACAAUAAUCAACAAAGGGCAUUUAAGUAAAGUAUGAUAAUUCAUUCUGAUUUCAAGACAAAUUAAACACAUCAAUGGAAAUGAAUCUCAUUCCAACUUCAAUUUCUACAGCUUAAAUAAAUAACUUAUUUUUAUUCACAUUCUUGAUUCUGAUUGUAGCCCGUUCCGAUUACUGAUUAGUAAAUGCACCAUGAGUAGAUUAUUGUGGUUUAAUUGGGUCUGUUUUUUUCAAACCUAAUUAAUAAUUAGUUUGGGUUGGAUAAAUUAUAAUUAACCAGUCUAACCCAACCAAAUCUAUUAUUUUAUAAGAUUAAUAUAAAAGUAAGUUGGUUUUAAUUUCUUUUUAUUUUUUUAGUGAAUACUUAACGGCACAUAAUUAUAUAUCACUUUCAUUUUAUUUUUGUAUAUGAUGCUAGUUAAUUAUCUAAAAAGUCCGAAUUUGGAAUUGGAAAAGGAGAUGCAGGUGAAAUAAAGUCUAUAUGCUUUUUGUGAAAAUUUUCUUAAUUUAAAGAUAGUUAAUUUAUUAACUUUCUUUACGUUACUAGAUAGUGAAUGAAAAUUUCAUGUUAUGAAAGAUUUAUAUUUGAUUUUAAUAAGUUUCAUUUCAAGUUUCAUAUCAUUCAUUGUUCAAUUUAAAAUUUUGAUUUGACCUUCAAGCUAAUCAACUUCACCAGACGAUAUAAGGUUUGGGAAGAAUUGGGUUAAAUAAGUUUAUUUAGUUAAGUUGGAUGGAUUUUAUCUCAACUCAUUAAAAAGUAGACCAGGUUAGAAUUUCACUAACCCGAUCAAACCCAAUUCAUGCCCACCCUUAUAUCAUUCUAUCUAAAUCAUAAAAUGCCAAUAAUCCAACUCUUUAACCAUUUUCACAUUGGAUUUAAGUUGAAGCAAUUGACCUAAACUUAAUAACCUAAAUUCCAAAUAAAUGUGAAAUAACACAAAAAAUUUCUAAACUACACGUAUAACUCGUAGAUUCAAGGUAAAACAGGUAAAUUAGCGUUAGAGUGGUAAAUUGGUCUACAAAAUAAAAAAAAUAAAAAAAUAGAAAAAAACUAGUAAAUUGAUAGAAAAUGUAGUAAAUUAAUGUUGGAGUUGUAAUUUGUACGAAGAACUUGUAAACAAAACAAACAUUUUGAAAAAUGACAUAGAACUUGUAAAUUCACAUUAAGUGUAAAAUAAAACAAAAAAUAUGUAAACCACACAUAAACCUAGUAAAUUAAUGAAAAAAAUGGCAAAUUAAUGUUGGAAUUGUAAUUUACACGAAGAACUUGUAAACAAAAUAAAAACUUAUAAAAAUGACAUAGAACUAGUAAAUUGACAUUAAUUGUGAAAUAAAACAAAAAAUGUGUAAAUCACACAUAAAACUAGUAAAUUGAUGAAAAAAGGAGUAAAAUAAUAAAUUGCAAGAAGAACUUGUAAACAAAACAAAAACUUAGAAAAAUGACAUAGAACUAGUAAAUUCACAUUAAGUGUGAAAUAAAACAAAAAUAUGUAAACCACACAUAAAACUAGUAAAUUAAUGAAAAACAUGGUAAAUUAAUGUUGGAAUUGUAAUUUGCACGAAGAACUUGCGAACAAAACAAAAACUUAAAUGUGAAAUAAAACGCAAAAUAUGUAAAACACACAUAAAACUCGUAAAAUAAUGAAAAAAAUGGUAAAUUAAUGUUGGAAUUGUAAUUUGCACGAAGAACUUGUAAACAAAACAAAAACUUAUAAAAAUGACAUAGAACUAGUAAAUUGACAUUAAUUGUGAAAUAAAACAAAAAAUGUGUAAAUCACACAUAAAACUAGUAAAUUGAUGAAAAAAUGAGUAAAUUAAUGCUGGAGUUGUAAAUUGCAAGAAGAACUUGUAAACAAAACAAAAACUUAGAAAAAUGACAUAGAACUAGUAAAUUCACAUUAAGUGUGAAAUAAAACAAAAAUAUGUAAACCACACAUAAAACUAGUAAAUUAAUGAAAAACAUGGUAAAUUAAUGUUGGAAUUGUAAUUUGCACGAAUAACUUGUAAACAAAACAAAAAUAUAUAAAAAUGACAUAGAAUUAGUAAAUUGACAUUAAUUGUGAAAUAAAAUAAAAAAUGUGUAAAUCACACAUAAAACUCGUAAAUUGAUGAAAAAAUGAGUAAAUUAAUGCUGGAGUUGUAAAUUGCAAGAAGAACUUGUAAACAAAACAAAAACUUAGAAAAAUGACAUAGAACUAGUAAAUUCACAUUAAGUGUGAAAUAAAACAAAAAUAUGUAAACCACACAUAAAACUAGUAAAUUAAUGAAAAACAUGGUAAAUUAAUGUUGGAAUUGUAAUUUGCACGAAGUACUUAUAAACAAAACAAAAACUUAAAUGUGAAAUAAAACGCAAAAUAUGUAAAACACACAUAAAACUCGUAAAAUAAUGAAAAAAAUGGUAAAUUAAUGUUGGAAUUGUAAUUUGCACGAAGAACUUGUAAACAAAAUAAAAACUUAUAAAAAUGACAUAGAACUAGUAAAUUGAUAUUAAUUGUUAAAUAAAAUAAAAAUGUGUAAAUCACACAUAAAACUAGUAAAUUGAUGGAAAAAUGAGUAAAUUAAUGUUGGAGUUGUAAUUUGUACGAAAAACUUGUAAACAAGACAAAAACUUAAAAAAAUGACAUAGAAUUAGUAAAUUCACAUUAAGUGUGAAAUAAAACAUAAAAUCUGUAAACCACACAUAAAACUAGUAAAUUAAUGAAAAACAUGGUAAAUUAAUGUUGGAAUUGUAAUUUGCACGAAGAACUUGUAAACAAAAUAAAAACUUAUAAAAAUGACAUAGAACUAGUAAAUUGAUAUUAAUUGUUAAAUAAAAUAAAAAUGUGUAAAUCACACAUAAAACUAGUAAAUUGAUGGAAAAAUGAGUAAAUUAAUGUUGGAGUUGUAAUUUGUACGAAGAACUUGUAAACAAAAUAAAAACUUAUAAAAAUGACAUAGAACUAGUAAAUUGAUAUUAAUUGUUAAAUAAAAUAAAAAUGUGUAAAUCACACAUAAAACUAGUAAAUUGAUGGAAAAAUGAGUAAAUUAAUGUUGGAGUUGUAAUUUGUACGAAGAACUUGUAAACAAAACAAAAACUUAGAAAAAUGACAUAGAACUAGUAAAUUCACAUUAAGUGUGAAAUAAAACAAAAAAUAUGUAAAUCACAGAUAAAACUAGUAAAUUAAUGAAAAAAAUGGUAAAUUAAUGUUGGAAUUGUAAUUUGCACGAAUAACUUGUAAACAAAACAAAAAUAUAUAAAAAUGACAUAGAACUAGUAAAUUGACAUUAAUUGUGAAAUAAAACAAAAAAUGUGUAAAUCACACAUAAAACUAGUAAAUUGAUGGAAAAAUGAGCAAAUUAAUGUUGGAGUUGUAAUUUGUACGAAGAACUUGUAAACAAAACAAAAACUUAGAAAAAUGACAUAGAACUUGUAAAUUUACAUUAAGUGUGAAAUAAAACAAAAAAUGUGUAAAUCACAAAUAAAACUAGUAAAUUGAUGGAAAAAUGAGUAAAUUAAUGUUGGAGUUGUAAUUUGCACGAAGAACUUGUAAACAAAACAAAAACUUAUAAAAAUGACAUAAAAUUAGUAAAUUAACAUUAAUUGUGAAAUAAAACAAAAAAUGAGUUGUAAAUUGUAAGAAGAACUUGUAAACAAAACAAAAACUUGUAAAUGUUGCAUAAAACUUGUAAAUCAACAUUAACUUCUAAAAGUUUCAUAAAACUUGUAAAUCACACAUAAAAUUGGUAAAUGUAACCUGAAACUUGAACUAAAAAUAGUAAUUACCUGCUACUUAGGUAACAAGUUACCUAUUUAUUUAGAAUUAAUGGUAGAGAUUUUUUAUUCAAAUCUAACGGUCCACGUCCAUUACGACAUCAAUGCCGUAAAUUUAGUUACGGCAUUAUAGAAUGACCCUUUAUUUAAACAUAAUAAUGUUAAAAAAGACAUUUUAAUAAAAAUUAAGACACAUUUAAUAUAAACAGAAAAUAGUCAAUGUAUUUCAUGGUUAUAAUAUUUUUCAUUUUAGUAUGGGAAAAGGACAAACGCACCCCCAACGUUUAAGCAAAGAGACAAAAACUCUCUUAAUAUUUCAAAAAAGACAUUUACACCCUAAUUUAUUAUAAUUUUACCAUUAUACCCUUCUAGCAUAUAAAAAAAUUAUUAAAUUAUCUAAUUUGUCUAUAUAUUGUUAAUAAAAUUAUAAAUACACAAAUUGGAUAUUAUAAAAAAAAUUAUAAAUAUACCCUCAUUGCCCAAUUCCUCUAUUUAAAUUUUUAUCAAUAACCAAUUUUCAAAAAAGACAUCUAUACACCUAAAAAAAUUGUAAAUAAAUUAUAAUUUUAAAAAAUAAAAUUAGUUAUUAAUAACUAAUUUUAUUUCAACUUUAAACUUUUAUAUUUAACAAUUCUCCACAUGUCAAUCAUUUAAACUUAUACGUUUAUAACUAAUUUUCUAUGUUAUUUAUUAUGGUAUUAAUAACCAAUUUUAUUUUUAAAAUUAUAAUUUAUUAACAAUUUUUUUAAGUGUAGAUGUCUUUUUUGAAAAUUGGUUAUUAAUAAAAAUUUAAAUAGAGGAGUGAGGCAAUGAAGGUAUAUUUCUAAUUUUAUUAACAAUAGGAAAAUGAUGUUUGCCCCGGGUCAAACCCCGAAACUGCGUCAAACGACGCCGUUUCGUCCAUCGUUUUUUUUUUUUUUUUGUUUUGAUUCGUUUUGAAACGACACCGUUUCUGUUUCUAUUUUUUUUUCUUUGUUCUGAUUUCUACUUUCUCUUCGUUCAAGCCAACUGCAGACCCCUUGCUUUUUCCUCUUCGUUCUCUUAAUGACAAUGUUUUUGCUUCGUUCUCUUAAUCUCAACCGUGCCUUGAAUGUGAAGUCAAUCAGGAGACCAGAGAAAAGUAGGUGGUAGGAAAUCAGUGGGUUCUGGAGAUCUUGAUGAUAUAGGCUUCCAUAUCUCUACUUCCGCAAAGUAUCUCCUCAUUUCAGCAUUCCUUACUUCAAGAAACCCUGCCACUUUGGAUGCUUCACUUUUUUAUUCAACUGGGAUUUCUGAUAGUCACAAACGAAAAAGGAAGUGAGUGUUGUUCUGUUCCAAAUCUAUGUCAUAAUGGCUCUACAAUCAAGUUGUGAUGCUACUUAUUCAUGUGUUAGGAUGUUCCUCACAAAUUUAUCAAGCUGUGGAAAGGCCACCCGGGCUCUGUGGAAGCUUUUGAUUGAUGAAGGAAAUGGCUUUUGCUUUGCCAUUUACUUUAAGCCCUAAACGUCGUCGUUUCAUGAAAAAUAAAAACAAAAAAAAUGAUGGACGAAACGGUGUCAUUUGACGCAGUUUCGGGAUUUGACUCGGGGUUUGAUCCGGUGCAAACAUCAGCACUCUUAACAAUAUAUAGACAAAUUGGAUAAUCUAAUAAUUUUUUUUAUAUGCUAGAAGGGUAUAAUGGUAAAAUUAUAAUAAAUUGUGAUGUGAAUGUCUUUUUUUAAACAUUAAGAAAAUUUUUGUCCCUUUACCUAAACGUUGGGAGUGUGUUUGUCAUUUUCCCUUUUAAUAUUAUAAACUAACUAAUAAGAAGAUGAGGUGAGACAAACAAACCACUUAAUAUUUUAAAUUUUAUAUUAUAUAUAACUAAAUUUUUAUUUGAUAAUAAAACUUAUUUUCCAUUUUUCUUACAACCACCGAUGUUUCAUGUAGAGUUAUUGAGUUUACAUCAUGGAUUUAGAUUUGUAAUAAGGAAUUUACAUUUUACACACUUUGUAAAAUUCGUUAAUUUACUCGUAAUCAAAGGAUCCUAUUAAAAAAAAUUAUAAACCACCUGUCAUAGCCGCUGAAUGCCACGUAGCAUCGCCCACCGAAUACUGAAAAACCUUAGGAACUAAGCAGAAGGUGCUGGUGGGGGGUCAUCUCAUCUCACCCGCAGUGCACGUCAGCCAUCACUGUUUGACCAUCCAACCGACGCCAUACAGUCUAAAUUCUUUGCGUGUAUGUGACCGCCUUGAUGGUCCCACCUGAGUGACACGACCGAAGCCCAGACAGAUAUAAAUAUUAAACAAAUACAUGCAGUGCUUCCAGAGCUAUCUUUAAUGUCAACUUCGGUUCCGGGGAUCUCGUCUUCAAAAGCAAACCACUAAAGACUAAACUAAGGUACAAACAAGCUCUUUUGGAUUUUCUUUCCAUUAUCGUUAUCGUGUUUGUUACUCUUUUGAUUCAAACGGGUUGGUUCUGUUUUUUUAUUUUGUGAGGUUUAUGGUCUGAUUUUCUUUUGUUAGUGAAUCCGCCCUGGGUUUCUAGCUAGCUAGUUUGAGAAUUGACUGUUAGAUUAAUCUGCUAGAUAGAAAUUACGACUGUUCUUAUUGAUAUUUGAAAGCUUUGAUCAUGGGAUAAUAGUUGAUUUGAUAGUCGUUGACGUGAAUGUUUUUGGUCUGUUAAUGAUCGGCUCUUGGAUUAUAGCUGUUGUCGUUGUUGUUGAUAAGUACAUGGGAAGGGUUAUGAUUUUAUAUGAUGUUUUGAAGCUGCAAUGUAAUUUCCCGAUUGUUAUUAUAUUUACGCAAGGGACGUAGGGAUGGCAAUGGGCAGUGGAGGAGAGGGGACCGACAUCCCGUAUCUAUCCCGAUAUUCUAUAUGUCCUCGUUUCCAUCAUAAUUUCUUGAGAGAAUCUCUGUUUAUCUCCUUAAAUAAUAACAGGAGAUAUUGAGGAUCUUCGAUUUUUAAAUAACUGAUAUAUUUUUAGUUUUUAAUUUUAAUUUAAUUAUAUUAAAAUAAAAAAAUUUUAAAUAAAAGUAGAGUUAAGGCCGCUGCUGUCUACCGUCAAAAAUUAAAAAUUAGGUUUUACGAUUUUGCUUUAAUUUUUGUUUUAUUAUAUAAAAGUUUAAAAUAUUUAAUGACUAUUAUAAUUAAAAAAAAUUUGGGCCAACAAGAUCUUGUUCGACUUUUUUAAUGUUCUAAAUAGAUAUUUAAGACUGUAACUAGUUGACUAGAGCCAAAAGUUUAAUAAUAUAAAUAUUUUGAUAUUUGUUUUUUACACUAAUAUUUAAUAUUUUAUAAUUUAAAUUUUAUUAUUUAUUCACUAAUAAUUUUUAAAAUUAAAAUGGAAAAAUGGAGAGGGGAUGGGAAAAUCGUCCAUGUCCCUUCUCUGAAUAAGAAAUUGGAUAUAAAACAUCCACAUAAUCUCUCCGAAUGAGAAAAAUUCCAGAGGGUCCCCAUCUUCGUGGGGAAUUUCUGCCAUCCCUAAAAGGAUGUAGAGACCAGAUUAUUAGAGAGCGCUGACAGAAAACUGGGGUCGAACUGUUAACUGUUACUGAUAAUUGGAUUGUUGAGACAUGGAAUGAAACUGCUGUUCUGUAUUAAAAUCUGUCAGAAUGAACAAUUGAGACAUUUUAUCUCAUUUUUGGAUGGUUUUACUUUGCAUAUUUAUAUGGUAAAUGGUGCACAGAGUUGUUGAGAUCUCGGAAUGUGGAUGGAAUGAGCAAUGCAACAAUUUUUAAUCUGCAGUAGCACUUGUUUGCGUCUGCUGUACUUUUAUUAUCUUCAAAAAGAUGGAAGCACUUGUUUUUCUGCUCUGCUUCAUAAUCAUUCGAAUGAUUUGAAAGUAAAAUAAAACAGGAAUCACAUUAAUGUUUUUGCUGAAUAUAUGAACUGAUCUUUGGGGUGAAAUACAACUAUGCAAGAAGCAAGUGGUACAUACCAAUUACUGUGAUAUAUUUGUUAUUCAAUUUGUUCUUUAAAAAAAAUUCUACAUGGUUUAUAUUUUUCCUUCAGUUGCCUCAUUGGUUUUCUGCUUACUUGCCUGCAGCAACUUUUUCAGGUCAUCUAAGCUUCAGAAAAAAGGAUAUAAAUUGAAAUUUCAAGUUUCAGUGUGAAAUCCAAAGAUGGAAGGAAAAUCUGCAUCCAUUUCUGGAGGUCAAGAAAAGGUCGUCAAGAAGGAAGAACUGAAUCUCAAAGUCAAAACCAAGGAUGUAGAAUCAGAUGUUGGGAAGGAGCAGAAGCCUGAGGUGGAACUUGAAUUGAAGACCAAAUCAGUGGAGAAAGAAAAGCAAAAACACAAGGAGGACAAACAUGAAGAGAAGGAUGACAAGAAAUCGAAGAAAAAGGAGAAAGAGAAGAAGGUUGAUGAUGAAGAUGGAAAGAAGAAAGAGAAAAAGGACAAAGAAAAAGAGGAGAAGAAGAAGAACAAAGAUGAAGAUUUAGAUGAAGGAAAAAAGAAAGACAAGAAAGAGAAUAAGAAAAAAGACAAGGACAAAGAAGAGAAGAUAAAGAGCAGUACCGAGAAGAAAGAUAAGAAACACAAGGACAAAGCGGACGAGGACAGAGAAUGUGAUCGUGAAGAUGACGAGCAAGAAGAGAAAAAGGAAAGGAAGAAGGAUAAGGAGAUGAAAGAGAAGAAGAACAAAGAUGAAGAAGGUGAGGAAGAGGAAGAAAAGAAGAAGAAAAAGAUUAAAGAUGAGGAGAAAGAAGUGAAGAAGAUGAAAGGUAAGGAGAAGAAAGAUAGCAAGAAGCAGGACGAAGAAGAUGAAGAGGAGGAAGAAAAAAAGAAGAAAGAAAAGAAGCACAAAUAUGAAUUAGUGAAGGAUAAAGACAGUGAUGGGGAAAAGGGUGAGGUAGUAGUAACCACCAGGGAGAUUCAAAUAGAAGAAAGUGGGAAGGAAUCACAAGGUGAAGGACAAGACCAGCAGAAAGAUGAAGGCAAAGAGAAGAAAAAAGAAAAGGACAAGAAGGACGGCAAGAAGAGAAAACUAGAUGGAAAGGGUAAGAGCAAGGAUAUUGGCAAGCUAAAACAGAAGUUGGAGAAUGUUAAUGCCAAAAUAGAGGCUCUCAUCGAGAAAAAGGCAGAUAUUAUGAGGCAAAUUCAAGAAGCUGAACGCGAGAGCAGUGGCACAACCGAGAAGGAGACAGAUAAAGCUAGCUGAUUAUCAUAGCACUGUUGUAGGUGUGUUGCACUUAAGCUACUGUUGUAAUAAAAUAACAUGUUCAUGUGUCUCCCACAUAUGACUGAAUAAACCUCAGAACUCGAUAUGACGAAUAAAAAAAGCCUAUAUCUAUUUCGACGAUAAAUAAAAGUUGCUUGGCUUCCUUAUCACGGUAACAAUAUUAUUUAGUUGUAUGUUUAUCAUAUAAUUUUUGCAUUCCUAUCUGCUCUUUCCUUUCACUUUUUGAUGAAAUUAAAUCUUAGGUGCAUUGCCAACUGGAAGUAAACCUGAUAGGUAGAAUCAGUAAUGUCUCUGUAGAAGCUAGAUGUUGAAUGAUUAAGGUUCUAUUUGACGCAUCACCUGUGAAUAUUUGCUAUUGUUUAUCCAAAAACAAUAGUUUCACUAAAAUUGACAAGUUCAAACACACUCCAGCAUUUGAAUCAGCAAUUUUAGUGAAACUAUUGUUUCAAUUAUGAAUUAUGCAUCAGGCAAUGGGUAUAUGUGAAAUCCAUGGCCCUUAUGUUUAUAACAUGCGCAUACAAUAGCAGUUACAUUAUAAUUUGAUUUGAAGUUGGCCUUAUACAAUCACAUGUAGCCAGACUUAUUUACAAUCAGUAUAACGAAAAUCUUCUGCGUAACACUCUAGCAAGAAUUCUUGUAAUCACUCCAUCUAAUUUCUUUUUUAUUCUAUUAAUCACUAUAAAUACCAAUUUGAGGAAGUUUCUUAUAACAAGCAUGAAAAAACUAGCUUGUCUGUCUAGACUUGGUAGUGAGGCCAAAUCCAAAUGGGAAGAGAGGAUCAUAAUGUGGAUCUCCAACAUUCAUUGGCAGCUGAUCAACAGUCUUGAACCAUGUACGCGGAAGCUUGCCAGUGAAAUCGUAGUCACCAAACAGAACAUCAGCAACACCUUGACCCUCAGUUCCAGGGAGCCAAGCUGCAACAAGAGCAUCAAUGUAUGAAAGAUACGGUUGGAUCACAACAGGACGGCCAGAGAUUACGACAACAACACAUUCCACAGCUCCACAAACGUUUGUGAUGGUGUUAGGACCAGGGUCGGCAAUAUUCAGGUUCAUGCUGUCGCCGUUUGUCUCUGCAUAUGGGUGCUCUCCAACUACCACAAUGGCAUAUGAGAAGUUGUUGGACUUCACAAAGUUGGCAUCUGGAUUCUCCUGAUAGACAACUUCAGUUUGUUGAUCAACAGUAUUUUUAAUGGCAUUGAGUAUUGUAGUACCUGCGCAUUAGACGGACCAUGUUAGUUGGUCUUACCCAUAAUAACUUGUUGUAUAAAAGUUCUUAUCAGCAACAUUAGCCAUCUAUUUUACCUCUAGUGAGGUCGUUGCCACUAAGUCCCUGCCACUCAAUUGUCCAGCCACCACACUGAUAACCCAGAUUGUCAGCAUGGCUGCCAGCAACUAGUAUCUUUGAUGUUUUUUUAGGAAGGGGUAGUAUCUUUGAUGUCUUUUUAGGAAGAGGUAGUAAUGGAACCUCAGUUGAAUCACCAUUCUUUAGCAGCACAAGUGAUUUUCUUACAGCUUCCCUAGCCAGUUCUCUAUGCUCCUGCUUCGGUAACAGGAUGAAUGAGAAUACUUUUGAGACCCGUGCAACAUAGAGGUAAAAUAGUAGUUUAGUAACUAACCUGACUUCCCAGCUGAUCAACCAGGCUAUCAUCAGCCAAUGGAUUCUCGAAUAAACCCAUCACAAAUUUGACUCGCAAAAUUCUUCUCACUGCAUCAUCAAUUCUGCUCAUAGGUAUGAUGUUAUUCUUCACUUGGAAGGUCAGAUCAUCUAUGAAUUCUAUAUAGUUAUAGGGGACCAUGACCUGGAGCACGUUCAAAACAAAGAAUUAAAAUAGACUUGAUGAAAAUUUAUAAAAGUUUUGUUAUAGCACCUAAGCAAAGCCUAUGAACUGACCAUGUCAAUGCCAGCCUUGAUUCCUACUUCAACGGAAUAUGAGUAGUUAGCAUGAGGUGGAGAUGUGAUCCUGUCCAGACCUUCCCAAUCUGUGAUGACAAAACCCUGAAGAAAAUUUUCCGCAGUCAGUCAUCAAUUCAGUUGCUUCCUUUUCAAGUAAAAUAAAAAUACAGAGAUGUCCAUAGGAUGUGUCAAAAGAACGAAUUUUUUACCCUAAAUUGAAGAGUAUUUUUCAGAAAACCAGUGACAAGUUCCUGAUUAGCAUGCAUCUUAAUUCCAUUCCAGCUAGAGUAGGAGACCAUGACAGUUGAGACACCCUUGAUAAUUGAGUUGUAGUAUGCAGGCAUGUGUAUUGCGAGCAAACCGUGUCUGUCUAUGAUAGUGUUGUUCUCAUUUACUCCAUUUAUUGUCCCACCAUCACCUACAAAGUGCUUAGCACAAGCUGCAACCUUUGUUCUGUUGCAAAACAAUCAAAUCAUCAUUUCGUUAUGCGCAUUCUAUAUGAAUCUCUUUGAUCGUAUCUGUCAUUUGAGAAAGGAAGAAGAUAAAUAAUAUGCAAUAAACAUCUGCAAAUUAGAGAUGGUGCUUCUAAAUAUCUUACUUUCCAGCAACAUAGGGGACACCCUUUGGGGACCCAGCAGGAAUGUCCCCCUGGAGUCCAGGUAUAAGCUCAGUCAUCGCCUGGACGAUCUUGGGGUCUUCGCUGUAGCUUUCAUAGCAUCGACCCCAUCUUGGAUCCCUGCAGACCUGAACAAACAAAACAAAUAUAAGGAAUCGCCAUUUGCACAGAUGGAUUUUCAUUUUCUUUUAUGUAAAUCAGUAUUUAAAAUCUGAUAGGUACCGCAAUACAAGGUGCAAAAGUAUAUGGAAUGCCUGUAGCUCGAACUUCAAGUGCAGUUGCAGCUCCAAUCCUUUUAACAAGAUCGGGGUCCCUGGAUGAAUCAACAGAAUGUUAACUCAUGUCGGAUUUACAAAACCAAGUUUAAAGAGAACAAUAUCAUCCACAGAGCUACAUCCACUUGCCUUGUAGCUCCAAGGCCUAUAUUGUGAGGAAAAAUUGUAGCGUUGUAAACAUUGUUAUGACCAUGAACAGCAUCAAUCCCAUAAAUCAUUGGAAUCCCAAGUCGCGUGGAUAAAGCACCCUUCUGAAAAUCAUUGAUUAUGUUAAUCCAAGCCUCAGCAGAAGCCUGUCUUGCCGGAGCACUCCCUCCUCCAGUCAAAACACUCCCUGCCGAAAACUUAAAAUUCUUUAAAAACUUCUUUAGACAUAUUUCAUCAAUCAUCAAUCUGUUAGCGUUGCUUGCUUACCUAUGAAGUAUUUCUUCAUCACCUCAGCUGAAGCAACACCACGUUCAAUCUGUGUCAUUUGGCCUAUCUUUUCCUCCAAAGUCAUCCUGCUAACCAGAUCGUUCACUCGGACAUGUAAUGGCUGCUUGGGAUCUUUAUAUUUCAGGUAUUCUGCUUCUGCCAAGCAACACAAGAGCAGAAGCCCCAUCAAGGAGAUGAGAGUUCUAGCCAUAUUUUCGUAAACCAACCUUCAAAGCUGAAAAAAACCGGAAAUGUCCAUUAAAUUCCCAUUUGAGACAAGACAAAAAAAAAAUGUAAAAUUUGUUCUCUACAUUGAAGACUAAUUAAUUAUAAGUGAUUGAAAUAAAAAAACAAAGAGACUGGCUAAUUAACAAAUGAAGACAGAAUAUUAUGAGGAACAUAAGAAUAUAUGAAUGGGCGCAUACACAAACACAGAAACCAUAAAACGUAAAAUUGAAAAUUCAAAGCUGUGUACAUCCAAACAAAAGUGAAAGAAUAUCUUUUAGGUGACCAUUGCAUUUGGCUUUCGUAAUAAUGAAGCUUGAUUGUUAUUAUUCUUAUCAUUAUUAUAAUUAUUUAAACAAAAAAGAGUCAUAGGGGACUCAUAUGAAUGAACCGCGUCAGUCUUUAAGCAACAGAGGUUUCUUGUUUUCCUACAUUUUCUCAGAAAACAAACAGAGGAUUAACUGAAAGCAGCAGUGCAUACACAGAAAGUUCAAGAAAAAUGCGAGAAAUGAAAAGAAAGAUUACAACUUACAUUGAAAUAAAUAUACCCAAAAGAUUAGUCUGUUUGUUAUGUCUCAGUUUCACAAAUGGGGACUCAAAAAAAUUGUCUCCUUGAAAUGGGAAGCAGCAGUUUGUACGACAAUGCUGCAGAGCUUGAGCUGGUAUUUAUAGAAACUUGCUCCUUAAUUUACUUUUCUAAAACAACAUGGUUGUUACGUGGAAGGAUGAAAUUCAGUUGUGGUAGUGUACACUAACGGUCAACAAAUAUAUAUCUAGACAAUAAAAUGAUCCAAUUCUUCCGAGGUAAUAGGUUGUUCAAACUUCCUCUUGCAUAGAUAAAGAAAGAAUCUUGAAUCUAACUUAAAUUCAAUUCUUAAUUUCAAUAUUACAGUGUAAUUUUAUUGAUAUUACAAUUAAAAGUCCAUCACUGAUCAGGCUUGAUCCCCACAAUGACAAAAAAAUAUUUGAAAAUAACCCUUGAUGAGCACAACAAUGACGAAUAAAGUAACUGGAAAAACUGUCCCAAAAUCACAGGAAACUACUCGAAAUAUGAUGAAAAAAAAUAAAAAGAAUGCAUUCACAUUUUGAUGAUUGAACCUGAAGAAAAGAACGUGAUUGAAUUCAGGGUAAUUCACGCAAGCCCGACUGGAGUGGAUAGGGUUUAUUACAAUUCAAAGUUGGAUAAGAUACACAAAUUCUACAACUGCAACAAAACAAUAAUCAAACUCACGUCAUCGUGCUAUGUCGAGUUUCAACUGAAUUUAUUGAUUUUAUCCGCACAAACAUCUUUUUUCAACUCGGUCGGUUUGAUUUGUUUUCCUUAAAAUCUUUCAAAAUAAUCGCCUGUCAGUUUUUCUUGAGCAUUUCUUACAAGCCAAGAUAUAAGAUCGCUGUGACAAGUACAUUUUUUUCUGAUGAUAAUUUGAUUAAUUAAAAAUUAAAAAAUUGGCAACUUGUGCGUUGGGUACUUUUUUUUUUCGUUUUUAAAUAAAGGUAGUUGUUUUAAACACGUCCGUUAAGUGAACUGCUCUUCCAAUACUACCUGUCAAACGAAAUAAUGGUCUGCUUAUUGCUUGCUUGUUGCCUGGCUAGCUUUCACCAAAUCGAUAUUAUUAUAUACGCCCAAUUACUUCUGUUAAAAAUAAUCAAAAGGCAUAGUUUGUCCAGCUUAGCAUUGCAUAUUUGCAUUAAUUAUAAAUCAAUUAGAAGUUGACGUAUGAAUUAUUUUAUCAUCUCUUGUCCGAAUUGAACACCCAAUUUAGUGUAAAACGCCAUUUUGGUUCUUAAGGUUUAAUUCUUCUUUAGUAUGAUUUAUUUAAUGAUCAUAAAUACUUAUUUAAUCUUAUAAAUUCUUAUCAUAAUUUUGGUCGUUAUUUGGUUGUUUUCCUAAUAGAGUUUUUUAAGUUUAAAUAAGCUAUUUUGCCUCUACUAACAAAAUCUCAAAUUUUAAAUUUUUGCGAGUAAAAAUUAAAAAGUUUUUUUUAAAUAUUAAAAUAUCAUCUACUUAUUUGACAAUCUUAUUUUAUUUUUUUUAUAACAUAACUUUAAAAAACUUGUUUAUUAAAGUAAUUUCAUAAAUUUUUAAUAAAAGUUCUUACUAACAACCAAACAACUAAAUUUUUUUUGGUAAAAACUCCAUGUGUAAAAAUCUACUAACAAAAGUUUUAUUUAAAUAAGAUUUACUUGAAAAAUUGUAUCAAAUGGAGCAUUUGUCUAAUUACUUUACCUAAAAUAUCUAUACUUCACAACUUUUAUAGAUGUUAAAUCUGACUUUUUUAAGGAUAUAAUAAAAGAAUUUUUUUUAUUUAAAUUAAAAUUCGAACAGAUGUGACAACCAAUAAGUAAAAAGUAGAUAAGAAUCAAAUAGAUUUCCACAGAGUAUUUUGAGUAAUUUUGAAAAUACCAAAAUUAAUUAAGUAAUUAACUCAAACCUUUGGGACCAGAGAAGCAUAUCCUCAUCCAACAUUUUUUUGUUAUUAUAAUUUAAUACAUCACGUACCAAUUUGGAAAUCAAAUUGGAUAAUGUCGUCGAGUUAAUAAUAUUCUGUUCUAUAUGAAAUACACACGUACGUACAAUGAUCUUGUAUAUGAGAUACAUGCACAAUUAAUGAUCUUGUAGCUUUUGUUGAUAUAGAUGACACGAUGGACCGACGUGGCUAAUAAUCUUAAGAUUAUGGUUAAUUAAUAAAAGUGUCAAUACCCAGAAUUACUUAUCCAUUACAAAAGAAUACAAUUCUAACUCUACUUGUGUUCAGUUGAAUUAUACACAAUGCAAAUAUUCAACAUAAGGCGUGAUGAUGAAGAGAUGUGAAGCCCCGAAGUGUCUCAUACGAUUUAAUUCUUUCAAAGACUGCCCAUUAAGAUUAUGUAAUAAUACGUGCAAUAUAUUUUGUGCCUAAAACACAGAUUAUAUAUGCAUUGAUUGUUUAAGAUGGAAGCAGUUUAGACCACGUUAUAUAAGUGUUAUAUGCAUGUACACAUAUUUUAGGUCGUCAAUCACUUUCUAUAUCUAUACUCUAAUUAGAGACGUAAAAUGGAUGGUAUAAAAUACGUUAAUGCUAAUCUUUUCUUUAUCAUAUUGGAUUCUUCUUAUAUUGAUUAAUUAUAUUGGGGUCUUUAUUAAUUAUUGUUUGUUUGUUUGUUUGCUUAUUUUUGACUUAUCCGUUGCUUGUUGCAAAGGUAAGUUUGGUUUGAUGCAUGCUAGACGACGAAGACGUCACCUAUAUAUCCAAUCCACGAAUGAGUUUUAAAGAUUAAUACGUUAAAAGGAAAAAAAUGACCUUUUGGCAAGCAUCGAGCCCUUGUUGCAGUCACAUGUGAAUAAUGUGUGCUCCCCAUGAAUAUUUGAAAUUUGUUUUGUUUAGUUCGCGUGUUGACUGAUUCAAAUGCUUUGUACAAUUUUGAGUUAAAAGAAUUUAAGAAUCAAAUUAGACCAGAAUUUAGUUUCUAUCUAUUAUUUAUAAAGGAUUCAGUAUAAUUUUAUAUUGUGUCUUAUGGACCCAUUUAAAUUUUUCCAAAAAAAAAUGAAGAUAUAUAAUAUAAGAAGAUAAUGAAUGAUGAUGAUGAUGAUGAUGAUGAUAAUAUCUCUGUUUUUUAAGAUAUUGUUGAGUAAUGAAAAACUAUAAAUUAAUUUUAUUUACAUAUAAAAAAAAUAUAAGACGUGUGAAGAUCCUGAUAAGCUGAUAACAGAAGCUUUACAGAAUACUCCCCCAAAGAUCUUGAAUUAGAAUCAACAAGAUGCCUCACAAAUCAAUUAGAAAGCUUAACGAAAUAAUGUUCAAUUAACUAAGACUAAGAUUGUGUUUAGAAACAAACAAAGAAUUGAAUCGAAAUACAAGAAAUCACAGAACACAGCUAGCUAACGUAGUUCAGUCAAUUUGCAUUGACUUACAUCCACGGGGGAACAAACGCAUCAACUUUAUUGAUAUUGCUCAAGUCUUGAUUACAGAGAUUACCAAGCACUCAAUAAGAACAAGAAAACUAUCCUCUAUAUCAAGCUUUCUUUCUCUCGUUAUAAUGCUCUCAGUCUCUCGUCAACUCUCUCUUUCUCUCAACUGUGUACAACAGCUUAUAAACCACCUCAGAGGCAUUUCCAGAAACACACGUGAUGAUCAUGUGGAAUAACGGCUUCUUUAACAACCUUCUUGUUUGCACGUGUUCUGCUUGUGCUUCAUUAACUCCAAAACAACAAGAUUGUUGGUCGUUCUAACAAGCACUUGAUUUACUUAUUAAAACGCAGUCUUCGUAUGUCGUUUUGCUUAAGUUAUAGUGCAUCACAAAACGCGAGUCAGCACUGCCGUUUCAUCCUCUUUGAUUUGAUUCACUGAAUACACAACAAAACUCCACCUUGAAGCAAAUCAUCCCUGAUAAACUUUCUCCUCAUUAUCGUGUGCAUUUCUCAGGAGCUGCACACUCCAGUCAAAUCCAAACAGAGAUUGAAUUUAGCUGUAGGUACCACAUUUGUAAGCAUGUCAGCUGGGUUACUGUCACUGUGAACUUUAACCAUUUUGAUGACUCCUUUAGACACUUCAUUCCUGAUAAAGUGUAGCUUCACAUCAAUAUGUUUGGUUCUUUCAUGGUGUGCUGGAUUUCUUGCUCAGAUAGAUUGCACUCGAGCUGUCACAAUGGAUAUCAACAGACUGUUGCUUCUUGCCCAAUUCAGCUAACAUACCCUUAAGCCACAAUGCUUUUUUAACAGCCUCUGUAGCUGCAGUGUAUUCAGCUUCUGUAGUUGACAAAGCUACAAUAUGUUGAAGGUUUGCUUUCCAGUUGAUUAGACAGCCAUUUAACAUGAACAUAUAACCUGUUAAAGAUCUUCUUCUGUCAUUAUCCCCUGCAAAGUCUGAGUCUACAUAUCCACAUAGUCCAUCAUUUUCUCUCCCUGAUCUCCCAUAUUGCAGUCCAAUCCCCAAGGUACCCUUUAAGUAUCUUAGGAUCCAUUAUAUUGUUUGUUUGUUUUUUACUUAUCCGUUGCUUGUUACAAAGGUAAGUUUGGUUUGAUGCAUGCUAGACGAAGGAAGACGUCACCUAUAUAUCCAAUCCACGAAUGAGUUUUAAAGAUUAAUACGUUAAAAGGAAAAAAUUGACCUUUUGGCAAGCAUCGAGCCCUUGUUGCAGUCACAUGUGAAUAAUGUGUGCUCCCCAUGAAUAUUUGAAAUUUGUUUUGUUUAGUUCGCGUGUUGACUGAUUCAAAUGCUUUGUACAAUUUUGAGUUAAAAGAAUUUAAAAAUCAAAUUAGACCAGAAUUUAGUUUAGUUUCUAUCUAUUAUUUAUAAAGGAUUCAGUAUAAUUUUAUAUUGUGUCUUAUGGACCCAUUUAAAAUUUUCCGAAAAAAAUGAAGAUAUAUAAUAUAAGAAGAUAAUGAAUGAUGAUGAUGAUGAUGAUGAUAUCUCUGUUUUUUAAGAUAUUGUUGAAUAAUGAAAAACUAUAAAUUAAUUUUAUUUAUAUAUAAAAAAUAUAUAAGACGUGGAUAGGACUGCUACUAAGUAAAUCUAGCUAACUAAUUAGAUUUGUUGCAGACUGGGAUACAAGUUCUAGAACUUUAAUAAAUGAUAAUUAAAUUGAUCUUUUUUCAUUCUCAACGCUAUGAUUUUCAGUUUAUUAUUUUUGAUAUAAAAGAGAUGUGGUGUAUACAUGUCAUCGCCAAUCUCCAAUACCAAUUCUCCAAAACUGAAACGAAGAAAGUUGAUAUUGAUUUAUUAUUUUUAAGAAUUUGAAAAUUUUAGGUAAUGAUUUGGCCGCUAUAGAGCUAAAAUAUGAGUAAAUAUACUUGUUUUAUCUUUUAAGAACCAGUCGAUUAUAUGAUAUGAUGGCACUGAAGCACCAAAUUUCUUGUUUGGAAUGCUCUUUGAUACCACGAUCACUCAAAUAAUAUUAUUAUUUUUUAAAGAAAAAAAUAUUAAAAUGUGACAAACUAUUGAUUCAAUCAACAAAGUCUGUUACAAAUAUAACAUUAGAUUAAUUUUGCAUUUUGGGCCUGUUCAUGGGGAUUGCUAGUUAAUGACAGCAUUACCUAACAACUUUUACUAAAUUACAAGAUCUACCAUUUAUUUAGUUGUUAAAGCUGUUGUCUUUUUUUUUUUUUCUAGUCGUGGCCAUUUAUUUAGUUGUUAAAGCUGUUGUCUGUUAAAGCUGUUGUCUUUUUUUUUUUUUCUAGUCGUGGCCUACUUCUGUCAUGUCAAAAUUCAGUUUGGUUUAGUUAAUGCACGUAGACCACCAAAUCUGUGAAGUAAAAUUGCCACAAAGAAAUACCCACCCGGCAUCUCCACCAUCUAUGCUAGCCAAUCGUUCAUUCACCAUCAGGCGCAAUCUUUGCUACAUUAAUAUUGACAUUUGAUAACAGUAGUACAUGCUUAGCUUAGCAGGUUUUGUUACGUCACUUUUCUUCAAUUAGCUACAGCUUUUUUCACUCGUCUUCACAAAUCACAACUGCAUGGCACUUGCCAUAGCCAUUUUUUCAAAUCGUUAAAAGGAAUUUUGGUGUCUUUUAUUAAAAAUUUAGAGAUCUACAUAACUAUUUUCCAAAUCGUGUAGAUAUCACUUUUCCUUUUGUAUUUUGACAUUCCGUUUGAUUGAAAUUUCUGUAAUACCUUGACUUAUGUGUAUAUAAGUCAUUAUGUUAAGAAUAUAUAAGUUAAUUAUUUUGUUGGGCCUAAACUAAUUCAAAGCCCACACUAACAGUUAAAAAAAGCUGAGCCUAAUAGCCUCUUUAUACAUCACUAAAAAUAAAAAUCUAUUAUUUUGUUGGGCCUGAACUAAAUCAAAGCCCAAACUAAUACUAAUAAAAGCCAAGCGCAUUAGCCUUUAUACACACGCGCGUAUGGGGGCAGAUCAGCAGCCUCCUAAAAUUAUAUCUAUUUUUAUAUUAAUAAAAGAAUAGUACAUGUACCGAGAUGAUGCAACAAUUAGAACGUAAGACUCUUCUUAAAUUAAUAAAUAACUUUGCUAAAAUAAUUUUUUUUUCAUAGUCCCAAAAAAAUAUAUAUAGAGGUUUCUUAGAAUAUUUAGAUAUUAAAAACAAGUAACCAUAGAGAGGUCAAAGUAAAUUUACCUAAAAAAAUUAAGCUUAGCUGUAAUAUGGGACACUAAGAAAUUAGUUUAAACAAACAUCACAUACUAGCAAUGGUCAACAAAAUUUUAUAGCAGACCUAUUAAUUAAUUUAGGAUAAAAUUUAGAAAUUAAUUUUUAGAAAUUAAUUUAGACAAAAUUUCUAAGUUAUUAAUAGGAGUAAACAGUUCUUUGAAAUUAGUAAUAUUAAUACAUUAAGAAAAAACUUAGAUUGUAUUGAAGAAAUAUUAUCAUAUUCCAAUAGUCAAAUUAAGAGAUCCCGUAAUAUAAAAAGAAAUUGCGGAUUUAAAUAUAUUAUUAGAUAUUAAAACUCCUAAACGAACUGAGUUAGAAAUUGGAAUCAUAGUUGAUUUACUAAAAAUAGAAACAGAAAAUAUUACAAAAACACCAAGUAACUUGCAACAACAGUUGGAUUCCGAAGUACAAUACGAAUAGAAUAAGAGAAAUCUUAAUAAAAAAUAUUAUAUGUAAAAUUGAGAAUAUUGAUGAUAAAAUUAAAUAAUAUUAAUAGAAAAAACAAUCAAUCAAAUAAUUAAUUGUCUCCAUUUUAAUUACGAAUUGCGAUAGAUUGAUUGUAAAUCAAUAUAAUAAUUGAUUGACCCAAUCUUUGUUAACAAUCAUUGUUCCUGAAUUAUAUACAUCAAUUACAUCAUUUUCUUUUUCAUAUUUCAAAUACUUAUAUAAAUUAAGCCUUUGUACUCACGAAUUAAUAAGAGUGAAAUUUAUGUUUCCUCAAUAAUUCUCAGAAGUUUUCACUAUUAGGGGCGAGAGAGAGUUUUGUCGGCCAGCACUAUUGAUUUGCAUAUAAGAACAAACGUGUCUGUAAUUACAAAGAAAGAAAAUGAUAAACUUUGCUUCUAGAAUCGCUUCAAAUUCAGAAAAUUCAAUAAGAAUUUUCGGAUUCUUAGUCCAAUACUCUUCUAAUAAAAGUCAAAAGGAUUUUCUGGAGUUGGAUUCAUUUGAUUGGCGGUGGACAAAUGAAGCUCCCACAGCGGCGAGUGAUUAUCUGUGAAGUGAUCUCAAUAAGAAUUAUUAAUCUUUUGGUCGUUAAGAUUCUGAGCAUACUUUAGGAGAAAAAAUUUCUACAUUUUAGUCGGACUAAGCAGUUCUUUGAAACUGGUGAGUGGUUAUGGUAGUAUUAAUAAUUAAGAAAAAACUUAGAUUGUAUUAAAGAAAUAUUAUGAGAUUUCAGCAGUCAAUUUAAGCAAUUCCAUAACCGGAGAAGUCAAAAAGAAGAAAUGGUGGAUUUAAUGAUUAUUCAGUUAUUUUGGGUAUUUUAAUAUCUAAAACAGAUCUUCAAUAUAUAUAUAUAUAUAUAUGAGCACAAAAUAAAUUUAAAAACUGUUGGAUUCUAUAAGUGCAAGACGAAGGCAGUCGGCCAAUCAAUCAAAGUUAAUCGUGAAAAGGACAUCGUGUAGGCUGCUCUAACUCUUCUCUUUUUUUUAUUAAUAUAUUUUCAGAUUUAUAAAAAAAAAAAAAAAAAAAGGAUUGCUCAUUGAGUGCUACGUGUCGGGCGAUUAACUCGCUCGCUCGGGCGGGCGAUUGCUCAGACAACAAUGUCGUCCCAUUAUUAUACCCACUACUCUCAAUGUAUUUACACUCAAAAUACUAUUUAUUUCUCUGUUACAAAAACAAGAAGAUUCAACAAAAUUUAUAACUACUUAUAAUUGUGAUGUCUUCACAGGUCACAGCUGCUGCAAUUGUUAUAGAUUCAUAUGUAAUAAUUGUUAUAGAUUCAUAUGUAAUUGAAAAAAAAAAAAAAAAAAAAACUCAGUAACUACAACUUUGAGUAAUGUAGAUAAUCUAACAAAAAUUUGACAUAAUCCUCCAUAGACCAAGUAUAACAUAUUUGGUUUAUUAAUCUUUCUUUGUUCUCCACUUUCAUGCAAGUAAAAUAUGGCCAUUUGGCCACCUUUUAUGCUUCUCCACAUUUGAACGUGUAUAAUAUUUUGGGCAGCAUUCUUUUGCACCAUCUCAUUUUUUCCAGACUGCAAAAGAUUAUAAAAGAUUCAGUAAGUGAAAAAUAAAAUGUACAUAUUCAACAGCUUUAGCAUAAAACAGGUAAGUAACUGGAUCUCAAUAAGAAUUUUCGAAUUCUUAGUCCAAUACUCUUCUAAUAAAAGUCAAAAGACAGUUGGAUCUACAAGUGCAACACAACAGCCAAUCAAUCACAGCUAAUCAGGUAGAUUGCUCAUUGGGUGCUACGGUUCGGGCGAUUAGCAGCAAGUAUCCAGUUUUCUCGUUUGCUAGCAUCCACAGACAACAGAAUCAUCCCAUUUUUUCAAUAUUAUUUUUCCCACUACUUUAAACAUAUUUACACUCAAAAUAUCAUUUAUUUCUCUGUUAAAGUACUAAAUUACCCCUCUCAUUUUGUUUGUUAAUAAAAAAUUCUGAAAAAUCAUACAACCCAAACUCUUACAAACCAACACUCUCAAUUGUUCAACUGAAACAAUUUCGAUUUAUAAGUUUCAUUGUCCCAAAUGGUUUUUGGAGUACGGUUCUAUUACAAAAAGAAGAACAUCCAACAAAAUUUAUGGCUACUUAUAAUGAAGCAAUUUUGUUCAAAGUACAUUGAUUAUAAAAAUAGUUCUCCUUUGUGCAUUGAACAUUUUUCCAUCGGAGAGCAAAGCCUUGCCUUGAGAACUUCUUUAUAGUUUGAAAGUAUCUAGAAGUCUUAUUGUUUGAACAUAAAUAUACUCCAACCUAUAUCUAUAAAUAAAUGUCAUUUCGACAUUAAUAAUAAAUUAUAACAAUAAAUAAGUAUUUAAAGAAGGUUUUACCAUCAUUAAACAUUGUUAAAUUUAGAACCAACAUCUGAUAAAUAUUCACCAAAAAAAUACUUCAAGGAUUCAUAAUCUUCCUUGUAGCGGUUGAGACUAUAUUUUCAUAUUAAAACUUUCACAUACAAAUGCUCUUCACUCGCGUGGUGCUUUUGAAAGUGAGAACUGAGCCAUGUUUAUAAAAUAUUAUCAUAUUCUUAUAGUCAAAUUAAGAGAUUCCAUAAUAUAAAAAAGAAAUGUUAGAUUUAAUAUAGGGUGAAGAUAUUUGAACCCAUCAAAGUUCUAUUUGCACCCAUACUUUUAAAAAAUAUUUUUGCUGCUAAUAUAUCCCAAAUGUAAAUUAUGAUUUUAGACAUUAGACAAGACGAUAAAACUAAAGAAAAAUAAUUUAAUUCAUAUGCUCUUCUUUCAGGUUUCAACAGCCGCUUAUAUUGUGCUUUCAAUCUCGACUCAUGAAGCCAAACAAAACAAUAAUGUUUAUUGUUAGGCACUUUGAGAUAAGCUUCAAUGUGAAGAAGAAUUAAGUGUCAUGUAGAUUACAAAUUGAAGUUUGUCUGCAAGAUAAAUUUCCUACCAAGACAAGAUGAUAUCUAGUUACAAAGUACAUGAAACCAACAAAAAAUAAUUUCCAGCAAAGAUUUUUUUUUAUUAACUAUGAUAUUUACUUUUUACAGGUUUUUUAUUUUGAUUUGUUAUGAACACAAACAAGUUAGACAAUGACUAGAGGCAUGUAUAUAGGCGAUUUAUUUAAACUCGUCUGGAUGUAUUGCAAACGAAAAAUUCUUUAAAUCGAAUUUGUUAGUUUCUGUGAUUGAUUCCAAUCAAAUACUUGUUUAGAUGAUUGAUACUUAUCCAUAAUAUUUUUAUAUUAAAAAUGAGUUUAUAUUUGAAGGAAAUUAAUGGGUGUAGUAGUUAGUAUAUUUAUGUGUUUAAAAUAAUCUAAGAGCAUAUUUGGUAUUAAGAUGGAUGAAUAGAGUGAAAUCUUAAUUUUCAUAUUUUAGUAGUGAGCUUUUUUUUUAUAAAUAAGUUUAUAAAAUAUUUUAGCGGAUUCAAAUAAUCUCAUCCUUCAAUAUAUUAUUACAUAUUAAACCAACUGAAUUAGAAAUUAAAAGCAUAGUUGUAUAUAUAAUAUUAAAAGCUAAAACCCAGCGAGCUAUUAGCCUAUUACUUCUGAAUUGACAGUAUAGGUCUAAUGUCAUUGCUUCGGCAUGUAAAAAGGAAAUUAAAAUUAUGUAUGUGAACAUAUAAAAUGAAAUGUGAAAGUUAAUACUCAUUUUUUUUCAUAAGUCACGGAAUGGCACAUUUAUAAGGGCCGGCAGACCAUCGAAAUUUGGAACUAUAGUGAAAGAAAGCAAAACUCAAAGAGGCCAAAUAAUAAAUAUUACAUGUGCGGGGUAAAAAAAUAAAUAUGUCGAUCUUAGUUCGCUCUUGCCUCUUGUGAAGUCUGUAGCGUGCGUUUGACGCGCAUUCGAAGCGUGGUACUGAGGCAAUCCGUAAUCGCUUUUUCGCUUUUCGGCGAUACGGGGAUAGUUGGAAGCGCCACGUGCAUACUAGAAUAAGCAACGUAACAGGCGUUGCUUGGCAGGGAGCGCCGCAGAUUCGGUCUCACAAAAUAUCAAAAUAUAGUAUUUUUUUAAUAUAAAAUUUAAUCUUAAAAUAAAUUUAUAUCCUCCUUUUUUUUUUUUUAUUAGAAAUAAACGUAUGAGAUCAUUACAUUAAAAUCUCGGUAAACAAAUACUCAAUAAGUUAAUAAUAUUGAUAAUAAAAUCUUUUCGUCUCCUCUUAGGUUAAUAUAUUAAAUUAAUAAUAUGGCUAAAUACAUAGAUAAUAAUGAAUAAUUAGUCAAACAAAAAUUACUAAUAAGAAAUAACAUAUAAAAUUCAUAAUAUUAACAGGUCUAUUCUUGAGAACUUCAAUUUCUCAAAUCAACUCUUUUUCAAAAUAUACUUCUUAUGAUUUGAAGCUAAAAUUAAAACUAAUUACCGAUGUAUUUAUAGAAUUUAUGUCCUAUAUACUUUAAGCAUGUAAAACACUUUGCCUUUUUGGGCAUUAUUUUUAAAAAGUACACACAUCAUUUUGUGCCUAUAUACAAUGUACUUGCAUUAACUUUUGGACUUUUAUGUCCAUGAUCAUAACAUUAAUUAAUAUUUUUGUAUAUACAUUAUCUCUUAUGAAAUUCAUACAUAAAUCUUCUUAGUCAAAAGAAUAGUACAUGUACCAAGAUGAUGCAAAAACUAGAAUAUAAAACUCUUCUUAAAUUAAUAAAUAACUUUGCCAAAAUAAUUUUUUUUCAUAGUCCCACAAAAAUAUAAAGAGAUUUUCCUUGAAUUCAUAGAAUAUUUAGAUCUUGAAACAAGUAACCAUAGAGGGGUCAAAGUAAAUUUAUCUAAAAAAAUUAAGAUUAGUUGUAAUAUGCGACACUUAGAAAUUAGUUUAAACAUAUACCACAUACUAGCAAUGGUCAACAAAAUUUUAUAGCAAAUCUAUUAAUUAAUUUAGGACAAAAUCUAGAAAUUAAUUUAGACAAAAUUUCUAAGUUAUUAAUAGGAGUAGACAGUUCUUUGAAAUUAGUAAUAUUAAUACAUUAAGAAAAAAACUUAGAUUGUAGUGAAGAAAUAUUAUCAUAUUCCAAUAGUCAAAUUAAGAGAUCCCAAAAUAUAAAAAGAAAUUGCAGAUUUAAUAUAUUAUUAGAUAUUAAAACUCCUAAACCAGCUGAGUUAGAAAUUAGAAGCAUAGUUGAUAUACUAAAAAUAGAAACAUAAAAUAUUACAAAAACACAAAGUAACUUGUAACAACGGUUGGAUUCCGUAAGUACAAUACCAAUAGAAUAAGAGAAAUCUUAAUAAAAAUAUUAUAUGUAAGAUUGACAAUAUUGAUGAUAAAAUUAAAUAAUAUUAAUAGAAAAAACAAUCAAUCAAAUAAUUAAUUGCCUUCAUUUUAAUUAUGGAUUACGAUAGAUUGAUAGUAAAUUAAUAUAAUAAUUGAUUGACCCAAUCUUUACUAAUAAUCAUUGUUCCCGAAUUAUAUAUACCAAUUACAUCAUUUUCUUUUUCAUAUUUCAGAUACUUAUAUAAAGGGAAAAAACUUGUUUAGUCUGUAUAUUAUAAUAUUAGUGUCUAUUUAGUUCCUAUAUUUUUAAAAACACCUCAAAACGUCCCCGUUGCUAAAUAUUGACACCCGGGCCAUUAUUUUUUAUUCUUUUUAGCUUACUUUUACAAUAUUACACUCUUACAGUAAUGUUUUUUUUUAAUAUUAUUAAAAAAAUUCGAUUAUCAAAUUACACCUUUUUAAUAAUGUCUAAAAAAAGAAACAUUAUUGUAAUAGGAUAAUAUUGUAAAAAUAAGUCAAAAUGAACAAAAGAUAAUGGUAAGGGUGUUAGUAAUUUAAUGACAGGAUGCUUUGAAGUAUUUUUAAAAAUAUAUAGACUAAACGGACACUAACUUCAAAAUAUAGGGAUUAAACAAGCUUUUACCCUUAUAUAAAUUAAGCCUUUGAGCUCAUGAAUUAAUAAUAAGAGAGAAAUUUAUGUUUUCUAAAUAAUUCUCAAAAGUUUUCACUCUCAGGGGCGAGAGAGAGUUUUGUUGGCCAGCACUAUUAACUUGAAUAUAAGAACAAAAGUGUCUUCAAUUACAAAGAAAGAAAAUGACUUCAAAUUCAGAGCAUCUUCUAAAUAAAUAUAUUGGGCAAGCAGCAAGUUGCUUUUUUUUUUUUUAUAAAUAUAUUGGGCAAGCAGCAAGUUGCUAUUCAGAGCAUCUUCUAAAUAAAUAUAUUGGGCAAGCAGCAAGUUGCUUUUUUUUUUUUUCUACUUUUAAAAUGUUUUGUAAGUACAAAUCUAUUCCAUGCGCUUCUAACCUAUUUCCUAGUUCAAUAUUAUUAUGUAUUUUUUAUUCAUUAGUAGAAGAAGAAUUUAUGAUUAAAGACAAGGAACUGGCUCUCAAUAAGAAUUUUCGGAUUCUUAGUUCAAUACUCUUCUCUUCUAAUAAAAGUCAAAAGGAUUUUCUCAUUUUCUGGAGUUGGAUUCACACUUGUCUGUGAAUUGAUGCAUCGUUUUUUGGAUCUUUGUGCCACGGUGCGGGCGGUUCGUUUCGCCUCUGAUCAACCACUUGGAACUGGACCCACGUACUAGCAAUGACGAGAAUUUUAUUUUAGACCACUAAUUAAUUUAGGAGAAAAGACAAAAUUUCUAGGUUUGUAGUUGGACUAAGCAGUUGUUUGAAACCAGUGAAUGGUAGCAUUAAUAAAUAAGAAAAUACUUAGAUUGUAUUAAAGAAAUAUUAGCAGAUUUCAGUAGUCAAUAAUUUAACCGAUUCCAUAACCAGAAGACAAAAAGAAUAAAUAGUGGAUUUAAUGGGUAAUCAGUUAUUUUGGGUAUUUUAGUAUACCUUAAACAGAUCUUCACAGAAAAUAGAAAGCAUUAAACGAACACAAAAUAAAAUUAAAAACUGUUAGGAUUCUAUAAGGGCAAUACGACAGCCAAACAGUCAAAGUUAAUCAUGCAAAGCCCUUUUGGUUGGUAGAUUGCUGAUUGAGUGCUACGUUUCGGGCGAUUAACGAUAGCUCUAGAAGUUUCAGCUGAACAAACAUUUACAAUUUGUUUCUGAAUAUCAGGGGAUGUCAUUUGGAGAUUUGCUAGAGCAUUGUUGAAAAUAACACUUUUAAUUUCAUCAUUGUGAUCAACAAGAAAUCGUAGAAGCUCAAGAAAGUUUCCUCUAUUGUUUGAGCUUUGAGAUUCAUUAUUAUCACGAAAUGCAAGAUCUUGUCUCAAAAGAAAUCAAAUGCAAUCAAUUACAGCAAUUAAACAAACUCAGUACUUCCUUUUAAUUUUUUUUAGAAUGGUUAAAGCAAAAUGUGGCAACAUGUGCCUUCUGAUUCAUCAAUGAUUCACAACGACGCCUCGCUAUGUUAUGAGCACUAUUUGUACUUGUACCACCAACAUGUUGUCUCAACAUUUCUUUUUUCUUCCAAUUUCUAAACCCUUCACCAGUAAAACAUAGACCACCCCAUUGACUACCAUUUUCUUCUCUGAAAACAUAACAGUAAAGACAAAAAGCUGCAUCCUUGUUUAUUCUAACCAAUCAGGAUAAUUAUCGAACCAACUCCGGACAAAUCAUCGUGAUUUUUCUCCUAACGGCCUAGUAGGAAAAUCAUGGCUCUAAGGUUGAAAAAGACCCAUUUGCAAGUAUGAUCUCCGAACUUCGUCUUGAAUAUUAGGAUCUAACUUUGAAAUUAUCGUUCGUAAACCGAGAUCCCUUGGAAGAUCAUGCAAAUUAACUCUAACUUUUUCUUUUGAAUUGCCACUUAUUUUUCUUGAUGAGGUUGCAAUUGUUGAAUUCUUUCUUAAAUAUUUAUCCAUGGCUAUUUAAAUAAAUAUAUUUAUUGAAUAAGUAUGAUAUUCAUUGUUCAAAGAAAAUUUUCAACAUAAAUAAAAAAGAAUAUACAUGAAAAUUACAGUUACUGAACUAGACAAAAUAUUAUGAGUCUUCAUUAAAAAUUCAGUGUACAGGGGGUCUAUUGAUCUUAAUAACUUAAUUUGUUCUUAAAUCUUUUAAUAAUGGCAAAAAUAUUCAUAUAUGGCAACACAAAAAUCAAACAUGGAUAUAUAAUAAAAUUAAGAAUUCUAAAUGGAUAAAAUAACAAAAUAAUAAAAAAUUAGAAUUAAUAAAUUUAUAAUUUUAAAACUCAGACCAUACAAACAAAGAAAAGUGAAAAGUGAGAAGAAAUUCAGGCACACGGUGACUAGCAGUCGAGCACUGCUAAUUGGAUAAUCUGCUGUGGAGUCCACACACCAUGACACCACACAUUAUUCCAUGAAAGAGACGAAAUCUGCUGUGGAGUCUACACACCACACUUUAUUCAAUGGAAGAGACGAAAGAAAGAAUAAAGUUCAGACUUCACUUGCUUUAAUUGAUUUUUUCAAAGGAUUUUGGAAUUCACUUGCUUUAAUUGACCUUUUUAAUGGAUUUCGGAAUUCACUUGCUUUAAUUGAUUUUUUUAAUGGAUUUCGGACUUCACUUGCUUUAAUUGAUUUUUUAAUGGAUUUCAUUCCGUAAAAAGCGGUUUUCUUGUUGUCUUUAUUAAUUUUUAUGAAAUUAUAAUAACUAAUUAAAUUAUUUAGAAUUAGACAUUUAAGUUAGGGGUAACAUGAAUUUUUUUUUAAAAAAUUACAUGUGGCACUUUCAAAAUUCCACAAUUUAGGUGGGACAUUUUUAUAAAUAGUAAAUCAAAUAUAUUUUUUUAAGAUAACCAUCAAAAGAAAUUUUAACAGGCCCCAGGUGGUCCUAUGCUAGCUACGCCCGUGGUGACUUGAGAGUUGAGACUAUAUUUUCAUAUUAACACUUUCACAUACAAACGCUGUGCGUUCGCACAAGAAGAGAAAAGCAGUUUUUACUAUUUGAACAUAAAGGUUAAAUGGCAUAUGACUUAAAAAUAAUUAAUAAGUGACGGAUAUAAAGUUGUUGCCGGUGAAAGGUCGGUACAGGUGUUCAAUUCUUAGAAAAGCGAGCGCGUACCGGAGGUGGUCCCACGUAUCUAAUAUUAAAAUCUAUUUGUCUCAAAUCUUAAUCCUCUAAACAAAUCACUAAAUCAGUCUCUGUAAGCAAAUACACAUCGCAUGCUGAAAAUGGGAAAAACUAAUGAAAAGUGUCUGUUCUCAAAGACUCUCACCAAGACAGACAUUAACAACAAAUUUUCGGUGAAAAGCAAGAGCCUUGCAUCCUUCCCUCCCUUUGGAGCUCAAACGUAUGCUCAGGAUUUUAACGCAGAGGAUGAAGAAGGGAAGAAAUGGCUGUUUCGCUUGAUAAUUCGUAAGGGAAAGCACAAGAAGCCUGUUAUAUCUGCUGGUUGGCGCAGCUUUGUUCGGCAGAAGAAGCUUAAAAUUGAUGACAAAGUUUUGUUUUUUAAAGAACAAAACGAAGCAGAGAUUGCAACUGGGGGCAAGUACAAGAUCAAAGUGCAGAAAGCAGUCAAGGUGUUUAAAGCUAUUAUGGGCUACGUACCAUGCAUGGGUUAGGAAAUAUUUUUAUAUUUUAUCUCAAUAAAGUUGUAAUUCUAUUUUACAAGGGUCAAUAGAGCCAGAUAAGGGCAUGUUUCGCACGUUUGGAUUAUAUAUUUGUUUAAGUUGUAAUUCUAUUUUACAGGGGUCUAUAAGGGCAUGUUUGGCACGUUUGGAUUAUAGAGUAUUAAAAUCCUAUAUACUAUCUCAUGUUUGGUGGUAAAAUCACUUUUUGUUACUCCUCAUAAAUUUAUUAUUCCAGUACACUUAAAUCCGCAUAAAUUUUCAUUACUUUUUAUGUUGAAGCAUGUCUUUUUCUUUCUGGGUUUGAAUACUUUUUUUUUUUUUCUUUUCUUUUGCUGCUAUUGUUGUGGGUGGCUACUAAUUUUGUCAGUACUUUUUAGUUGGCUUCAUGAGUUGUUGUUAUAUUUUUACUUGCAAUUAAAUCUUGUUCAAAAUCUGAACAAAUAGACUAAUUUUGCUUUUGAGAAAAUUAAUUAAUUAGUUAAACAAGUAAUUAAAAAAUUAAUUAACUAAUGCGAUUAGACGGAGAAGAGUGGAGGUAGGAUUUGGAACAUGAGUGUGGAAAUUUUACUGGAAAGUACUGAUUAACUUUCUCAUGUUUUGAAAUGAUAGGUCACUUGAAGACUUUUAGUUUUCUAGCUUUUUGGACCAUAAGUAUUCUCAUAUGCUUGUGUCGUACGUUGGCAUUAUUCCCAGGUUUUUUGUAGUUUUGGACUUGCAUGGAGGCUUAAGGUGCGAUUGGAAUCAUUUUUUUUAUUGAGCGUUUUUCUUUUUAUAAAAAUUAUAAAAUAGAAAAUGCGUUUGGCCGGGCGGCGUAGCUAUAAUGAGAAAGUAUGGAGAAUAAAAUAUUUUCAUUCUCUAUCUUUGCUUAACAAAUGCAGAAAAAAAUAAUAAUAUUUGCGUUCUGAAUUUUGUUUUCUAGUCUGCAUGCAAUGCAUUGAGUGUAUGAAAACCACACUUAGGUGACUUUUUACCAUUAAAAAAAUUAUAGACCCAAAAAGAUAUUAAAUAUAAAUAUGAAACUUUAGUUUAAAAAUGAUAAAUACUCAAUAAAUUUUAUUAUGUAAUAUAGCCUCUGACAGCUAUGUGCAGCCAGCAAUUCCUUUGCUUCGGUGGUCACUAUCACCAUUGGAGCAUGUUAACGAAGAAUUUCUUACGGUCCAAGGAGUUGAGUAUGGGUAGGUGAUUGCAACUAGACAGAUGCUCAUUGGUAGUUACAGUUCUUUCUCAAUUAUCAAUUAAUUGAAUGGAAACAGUCUCUUCCUCACAAAAUAUGAGUGGAGUAGGUACCCCUCGAAUAUUAGAGAGGGUUUAAAAAUAUCUGGGCAUAUACUUUUGUGUGUCAAUGUAUGAUGGUGGUCCCAGUUAUAUAGUAUGAUUGUAAAUACUAAUUGUAAUGUCUGAUAUAAUGUCAGUAAUAUCUGUGUAUAACAGACUUCAAAAAAAAAAAAAAAACUAGACAGAUGCACAAAAGUCAAUAAUAAUAAUAAUAAAUUACUAAAAUUUAGUAAUAAGUGCAUAAUUAAGCAUGGUGAUAUCAUAUGUUAUUGGAUAAUUAAUGGGAAUCAUAUAAUAAUAAAUUACUCUGUCCGCAUCAUCAAAGCUAACAACUUUUUUUUACGACCAUUUUUGGGUUAGAUGUGGGAAGUUUCCAAUUUCCAGUCAAAUCUGUUGUUGUAUUUGACGAAUGAGAAAAAGCAUAAAAGCCGACGAAGGAAACAAUUAUCUACAGAUAAUCUUUUAGGAGAACCCAUGUGUUAAGAGAACAUUAGGUCAUUGUGACAUAUAUACAAACAUAUGUGGACUACAUGUCAGAGCCAAUCUUCAAUCCACUUUCAAAGUCUUUGGAAAUUGAGGCUAAGAAAACCGAUAUUGAUUUAUUAACUUUAAGAAUUUGAGAAUUUUUGGUUAUAAUGCGUUUCCUUUAUAAAUGAAAGUUGAGUAAAAUAUACCGGUUUUGAGAAUCAGCCUUUAAUACGAUGGUAACCAAAAGCAAACUUCAAUAUUCCAUUUGGGGGGAGUUUGGUUACUAAGAGAGUACUGAGAAAAUUUAGCUGUUUUGGAUAGAAAAUUCUCCGAGGGUUAAAUAGAGUAGCUUUAAUACAGUAAUUUUUUUUAAAUUAUUUAAUGCAAUGAUAUAAUAUCAACGAGGGCACUCCUGCAAUUUUAUAUUUUGGGUGGAUUGCUAACUUGCUAGUGAUAAUGUCAGCAUGACCUAUCAAUUUUACCAAUUUACAAAAUCUACCUUUUAUGAUUUGUUUAAGCUAUUGUUUUUUUUUCUCUCUCUCCAAUGUUUUGAUCUUUCUUAUCAUGUCGUUGAAUUUGUCCUAUAAAUUGAAUUUUUAGACCAAUGAAAUACAAUUAUUCCCUCCCAUUCGUCUUUUCUCCAGAACUGCAUCCAUCCAUCAUAAAGAACAAUAAAAACUUCACGGCAUCAACCAUCAAAGUCCUUAUUAAAUGCCAAAAAAAAUGGACCCUGAUAGGAAUUCACUGAUGUGAUUCAUUUAUUGCCCCCAAGGAACACAAAGUUGCUACCCAACACUUUUUUUCUCUCUAGAAUCGAAAUUUCUUGCUUGCGCACCAAAUAUGUCGAUCGUAGUUCGCUCUUGAGUCUUGACUCUUGUGAAGUCUACAGCGUGCGUUUGACGCGCAUUCGGAGCGUGAGACUAAGGUAAUCCGUUAUCGCACAUUCGCUUAUCUCAACUGAAAAGGGACAGGGAACACGGGAUAGUUGAAAGCCCCACGUGCAUACUAGAAUAAGCAAAGGUAACAGUCGUUGCAUGGCAUGGCGGGGAGCGCUGCAGAUUCGGUCUCACAAAAUAUUAAAAUAUAUAGUAUUUUUUUUAAUAUAAAAUUUAAUCUUAAAAAUAAAUUUAUAUCCUCCUUUUUUUUAUUUAGAAAUAAACGUAUGAGAUCAUUACAUUAAAAUCUCGGUAAACAAAUACUCAAUAAGUUAAUAAUUUUGAUAAUAAAAUCUUUUGGUCUCCUCUUAGGUUAAUAUAUUAAAUUAAUAAUAUGGCUAAAUACAUAGAUAAUAAUUAAUAAUUAGUCAAACAAAAAUUACUAAUAAGAAAUAACAUAUAAAAUUCAUAAUAUUAACAGGUCUAUUCUUGAGAACUUCAAUUUCUCAAAUCAACUCUUUUUCAAAAUAUACUUCUUAUGAUUUGAAACUAAAAUUAAAACUAAUUACCGAUACAUCAUUUUCUUUUUCAUAUUUCAAAUACUUAUAUAAAUUAAGUCUUUGUGAUCAUGAAUUAAUAAGCCUUUGUGAAAUUUAUGUUUUCUCAAUAAUUCUCAAAAGUUUUCACCAUUAGUGGCGAGAGAGAGUUUUGUUGGACAGCACUAUUAAUUUGCAUAUAAGAACAAACUUGUCUUUAAUUACAAAGAAAGAAAAUGAUAAACUUUGCUUUUAGAAUCGCUUCAAAUUCAGAAUAUCUUCUAAAUAUAAAGGGCAAGCAGGAAGAUGCUAUCUUUUUCUACUUUUAAAAUGUUUGUUAAGUACAAAUCUAUUCCAUGACCAUGCGCUCCUAACCUAUUUGAUUCCUAGUUCAAUAUUAUUAUGUAUUUUUUUUUUUCAUUCAUUAGUAGAAGAAGAGUUUAUCAUUCAUUAGUACUACAUUUUAACAAACUGGGCAUCAGAAAAUUAUAAACUUAUCUAGGAAGAAAAUGAGACUAUUCCCACUUUUUGUUUACUUUCUAUAGCUAGCAACAACAUCUCGACAAGUCUUUCAGAAAAAAAUAAAAUCAAAUAAAAUAAAACCUUAGCAAAUAACUAUAGAUUUCUUAAAAGAAAAAAUCUAAAAUUUAAGCACAAAAAUGUUAAUAAUCAAUACUACUCAAUGAAGAGAUUGAUGCUGAAUCAAUACUACUCAAGCGACUAUCACAUCUAGCUGACGGAACUUCAACUUUUCACCUUGAUACUGUUAGGCGAUUUUGAUGUUUUUCAUUUCUGAAGAUUUAUUAGAUUUCGUUUCGGAAUUUGACGAAAUUUUGAUUUUGAAAGAGAGUAAGCGAGGUUUCACUGGGUUUGGAGAAGGGGCGCAUUUAAAUGAAAAAAAUUAAUUACAAAUAAAUCUUGGCCAUUAGAUUUAAUGAUGCCACGUGUCAAUAGAUCUCUUCAAAGAUAGGAACUAGAGCGUAGGUUCCACGUAUUUUAAUCUUUUGAAAGACAGGAACGGAGCGAGUGGUCCCUUUAAUCUGUCCCAAGUAUUUUAAUAUUAUUAUAUCUAUUCUAUAAAGGAAAAUGAUGUUUGCCCCGGGUCAAAUCCCGGGUCAAACCCCGAAAAUAACGUAAACGGCGUCGUUUUGAUUAUUUUUUUUUUUUUUGGAAUACUCCAAAACGACGACGUUUCUGAUGAUAUUUUGAGAAGAAUAAAAUCUUUCUUCCUCUUCGUUUCUUCGUUUCACCUGCGAAAGCAACAGAGCAACAGAGGGAAGACAUCCCAACUUGGUCUUGCGCUCAAUGGCUUCAGAGAUAAAACCUGUCGUCAGUUUCCCUCUGGAGAAUUUGUAGAUUUUGUCAUUUGACACAAACAAAUUUAUACAACAAGCAGUUGAAUUAUACACAUGAGUUCUGAAAGUCAAUCACAGUUGUAGACAGCUUUACACUUCGUUGAUGGUAAAUUAUCACUUGAAAGCGAACCUCAGCAGCUAUAAAUGUAAAAGUCCUCCACUUUUUUCUUCUUUAAAGAGUUGUUCAAAUUAUAUACUUAGUUUAGUUUGUAUCUCAAUUAACACAAAAACUUGUGGGUUGUGCUUGACCAAUAAAUAUCUAUCAUUCUGCAAUUUGCUACUGUGGAUUUUGCUGGGAGACCCACCCACUUCGGGAAAAUACACGACCACUGGUUUUAAAGCCAAAAAAAGAAAAAAAGAAAAUGUUAUGGAAUUCAUCAUACUUUAGACCACUGCUGUUGGUCUUGAGUAGCCGAAACUCAGCUGUUGUUGGUCUUGUUCUUCACUAAAUGCAAGGGCUGUGGAUCUCGUUCAGGUUAAGACGAAGAGGAUGGAGCUUUAAUUAGUAGAUCCUGUUCUGCUGUCGACUCAAGGGCUGUAGAUCUAGGUCGAGGAUGGAAGAAAUGAAAAAGAAAUGAAGAAAGGAUGGAAGAAACGAAAAAGAAAUGAAGAAACAAAAAAGAAAAAAAUAAAGAAAACGACGCAAAUAAGAAAUCGAGAAGAGAACGAAGAAAAUGAAGAAGAAAUGGUUCAGCUGGGUUAAAGACAGAGGAAGAAGAAGGCUGCCAUUUGUCCACCAAAAUGACUUCGUUGAAAGCAAAUCAGAAUAAAUAAAAAAUUGAAGCAGAAACGUCGUCGUUCAAUAGCACUUGAAAACAAAAAAAAUUACGAGCCAAAACGGCGUCGUUUGACGCAUUUUCGGGGUUUGACCCGGGGUUUGACCCGGGGCAAACAUCAGCACUCUUCUAUAAAUAACAAAUCCGUCUCCGUAAGAAAUACACGUCGCAUGCCGAAAAUGGGUGAAGCUAAUGAAAAGCUUCUGUUCUCAAAAACUCCCACCAAGACAGACAUUAACAACAAAUUUUCAGUGAAACGCAAGAGCCUUGCAUCCUUCCCUCCCUUUGGAGCUCAAACGUAUUUUCAGGAUUUUAACGCAGAGGAUGAAAAAGGGAAGAAAUGGCUGUUUCGCUUGAGAAUUCGCAAGGGAAAGCACAAGAAACCUGUUAUAUCUGCUGGUUGGCGCCGUUUUGUUCGGCAGAAGGGGCUUAAAAUUCAUGACAAAGUUUCAUUUUUUAUAGGACACAACGAAGCAGAGAUUGCAACUGGAGUCGAGUACAAGAUCAAAGUGCAGAAAGCAGUCAUAGUGUUUAAAGCUGUUUCAGGCCAUGCACCAUGCAGUGGUUAGGAAAUAUUUUUACAUGGAGGCUGCUAAUUUACAACUGUUGUAAGGCGCAGCCGCUCACAUAAACAGUAUUUGGGUCCACAGUAUAAAUAAUAUUUGGGCCUGUAGUAUUUUUAUAUUUAUCUCAGUAAAGUUAUAAUAGUUGCAAAUUCUGCAAUCUAGCCUUAUCCUAAAGUUGUAAUAAACUUAAGAUAAACUCAAAGUUACAUUUUGUGUACCUUAUACCCGCUCACAUAAAUGGUAAGUGGGCUGCUGGAAUAUAAUUAAAGGGGAUCCUAAACCUAAAGUUGUAACAAAAAAGCAGCCAAGGCGUUUAAAGCUAUUAUAAGCUAUGUACCUUAGAACUGUUAAGAAAUAUUUUUAUAUUUAUCUCGAUAAAGUUAGUAAUAAAGCAUUAAAUUUGCACCAUCUCAAGUAUAGUGGUAAAAUCGCUUUUUAUUACUCCUCAUAAAUUUAUUAUUCCAAAUUCCAAUACACUUAAACCCGCAUAAAUUGGUUUAUGCCGUAUCGCAUUAGAUAAUUAAAACCCAUAAAAUCUCUCUUUUUUAUUCCAUCAAAACACGAUCCAUCAAGCAAAUCCAACAUUCGUUUAUUCAUCACCGAGUCACCACCGAUGCAAUUACCCCCAUUGCUCGAUGCCAUCACCGUCGCCAACAAGUGCUUCGUCGUGCCGCGUGAGACUUCCCAUCUGUUUCACCACUGACGCGCCUGCACUUUGCCGCUGAAUCAUCAAUCAACCGGUUAGUAUUUGGGUUUGAUUUUUCAAAUUGAACCACAAUCAGUUUAUUUUUCAUUACUUUUAUGUUGAAGCAUGUCUUUUUCUUUCUGGGUUUGAAUAUAUUUUUUUUUUUGGCUGCUGUUGUUGUGGGUAGCUAUUAAUUUCGUCAGUACUUUUUAGUUGGCUUCAUGAGUUGUUUUUAUAUUUUUACUUACAAUUAAAUCUUGUUUAAAUCUGAGCAAAUAGACUAAUUUUGCUUUUGAGAAAAUUAAUUAAAUAGUUAAACAAGUAAUUAAAAAAUUAAUUAGUUGAUGCGAUUAUACGGAGAAGAGUGGAGGGAGUAGAGAUGGAGAACAGGGAAUUGGAGGGGAUUUGUAUGUAUAGUUGGAUGGUAGGAUUUGGAACGGUGUCGUCUACCUGUACAAAUCUAAGAUAUUCCAUGAUAUUUAGGAAUCAAAAUUUAAUCUAAACUUCCAUAUGAGUGUGGAAAUUUUACUGCAAAGUACUGAUUAACGUUCUCAUGUUUUGAAUUGAUAGAUCACUUAGACUUUUAGUUUUCUAGCAUUUUGGACUAUGGUAUUCUCAUAUGCUUGUCUCGUUGACAUUAUUCCCAGGUUUUUUUUGGUUUUGGACUUGCAUAGAGGCUUAUUAUAUGCUUUUUGGUUUUGAAUUUGCACAAAGGCUUUCUCAUAGCUUAUUGGUUUUGGAUUUGCACAAAAGCUUUUCUCAUAGCUUUUUUUUUUUUUUUUUUUGAUAAGAGAGUGAAUCUUUCAUUCAAAAUAGGAAAGUACAUCAGGAGGAAAGUUGUCCUUCCAUGUGACAGAUUCGGAGCUUCUCAAAGCUCUUUCAGCAAGAGAUUGAGCACAACUGUUACAACAUCUUGAUACAUGUUGAAUUGUUAUCGGUUGGAACUUUUCCAUGUAGCUUUGAAUGUCUGAAAUAGCCCACAAAAUCUCCUUCCUGCUACUGGUUAUAUUGUUGGCUAAGUUGACCACUUCCAUACAAUCUGUUUCAAUAAUCACUGCCAAUAAUCCUGCUUCUAUUGCCAUUUCCAUCCCCCGUUUUACAGCCUCAGCUUCUGCUGCUGAAACAUUCUCUUGGGGCUUUGUGUUUUUUACUGCUUCUGUCGCUACAACUUGGCCUUGUGAAUUUCUAAUAACAACCCUGAUUCCUGUAAGCUGUGCCCCUGCCUGAACAGCUGCAUCCACAUUGACCUUGUAAUACCCGAUAGGUGGAGGACACCAUUGUUUUUGCUUGCUAACACCAUCUCUUCUGUUUAUCUGCUCCGUUUCAUGCACUCUUUGAUAAGCCUCUAUAGUAGCUUUUGCCUUUGCAAUUAAUGUUACCGGGCUUAAUUUUCUGCCUUCGAAAAUAAACUUGUUCCUAGCAUGCCAUAUUUCCUUCCAGACUGUUACCACAAACUCCACCUCUCUCUUGGGCAUCCAUCUCAACAGGCUCAGUAUAAGGCUUAGAAUAUCUUCUCUCACCAUUCCCUGCAAUUCAGAAUCACCAUAAUUGUAUUUCCAGACCUUCGUAGCCACCUUACACUCCAUAAGUGCAUGAAAGACAUCCUCUACUCCUGUUUUACAGAUUUGGCAUGUUGGCUCCUGUUGAACUUGUUGGUACUUCAGCAUACUUGAGCUUGAGAGCUAAUUGGUAACCACUUCGCACUGUCUAUAUUCCUUUUUUGUCAUAGUGCCAUAACCAUUCAUCAUUCUUAGGCCAUCUUGGUAGGGGAAUUCUCUUAAUCAUCUCUGAAUCCUCUUUUGCAAAGUGCUUCUCAAUCAAACUAUUCUUCCAUUGGUGAUCUGCGCCUAUUAAGUCUACAACUUUGGUAUUUGCUGGUAGAGAUGGAGCAAAAAUUGGCCUAAAAGUGGUCGGCCUAGGUUUCCAGUUGCUGGCCACAACACAAAUUUUAUCUCCUCUUCCAACUCUCCAUCUUAUCCCCUGCUGCAGAAUUUCUCUACCUCACAAAAUGCUUCUCCAAAUAAAGGAUGGAUUAGAACCAACUUUGGCUUCCAUAAAAUCAGUUUGUCUGUAAUAUCUAGCUUUCAGCACUUUGGCCACUAGUGAAUCAGGGUAUUGUAAUAAUCUCCAGCCUUGCUUUGCAACUAAUGCCUGGUUGAAGCUUGAGAGAUCUUUAAAACCUAUCCCCCCUCUGAUUUUAGCCUUACUAAUCUUCUCCCAUUUUGCCCAGUGAAUUCCUUUCUUGUCAUUUGUUGAACCCCACCAGAAUCUCGCAAUUGCUCUCUGAAUGUCAUUGCAAAUAGCCAAAGGUAUUUUGAAGACACUCAUGGCAUAUGCAGGGACUGCCUGAGCUACAGCCUUGAUCAAAACCUCUUUUCCACCACUGGAGAAGAAUUUAUGCUGCCAAUUCGAUAUUUUGCUCAACACUUUGAGCUUAAUAUCAUUGAAAAAGCUGGUCCUAUUUCUUCCCACCAUGGAAGGCAGUCCCAAGUACUUCUCAUGUCUUGAGACCACAUUCAGCUGAAAAAUGUCCUUUAUUGCUGCUAUUUGUCCCUGUGGGAUUUUACCGCUGAAAAACAUUAAUGACUUGUCACAAUUGAAGAGCUAGCCAGAGGCCGAAGUAUAGUACUCGAAAAUUGCUUUCUCAUAGCUUUUUGGUUUUGGAUUUGCACAAAGGCUUUUCUCAUAGCUCUUUGGCUUUGGACUUGCACAGAGGCUUAUAUGCUUUUCUCAUUGACAUUUAGAUCCAAUUUCUAAUUCUUUUUGGAUUUACAGUGUUCUGAAAAUCAUACCUUUUGCCACAAUAUUGAUGCUGCAAAUCAAUCUGAAAAUGCAUGCUUAAGUAAUUAACAAUAGCUUUUUUUUUAAUAUCAUGAAAUUAUUUGAAUAUCAAUACUCAGUGUGAAAAUGCAUGCUUGAGUAAUUGAAAAAAUAUUUUUUUUUCUUUUUAUUUGUUGUUUUCGAUAUGGACAUGAGAAUAGAAGUUUUUUUCGUCACAUGGCAAACGAAAUUAAGGUUCAUGUUCAUUGUGAUGUUUUUUCUCCAUGUUUACUUUAUCUGCAUUAAGUGAUGCAGAUAGUUGGCAAUAUGGUUCAAGCUGUAGCAACUGUGUAAUGAUCAUCCGUGUUAUUGAUCCAAAUAUAUUCAUAAUGAUGUAGUAAGGGAUUUACUUUUGUUUAUAACAUUGCAAACUUGAUAGAUGUUUGUGGGGAUAGCCUUUGGAAGAUAUCAAUUCGGGGAAUUUCCUCAAGAGCCUGCAAGAGGCCUGACUAUGUUAGAUGAACAAGUUGAAGAAAGGAUGCUUGACGUAUUUGUUUGAUUUUGGGAAGAUAUAUGAUGUUAGAGAUCAAAUCAAUAACUCUUUCAGCCAAGCAGACUGAGAACUGAUGCUAGAGAUGUUUCAAGAGGUUCUUACGGUUUGGAAAUGGUAUUAUUUUCCAAUGGAGGUCCUCUAAUUCAGAUUUGCUUACUGUUGAAAUAGUUGUGGAUGGUAGUUAGAUCUUUUGUCAUAUGCAAAUUCAGCAAUGUGUAACUUUAUCUACAUGUAUUGAAUCUGCAACUAAUUACAUGUAAUGAAUCAUUGUGUUGUAAAUGAUGUAAAAUUUUGCUGUUUGAGAAGUGUGUGGCUGAAGCUUAUGGGAGGUUUCCUUUGUGAAAUUUGAUGCACAAAUUAUUUGAUUGAAUGAUUUGAUUCGGUUUUUAUUUCAUAGGCUAUAAAUUUGAAAAAUGCUGAAAAAAUAAAUGUUAUGUUGCUGAAAAUUUAAGGUCAUAGGCUUUAAUCUUUUUGAAGAAUUAUGAUUUUUUUAUGUUUAUACUAAAAAAAUAAUGUUAAAUUUCUAAAAUUUAAAAUUUUUAUAUUUAGUGCUUUUCUAAGUACUAAUAAAUAUUAUUUUUUAAUUUAAAUUAAUCAUCAAAUAAAUUAAUACAAUCCAAUACAAAAUAUAAUAUAACUCAACUAAUAGUAGGCUUUGGUUUAUUUCAAUAAAACAGAUAGAGCAUACAUAUAUCUUCAUUUUCAUAUUUAUUCUCUACUCCUUUGUCAUCGGAGAGGGAUAAAGUGUCUAAUAGCUGUAGCUUUAGUUAGUUCUUAUAGUAUUAUAAAACUUUUUAUAUUGUAAAAUUUUGUUGAGCCCCUUGUACUUUGUUUUAUUUCAAUGAAACUCUUGGAGUACUAAUUUGCCCCCUAUAAUUUUGAAUUCCCAAAAUACCCUACAUUUAAUUAAUAAUUAACAAUAAUUACUAUUAAUAAUUAAUUUUUGAAUAUCAAUAACAAUAAUUAAAAUACAAAAUAAUGAUUAUGAUAAAAUUUAAUGAAGGAUUUUGUACUAAUUUGUUACAAUUUAAUUUAUUCUGAUUUUGAUUCUAAGACAAAAUAAACACAUAAAUGGUAAUACAAUUCAUUCUAAUUAUGAUUCAUGCCGUUCAAGUAAAUAAAUUAUUCUUAUUCCAAUUCCUCAUUUGGAUUCUAGAUACUUCGAUUCUAACUCAUUAUGUUUUCAAUUAAUUUUGAUUUAUGUUUAGUGAAUGAUAAAAUUCAUAAUACUUAUUAAACAAUGUAAAAAAUAUAGAGUGGUCUCACUAAAUAUAAAGUGAUUUACAAUUUUAUAGUGCAUUCACUAAAAAUGAAUCGAAAUUAGCUGGAAAUAUAGUGAGUUAGAAUUGGAAUAGCUAGAAUUAAAAUGAAAAAUUGGAAUCAGAAUAAUUUAUUUACUUGACCUGCAUAAAUCAUAAUUAGAAUAAAUUGUAUUACAAUUUAUGUGUUUACUUUGUCUUACAAUAAAUAUUGGAAUGGGUUAAAUUAUAACAAAUUACUAUAAAAUCCUUAAUUAAUUUUAUUAUAAUUAUUAUUUUGUAUUAUAAUAAUUGUUAUUGUCGUUAUUAUUAUUCAAAAAAUAAUUAUCAAAUAUAAUCUAUUUAAUAAUUAUUAUAUUUUUAAUUAAAUGGAGGGUAUUUUGAAAAUUUAAAAUUAUAGGGGGCGAAUUGGUACUCUGAAGGUUUUGAUUAAAUAAAACAGAGUAUAAGGGGCUCAACGAAAUUUUACAAUACAGAAAGUUUUAUAAUACUUAUAAAUAAUUUAUAAAUAAUAUAGAGUAUAAGAGGCUAAUUGAUAUUUUACGGGUCAGCCGUGAGUUACGGUAAAUGUAACUUACGCGGACCCGAUUAUUGCACGUUUGUUUCUUCUUUGUUUUGGCAGAUAUAAUACAGCCUCUGACAGCUAUGUGCAGCCAGCAAUUCCUGGCUUCCAUGGUCACUGUGACCAUUGGAGCAUGUUAUGUUAGUGGAGAAUUUGUUACAGUCCAAGGAGUAUUGGUAGGUGAUUGAAACUAGAGUACCAGAACUAGUAGCUGGUGUUGUCUUAAGAGAUGCAAAAAAGUAAAAAAUAGACGGAAACUUUAAUAUAUAAUAAAUUAAUCUUUUCAAUUCUCAGCGGUAUGACUUUAUCUGUAUUAGGUUUUUUUUUUUUUUUUUCCUCUAAUGUUUUGGGGGGAAAUUACUUUUUUUUUUUAUUAUUACAUUGUUGUCGUAAUAAGAUGAAGAAACUAUAUAUUUUAGGCUUUGUAACUUAUAGAGGUUAUUUAAUUUUUACAAAACAUUAAAUUUCCAAAACACUCUUUUUUUGUUUCAACAAUUUUACUUCAAUUUUAUCAUCAGAUAACCUGACAAAUUUUGUUGCACAUUAAUGUUCUAUUGCAGAGGCGGAUCUUAAAUAGUCGUUGCCUUUCGAGUCUCGCAAGUAGUAACGAGACAAAAUAAAGAGCAAUGAAAAUUUUCAAUAUUAUGUAAAUGUGUUUACGAUUUUAUUUUCUUUUAAUUUAGUAAUAAGUGUAUAAUUAAGCAUGGUGAUAUCAUAUGUUAUUGGAUAAUUAAUGGGAAUCAUUUAUUAUAAUAAAUCUGUUGUAUUUGGCGACUGAGAAACAGGAUUAAAGCCGACAAAGGAAACAAUUAUCUACAGAUAAUCUCUUAGGAGAAUGUGUUAGCAAAUCUCAGGUCAUUAUGACAUACCGACCAUAUACAAACAUGGGCAAAGUUAUGUUGCAACAUGCGUUUGGUACCUCUCUCUUUUGUCUUUUUCAAGGUCAAUUAUAGUAGUAUCCUGUUAUUUAUUAUAAAAAUAAAAAUGUUAAAUUUUUUUAAAGUUUUACGCAUUAGUCCUACACCUACAUAGCAUCAUUUUUCUCAUCCAUUUUGCACCAUCAAUGACAUCAUUUUUUCAUCCCUUUUAAUUAAAAUAUAAUUAAAAUUACUUUCCAUAUAGAAAUAGAAUAAUAAAAUAAAAUAAAAUUUAUUCUUUUUUUAAUUAAUUAUAAAAAAAAAAGAUAUUUUGUAUUAAAAAAUAUAGACAAUUACUAGUUAUCAUUGUUUCUUAUUAAUUGAAAGGGGACAUGAAGGGUUUCAUUAGACUUGAAAUUGGAUAAUUUACAUAAAGAUGGUUUCAAUGCUAGCAAAUGACAAUAUGUAAAGUUGCAAGCUCCUUCUAAAAUAGCUGCAACAAUAACUAUACCACAAAAACACAAAGAGUUACAUUACACUACCACCUUUUUUUUUUUUUCUUUUUUUAGAGACCCUCAAUUUGGUUGUUAAAGGCAAUGAACCUUAAAACAUGAUGUAGGAAACAUAUUAGAUAAAAAUAAAUUAGAAUUUACUAGAAAUUAUAAUAUUUGGGUCAAUUUAGAAUUUAGUAUUUUAUUAAGAUUUAUCUUAUUUUAUUAAAUUUAUUUGAGUCAUAUUUGUAAUCCUAAUUUAAUUAGGAUUUUAAAUUAUUUCUCUUAUUUGAGAAAAAAUUAAGAUUAAGUUAGCUACUAUUAUAUAUAUAAGCUUGUUAUUAUUAAUUUAUGAAUACAAACACAAGCUUCUCAUUAAUAAUAAUAUUUAAUUUUUUCAUAAUUGAGAUAGCUUUUCCUAAGUGAGAACUUUUUUUUAAGUUUCCAAGACAAAUGAUAUUAGAGCUUUUUUCUAUACCAGGCAUAGCAUUCCUAACCACCAACCACCUUUCAAUCGCAUAUCCUUCCUCCUCCGUACAUUAGUUCCAUCAAGUUAAAAAAAAAAAAAAAAACUAGCAAAACCUGAAGCCGGCCUCACAUCCGCCACACACGGCAACCGCCGCCACCGGUUUCUCUUCUUUUCGGUCGAUCCUCUCUCCCAUCCAAAAGCCCACACGCCGCCAAUCAUAACCCAACCCAUAACACCACCAUCUCGUCACCGUAGCCACCGAAAACUAGCCAAAACACCCGCUGAACCACCACGAAAAUCCGUCUCUCUAUUCCUUGCAAUCCAUUGUGAUUUAUAGCCUCCACCACCACCCAUUUAUCCAGCAUCAUCAGCUCUUUCUUUUCAACCCACUCACGCUGCCAACCCCCGGCCGGAUCGGCGGAAACCGAAACCAACCUCCACCCGCUACUUUAACUCAACUUUUUGGUCAAAUCACAACUAUUUGAGACAAACCACCACCAGCAUCACACGCAGCACCAUCAAAUCUUCCAAAUCCACCUAUCCUAGGCCAAUUUUUCGACCACCGUCGCCGGCAACACCAACUUUUGCCUAUUUAUAAUUUUGUCCCUUUACUUUUCUAUACUUAUACUAUUGCCUAUAAUUUUCGGUUCCUUAAAAAAACCCAAAAACCAAACAAACUUAUAAAAAUAAAUAAAUUAGAAUUUACUAGGAAUUAUAAUAUUUGGAUCAAUUUAGAAUUUAGUAUUUUAUUAGGAUUUAUCUUAUUUUAUUAAGCUUACUUAAGUCAUAUUUAUAAUUCUCAUCUAAUUCGAAUUUUAGAUUAUUUCUUUUAUUUGAGAAAGAUAAGGAUUAAGUUAGCUACUAUUAUAUAUAUAGGCUUGUUAUUCUUAAUUUAUGAUAACAGACACAAGUUUCUCAUUAAUAAUAUUCAGUUUUUUUCUCAAUUGAAAUAUCUUCUCUUUGGUGAGAGUCUCUUUCUUGAGUUUUCAAGACGCAUGCUAGAACGAAAUCUAGUAUCGCUUCCGCCUUGCGUUAAAACGUCAUCUAAUCAUAGGGUCUUGUUAUAGUUGUUUGCAUUGGAAGGCUCAUCUAUCGCCAACAAAUCUAUUUAUCCGGCAACAUUGCCACCAUUACAUUGAUUGGAGAAUUUUGAAUACGUUGAUAGUUUUUAUUUUUCUGUUCACUCACUUCUAUUUCUUAGUGAUGAUACUGUCAUUGUUGUCAUUGAUGGUGCAAUAAUUUUUAGCAAUAUUAUUUUGAUUUUUCAUUUGAUUUACAAAACUUAAAUAUUAAAUAUAAUACUCAAUUUUAGUCUCAUACACUUAAAUAUUACUAAUAUUCAAGUUCAUGGAUGGAUAUUGAAUAAAUCAAAUCCGGAGUAUUUUAGAUGGAUACUGUCCAAUCUAUUUGGAUCAGAUACUUACACAUCCAACUUGAAUGGAUUUGUUUGCUCUUUCUAGCUGUUAACUCGAUUAAUAAUUCUAUUGGGUUUGGUUUUAAUACUCCUAAUAUGAUAACUCAUUCAUAACACAAUUAAUUAUAUUAAUUGACUUCUAGUUUAGUUGAUAGAUAUGUGUUGAAUUGCCAUCUCUACUGUUAUCCAUGUGUGAUGUCAGCAAGAAAGAAGAAAGAAUAGAAAAUACUUAUUUUUAGUUUAUUUUCUAAAGAAAUAUUUAAAUUAUUUUCAAAUAGAGUAAUUGUUUAGAAUUUUUUUACCAUUCUCUCAGAUAAGUUAAUGACUAUUUAAACAAUUGGGGUGGAGUAACAAAUACCAAUUUAUUUAAGUGUGCAAUUAAAUUAUUAUUUUUAUUUAAGGACAAAAACUCAUUGUUAAAAAAAAGAUUUUACAAGUUCAUAAACUAACAUUUUAUUAUUAUUAUUAGUAAAUUAACAUAUUUUUACUAUAUAAUUAAAUAAUUGAUAGUAUGUUUAAUAAAUAUUAUGUUACAAAAAAAAAUUAACUACAUAGAAUAUGAAAUUAAAUUUAUUUUCGUAUUUUGUAUAUUUCAUCUACUCGAGAUAAUAAAAUCUCUUGUGCUGAAAAAAAAAAUUAUGGGUUUUGAACCUUGUUCACAUAGGUGAGAGGAAAUUGGUUGCCAUUAUAUUAAAUUAAAAAAAAAGAUCAUAUUUAUACCUAUCGUUAAUUAUGGUUAGUAAAUAAUAUACAUAGUUUAACUAUAUAAUAAAGUAGUUAAUUUAUUAAUUAAUAAAUUUAUUAAUUUAAAUAGAUAUUAAUAAAUGUAAGAAUAAGUCAUUUAAUUGAAAACCUAGUUUAAUAGAGUUAAAAAAAAAAAAAGAAUAUUAUGGACUUAUAUUUCAUAAUUUCAAAACUUUUGAUUUUGUAUUAUUUACAUGAACAAUAAGGGUCUUUGAUGUUAAUAAUCCAAUAAUCACAUCUCAGCCAUUAUGCAAUUCUUACGUUAAAUCCAACAGUAAAUUUUAAAAAGACAAAAAAUGGGGUACCAAACCCCAUACAAGUAUAUGUGGACUGCAUGUCAAAAGCCAAAUUGGAAACUUUAACAUGAUGGUAAUGCGGUUCCUUUAUAAUUCAAAGUUGAGUAAAAUAUAGUGGUUUUGAGAAUCGGCCGGUAAUCAAAAUUGUUGUCUGGAAUGCGCUCGGUGACCGCGAUCACCUGACUAAAAUUUCUCAGGAAAAAAAAAAAAAACACUGAAUUUUGUGACGAACUCUUGGAUUCGAUCAAUACAGUCUAUUGCAUUCGAGGUGGAAAAGCAAACUUCAAUAUUCUAUUUGGGGAGUUUGGUUACAAAGAGAGUGAGAAAAUUUAGUAGUUUUGGAUAGAAAAUUCUCCGAUAGAGUAGCUUUAAUGCAGUUUUUUUUUUUUUUUUUAAUGACAUGAUAUAAUAUCCACGAAGGCCUCUCCUGCAAUUUUAUAUUGGGAAAAAGGAUAAACACACUCUCAAUGUUUAAAUAAAGGGAUAAAAACUCUCAUAACAUUUAAAAAAAGAUAUUUACACCCCUAUUCACUAACGGAAACAAUUAUUUUUAACAGAAAUAGUAAUUUUAAUAUAUAAUUACCAUUAUACCUUUCUAGCACAUAAAAAAAUAAUUGUUAAUUGUCUAAUUUAUCCAUAUAUCAUUAAUAAAAUUAUAAAUAUACCCUCAUUGCCCAAUUCCUCUAUUUAAAUUUUUAUCAAAUUCUCUUUUCAAGCCAAAUAAAUUUAAUCCAUUAUCAAUUUUUUUGUCUAUUGGAUAUGUCAUUUAAUACAAUUAAGAUAAGAUUUUUGUAAUUAUUAUUGUAACCAGCCUUUUUUUUUUAUUUUGUUGAUUAUACAAGUUUAAAUGAUUGACAUGUAGAGAAUUGUUAUUCUUAUGGCAUUAAUAAAUAAUUUUAUUUAUUUUCAUUUUUGAGUAAUUGAUUAAAUUUUUUUGGCUUCAAGAGGGAAUUUGAUAAAAAUUUAAAUAGAGGAAUUGGGUAAUGAAGGUAUAUUUAUAAUUUUAUUAACAAUAUAUGGAUAAACUGGACAAUUAACAAUUAUUUUUUAUGUGCUAGAAGGGUAUAACGGUAAUUAUAUAUUAAAUUUAUUAUUUUUGUUAAAAGUAACUGUUUCCGUUAAUGAAUGGGGGUGUAAAUAUCUUUUUUGAAACGUUAGGGAUUUUUGUCCUUUUAUCUAAAUAUUGAGGAUGUAUUUGUCCUUUUUCCUUUUAUAUUUUGGGCAGAUUGCUAACUUGCUAGUGAUAAUGUCAGCAUGACCUAUCAAUUUUACCAAUUUAUGGAAUCUGCCUUUUAUGAGUUAUUUAAGCUAUUUUUUUUUUCAUCCUUUUUUUAAAAGUUAAGGCCAACUUCUACUAUGUUAAAAUUUAGUUGUGGUUGAGUUUAUACAAAAUAUAAUAAAAAUUAAGACUAUUAUAUAAGUGUAAAUUUUGAAGGUAAAUCCUCUUUAUUUAUAAUGUUUUGAUUUUUUUUUAUCAUGUCAUUGAAUUUGUUCUAUAAAUUGAAUUUUUAGACCAAUGAAAUACAAUUAUUCCCUCCCAUUCGUCUUUUUUCCAAAACUGCAUCCAUCAUAAAGAACAAUAUAACUUCACGGCAUCAAAAUCCUUGUUAAAUGUAAAAAUUAGAUCCUAAUAGGAAUUUAUUGGUGUGAUUCAUUUUAGAGGUGGACAUGGGUUGGUUUGGAUUGAGUUUUAAAUCAACCCAACCCACAACCAUAAAAUUUUAGACCCAAUCCAAACCAACUCAAAUAUUUUUAACCCAACCCAACCCAAACUAAAUUAUUUGGGUUUGCUUUGAAUUUUAUAAUCAAAAUAUUUUUUAUUUUGAUAAAUUUAAUUAUACAAAAUUAUAAUAAUUACUAAUUAUUAUUAAUUAUUAAAUUAAUAUUAAAAUAUAAAAAAAUAUUGUGGAUAAAAAAUUAAAAGAAAGAAUUAAAUUAAACUCCAAUAAUAAACUUCCACGAACAUGACAUAAACAAGCAAAUUAAAAGAAAGAAAAGAAAAUUUGAUGAUCAUUUCUAUCUACAGUACUUUAAUCAAAAGAUUCCAUGAUUAAUUGAAUCCACUCCUUCAACAAUAAAUAAAUAACCAAAAAAGAAAAAUUAUGUUGUUUGAUCCAAACUCUGUUGUUAUAUUUGAUAAUCAUAAGAAUAACAUCAAUUCCAAGCCAUCGCCUCUGUUAUUAUAUUUGAUCCAAACUCUACAUUAAAUAAAAAUAAAUUAAUUAAAAAAAGACUAGUGAUAAACAAAUAUAUAAAUUUUUUUACCUUGUUAUGAUAAACAAUUAGCUGACAUCAUCGCUUCAUAAAAUUCAAUCUCCUCCAUUGUUGGUUCAUCUUGUAAUGGGACAAAAGUGUUACGUAACCAAUUUUAUGAGUAUAUCAAAGCUUCCACCAUCUUCAGACUUAAAGAACCACGAAAUGAAUCAAUGAUGCGUCUUCCAAUACUAAACGCAGAUUCUGAAGCUAUUGUAGAUAUUGAAAUUACAAACACAUCCCUUGUAAUAUGUGAAAGAACUCAAUAUUUUAUUGAGUUCAUUUUCCACCAUGCCAAAAUCUCAAAGUCAUCAUCAUCAACAUGUUCACAUGGCUCCAACAAAUACCUCUCCACUUCAUUUUUUUUAUCUCAACACAAUCAUCUUUUUCUAUUCUUUGUUUGAACUUUGCAACACUUGAAAGUUUAGAAAACCAAAACUUAUGACGACUAAUUCACCUUAAAUUCUAAAGGAAAAAAUGGUGUUUAGGAACCAAAACUCAAAACUUGUAAAAGCAAUUUUAGCAAAGAAAAUCAUAAUAAAAAAAUGAAAGAAAGAAAAAAAAACAUGUACCAAAAUCUAAGUAAUUAAAUUUCAUAAUUCCAAGCAUACCCAUUAAGCAGAAUCUAAGUAAUUGAAAAUAUGUAAAACAAAUUUUGGGCCACCAGAAUAGAAUCCAAGGAUUAGAGGUCCACCACAACAGUAACAGAAGAAAAAAAAGACUGAUGCAGAACCUCACCUUAAAUCAUUAGGAAGAAUGCAAUCGAAGUGGGGGUUUAGGAAUUGAUGACAAUGAGAGAUCCACAACGUCACUUUUGUUGACAGAGAUUGUAGAAGAUGGAGAGAGAUCAAAGAGAUUCAAAGGUUUGUUUAUUUUGUUUAAUUCAUUUUGUUUAGUUUUGGAAAUGUAUUCUUGACUUAUGGGUAAUUCAUACCCAAACUAUUAUGAAAUGAUUAUAUACAUAAAAACUCAAAUUUAACCCAUUUUCAUGAUUUACUCGACCCAAAUUAUUUUAUUUGAUUUAAGUUUGGGUAAACCCAUGGAUUGUAGGUUAUGCCCACCCCUAUAUUUAUUUAUUGCCCUCAAGGAACACAAAGUUGGUACCAACACUUUUGCUCUGUGAAAUCCAAAUUUCGAUGGUAGCAUUCUUAGCAGCUUAGCAGGCUUUGCUCAUCAUUUUUAUUUCUUCAAUUAGCUGCUUUUUUUUUCACUCGUUUUCACAAUUACAUGCCACACGCGUCCCAAUCAAUCCGGACGCGUCAAUAAAUUUUGAAGUGUGUGAAAGAGAGUUGGUGGUCACUGAUCACAGUGUGUGUGUGUAUAUAUAUACACAAACACACACACAUAUAUAGCCCUAAUGAUGAAAUCUAUCUUUUGACAAAUUAUGUAUAUAUUACUCAAUUAUUAUUUAUAUAUACAAAAAAGAGAUUGAUAUUGGGGUGACAAAUUCCAAGUCGGUGUGACUCAAAAGAGUGCCAUCUUUGAAAAAGCAUGCUAUCUCUUGCCUCUAGUUAACAUCUAUAAUUCAUGUUAAGUGUUCAUGGACGGCCAAAAAGCAAAAGUCAUUCAUUUAAAAAUAAAUGAAAGAAUCUUCAGUCUAUAAAGUAAAGUAUCAUCUUGACAAGCAAAUGGGUGUUUAAAGCUGCUGCUUGCACACGAAGUUAAGCACUUUUAAUAACCCAUCACACUCAAUUAACACUACAAACUCUUCUUCUCCCUUUUCCCACCAAUAAUGCUCUAGGGCUUGUUAAUGAAAAUGGCUGCAAUCCAAAAACUGAUCGUUGAAGUUGUUGAUGCACGCAACCUUUUACCAAAAGAUGGGCACGGGACCUCCAGUCCCUACGUCGUGAUUGACUACUACGGGCAGAGAAGAAAAACCCACACAGCGGUUCGUGAUUUGAACCCGACAUGGAACGAGGCACUCGAGUUCAACGUUGGUAAGCCACCUCAAGUGUUCACUGACAUGUUUGAACUUAACAUAUUUCAUGAUAAAGCGUACGGUCCUACUACAAGGAAUAAUUUUCUUGGUAGGAUUCGGUUGAGUUCAAGCCAGUUUGUUAAGAAAGGUGAAGAAGCCUUGAUUUAUUACCCUCUUGAAAAGAAAAGCUUGCUUACUUGGAUCCAAGGUGAAAUUGGGUUGAAAAUUUAUUAUGUUGAUAUUGUUCCGACGCCGCCACCUGCGGCGCCAGCGCCAGCGCCAGUUCCACAGCCAGAUCCUCCUGCGAAGGAAGUGAAACCUGAUCCAACUGUCGAAGCUAAAGCUGAAGCCGCGAAGCCCAAUGUAGAGCCAGCCGCCGAUCAUGAGGCUAAAGUUGAAGCUGAAGCAGUACCAGCACCAGAAAAUAAAGAGCCUGCAGGGGAUAAAGAACUCCAGUGCGACACGUCAUCAGCACCAGAGCAAGUACAAGCAAAUGAAGAACAAGCUCGACAGCAGCCAUCCAUGCAGGAGCAAUCUGGCCAUAGUGAGUUUGAUCUUACAACGGCCAAGGCGGGCCCGGAAGCUCCAGCGGCACCGUCUGAUCACGUGAUGGCGGCAUCAAUCUCCGGGUCUGUGCCGGAGGUCAAAGUAACUCCUCCGAGCAGCAGUCCACAGCCAAUCUCAAGGUCAGCGUCAAUGGCGAUCUUCGCUUCAGCCACAUCAGGUAACAUUCCGAUCAACGGUCCACAGCCAAUCUCGAGGACAAUGUCAACGGCAAGCUUCGCAUCAGACAUAACAGAUAACAUUCCGAUCGAACGGUCGUCGUUUGAUCUUGUGGAGAAGAUGCAUUACCUCUUCGUACGAGUAGUUAAAGCUCGGUUCUUACCCACCAAAGGCAGCCCGGUUGUAAAGAUAGCCGUUGCGAACAGCCGCGUCGAAUCGAAACCCGCCCGUAGAACCUCGUGCUUCGAGUGGGACCAGACGUUUGCUUUUGGCCGAGACUCGCCCGAAUCCUCCUCAUUCUUAGAAGUCUCGGUGUGGGACCCGCCGAGAGGUGACGUGGCAGCUCCUCCUGGUUUCUUAGGUGGCAUUUGCUUCGACGUUUCGGAGAUUCCAUUGCGGGAUCCGCCGGACAGCCCAUUGGCCCCUCAGUGGUACAGGAUGGAGGGUGGUGGGGCCUACAGUGGAGACUUGAUGCUCGCCACUUGGGUUGGUACCCAGGCUGACGAUUCAUUCCCUGACGCAUGGAAAACCGACACAGCCGGUAAUGUUAACUCUAAAGCCAAAGUUUAUGUCUCUCCAAAAUUGUGGUACCUUAGAGCUACUGUAAUUGAAGCACAAGAUAUUUUGCCGCCAGUAGCGGCGUUAAAAGAAGCCUCGUUUACAAUCAAAGUCCAGUUAGGGUUUCAAGUACAGAAAACCAAAGUCUCCGUUACGCGCAACGGAACUCCGUCGUGGAACGAAGAUUUACUCUUUGUAGCUGCCGAACCCUUUACUGAUCAACUGAGUUUCACGUUAGAAAACCGACAACAUAAAGGAUCAGUAGCACUCGGAGUCACUAGAGUUCCACUAACGGCUGUUGAAAGGCGAGUUGAUGACCGGAAAGUGGCGUCGAGAUGGUUCACGUUUGAAAACACAAAUGAUGAAAAGAGGGCAUACAAAGGUAGGGUCCACCUGAGGCUGUGUUUCGAUGGUGGGUAUCACGUGAUGGACGAGGCGGCGCACGUGUGCAGUGACUAUCGACCUACAGCUAGACAGCUUUGGAAACCGCCGGUAGGAACCGUUGAACUUGGUGUGAUUGGGUGCAAGAAUUUGUUACCGAUGAAAACCGUAAAUGGUAAAAGUACCACGGAUGCUUACGUGGUGGCAAAGUACGCGUCCAAGUGGAUUCGGACCCGUACGGUUUCGGACAGCUUGGAGCCACGUUGGAAUGAGCAGUACACGUGGAAGGUUUAUGAUCCUUGUACGGUGUUAGCACUGGGAGUCUUUGAUAGUUGGGGAAUAUUUGAAGGUGAAAACGGUAGCAUGGAAACGACACGCCCUGAUUGUCGUAUUGGUAAAGUACGAAUACGUAUUUCUACUCUGGAGACCGGUAAAGUUUAUAGAAAUACGUAUCCUUUGCUUUUGUUGGGAAGUAAUGGGAUGACAAAAAUGGGUGAAAUAGAAGUGGCCGUACGGUUCAUACGUACAAGUCCGACGUUGGAUUUCUUGCACGUGUACUCGCAACCUUUGUUACCAUUGAUGCAUCAUAUCAAGCCACUCGGGAUGGUCCAGCAAGAGAUGUUAAGGAGUGGGGCUGUUAAGAUUAUAGCCGCACACUUGGCAAGAUCAGAGCCACCGCUGAGGCGUGAGAUAGUGCUAUGCAUGCUUGACGCGGAUUCACACGCGUUUAGUAUGCGGAAAGUGCGGGCUAAUUGGUUUAGGAUCAUCAACGUGCUUGCGGGUGUGAUUGAUAUCUUACGGUGGGCGGAUGAUACGCGAUCGUGGAAGAAUCCUACGGCUACCAUUCUUGUGCAUGCAUUGUUGGUGAUGCUGGUGUGGUUCCCUGAUCUGAUCGUGCCCACAUCAGCAUUUUACGUGUUUGUGAUUGGCGUGUGGAAUUACAGGUUCCGGAAGAGGGACCCACUGCCGCACUUUGACCCGAAGAUCUCGCUGGCCGAUACAAUCGAACGUGACGAGCUUGAUGAAGAGUUUGAUACAGUACCAAGUGCAAGACCAAACGAAAUCGUACGGGCCAGGUAUGACAAGCUGCGUACGCUCGGGGCACGUGUGCAGACACUGUUGGGUGAUUUUGCAGCGCAGGGGGAGCGGGUGCAAGCAUUGGUGACGUGGAGGGACCCACGUGCCACGGGUAUCUUUGUGGGGUUAUGUUUUGUCGUGGCGAUGAUAUUGUAUUUGGUUCCAUCCAAAAUGGUGGCGAUGGCAUUUGGAUUCUACUAUCUGCGCCAUCCGAUGUUCCGUGAUCGGAUGCCAUCACCAGCGUUGAAUUUCUUCAGGAGGCUGCCUUCACUGUCCGAUCGAAUCAUGUAGACUGAUAUUGGAUUUGGAAGGGGGUGUUUUAAUUACGUAGCAAUAAAGCCUCAAUAAGUAUCGCACGAAAUCAUAGCAGCAUUUUUAUUUUUGCAAGUCCUUAUAAUUUGUAACUCGUAUUGUAUCAAGAGCAUUUCUUAAAUAAUAAACAAUUAACCAAACAUCGGGCUAGAAUUUGCUAAAAGACUAGAAGUUAGCCAGGAACGUCUUGCUUCAUAGACUCGAUUUAGCGUUUUCUAACCUACAUUUGGUGCACACAUGAAGCGAAAUUAAAUAUUAGAGCAUAAUCAUUUACCUUAAGAAAAAAAUUUGCAAGCAAUUUAAUUUGGAAUAUAUUCCAUUUGUUGUGUAGAGAUUUGAAUCCAUUAUUAAGCUAUUGAUUUUGCUACAUGAGAUGUAAAAGAAACUUCACAUCUAGUAUCAAGCUAUUGACUCGAAAAGGAAACUUCACAUUUAGACAUGAGGGUUAUUUCUUAAUUUCUCUGCGUAAAAAAUUUUCUAUUAUAAAUAAAUCUAAAGCUAUAAAUAUAUAUAUGAAUGAACAGCGUUAUGAGUUAAGAACCUUUGUAUAAGUCAUUCUAUAAGUGCUUCAUCGACCAGCCGAUUGGUCCAUGAAAUUACCCCACCAACACGGCACCACUAUACGUAAAUUAUUUUAGAAUCUAAAAUGUUAGGCGAAUAAGUUACUUUUUAUAUUGGUUCACUAAGUAACUUAUCUAUGUUCCUUUUGAUUCUUUCCCCAACCUUCUUCCUUCAUAUAAAAGAAGUUAACAAAUAUUUCUUCUAUACAGCGUAGCGGCAGUUUCACUGUAUACACAUAGUAUGUGUAAAUGGCAAAAGGAAUGAGUAUUGACAUAGCAUUGAUAAAAACAAUUAUAAACCAGCAUCGAUUUAUCUUGUUUCUUCAGUUAAGUGAGAAAAUCGGCAUUGGUUUGUUACUGUUUAUACCAGCAGCGUACUACUAAAUUUUUCUGUGUCAAUAUAUUUAUUAUCUUUCACAUAUUAAUCUACUUAAAAGGGGAAAUAAUCGUGUAUAUACAUUCAUUUACAUGUAUAUAUACAUACAUACAUAAUACAUAUAUCAUCACAUCUCAUGAGGAACAAACAUGUCAGCAGCAAAAGUACAUGGUUGUGAAAGUAAUUAUCGGAAAAUGCACCUCUUUUAGUGAUAAAAUUCAGUUAUAUAAUGCACUGUCUCUUCUUUAAUUUAACUUUCAUUAUUACCCCCGGCUACUUAUUUCUCUCUUUCUUUCAUUGUUUUUACAAAUAUAUGUCUCAGUACUGCUUCAAAUCGCUUGGUAACUGCUAAUAAACCUUGAUUGAGCAGUGCAGGCCAUGAUGUAAUUGAUAGAAAGAACAAUGUUGUAUUGUUAAUUAAGUAUAUCUAGGAAAUAGGAGGAAACAUGUACACAAGAAGAAACAAAAACUAAACCCUAACUAGCAACUAAUAUGUUUAGGGUUAAUCAGCUAGCCAUAAUAAUUUAGAAGCCCAUGGGCUUCAUUCCCCUCAUCACAUGUAUCCUAUGCAUCUUCGACUUUUUUUGUGCGUGGGGCACCAGCCACCAAGCUUAUAUACUCGUUUUUUUUCAUAGGAACUAUUCUUAGAGAUGUAAAGUCGAUGUGUGUGAUAAUUUAACAAUGCGCGUGAAACUUCUAGGGAGUAUUCUUACCUAAUGUGGGAUAUAAUAGUCUUCUUAAUACUAUCAUGUAGAAAGAUAAUGUGGGCCUUAUUAUAUGAAAUUUUAAGGCUGACUUAUACUCGUCUAGCUACUUCUAAAAUUGAGGGUUACCACAAACUUAUAUAUUUUGGCACAUAACUAUUAACUCCUCGUCGAUGUGGGAUAAUCUUCUUAAGAAAUAAUGUUGCUUAAAAAUGAAGUAGUAACAUGUAAUCUCUAAAAGAUAUAACAUAAAAUUUUGGGAAACUAUAUUUUCUCACCAACACUUGAGAAAUAUGGGAGCCAAAACAUAAAUUGAACCAAAAGUGUAGACAUCUGCUAGUUAAAAAGGUGAAGUACUCCCAAGUCCCAAUUUAAAUACAAAUUACCUUAGUAAGAGUCGAUUGAAUUUGUGACAAUAGUGUCCAAAAGAUGUUUGAAAUACACCUAUUGAAUAAUGCCACUUAGCCGAGGUAAACUAUUAGAUGAUAUACAUAUAUAGUAUCAUUAUAUAAUAAGGAAUACUUGAAGAUAUUAAAGUGAGGAAUAAACUAAAAAUAAGCAAAAUAUAUACUCAAAUGUAUUGAAGUAUGUAUUUUUCUUGUUUUUACUUUAUCUCAUUGGAAAAUAACACGCACACACCUAUUGUCUGGCAAGGAUAUACUCAUCAAGUCAAGAUGCCAUUAAAAAAAAUAAAAAGAAGAUAAAAAUAGUUUUUAAUGUAUUGAAAUAUAUAUAUAUAUAUAUAUAUAUAUAAAACAUUCUCACUAUAGUAAAGUGAGGAUAGCCUCGUUAUAUUGUCUCUUUAUUUCUUUUUCUUUUGAGACAAUGUCACUCAAAUUAAAUUAAAUGCCAGUUCUGUCACUUGAAAGUACUUACUACUUCAUAUCACAAACUAUGCUAUUAACUUUAUUAGUCACUAAUAAGUAGUUUUAUACAUGUAUGCCGCUUAUAUAACAGUGUCCGAUCAGUGGUGUCGGCUAGGGUUUUUAUAUAUGUAAACACCUAGAGGAAGAGAUUGUGCCCACACAUUCAUAACAUAUGAAUAGAUAAAGGACAAUGACAAAACUCUUUUGUUCUUUUCCCCCAAUAAAUGAAUACAUUAGAUUCUCUUUCGAUCUGUUUCAUAUCUUACAUUAUUUGUCCGAGAAUCUGCAGUGCCCAAAUUUCUUUCUCAAUAUUGUUUGCAUGUAUUUCACAUUGGAGAGAGAAAGAGCAAGAGAGAACAUAUUUUUCAUCACCGUUCAAAUUUUCAUAAACUAUGUAUAAGCUCGUGAGGAUAGUUAAAAGGGUAAAUAUUAAGUUUGAAAUAAUUAACACACUCAGUUAAUUAAAAUCUGUCUCCUAAUCAAUCAUAUCAAAAUAUAUACCACGAAAGAAUCCAAUUUAUGGUUAUCCAAAAGAGGUCCAAAGUUUUUUUUUUCUUUUUUUUCCCUUUUCCUUGUGUGGAUCUGUGCUUCGGCCUUCGAGUGAUCGUGAUUUAAUUGUUCGACAGACAGAAAGAGUUUAACAUGUGUCUACUCCUAAAAGAAUAAUAUAACCACACUAACUAAGAAAGAUAACAAACAUAAUCAUGAUUUUAACUAGAAGUUAUACAAGAGAUUUCUAUUAAAGCCAUGUAUAGUUGAAAGAUGAUUAUUAUUGGAACUUGUAUAAUAAGAUUAGGGUUUUGUGAUGUCAUCUAAACAAAAUAUACAGUUAUCAAUAGCCAAAACCCAAGAUUUGAUAACAUACCUUUGCUUGGCAGCCUUCUCUAUUUCAGCAGGGAAAAGCUUGGUGUGAGGAAUGAAGCCUGGUCCGAGAUCAUUUUAAAAUCGACAAACAAAUUAAUUUACAUAUAUACGUAAAAGGAUCCAAAUCCAUGAACCCCUUUUCCUCCUUCCUCAACUAUACAAGUAAAAAAAAUCUCAAAGAGCUAGCAAGGCAAACCUCACACUCUCAUCAUUGUACAAUCAAAACCUAGAAAGGCAUCGAGAUUAUUAUUAAAAUGACAAUAGAUGGAAGAGACACAAGGAUCUUGGAUCGGGCUUCAUUCCAGACCCCUACUUACCUUAAUUUCUCAAGAAAACUCUCAAACAAUCAUAUGAUUCAAGAAAGCUCGAAAGUGGUCAUCGUAUCAAGCGCUUACUCUCUAUCUUGAAAAGAAAAAAACACACACGCAUAAAAGAAAUUAAUAGUAAAUAGAGUGACAAUAUGAUCUUGGAUCAAACUUCAUUCCAAACACCACUUUUCCUUCUUUCAAAGAACUCUCUUUGGCUAGCUACUAGCUUUUUACAUGAUUCAACGAUCGAAUACCCAACAAGGCUGCAGCACUCAAGCACUUACAGCUCUCUCUGCCCCUUUAAAGAGACUCAGACUCACAAAUCAUUAUAAUAUAAGCAGAUAUGUAGAAGAGAGACAAAAAAAUAUGUGUGGGAAGGAAAAGAGAAAAUAAACAAACAGAUAAAUGUAGAAAGCCACAUGAUAGACAGGUCAUUUGUAUUGAUAAAAUAAUAAAAAGGUUGGUGGGUUUUGGAGGGAUCAUAUUGUCUUCUUCUAAGGUUAACUUCUUAGUGACUUACUUUUACAGCCUAUCUCUGUAGGGAAAUUAAUAAAGAACUAGCUUUGCACUGAAAAUAACGAAGCAUGGGAGGAAGGCGACAAUAUGGGCCUCCACAUGGUGCAAUUUAUAAUACUAUAUUAAAGGGUAAUCUUUUUUAAUAGUAAUUAUUUAUGACCAUUAUAUGAUAUUAAAGUAAGGAUCACACCAAAAAAAAAAAAAAAAAAAUUGUAACAACAUUGAACAUAUCAUCACCACCGAGAAGAAAAGGGAUCACCGCCGGAGUGCAGAGCAUGUAUGAGCACUGAGUCUCCUGUUAGUGUUCUAACUUCUAAAAUAUAUAUUGUGGCGCAAUAUAGUACUUGUAUGUCUGUGCGAGAGACAGUAAGAGUAUCUAUUCUCUGAAGAACAUAACGUUGUAAAAAGCAUUGCUACUUGAAGAAUCCCAAUGACAUAUUCUGCUAGACAGUUUUUUUUUUCCUGCUUCUAGCUUAUGUCAUUUUCGGAGAGCGAAGGGUCCAAACUACCACCACAGAUAAAUAUAAUUUUGCGUGUAUAUAGUAUAUGGUUUUCAGGUUUCUUUUUUCUUUUUUUUUUCUUUUUCAUGGUACAUUGCUGGCGAUAAUCUUUAGUCUCUAAUGUGUUGGGACGUUGUCAAUCUCACGUCACCUUAGAAUAAAUCGUGGACUAAGUACAUUAGCUUGAGACAAUGCUAAACUUUAGAGUUAGUUUUUGAGUCUUAAAUAUCUCCUUAGCCUUCUAAAUAAUGCCCCUAUUAACUGAAAUUUAGUUUGAAAUUUAGAAUAUACAUUUGCUGAUUUGAACUUAUUUAAUAUUUGAUAGUGACAAAAUAAGAACGUUUAGAACAUUCUUAUUAUUUCUCAAUUGCUCAAAGGCCACUUUAUAGAAGAAAUUCAAUGACAUAAAAUGUAAAAAAAAAUCAUAUAAAUGAAGAAUUUGGCUUCCAAUUUUAUAUGCACCUAAUAAUAUUAAUUCUUACUAUAGGACAUAAUAUUAAUUGGGACUGAUUCUUGCUAUACGUGCAAGACAUAAUGAUCUUGAUUCUUGUUAUUUAUGCAUCACAUAAUCGUCUUGAUUCUUACUAUUUGAGUAUGUGAAAAUGUAUUAUAUUAUGAUAUUGACUCCUAUUAUACGUACAUAUGUAUAUAUAGAAUGACAUCUUUUAAUCAAAAUAUCUCAAGUGUAUAUGUGGUCAACUUUAUCACUAAAAUAGAUGUACUUGGCAAUGUUAACACAUAAAAUCUCCCCAUCUUAUAAAAACGUCUACAUUCCUUAAGUUUGUUUGCAUAGAGUUAAUUUGUGGCUCAGAUUUGCUCUUGUAAACUUUAGGUGGGUGGCUGCAAUGAGUGAAAUCACUCCCAAGUGUAAUCUGCCUGAUUGAUCCAAAGUCACCAAAUCAAUAUCAUCAUAUAACAUAGUAUGAAAAACGUGGAGGAUUAAAUAGUUUAACAACUACUACAAUACAUUAUAUUCUCAAAUCUGCUUUAACCUGCCGCCACUAAAAAGGCUACAUUAAUUGAAUUAUUGCGAGGUGUAUUGUUACCAUAUAGUUAGCAAUUAUCAAAUGCAUUUUAAUUACGUAGCAAUCAACAAAUCUAAGAAAGUGAGGCCUUCUUUGAGGAAGAUUGAGGAAAGAACUGUAAAUUGCCAGUAAUUUGGGGACCAAUUAGUGGAAUACAGUGAUAUAUUUGGAGAUAUUUGAUUGGCACCCCUCUAAAUACCACUUAGCACCCCUCUUUUUUAUUAACCCUGUUAAAAUAUUUAAAAAUAUUAUAAAAUUCUUUUAAAACUCCUUAAAUGAUAAAAUUGCCCUUAAUUAAAACUUAUUAGUAUAAACAUCCUUCUUUAAUUAUUUUUUGUCUUUAUUAUUAAACCUCAUUUCAACAAUGUAGUUUCUUCUCUCCAUCGUAGCCGCCAAUAAUAAGUUUUUCAAUAGAAAAUAAGAGGAAAAAACAAUCCUUUUAAUUUCUAAAAUGUUGGAUUUUAAUCUUAGAUACCACCUUCACUAAAGGUUGCUUUAAAUCACUAUCCCAACCUCAUCUGCCUAGUUCUAUGUCUUGUUCAAUCUAUUAUUCACUCUAUUGUGAGCUUCAGAAUCAUCAGCUUCACCCUCAAAUUCAUUCAUCUCAUUCUUCUUAUUCUCCCCUGUGGCAUAAAAUUCAUCCUCGUCAUCACUGCUGCUCAUGUACUAAUAAUUUGCCUCUGCCCUUGAUGCUCUUGGAUCAUAUUCUUCCUUGGAUUUAGAUUUCCACAUUGCAUUUUCAAGAUCACUAAACAUGUUUCCCGACUCAGAAUAUUUGUUUGUCAUUUUUCUACUAAAAUGAGCUUCCACAUUUCCCUUCCAACCUUCUUUUUCGCGAGCUCUUCCAAACUUGUCUUGCUUCCCUUUUAAAUGAAAAUAUGUCUUAUAAAUAAUUUUUAAGGCAAAAAAAAUUAUUGACUUUUGAGGUGGGGGUUUAAUUAGAAACUAUCCUAUUAUGUAAUUUUAAUAAAUGUUAAAAUUGUAAAAUAAUUAUAAGGGUUUUAAGAGGUAUUUGGAGGAUGCCAAUAAUCCUACUCUUGAUGAUUCAGCCAUCAACUCUAAUUAGGUAACCAAUAAUUGACUGUAUCUACGAUAGGCAAUAACUUUAGCAUUUCUCUUGUGCAAUAAUAAUACAAUAUUUUCUUAUUCUUUCGUACAAAUUAAUGUGAUAUAAAAGUAAAAGAGUAAAGUAUCUUAACUAGAUUGAAAUUUAUUUUUCUCUUUAGUUAAUCUUAAUGAUAAGAGUGAAUUUAUUGAUGAAAGCGGAAAAAUGUCACUUAGAUGGAUGGACAUUUGGAAUAGAUAAUGUGAUAAUAUUAUGAUGUUUUAUCAAUAUAUUGUUUGACAAUAUUAUAAAUGAUUAAGUUAAGACCCAAAUGUUGGAUCCCAAACAAUAUUCUUUCAUUUAUAUAUAGGAUAAAAGUAGUGUUUAUACAUAGAAUUUGUACGUUUAGUUUUAUUUAUUUAUGUUUUUAAAACAACACAACGUCUCAACCUAACAUAUAAAUAGUUUGAUAUUAAAAAAAAUGAAAAAUUUGCAAUUAUUUCUCAUGAAAUAAGAAUAUUCAAAAUAUCCCUAAAUUUUUGUAAACUUCAAUUACCCACAUUGAUGGGAGUGAAUUGAUGAUUUUUUAUUUUUUUUGGUCUUUUUAACAAAAAUAGAGAUAAACUAAAAUUUAUAAUAAUUUAGGAGAAUUUUAAAGAUUAUUAUUUCUUGAGAAGAUAAUGUAAAAUUAACCCCACAAGAGCAAAGAGUUACUAUUGGAUGUCACAAAAUAUAUAAAGAAUUAAUGUCGUGUACAAUAAACCAAGAUGCAUGCACUGCAGUGGCUAGCAAGGUCAUUUCAUUUCAUCCUCCUUGGAAUUUUCUUGAAGGUACAGAUAUUUGUUGCGGCAAUGGAGCUGGCUUUUGUUGACAAUUUAGAUCAAGGUUGCUACUUGCCACUGACAUAUUCCUUGGUCCAAUUUCCUUUCCCAUUUUCAUUACUGUUUGAAGCCAUUAUGACCUACAUUAAUAAUUUGCCACUCACCUUGAGCUACAUAAGUACUUUAAUUGAGUAUAAAGUGAGACAAUCGUACCACACUCAUCCAAUUAAAAUAAUAAUAGAGUAAGGACAUCGACACUCUUAUAAUUUGUUUAAAUGAUCACAUAUAUAUAUAUAUAUAUAUAUAAAACUCCUUUCAACCCGUGAGUUUCAUUAAUUUAGAUGGAAUUUACAGUAAUUUGCUACAUUGAGAGCUCGUCCUCAAGAAAAUGACCAACAAAUUAAGUUCGACAUUAGCUGAUGAAAAUUCAUGGAUAAUAUGAGACAUAUUGACACAUCACAUAUUACAUCACGAUCAACUCUAAAUAAUUGAGUCUCUUUUUCAUAAACUUGGUUCGUAAACUUUAGCCGUCCCUUCCAACAGUACCCUACUCAAUCUUAAGGGUCCACAAUAUUUCCAAUCUUUCUUUCCUUUCCUUUCCUUUUCUCUUCUUUUCUACUCUCACUCACGCCUGCCGUUGAUCCUUUGCCUCUCAAUGCAAAAGCAAAAGGGCAAAAAAUGUAAAGGAUCUCAUUGUUCACAUGAUUUUUUUUGACUAAUUAUCUUUUUUGGUUGAACCAGUUGUAAAUUGCAAUGCAAAAUCUCUGGCUAUAUGUGUUUUGUUUUGCCUGGUAACCAAGCUAUUCUCCUCCCAGUGGGUCCUGCCCACUUUCUCUGUUAUUGGGACUUGCAUGAUUGAAUUUAGUUAUUUUUUUAAGUGGGUCCAGUGUCCAUCAAACCCUACCAGUAUGGACACGUCGCCAUUAUUGCUUUGUACAUUUCCCAUCAACAAACACAUCAUGAAUCAAACUCUGCCACUUUUUAAUUUUCGGUUCACAGACACAUAAUAAGAGAGAAUUGCUUGUCAUUAUUCUUGCAUUUGGACAUUAAUUUUAAUGUACUCGCCUGGAUUUUUUUUUAUCACGAGAGAUUAAUGUUUAAGAUUAUAAUUUAUAUUACAUGAGAAUAUUUAUUGAUAUAUUUAUAAUUAGAUAUUUAUUAGAAUAAAAAUUUAAAAUUUGAUCUUCUCAAAUAUUUAAAAAAUAUCUAUUUCACUCUCAUUUAGAGAAAAAAAAUUACUUUUAUAUAAUUAUUUACAUAAUUAAAAAUUUUUUUUUAAUCCCCAUAAUAUUUUUGUGGGGGCUUGAAUUACUGUCCUCACGACAGCUCAACCAAUCAGCCUUUAGCGGAGUGGUUAACUCGUCCGGAAUUAAAAAUUCACAUAGAUUGCAUAAUCCAUUCAAUAAAAUUAUAUUUGUUAUGUAUUAUUAUAUAUAUACAUAUCUUUGUUGAAUGAAUUUAUUGUGGACGCAUCCUUUUAGGAAAAAAUAAAUUUCGGUGCCUAAUUUCCGUUUUUUUCCUUUUUGUUUUCUCGUGUUCGCGUUCCCUUCAAUUUUUCUCAACUCGUGUAAAAAAUUUCAGCCUCAGUAUUUUUAUAUUAUAUAUUUCUGAAAAGAGUUGUGACGGCUGAAGCACGAGGGUAUGUUCUCUCUUAGUACUUGCCCAAUGUCUCAGAAUCCACUUUAGGAGGUGGAUGCUUAAGCUCAAUUACCAUUCCCUGGUGCAAUGGCAUCAUUGACCUCAUGCCCCUGCUAUUCCAUGAGCCAGUACAUAUGAGCUGUUAAGGCAUGCAUUUACCCAACAUCAGAGUAGUCCGAAAAUUGACCUAUAUUUUUCAAUCAAAGAUUGAAGAUUUUUAGAAAGAAUCCAUAGAUAUAUAUAUGUAACCACUUAUUCUUUAUGAAGAAGUUGUGUUUGUGCUAAAAGAACAUAAUUGAUAGUUUGAUACAUCAAAAGAAUUUGAAAUCACCAAGGUUUUAGCAUCAAGUAAAGAGAGAAGCACCUCUAUUGGAAAGAUUAUUGACUACUACAACUACUCCUACUCCAAAAAUGUAAAUGUACAAGAAGAAGAUCUGUACAGUAAAAUUUACAGUACACUACAUUUAUCAGAACAACCAAGUGACACAGAAGAGCAUCAAUUGCAUCUAAUCAAACAAAUAUCACUUGUUCUUCUAAGACUGGUUUCUAACUAUCUUCACACUGCUGUAGAAACGCUUGAGAUCCUUCAUAGCCUUCUCUUCCAUCUGAAUUGAUCGAAUGGAUGAGGGUGUUUCAGCCUCCGGUUUGAACCAGCGGUUCAUUCCAGGAGAAUCUGACGGCGAGCCCUGACUAGGAGCAAUGGAGAACCCAGCUGUUCUAGUUUUCGGACUGUGGGAUAGACAAUGCUGUUUUCCCUGCUUUGACACAAAAGGACGUUACACCAACGUUAAAACGUUACGGGGAGACUGGAGAACUGGAACAAAACUUCAAAAACAAUAAGAGCACAAAACUUUAGUACAGAGGUGUAAGUUUUCAUGCCUGUUGCAUCUGGAUGUUCCUAAGAGAUGGCCGAGAAAGACUGGGCGGAGUCCCAGAAGCAGCCCAAGGUGGUGUGCUUUUAUCUCCAUCAGUUGCCUGCUGUGCUCGAGCUGAGACCACAGGAAUUGGUUUUGAAGUCAUGAAGGAACUCAGUAGGACUUUCCCUUCGCUUCUACCAAAAGAAGGAUCUUCAAACUGAUCUUUAUUUCUGGUUGGCUGGUUAACUUUAAUUUUGCUCUGCUCACUCUGAAUUUCACGAAGCGAAGCAGAUCCUUUUGGAACUUUAGCCCCACCCCAAGCAGGACCCUCACUUCUUGGAGUUGGUGGAGGGGGCAGAGCUAUUUCUUUUGGGGUGUCAUCAAGAGCACCACUCAGGAACAUAGAAAGCCCACCCUUUUUAUUCUUAUUCUUCUUCUUAGAUGUUGUUUGUGGAGAACAAUUAUUCUUCAGUGAAUCUGCAUUGUCCUUUUUCUGAACCAAGAAACCAGACUGUUUGGAGUAUUCAAUGACCACAUUUCCUUCAGACAUAGCAUCUUCCUCCUACAAAAAGUUCAAAUUCAAAGAAUCAACCAAAGUGAAAAUUAUUGAAGUAAUUCAUCACUUAUCAACAACAGUGGAACUAUGCAGCAAUCAUUGAGUCACCAGUACAGAAGGCAUAUAAUAGUACAAUCAUGCAAAAGGACUAUAAUUCCAACAUAAAGCCUCUUCCAAGUAGGAGGGCUGAUCUGUUGUACUUAAAUUUCCUAUACAAAUAUAUAUACUGAUUUUUUCUAAGACAUUUGCCAAACAAAAGAAGCAUCAUAGGAGACCUUGAGCAGGGCCUCAAAACUAAUAGUUUCCACAUAAAAUGAAAAGUACUCAGUACCACCUGAAAGACAUGACAAAUUAACUACAUCCAGGCAUCCACUAAGAUUUACGCACCAAUUUAAGAUCGUCAAAGGCAGAGAGAAGCCUAACCUUUUUCUUGGAAACUUCCGUUAUUUCAGUGUCAAAGAAAUCCUUUGCAGUAUUUGAACCUACUUCUGAUACACUAAAAUCUGACACUGCUUCCACUUGUGCUGCCUUCUGUUUGCUCUUUUUCUUCUGUUUUUUAGACACCCCAGCCUUUUUAUUCCCUCUUCCAUCUGGUGAGGCUGCAGAUGCUGCUAUAGCCUGCGGCAACUCAAUUGGAACACCAAGCUCAGCAAGAGACCUCUCAAGAACUGACUUUGUUUGAAGCUUUGCAAUUUGCUGCUCAUCGAGAAUAUGCCCAUUGCUAAGCUUUACUUCAAGCAUUUCAAUCUGCUGCAACUUUUUCCGUAAAGCUCGAACCUGUUUGCUUAUUUCUUGAUUAGCAUCAGCUUUUGGUUCGAAAAAGGAGUCCAAUCUGUUGUCUCCUUCAUUUUUUAGGGUAGAUUUUUUCGUAUGGUUGUCACGAGUCCUUAGAACCUCAUUCUCACUGUCCUCCUCUUCACUAUUGAUGAUAACUGGAAAAGUAGCUGUUGGUGUUGGGAGCCGACGGUAACUCCAUGAUUCAGAUGACCUAAGGUCUAACGACUUCUCAAGGUCAGCAAGAAUAUCUAGAGAUGCACUGGCAAAAGAAUGUGAUGAGACUGUUAAAAUGUAGUCAAGGUUGCGAAUAGCAAUGUCCUGCACAAAAGUGUAACAAUAAUUUCAAGGUCAAAAAAUCAAAUCAAUGCAAAACAAAAUGUACAGUAGCAUUUACAACACCAAAGCAGAAGCAAGGACAAGUUAGAUCCUGCACACACCAUACUUCCACUUCCCACUGUAUAGAAAAUGUCUCCUCAAUAAUGGAACGAGGCGACUGGUACAGAAAAUAACCUACUAAUUCAGAAGUAAUUACAUAAAGAUUCUCAGAUUAAGUACUACAUUGAUAAUUACCCCUGGAGGCCCUAAGUGGAUCACUGAUGCAUCCAGAAGCACAAGAAACUAGUGCUAAUGACUGAGCCUUUGCAUGGACUAGUACAAUGAAAACCUUCAUGUGUCUAUUAGAUCAAGCAAACUCUACAUUGUUAAGCAACAAUUUCACACCACAACCAUGACUCAAUAGAUUAGAUGCUGCACAAAGAAUAAUUUGGCUGAAGAUAAUUUAAAGAACGGAAUCCCAAGCACAGGCCGUAGUGCUUCAAAAAAAGCAUUAAAAUUAUCAAAGAGUAUUGGUUGUCAUUUAUUAUACUAAGAAAAACCACCAGCACAACUAAAAUCUUUCUUUUUUUAAAAAAAGAAAGAAACUCUUCCGUCACAAAUAACUGUCGUAGAGAGAAUACCUCACAAUGCUUCUUCAAAUCAUCUGCUCCAAGUGAAUCUGAAAUUUCUAGUAGUUGUAAAGCAUUCCUUGGCUCCACAAGACAUUGUGCCGCAACAUUUUCACAAAGGCUUUUCAAGCUUGGCGCUAGCCUGACCCCAGAAUCAUCUUUAUCUAUGGCGGACGGCAUAUUAUUAGACUCGUCAUUAAACAUAAAAUCUUCAUCAAACUCCUCUAGAUCGUUCCGACCAUUUAACUUCAGCUUCUGAGGAUUCUUUGCCACAUUGGGAGGAUAGAUGGGAUGGUAGAGAGAUCCAACAAUCAAUAAAUGUGUUUCACCAACUGACACAGAGGUAGCCUUCUUUAUACCAUGUAACCGGGUAACAAGUGGUGGAUUAUCCUUAGAUUUCUUCCCGUCCCACAUGUAAACAUCACCUGUAGCUGUAACUGCAGCAGUCCAGUACUUCCCAGCAGAAAUGCUGACCACAUUCCUUCCACACAUUGAAUAUAGCUACAAAAUUGGAAAAAUAAACGUAAAGAGUUUCACUCAUAUGAACGGCACAAGUCCAAGUAAAAACUAAGUUUAGUCAAGGAAAACCUGUUGGCAUCUAAGAUCAGGAUCUGAAGAAGCCCAAUAAAAUAAUGCGCCAUCUUCUGUGAGAGCCGUGCUAUGGACCAUCCCCGCAGCUAUAGAGACCACAUGAAGCUUUAUCUUGCGAUGGAACUUCAAAGGUGUACUCCCACUCUUCUUUAAAUUUCUAGCAACAAUAACACGCUUUGGUGUGACAAGUCGGUGGCCCCAUGUAUAGACCUGCCAUACAUCAUAUGAAAAAGUAUUCAUUUAUCAACCUACAAACAAGGAUGCAUGAUUUCACCAAAGUUAGUGCCAAAUGGUAAAUUUUAGCCCAAGCAGGAAAUAAGGGAUAAAUAACUCAAUGAUUGUUGAAUGCUGACCAGAACACAUAAAUGUACUUAUAUUUACCUCCCCAUCAGCUCCUAAUACAAUUGUGUGAUAUUUUGCUGCAGCAACUCCCACUAGGUCCUUGCCUUUCAAGGACUCAACCACCCUUGGGGUGUAAUUUGAUGCUGAAUUAGAGGUGCCAUAACCGAGUUGACCUUCCCUAUUGCAGCCCCAAGUGAAAACUUCGCCAGACUCGGAAACUACAGCAGUAUGUUUAUUUGCUGCAGCAACAGCAAUAAUUUUCAACUUGAGAGAACUCACUCUUCGAGGUGUAGGUUGCGUAUCCACAGAUGUGUAACCAAGUUGACCCUCUGCACGAAUAUCACAGAAAUCAAUUCUCAACAAUCACAAAUGACAACAACUUAACUGACCAUUUUUCAAUCAUAUAUUUCUUGGCUUUCUAUUAAACCCAAAUGCAUAACUGAAGGCACAAUAUAUCAGCGUCUUUUCUCUUCUGAUAACCACAUUAGAGGGCAAGUAAUUAAGAAUUACAUCAUUUCACAAAGCUGAGCUAAACUUCAUGUCAUUUACAAUGAUAUUAUCAUAAUCAAUUUUACCUCUAUUGGAUCCCCAAGUGAACACUUCCCCACCCUCUGUAGCAAGAACAGUGUGAUGUUUAGCAGCAGCGAUUGUCUUCACACGGCGGGACCCCAAACCAGAAGUCACCCGACGUGGAGUUAUAACUGCGGCUUGGCCACUGUGAAGAACAACAUAAAAAUGUGUCUGAUCGUUGAUAUAAAAAAUCUUAACAGAAGCCAUAUACAUAAAAGAAUAAACACCUAAAGUAAGGAAAAAUUGUACAAGAUACUGAAGAUCAGCAUUUUCCUUUUUCAUAUCCAGCAUGAUAAUUUUAUCUCAGGUCUUUGUGGUUAUUAAAACAUUAGAAAACAUGCACAAAAGAAAAUUAAAUAAAACCAUACUUGCUUUUGUAUGUAUCGUUCAAAAUUCAGUUUUGACAUUAACUUAAAACCACAGAAAUCCAAUAUAAUAUUCCAAACUUGUCGACUUUGUCAUCAACAAAUGUUUUAAUGUCUAAGAACUUCGAAUGGCAAGAAUUCAAAAUCAAAUGUCAAUUUUGAAACAUUAUCAAGAUUUAGUAAAAAUGAGGCAUCAUAAGUUCGUACCUGUGGAUAUCAAAGUCAGGGUGCCCAAGACGACCCCCUCUCCCAUAUCCCCAGGUGUACACUUCACCAAGACUGGUAACUGCAACACUAUGGAACUUUGCGGCAGAAAUCAAUUUGAUAACAAAGCCAUGAAGUGAGUCAACUUUGCAUGGCAACUUUUGUAAGUGCGCAUUUCCAGUCCCAAGUUGAUAGUUUGCUCCACUGCCCCAGCUAAAAACUUCAGUUGCAACUAAAUAGACAAAAGAAUUCGGGUUAUACCAUAACAAAAUUGCAAUCACUUUGCACCAAGAAUAAGAUCCUCAUCAAUCAUGAAAAUACACAGCAGAAGAUACCCGAAUUAUAUCCACUUCCAACAACCUGCAACACAGGCCCAGAUAGGAGAUCAACUGGAGUUCGGGAUUUGCAAUCCUCCAGUGUAAUUGAAGCACCAGACUGUAGGAGGACACUUGCCACUGCAAGAUGACCAAAAUGUAGAGCCCUGUGAAGGCUACUCCAUCCUGAUUCUCCAUCCUGAAAAUGGAUAAUGAGAAGAUCAUGAAAACAGUAAUGGUACCCAACCUUUAGAAUUUUCCACAAAAGAGAUUGCAGCACUUUCUGUGACAGUCAAACUCAAAUCCCUAUCAUUACAAUAGGCAAAAAACAGUUUUACUAAAAAGAAGCUGAAAACAUAUGGAUGAGAUAACCGAUGCCAAACAUCUUGACGCAGAAACAACCAUUCUAAAGUAUAAGAACUGAAAGACAUCUAUUUCAACAAGAUCAUUAAUAUAAACUAGGGUUAAGGAAAAUUAACAAACCCUAGCAUCCGGGUCAGCGCCAGCUGCAAGAAGCCUCCUAACAAUAGGAACUUGGUUUCUCCAAAUUGCACUAUGAAGGGGAGUCAGGCCAAAUAUGUUCCUGGAAUUGAUGUUACCUCCAUUCUUCUUCAGCAGUGCCAAUGCUGAUUCUACAUCAGCCAAAGACCCUUCCCGCACGGCAAGACACAGAUCUUUCUGAACUCCACCAGGUGAAGAUUUACGAGCAGGUGAUUGUAGAGUCUGCUUCUGUCCGUGAUGUGAAACUAGCAGCUCCGUCAUUGUAUAUAUCAGGAUGAUAAUCAAUCAGCAGUCUUUAAGUUCCACAAAGUUUUUACUUAAAAAUAAAGACCGACAGCUACUGCUUAAGAAUAUAUAUAGCAGUACACCAUAAUAAUGUCAAGAAUCAGAUUCUCUAACUAUAUUUUAAGAAGUCAAUCCAAGCCAACUACAGACAAACAGCUCUAGCCCCUAUAAAGAUUGACUCUGUCUAGUCCAUGUUACAGGAUGUCUUCUCGCCAAGUAAUCAUGACAGUAGAAAGGGAUCCAUUUUAAUUAGUUUUAAUUAAAAAACUGCUAUCGCGCCAUUAAGAUCACAGCCCUUAUUUUCAAGGCAAACUAGUUCCAGCAGUCACUCAGAAAUCGCAAAGUUCGCAAAACACAGAAAAUUCUCCAGUAAACUAGCAAAGAACACGCUGCAGUGAAAGUAUCUCUGUCAGUAAAGUAUCUCCAGAAAAGAAAUUAAACAUUUGUCAAAUAUACCACAAACAAGGGAACACACACUUAAGAUCGAAAGGAAAAUGGAGAGUAUACUCCUAAUAAGAAAGUGAAAAAAUAAAAUAACAUAACUAGUGUCUAAAGAGAACAAAAUGGGGCUUGUUUCUCCUUCAAUGAAAAAAGAAAAUGUCCUUUGAAUCAAGUGCCCACCAUGCAACUAAAAGAAAAAGAUUUCUCACUAAAGUUCAAGAUUGUAAGAUUUCCACCUAGUAAUUACUUUCACAGUAAAAUAUCAAUCCCAAGAAAUAUGCUUGACUGAAGCAAGAUUAGGGACUUCAAUGAUCUUAAAAUGUCAAAAAGCAUGAACAGACAGAAUUUUCCAUAUAAAUCAAAUAAUUUCUAAAUUUAAAUAAAGCCAUUUCCCUCAUACCCACAGCAUCACUGAAUUGUUAGUUUAUUAUAAAAGACGAGCCAUAUAGAAAAUUCAGGAAUUGCAUUUGCAUCAAGUAAACUGAAACGGUGAUUAUAAACAUGAAUGCAAAUAGUCCAAUAAAAUUAUCAUGCAAAACAAAGUUGACAUUGUAAUGAUCGCUAAUGCUUCACAGAGAACUCAAAGAAACAGAAAGUCUUUGCACAAUGUUUGAUUACCAACUGAAUUUUGAUAUAAAUUAUAUGAAAGGACGAGCCAUAAAUGAGUUUGAUCACAUUCAGCGCCAAGACCCCAAAAGCAGCCAAAAAAAGCUCGGCCAAAUAUUUAAGAAAUAUUACUCCUACUUCCAUAUAAAUGAACCCCAAAAGGGAAAAUUUACCUGAAAAAAAAAACAUUGAAUUUCACAUUCUAAACCAUGAGACUUAAACAUCAAAGUAAACUGCACCCACCAAAGAAAAUCACAAAUUUUAACAAACACCAAUCAUCCAAAUCAAGGAUAAAACACGAAGCCACAUAAAAAUGACGGUUUUUUUUUUUAUUUAGUGAAAAAUGAUAGCUUCAAAACACAACAAACUUAUAUCAAAACUAACAAAUUACCCCGAAAACAAAAUAACCUUUGAAAGAAACAAUACGAAAGAAGUGAAAAUGCAAAAUGAAAAAGAAAAAAAACGCAGCAAACCCAUUAAAAUUGGUAGAUUUUUGUAUUACCUGAUACUUUUCUUUCUGCUUGUUUGAGAGAGAAACGCAAAGAAUUUGUACGAACUGAAAAAAAAAAAAAAAGCGAAUCCCAAAGAAAAUAUAAGCAAGUGAUUUCUGUUACAAAAGAGAAUCGAACUUCGAACCCACCGAGGAAUAUACCAACCAGGCCAGAGACAAAACAGCACGAGCACAGAGAAACUGAAACUCAAUUCAAAUCCAAGGGCAUUUUGGGUAUUUUACAAUAUUAUAUGACCAAAAUGACCCUGUACUUUUGUUUGUUGGGUUUCGGGGAGUUCGGUUUUUGAGUUGUCUUAGGAACACGUAAACAGAUGUUAGCGGACACGUGACGGAAAUUUAGGGAAAAAGAUGUGACGAGAGAAGAUCUGAAACUAGAAAUGCGAUUAAAAGAAAACUUUUGGUUUUUGAUUUUCUUUUUUUCUUUUCUGAUGGCUGUUGCCAACUGUUCCACGUCGUUAGGGUCGGGCGUUUGUGGUCGUUUGUUUUCAUCUGAGAGGCUAUAAUGUCGCGCACAAUUAAUUAUAAGGCUUAUCAUCGAUUAUAAGUAAUUUAAAACUUAAAUGUCAAUUAGAAAAAAAAAAAGGAAUGAGAGAAUGACUAAAAAAUAAAUAAUUAUUCAUUAUAUUUUUUGUAUAUUGAUUAUGCAGCACGCAAGCUUCUAGAAGUAUGAUCGUUUGGUAAAACCAUCCGUUAACGGCAUAUUCCCUAAUUGAACGGUCUAGAUUCGGAUGGUCCAUCGACCUUCAUGUACGUCAUGUAGUUUGGAUUCUAUUUAAUGCACUGCAAUGGCAUCGCAUAUAGUUGAGCGUAUGACACGUCAGCCUAUGACAAUGGAGUGAUGACAUGUCUUUGCUUCAUUGGUCACUUGUGCAAAUGGGGCUUGACAAGUCAUGAGCGGUAGGCGUUUCUGAACCGAAAAGUCUAAAAAGUGCUUUUGGGCUAAGCACUUUCUAUUUUGAGAUUGUUCAACUAGAUUACAAUUUACGCCGCAUGUCAUAAAAUUUCUUGGUAAGAAUAUUUGCAGGAUUCAGCAUUUCAUGAUGUGCGACAUUUUUGUGUGAUGGUUGAUCGAACCAUGACGAGGUGAAAUGGUGGGUGCUUUCUUGUUAAAUUCUUGAAAUUGAGGGGUUCAAGUGCAUGCUGAAAGAGUGAAAGGCAAUCAAAUAACAUGAUUUGGACUUAAUUGAAAUGUUACUAUUUACAACGUAUUCUACAUUUGGCCCCCUUUGUUUUACAAUUUUUUAAUUAUAUAGCCCAGUAAGUUCAUUGUUUCUUCAUCCUAGCUCGUCGAACCAAAAUCUUGGUCUUACCACCGCGCCCAUACGCAAGACUUUAAUGAAUUAUGAAUCCGAAAUCGUUAAAAAGGGAUGGUAAUGUAGAAAAAGGAUUUAUCCUCCUAAAUGAACUUGAUGAGAAAUUUCAAAUUGGGAAACUGAAAUAGCAAGCUAUAAAGUACUAAAAAAAUAAAAAAAUAAAAAAAGAACUAAAAGGUCAAAAAUUCAACAAUCAGAAAAUAAAUUAAUUAAUGUAAAUGAAUCAAAAUCUUAAUAUAUAUAUAUGAAAAUAUUAACAUGCAAUAAAGAAAGGGCAGGGGGACGCAGCAUCUUGAAAGCAAUCGCCAAAUUGAAGGGCAAUGGCUUCACAUGCACAAGUGCACAUGUAGCUGAACGUAAAAGCCAAGACUAAAUUUUCUUUCUUUCUUUUGGCUUCUUUCACAAAACAAACCUUAAUAAACCAGCUCACAUCUGACAGUUCCAACCAGGACAAGCAAAAAAAAAAAAAAAUUAAGUUGCAUUUGGAAUCAAGCUAUUACUUUUACAAUCAGAGUUUUCUUUAUUGACAGAUCCCAAAGUUUUUGGCAAGUUUGCAUAUAUAUAUAUAUAUAUAUUAGCUUAUUCUUUGGAUUUGUAAAUUAAAAGGCUGUCAGCCGAUUCUCAUAAUCCACAAAUCUAGAUUUGGCAAUUUAAGGAUUUAGACUGAGCUUUUUCAAGCACAGACCCAAGUCUAUUAGAGUAGAAAUGUAAGGGUUGGACUUGAAUUGGGCCCACUGCAGGCCUAGAUUGAACUUGGACUUUUACUUAUUUUUUAUAAUCUUUUUAAAAUUAUUGUAAACUUAAAAUGAAUUAAUAAUAAUCAAGUUGUUAUAAUUAACAAUGAAGUAAAGAAAAUAAAUAUUUCAAAAAUAAAAUAAUAACUAAAAAAAUGAAACAAAUAGAAAUUUAUAAAUUUAAUUUUUUUGUAUUGUAUUCUCUAAUUUACGGACUCUGUUAAUUUUUAAUACUUCAAAAAAAUUUAGUAUUAUAAUUUUAAAUAUUUUGAUCUAUUAUUAAUAUAUAAAUUAAAGAUUCAAGCUUUCUUUUUUUUCUAUUAUUUUUUAAAUUUGAAUUUAUUAUUUUAAUUUACAAAUUUAUUUAUUUUUUAAAAUAGAGGGCUUAGGCUAAAUCCAGACUUUUUCUCGUAAACCCCCGAGCCAAAACCCGUGGGAAUAGAGAAGGCCGGCCCAGACUUUUUUCAUCCCUGCACAAAUCAAACUCAAAAUUAUAAUACAGAAUCAUGAAAUAGUCAUUGGUUAAUGUUCAGCUGGGCCGGCAUAACUAGCAUAGAAAGGCAUAUUAAUAUAUUCCCCAGCCAAGGCCGAAUCUUUGUUUUGUGAAAGAGAAUGAAAAGGAACAAGCAGAAACUGCCAUGGAACUAUCAGAAUUGGGAUUGUAAAGACUUCGAAAAAAGGACAGCAAAUUGCAUUGUGAACAAGAAAAUGAUCACCAACUAGAAAAUAAUAAAUAAACAGUUUCAUAGCCAGAGUCCUCAACAUAUGAUAGUGGCUGUUAAACUAUAUAACUACUAUUACCCUCAGAGUGCAUUUCAAGAAUUAAUCACAAUUAUAUAACCAAUGGCUUUAGUUUUGCCUUUGUUUGGAACAUUUGUACAGUAACAAUUUUACAAGCCUUAAUCAUAGAUCAAAAAGGGACUGAAGGAACCAAAAAUUGAAAUCAUCUCAUUCUGUCAGUUUUAGUUUCUUAAAUGUGACAAAAUAACCAACAGGAAGACUUGAACAAUAAUAAUCAAAGAAUAGGUAAGAGAGGAAAGACAAUUAAUAACGAUAUCACAACUAACCACACAUCAAACCAGAGAAAAAUACUUAUAAGGGAACAUUAGACAAGUUUGUCCCAUUCUUCUUUACCAAGCCUACAAUUCCAAACUGUGGAUCCAUUUUACCAUUUUGAUGAUUAGCGCAACAGGGUGGAUGAAUGCAUUCAUUAACAAGAUUCUCUCUUUGGCGCGCACACAAAAUUUCUGGUCUACACGGCAAUUGGCGAUUCCUGCAUUUGAGAAUGGGCAUAAUUACACUUAAACUACUAUCAAAAUCACGGGAAAAAGAAGACGUCAGUAUUGAUUAUAGUAAUAAUGCUACCAGCAGAAGUAACCAACCUUUGCAGUGAGGUUUGACACAGCUACACUAAACUUUUCUCUAGUUUUUGUACCAGCUACCUGCCCAGCCCUAGCAACUUUACUGAAGGCCCCAUUUAGCCAAGCUGUUCCUGCAGUCACAUAUCUGUGCAGCACAAAAAUUGAAACAUCAACAACUCUAUGGUAAUUUCUUUAGCCACUGCAUGAAACAUUACUUGAACAGCCAACCCAAGUUAGUGAUACAGAUUGCAUAAAGAAAAUGCAUUCAAGAUCAACGGUCAAAAACAAUUCCCAGAAAAGCUUAUUGUUAUUAGAAAGGGAAAAAAAAUCACCUAGGUUACAUAUUAUGUUAAAUAUCACCAAAUCAUGCGCGUGAAUUUUUUAACUUAAAUAAGCUGUUAGGUCCUGCAGGAACCUGCUGGAAGAAUAAACUAGAAACAGAGCAGGAAAAAACCCAAACUAUUAACUUUUUGUAAGGUUGAUUAUUAAGCAAUCAACAGUUUCAGGACUUCGGCUUUGACAACAUUUGAAUUUUGAAUCAUCAGUUAUAUGUUGUUUGUCUCCAUAUUCAGAUAUGCAGUAACAUAAAAGAAGCUUUUCAUAAAUGAAAUUUCACAAGCAUAGCAUGAUAUCUUGAUUGGAGGAUUACAUUGACAUAGUUAAGUGACAUGCAAUUCUGCAAACUAUUUAUCAUCCUCUAGUUUAGGAAGAAGACUCCAUACCUGCUGGUUUUGACAGCUGAUCCAGUGUCAUUUAUUUUUCUCUCUGCAGCAAAAAUAGCUGCCAUAGUUUUAUCUGACACAUGAAGCCUCUGAUCAACAGACUUCACUUUUUCAUUAACUACUGAAAUUCCAACGGUCAGUUUCUCUGUGAACCCAACUCUGCGGUCAAAGGAAAUAACCUUGGCAGAUGCAUUGGCUGUGAACUGAUGUUUCUCAUCAAAUGCUUUAGCCUUAUUCACAGCUUCUUGUCGAAUUGCGGAACCUCUUGCAAGCACACUUGUAACAACUUCUUGUGCUCUAUUAACAUACAUUCUUCCACUACUAGAGGGGCUUGUUUUACCCUGAUAAUAGAGAUUGAUUAGAUUAUGAAGAUCAACAAAAAGAAUCUUUCAAGAUGCAAAUGAUAUGAAAUGAUCUAAUGAAAUUGCAUUGAGUGUUACCAGCAUCUGUGGAAGGCUGGCCUCAUAACAUUGUAUGGAUCAACAAUCACAAUCCAAUAUACAGAUGUCAACAUUGCCCGCAUGUAGGUUUUUGUUAUUUUUUUCUUUUUCUUUUUUGAGUGUGUGUGAUCAUUUAUAUAAAUAAAUGAACCAUAUUCCUUCCUAACAAGUGCUUUCAUAUUUUGCAGAAGGUUAUGAUUGGAAAACUCUAUUCAAUCAUUCAGCAGAUGCAACUACACAUUCCCCAGAAAAAUUUUUAAAACAGGACAUCAAAGAAAUCAAGCUUAUCAACAGAAUAGUUCUAAAGCUUCUCCAAAUCUAAUCGUCUAUGUAACACCAAAAUAAUAAAUGGAAGUUCAUUACAUAAAAAUACUGCAACUGUUUUGAUGUUCUUAAGACCCAGUAAGCUCUAAAGUGGUGAUUGUUCUACCUCAUUAUUUCCAGAAGGAGCUUCAGACACGGCAUUGACCACCACAGUUACUUCCUGCAUAAUUAGCAUUAAAGAACAUAAUUGGCCUCAGAACUUUAAAGAAAUUACAAAAACUUGUUCAAAAACUUACCUGCGACUCAGGUUUUGGUACAUAGUUUUCAGCUGGCGUUAUGCUCACAAUCUGAUCUACUAUUGUUGCUCCCUGAACAGAGUCACAAUUUACACUUUUUCAGGAAUUUUAUCCCGAAUAUUUAUUCACGUGAAAAAAGAAAAUAUUCCCAACCACAUUAAUAACCUCUGCAAUACAACUAUUUCAUGUAUUCACUAAGGAAUUUUUUUCCAUUCCAGAAAGGAUGGCAUUGACAUUUCAUACUAUUUAUAUGCCUGAAGAGCAUACUCUUUCUAGAAAUAGGGUUUACAAACACAAACAAUAACUAAAUAAAUUAAUCUCCAUAUUAGUGAAAUAAGCCUAUUAUUAGACUAAAAUUUCUGUCAUGCUGGUUUCCAAGAAAUUUGAAGGCAUAUAGUUGUUCUAUAGAAGACAAUAAUCAAAUAAAACAGGCCAAAAUACAAGUUUUUGAUGAAUAAUCAUUGACUCAGUAAAAUAGGCCAAAAUACUAAUUGCUAUUAUCAAAGAAUAAAUUUACACUCUUAACAAUAAACUCCAAAAACUCUCCCUACUUCACUCAUUCAUACUCGCCAGGAAGUUCACAGACAAUUUGGCAGAAUAACUUCAUGCAUCAGAGCGACCACAGACAGAAAACAUGUGCUGAAUCCAAAUCAAACAAUUAAAAUAACUCAGUUUAAUUUCAUGAACUGUAAUUUCAGGAAAAAAUAUCAAAAUCCAUGACAGUUAAUAUGCAGAGGGACUAAUUUCUUAAUAAGUUUCCUCCAAGGAAAAGUUUCCUACAGCAACUCAGCAGUGCAUAGGCAAGUCCUAGUGAGUGCCUUAACCUUAUUCAAUCAUCAGGGAACAUAUGGUUAGAAUCAUUCAUCAGGACUUCAGAAGGUAGCUUCUUCUGUUCAUAAGAAGCGGACCUCUCACAACUACUAAGUUGAUGCUCCAUUUAAAUGAGGAACUCAUGCAAGAAAAAUUUAGGGCCAAACAAGUUUUUGAGUGAAAUUAGGUUGUUUAGAAAUAGAAGCAUGGUUUUUAAAUAUACCUAAAAGAAUCUAGUUCAUGUUUGUGCAUGUCACUUUGAAAGGUACAACAGCCACUUCCUAGUUUAAGUUUACAUUUUACCAGUAAUCAAAUGACGCCACUGAUGAUCAACUCCUAUGUCCAAAAUAAGUAAAUUAUUGUCUGUCGCCCUGUAUUAACUUUCUGAUAAUCUAACCAAUUAAAAGAGAAGUUUCUGAUGAAUUUAAAAAGUGGAGAAGAGGUUUAUUUCAAUUCUGGAAUCACCAAGGUGUUGCCUGUAUUUGACCCAAAACUAGGAGCGUGUAAUGAUAUUGACAUUUCUUUUUAAAUAAACAAGAAGGUGAAGUAGAUUUUAAUUAAAGCGUUAUCUUGCAAUUUACUCAUUUCAAUUUAACUAAUCCUGAUGACGAUGAUUGAGCUAAUUUUAGGAACAGAUACAGCCUGUUAUGGCAUGCAAUAGAAGGCUUCAGUUUAGUGGGUAAAGUCAAAGACAAGCAUUCAAGUCAUUCUUCCUUUACAUUGCUUCAAGUUCAUUCCGCAACAUAAAUAAAUCGAAUAAACCCACGAGAUAAUCUGAUUUCUCAAUGUGUAAUAGCUGGAACAUAUGCACAAGGCAGGAAAUAAGUAAACAAGGCAGUUUAUUAAAAAAAAGAAAGUAGAAUUAAUUCUAGAUAGGGGAUACACACCGAUAGUAACAAUGCAAUUUCAAGAGCUUUAGCAUCCUUGAAUGUAACAAAUGCGGUUUUUGACUGCCCAUAUUCACUGCAUCCACAAAAGGCAAAAAAAUAAAUAAAACAAAAAAUUCGUAUUCAAUCUCCACUUCCCCAAUCCUACUUAAUUUCGUACACAUGCCAUUCAAAUGCAAAUGUUGCCUUACCCUUUCCACACAUGAAACCAAGCUGAAAUAAACAUAUUAAAAGAAAAAAAUUAGUAUUUAUUUGCUGUUUCCCAUUUUACCCCAUUUCGUGCAUAUUCUUAGCAACUAAUAGAGAAUUUAAAGAAAACUUCAAUACAGAGUUUAAGAAUUAGAAUCAAUAACUUCACUAUUUACCCAAAAAGAAAUUCACCGUAGUGUUUAUAUCAUUUUGGGAAUGAAAAGAACAUAAAACCCAAGAUCUAAAAAGCAUCAUUUUCUUUAUUUGUUUUUCGUUUUCCCAGCAAGCAAACACAAAACUAAAAGAGAAUUCAGAAGAAAAUAAAGAUAUAACGGGUACCACAGGAUCUCAAUGCGUUCGAUAUCUCCGGAGAAAGAGAAGAAUUCAUGAAUCUCUCUCUCGUGGGCUAGAUCUGAAACAUUCUUUACUUGAACAGUUCUCGUCUGUUAUAAUAUUAAAAAAAAAAAAAAAAAGAAACAAAAUAACUCAAGAAUCAGUUGUUUAAACAUGGAAUGGGUAGUGUUGAAAUAGCAAGAUUAAGGGUUUUGAUAGAGAAGAAACUGAGUAAACUACUGACCUGCUGCAUUGUUAAUAAUGGGGUCGAGUUUUUGCUUUUGAAAAUUUGUAGUGUUUUGUAUGUCUGCGCAGCAAUGCGGAGAGAGAGAGAGAGAGAGAAUUAAAAGAGCCGACCAGACAGCUUGGAGCUAAGAGAAGGAAUGUGAGCACUGAGCAGCAAGGAGAGAGACGCAAUGCAGGCGCAGUUUCAUAAAUGCCCCUAGGUACCCUUUAAAAUUGUGGUUUACUAAAUUGACUGUUUUACCCUUUCUAUUAUGUGUAAUAAAUAAAUCUAUUUUUAUAAAAAAAAUUAGAUUCCAGAAAUUAACAUAAUUUUAAUAUGCUGAAAGAUUUUUUUGGGUCGGUUUCAUCAUUUUAAUAUGCUGAAGGAAUACAAUCCACUAAUAAAAGAUAGCUAGAUGAGCCUCACAAUAAAAAAAAGAAAUAGAUAAAUAAAUAAAGAAGCUUUCAACAAUUUUUUUUUUAUGCUUAUACUUAUAAUGUGAAGAGGUUAAAAUAAAAAAUAGAUUAUCGAUAUAGAAAUUUAAUUUUAAAUAAAUUAUUUAUUAAGUUUAGAGUUGCUUAAUAUUUAUUUUAUAUUGGCGCGGUAUUUUACUUUUAAAAUUUAAGUCUAAAUAAUGAUUGACAUCAUAAAUUUUAUGACUAAUGAUAUAAUAUUAAAAUCAAAUUUUUAAAUAUGUAAUUUAUUUUUAUUUUUUUGAUUUAAUUAUUAACUCAAUGGAUAGUUUUCAAAUGAAAGUUAUGUAUGAGCACCAUGCUGAAAGACUUCAUAUUUUUAACUAUAUUUUUAAUGCAUUGUUCCUUUUGAUUAUGUUGUUCGUGCAUGAUUACAGUAAAAUUAAUUUUAGUUAUCAUCAUAAUAAGAAUUGGAUCACUCUAUAUUACGUUAAACGUAACGUACACACACUCACAGCAACAGUAACAAGUCUUAUCAUUAUAACUGUUGCUGUGAGUGCGUGUAUGUUAUGUUGAACGUAACAUAGCAGAAGCCAUAAGAAUUUAGUAUAAAAAAGAAUUUGGAGAAAAAAAAAGGUCAAUAUUCUCACUUGGGGGUGAGGAUGCAAUUUAAAAUUUCAUAAAUGCGAAUAGGGGUAAAAUGGUAAAUAUAAAGUACAAGUGAUUUGAUUCCUUUCUUGGUCAAUAUGUGGAUAUAUUUUGAACUUUGAGCGACGACCUUGACCUUUGGUGGACUUGCAUGAGUCACGCUUUCUUUUUUCACGUUCUUUUUCAUCCGGUUUUGAUUUCAAGAAAUUAUUAACUUAAUCAAACUUUUGGCAUAAUCCCCUCUUCUUUUGACCCGUAAUCCCCUCCUUUUGUUUGUAUUUGCCUUUGUAAUUUUCAUGUGCUGGCAUUUGUUUAUUCUUUUGUUUGUAUUUUAAUGUGCGAACAUUUAUUUAUUCUUGAAUAUCGUAUAGAAUGACACACAGCCCUUUGCAUAUUUUUGAAGUUUUUUUUUUUUAAUUUACUCUCCAACUAACCUUAUUUAUGGGAAAAUAAAAUAAAAACUUGUUUCCAACUUAAAUUAGCUACAGUUCAGAUUUUUAUUGUUAUUACCUUUAGCGUAUGUGGUCAUAAAUUCAAGUUUUAUGAGUUUAUUAAAAUACUUUCUCUUCUACAAAUAGAAUAGAAGUAAAAUAUCACUCACUAUAUUAGUGGGAGUGAUUACCAAGCUAAUCUCGGUAAAAAGAAGCCUAGAGAGAUAUCACCAGAGUACUAGAUUCAAGCCAGUCUCUUCUAUAAAUGUGAUAAAUGUGGAUAGAACCUCUGAGCUGUACUGCAAAUUUAUAUAUUUAAAUUUUCAAUAGACUUAAUACCCAUUUGUGUGUGGAAAAAGAACUGAAUAAAUUGAAUGGGUUAUGGAUUAGAACUUAAUUAGGGUUCUUCUGAUUUUGAAUCAUUGAUCGGGUUCAAGUUCUAACUGGAAAUUGCUACAAAGUUUGUCUCUCAACCAAGUCAUUAACUAGCUAAUGAGGAUAUUAACCAUUAAAUAAUCAAUAAACCUAAUUAAUACAGUUCCAAAUACAAUGAAGAUGGUCUAACUUUUUCUCUUCGAUUGAGUCUUCUGAAUAAUAGUACACUCUCAGCCGUCUGCACAAGCUGCCCACGCCAUCUCCAAAUUAAUGAAUUACCCAUUUUAUUUUCUCCUCAUUGGGGAGGGAGUUUAUUGUAAAUUUAGGUAUGAGAUGAUUUUCUUCCACUUGAAUCUAAAUUUAUGGGGGUUAAUUAUGGUUCUUUUUACUAUUUUUGUAUGCUAUCGUGUGUGGUUUUUUUUUUUUUUUAUAAUUAGAUUGGAAUUCUCAAGAGUUGAUCAUAUAUGGAAAGUUACAAGCUACGGAUCUUUUUCAAAUAGAGUAAGAAUUAUCUAUGAGUUGGUAAAGUUUAUGCUAGUGGUGAAGGGUACUGAAGUAGCUACGGGUUGCCUGCGAAAUGUCUAAAAUGGAGCUCUAAUUUGUGGUAAUGUGAAAUGUCGGCUGUUCUUUCUUGAUAGUUAGUAAAAUUGAAAUAAUUUGUUUUGUUGUAUUUUGUAAUGAAUCUUUUUGUACAUGGAUCUUCAUUUCUAUUAUAAAUUUGGCAGAAUCAAAUUCCUUUUCACUUAUUUAAAACAAUAACACACAGAAGCAAUCGAACAAAAUAAAAUUGUUACGGAUAACAAGGCAAUCAAUAAUUUGAACACAUUUGGAUGUUAAAGUUCUUUUAAAAUACGAAAAAGAACCCCACAAGAAAUGAAGACAAAAGUUGGGAACCGUCCAUCCAGCAAGAUUUUAAGUUAAUAAUCUUGAUAGAUCAUAAAAUUUUUGUGUUUUAGAAGGUAAAGAGACUCAACAAUAUAUUUAUUUUCUUUUUUUCAUUUCUUUUUAAAUGGUUACAACUUACAACUCAAUGAUAGUUUAACAAAUGACAAUUUAUUACACAACCUAUUGACUUGACCACAUAACAACUAUACGACAUGGGGGUUUUAGGUCAUUCUAAAAAUAUGAAAACUAACUUGAUAAUUAAUUUAAAUCUUAGAGACUAAAGGUGCGAUUGGGAGUGAGUUACAAUAGAUUUUAAGUUGCAGUUGUUGUGGAAUAAAAGUCUCAGUUGCUACUAAACACCUCAGCAGCUCAAUUUUAGUAGUCAAACUGUCACACAUCACUCCUAAAUGCAUCCUAAAACGAUCAUUUGUGCAUUUAAUAUAUCCAAUAAUACUUAUACACAGCGUUUCAGUUUUCAUGCCAAGGUUUCCAGACUGAAUGAAGGCCAAGAAAUGGCACUGAGAAUGUCACAAGAAGAGCUGCCCAACCGAAUAAUGAGUCCGAGCUGCAGAGCAAGCCAGACUGAAUUUGGGCCCAGAAGUAGCUAAGCCAUCUGUUUUUCUGACCAAAAAGGAAUUUCGCAAACAGCUCACUUGCUUGCUUUCCAACUCAUCCCUUUGCUUAUUUUAGUGUGAUUAAUUAGUCCAUAAGAGGCGAGCAAUCCCUUUGCAAAAUAUGGUUCAAGCCUUCAAGCCAUGUGCAUCGAAAAGCUGGGAUUACUUAAAAAGCUGUGGUGGCCCAAGAUUUUGUUUCAUCCAACCAUUCCAGCCACAAAGUAAUUAAAAACAAAUAUUAUCCCAAACAUGACAAAAACAGAAAAUUUCCAUGGAAUUGCUUUUAUGUGAUCUUUCCUUUGUAAUGAAAUUUUGAGUGGCGAAUAGACUUAAUGGGAUAUGAAGUGCUGAGAACAAUGCUUGGAAAGUUGGUAAAAGGAAGAUGAGUCUUGAGUUUGUUUCGCAUCACAGGCCUAGUCUACAAGGAAAUGCACAAUAUCUAUGCUACCAAACAAAGUUCACAUGGCAAAAGCAAGUACUUUUUUGGAUUUUUGUGCUUCACACCUUUGAAUCCCACCAGCAACAAGAGCAUUUCUGUGUAACAAAACCAAUAUUCGGCUCUGAAAAAGUAAACCAAUAUUCGGCUCUGAAAAAGUAACCCGCAUUUCUGUGUAACAAAACCAAUAUUCGGCUCUGAAAAAGUAACCCAAAAAAAAAAAGGGAUCUGUUCCUUGGCCUGCAAGGCUUGCCUGCAUUAUUUAUUAAGUCAAUGAAACUCUCCAUACUCCUGAAAUGGCUUAUAGUCUUUAGCUUCUUCCACUUGGUGGCUUGGAAAUUGGGGAGAUUUUGAGGCAUAUGUGCGGUGAAGACUUGCUAAAGAAGAGCAAUAUGGCUGGAUUUUUGCCGAAAAACUGUGCAGCAUUGGAUGUGUGGAUGCUUGGUUCCCAUGAGAGGGAUGCUGCUGUGGCUAGACAAGCACUUGAAGAAAGUGUUGUUAACUUCAAAGCUUUGAUUGAGAUUCUUGUGGGAAGGAAAUCAAGUCAUAUUGCCCUAAUCAAACAAGCCUAUCAGACAAGAUAUAAAAGGCAUCUGGACCAAGAUAUUGCCAAUAUUGAGCCUCCCCAUCCCUACCAAAAGGUAAGCUUGUUUCAAAAAGCACUUUCAGAUAAUCAAAAUCACUUUUUUGGGGCAUUGAGCACUAAAAGUUUGGUUUUUUGGGGAAAUGUUUCUCAGAAUAAAAGCACCCAUAGAACAAUACCCUUUUUUUUGCUUAACAUAGAGCCUCUUAGUUUGAUUUUACGAACGAUGAUUUUAUAGAAAAGAUUGGCAAUUUGACAGAUUCUUGUGGCACUGGCUACAUCACACAAGGCACACAAUGCAGAUGUUAGCCAACAUGUUGCCAAAUGUGAUGCAAAAAGGCUUUAUGAAACAGGGGAGGGCAGUCCAGGAGCCGCCGAAAAAGCUGUUGUGCUGGAGAUUUUCAGCAAAAGGAGCAUCCCACAGAUGAAGCUGACAUUUUCUUGCUAUAAACACAUCUAUGGACAUGACUACACGAAGGUAAUUAACAUUGUCUUGCCAGCCCUAUAUGAUCCUAAUUUACAGACUUUUAACCGUAAAAUUGAGAUGAAAUUUAACAGCUUCUUCCAUUAUCGGUGCAUUUUUCAGUCGCUUAAGAGGGGAAACUCCACGGAUUUUGAAGAUGCACUAAAAAUGGUUGUCAAAUGCAUUCUAAAUCCACCCAACUAUUACGCAAAGGUAAUAAUUAUUUAGCCUUGCGGCCUUCUAUAAUACCAUUAACAAAGCGGAUGAACAUAUUUGUAUUCUUUUUUUGGGGCCAAAAUUCAUGCAUAUCUCUGCUACAUUACACUGAAAUCCCCUGUAUUCGAAAUGCCUCAAUGAUCGUUGCCGGAAUUGACCGUAAGUGUUAGGUCUUUUGCACAUAAAAAGUUGAAAAAUUGGCAUCAGUGGUAAACUUAUUUCCUGGGUGCAGACACUGUAUGCAAGCAUCAAGGGGACAAGGGUUGAUAAGGCCGCGGUGGCACGUGUGUUGGUGAGCAGAGCUGAGGUCGACAUGGAUGAGAUUCAAAGGAUUUUCAAGAAAAAAUAUGGGAUGGAACUGAGAGAUGCAAUAUGUGAGAGCAUUCCAUCUGGGGAUUACAGAGAUUUUCUUGUUGCUUUGGCCACAAAAGCAAGUACUGCUUAGUCGAUGAUUUGAGUACAUUAUGAAGUCUUGUUUACAAUAAUCUACAUUGGCAUAUAUUUGAGUAGAUUAACUAGCAGCACUAUGGUGUGAUGGAAAGGCAGUGGUGAGACUUGAACCUUUUUUAUAAGCAUUUCAAAAGUGAUGAUGUUAUCAUCAACUGUUUUACUAAAUGUCAGUGGCUUCUCCAAUAUCAUGUUGGAAGAAGAUGCUACUGUAAUUAAUGCAAACAAGAAUCUUCCUGAUUAAGAUACAAUGUCAAUAGGGUACUCGCCACAUCCCAAAAAUUCCUGAAAUGGCGAAUAAAUUAUUGGUCAGCCAACAAAUUAAAAAAAAAAAAUCAACAAACAAAUACAAAAAAAGAAAAAAAAAACCAUACUAGCUCGGAUUUAAAUAAUUGCUUAACCAUAUUGAAUGUAUUGGAGGGAAGGAGUUUGAGUCCUAAUAUUUUUUUUUUUUUUCCAAUUUGGGUGGUAGAUUCGUUUAUAUUGGGCAUAACAUAAAUCUUCAAUCCAUCCUAGGUAUUAUUAGAUGAAUUUAAGGUUUUGAGAAUAAAAGCUAAUGUAAUGUUAAUAAAAAAAAAAAGAGGUAAUUACAUGCCUGAGAAUUAAGAAAAGAAAGUUGUGAAGAAAAAAGAAGGAAUAUUAAUUGUGUCCCACAUGCAUGAGAAGAUUGUCUAGAGAAGGAUUAUCCAAAGACAAAAACCAACUCCAAUAAUAAAUUCUCUUUCAAAGUCUAAAGAAACCUCAAGCUGCUACCCCCUCGAUUUAUUACACCACAAGAUCGAAUUCUACACGUAUAAAAAGCAACUCACCAGCGCAGGGAAUUAGGGAUGCAUAUAUCAUUCACUCCACAAGACAUAUUUCCUUAAAAUAAGGGAUAAAUCAAUGGAACAAAGCUUAAGCUCCAAGCUAAUCUCCAAUCCUAUUGCAGCUGGCGAAGAGAAGAACAUCAACAAGAUCUUUAAGUCCAUCCCAAAGGCAUAAUACAUAAUUAUUUCUCAAAUAAAUAUACAAGAACGCUUUCAUAUUAUCACAUUGUUGUACGUAGGUUACAGGAAAGAUCAACUUCAUGCGCGUAUCAACGAUUAAGGUGAGGUAACGAUUAGUGGGGAAAAAGAGAAUAGCGUUUGCCAAAAACACAAAGUUUGUACGGGUUGCAAGAAAGUGGACGGUUGUUGCGAAAUAAUCAAAGUUUCUACGGGCUGCAAAAGGGAGGGAAUUGACGUAACGUUUUCGAAUGGGAUUCUUUAUUUUAAAAUGCCAAAGAGAAGUCAAUGGUGUGCAGUACAAAAUCGACUAGCUAGAGACUGCUGCAACAACUCUGAAGCUUGGGGCAGUUGCUGUGCUGUUGGUGGUUGUUGCUGUUCAAGCAUUUUUAGGUUGCAUCAAAUAUCGCUAAUUCUUUUCGUGUUAAGGACUUAUAUUUACAGGCUUCAUAUAUCAUGUUAAUUUCUUGAUAUUAAUUUAAAGUUCUUUGAAGCACGUAUUUUAUUACUAAUUUGUGUCGAUGACAAAAUAACAAUUAAUGCGUUAAUUGAAAUCAAAUGAGCUGAUGCAUUAAUUUUCUUCGUUCUUGUGAUUUUGCUAUUUUGGCUCGUUUAAAUUGAUUUCUGUCACAAGUAGUAGUGGUGAUAAACUUUGAUUCACUCCUUGACAUGUAUGUCAGCUAUGAAACCAGAGCAACGUUACAUGUAUUUAUUUUUGGCCAAUUUGAAACCAAUGCAAAGUUACAUGUAUGGCUCACACAAUCACCAUCAUCAUCAUCACCACCACAAUGAAACGAACGCGGGACAAUAGCCGGAGACCCAGAUGGCAUAGGGCAUGCAUGUUUGGUGGUAAAUGUAACGUGGCUGAAACAAAGUUUAUAUAUAUAUAUUAUAAAGGCCGCUGCAACAACUCUGAAACUUGGGGUGGACGCUGUGGUGUUGCUGCUGGCCGCUGUUGAAGCAUUUGUAGCUUGCAAAUAUCGCCGAUGCUUUUCACGUUAACGAUGUUAAUUUCUUAAAAAGUAGAGUUCUUUGAAGCACGUAUUUAUUAAUUUGUGUCUAAUGCAUUAAUCGACAUAAAAUGAGCUCCUUCAUUCCUGUGAUUUUGCCAUUUUGGUUUAUUAAAUUGAUUUCUGUCACAAGUAGUGCUGGUGAUUGAUGAACUCGAUUCACUCGUUGACAAGUGAACGCCUUUCAACUGAUCAUGUAUGUCAGAUAAAUGUUGCUCACACAUCAUUAUCGUGAUGACCAUAAAAUGAAUGCGGAACAAUAAUAACCGGAGACCCAGAUGGCAUAGGGCAUGUUCGGCGAUAAGUGGCUUUUUUUUCUUCUUUUUUUUUUUCUAAAAUCUAAAUAGGAUUAAGUUAGUUUGAAUUUUGAAUAGAACUGAAUGCCGGAAUAUAAAUUAUUUAUAGUUUUUCUCUUGUUUGAAUUGCUGAAAACAAAUAUUAGGUUAUUUCUUUUUUAACUUAAAACUUUAAAAACAAGUAUUUUUAUAUUUAUACCCUUAUAAAUGUUAAACAAAUAUAAUAAGCACCUCAAAGAACUUAAAUAAGAUAAUAUAUUAUCAUAAUAUAAAUCGUGUUCAAUUGAAUACAACACCUUAUAUUCUAAAUUAGUUAAUCAAUUUUAUUAUAGUUCAUGAUGUUUUUAUAUGAAAAAUAUUCAUAAAAAAAUUAUGAAGGUAAAUAAUGCUAUUUUGAAGGAAAUAAAAAAAUAAAAUUAAUAAUAAUCUACCAUUAUAUUAUCACAAGUUAUAAAGAUGGGUAAUAAUGCGAAUUAUUAAAUUUUAUUUAGGUAAGAAUGGAAAUUAAUUAAUUAGAAAUGAAUAUUUUGGAGAAUAUCUUUUAAUGAUAUCAUUAUAACUUUUUAGAUUAAGCAAAAAGCUAAAAAAAGAAUUGGCUUAAAAACUUAAUGAUUUAAUAACUGAAAAUUUUCAUUAAGUUCAAAAAACAAAUUGAGUUAAUGACUUAACUAAUUGAAACUAAGGUGAUGCUUUUUUUUUAUUAUUUGAAAUCUGAAUAGGCUUGAAUGGAUCUCAAAUCUAAAUAGACAUGAAUGUCUGAAUUUGAAUAAUAUGUUUGUUUUUUUUUAAAUCUCUGAAGAUAAAUAUUAAGUUGUUUUUUCAACUUUAAAAACUAAAAACAUGUACUUUUACAUUCAUAUCCUUAUUAAAUUUGAAUGUCAAGUGUGUGUGUGUGUAAGCAAAACGACGUUCAAGUGAAUACGUAAUAAUUUUGGAAUUAUAAUAUAUAAAUUUUUUUAAUAAAAAUAAAUUGUAUAAUUACAUAAAAAAGUUUAAGAAUAAUAUCUUUGAUUGAUUACUAGUAAUGGGAGAUUAAAGAACUUGACGAGAGAAGCAAAGUGAGGAGGAAUCCCAUGAUGGCCAAAAAAAAUAAAAAUGAGAUUAUUAGUCGGUAAAUAUGUAUAGGUGGGUUUUGUGAUAGGCAUGAAAAAUAAAUAAUAAAAUGAGGAUAUUUUUUACAUUAAAAAUUAGUUGAUUGAUUCGGAUUUCUUCAUUCAGUAAAAAGUAAAAAAAGAUUGACUUAUUUUAUUAAGUCAAAAUUAUUUGAAAAGUCCCACUAAGUUAUAAAAAUAAACACCUAUACUUAACUUAAUUAAUUAAGUCACUUUAAAUCAUUAAGUUAAAAAAAACAAACAUCCUCUAAGUUAAUUAAGUCAUUAAGUAAAAAAAAAGGAACAAUCCCUAAAGGUACCAUAGCUGAAAAAAUGGUUUAAAAAACAGUAAAGAGUAAUGUACCAACCAACCCAGAGUUUAUAUUGAGAAGGAAAAUGAUGUUCUCACAAAUUUGCACACAAAGGUUUGCACAAAACGGUGUGUUUUGUGCAACCUUUAAAAGGCUCUUCGUACGUGCACAACAACACACACGCUCUUCCCAGCUGCUCCCACUCGCGUCUGUCUCCUUUCACUGCAACAAAAACCCAGCAGCUUCGUUCUCCACACAGCAACGGAAACGACACAAAUCCCAACAGUAACAAAAACCCAGCAGCUUAUCCCGUCUCCACGCACAGUCAGUCUAACCUUCGUUCUCCCUCAUUCUCUCGACGCCAUUCUCCCUUACUCUCUCGGCUAUGUGCUUCCUCAUUCUCUAGACGCCAUUCUCCCUCGCUCUCGGCUCUGUACUCUCUCAUUCUCGCUGGAUCUUUUUUGCCACACUCUCUCGGCUCCGAUCACCCUCAUUCUCGGUGGCUCCAUUCUCCCUCACUGUCUCGGUUCCGAUCUGCCUCAAUCUCUCCCUCAAUCUCUCGAUCUCAGUUUCAUCACUCUCUCUACCCCAACACAACCGAAUUAACGGAGCUUGUUAAGGUUAGUGUUCAAUUUAUUGCUUUAAUUUGUAAUUAAUUGAAAAUUAAUUAUUUUGCCCCAUUUCGGCCACUUGGAUUUUGAAUGGUUAUUGUUGAGGGUAUAGUGAUUUUAGGUUGUAUUGAUAUUAGCUUUGGAUUUUGAACGAAUUGAUUUAUUUUUCCUAUUUCGGCUGUUAGUUAUUGUUAUUUGGGAAUUCAUUUUGAUUUGGUUAUUGUUCUCGGGCAAGUAUUGUUACUAACCGUUGUGGCAGCAAAUUGGAGACAUGAUGUCAUGCAGUAAAGUAGGCAUUACCUUAUACUCCACGAAUUUCUCAGCAUGCUGCCUUGCUUCUUCUCUGGAAUCCUUGAAAAAUCUAUAAGUAAUUGAUGAAUUAUUAUGUACAAUUUGAUUGACAAACAUUAUUAGAGAGAUAUUAAGUUUGCAGGAGAUAGUCAGCAAAAACCUUGAGAGCAACAUUGUUGUGGCUGUUUUUUCUUUUGGAAUUGAUUAGUAGCUGGUGUGUCCUAUAUUGUUUCCCUGUCCAGUUUCUUAAUGCUCAUUAACUAUUAUGGCUUUUUUUUCUCCUUUUCAGUUGCUUAAAUUGGUUGGAUAUUUCUAUCACAAUGUCCUCUAGCAUGAGUGAAGUUCCAAAUCCACAUAUAAAAACUUGUGAAAAGUACUGCAAUGAUAAGAUCUUACCAACUUCACGCACAAGAGAGAAUCUGAAUCGUAAGUUUUGGAAGUGCAAAGGAUGUGGGGCAUUAGAAUGGGACAACGAUCGGAAGAACAAUGAAUAUACUGUGUGUCGAGGGGUGGAAGAUCGAAAUAUGAGCGAGAUUAAAAUUGAUCUCUUACUAGGAGAAGUGCGCAAGCUAGGGCAUCAAAUGGAAUGUUUGUCUCUUAAAUUUGAAUUGCUUUAAAGAGAACUUCAACGAAGUUUGCAACCAAGUGUUAUUGUAAAAUAUGUCCCACAAAUAAUUAUAUGUAUUUUCAUAUGUAUUGUAUUUAAAUUGUAUAUUCAACUAAUGUAUUAACUUCUCUUAUUUGCAAUGAAAAUUACGUUUAUGGUUGAAAUAUUAUUUUCUGUUAUUUGUAACUUUGCAUUAAAUCGUUCUCUUAAUUUUUGAAAGUGUUACCAUCGAUGGAUCCGGGCGAUUGCAUAUAUAUCAUCAUAAACGUGGUGAUUUAGGUGAUUCUCAUUAUAUUUAUACUUAUAAUGAAUUGAUCAUGUUAAUGUUACCCAUAUCAUUUCACAUUUUCUCUCCAUCUAAAUUUGUAUUGAAUUUUUCAAAUUUUAAUAUUACCACGUUUAUUAAAAUUUUCCGCACAAAAUUUUCCGCAAGCAGGGCAUACAAACACAUUUUCCAUCUUUGUGUGUGUGUGUGUGUGAGAGAGAGAGAGAGAGAGAGAGAGAGAGAGAGAGAGAGAGAGAGAGAGAGAGAGAGAGAGAGAGAGAGAGAGAGAGAGAGAGAGAGAGAGAGAGAGAGAGAGAGAGAGAGAGAGAGAGAGAGAGAGAGAGAGAGAGAGAGAGAGAGAGAGAGAGAGAGAGAGAGAGAGAGAGAGAGAGAGAGAGAGAGAGAGAGAGAGAGAGAGAGAGAGAGAGAGAGAGAGAGAGAGAGAGAGAGAGAGAGAGAGAGAGAGAGAGAGAGAGAGAGAGAGAGAGAGAGAGAGAGAGAGAGAGAGAGAGAGAGAGAGAGAGAGAGAGAGAGAGAGAGAGAGAGAGAGAGAGAGAGAGAGAGAGAGAGAGAGAGAGAGAGAGAGAGAGAGAGAGAGAGAGAGAGAGAGAGAGAGAGAGAGAGAGAGAGAGAUUCUCUUACUCCUAGCGAAGAAAAACAUAUAAUACACAAAAUAAACUAAAAUAAAAAUUUAAAAUUCAGGACUGGUUGCUCAACUUCGAAAUAAAACUCUAAUAUGUGUAUGUGAGUACAUAUACAUAUAAUUGCUUUUUUCUUUUAAAACCGAUUGCAUAUCAUCAUAGGGUGGAAAAACUAACCCAGAUUAUCAACACCUCAGAUUAUCAAAACACACCCACAUCAUCAUCUUCAUGAUCAUGCAGAAGUUGUAUUAAAAAAAAAGAAUAGAAAGAAACAUGCUGAAAUUAAUACUAGUCAACUAAAAAUGAAAAAGAAGAUGCACAAAUAUGUCCCCUGUUUCUGAGAAUCUAAUUUAAUGGCUGCCACUAUUUUAAUGAAAAUUACACAUUUAUGCUCAGUUAAACAUAUAAUUCUCCAUAAUUCAAACACAAGUAUAAUAACAAACAUAUGAUUCUCCAUUUAAAACACAAGUAUAAUAGCGAAAAUGUCCAUGCUGUAGGAGUUGUGGGUGCUGCAGGAGUUGUGGGUGCUGUUAUAAAAAUUCAAACAUUAUGUUAUAAUAAGAAAUACAAUAGAUAAAAUAAAUGAAAAAAUAUAUAUAUAUAUAUGGUGAACAACUUACAUUAUAGUAGUUUGCAGUUCCAUAUGGGUAUAUAUUCGUAUGAAUAUCACUUCCUCCAACAUUUUGAAGUGUCUACAUAAGAUCCACAAUAAAACUAUUAAGUUAUGUACGUAUUAAGUUAUGAAAAUUAAGAAAAAUGAUAAGAAUCCGGCCUCACUUACCGCUGCAAUAUUGCUUCCUUGUGGAAUUACAACAGACACUUGAGAAGAUAAUAUAUUGUCUGCAUGUCCAUCCUGCAAAGUCAUCAAAAAAAUCAUUUAAGCACCAUUUAUGUAAUAAAUUAUUUUAAUUAAUUAAUGGUAAAACUAACCUCUGCAUCCGAACGUGUUGAAUUCUUUUUAGGUUUGGUAGACCUUGUUGACUUUUUCCUUUGACAAGGUGGACGACCUUUCCGACGCCUCACUUCUGGAUCACUUACUCCCUCAGUUGUAUUUGUUGAAAUUCUCAUGCUGUUACUACAACUUUCUUGACCUGAAAAUCCCGCGUUGUUACCUCUGCAUUGAAUUGGCUCUGGUAGAUCUUUCCGUACAUCCUCAAUCCAAUUCAAAACAAGAUUAGAACUCUCAACAUUUCUUGCAGCCACGUUUGCAACUUCCGGAAACCUAACACAUAUUUUCUCAUACCGCUUUUGUUCAUCUGUGCAACCGUGCAACUCAUGACUCGUUUUGACCCUACUAUGCAUCUCCACACAUCUUUUCUCCAUCUUCGUAGAAUGUACUUUUCUGGAAGUACUUCCGAGUCAUUGCGUAUCAUGAUGUAAAUGGCAUGUCUGCACAUAAUUCCUCUAAAUUGGAACAUUGAACAACUGCAACUGAUCUCACCCUUAUCUUUUUCAAAAUGUACUUAAAAACAAAUUCUUUUCUUAAACUUUCCAAUUUUAACAUAUUCUCUGACUAUAUGUUCAUAACCCAUUGAAUUGACGAAUUCGCAAUACAUCUUCGCAGUCAACUAUUUCUGAAACUUUGAAAUGGUGUACACAUCUCGAACUUGCUUCUCCAUCUUAUAAGAUGUUACGCAUGGCAUUUAUUGUGAAAGACAUUUGGCAUCUUCUUCGACUUCCUUUUGAACUUUACUUUUUAAUGCAUUACUAUAUUGCUCUACAAACUGCUUCAAUGCGGUUUUUGAGUUAACAUAACCAUCAAAAAACGCAUUCAUGCUCUCACUUCGUUGAGUAGUUGACAUUCCAGCCUAAAAACUAUCUUUCAGGUAACAUGAUACCCAAUGAUGUCUCUCAUUAUACAAGCCCUGUAGCCAAUCAUUACCACCCAAAUUAUAUUAUACAAUCAUGCGGUGCUAGAUUUCCUCGAACUUUGCAGGGCUCUGUGAAUCAUAAACAGCACAAUGCAACAUAUCGCUAAUAUCACGAUAUUGUUUAUAGCCCCCUAGCUUAUCCGGAAUCUUCUUAAGUAUAUGCCACAAACACCACCGAUGUCGAGUAUUAGGAUAGACAGCAGAAAUUGCAAUUUUCAUGGCCUUGUCUUGGUCUGUAAUAAUUCCAAUGGGAGCGGAAUUGGACAUGCAUGCUAGCCACGUUCGAAAUAACCAAGUGAACGUCUCAACAUCCUCAUGUGAAAUCAAUCAACAUCCAAACAAAAUAUAAUGACCAUGAUGAUUUACUCCCACAAAUGGAGCAAAUGGCAUGUCAUACUUAUUUGUAAGGUUUGUUGUGUCAAAAGUAACAACAUCUCCAAACUCUUUGUAUGCUUCUCUAUUCAUUGGCUCAGCCCAAAAUACAUUUUUCAAUCGACCCUCAUCAUCUACUUACAUACUAAAAAAAAACAUAUUGUCGUCUGACUGCACUCUCAUAAAAUAGUUUUGAAGAGCAGCCGCAUCUCCAUCCCCAAGUCGUAGUCGUCUUUAUUUCUGUAUAUGAUUUCUACAAUCUCUUUCUGUGAAUGUCACAUUUUCAUAGCCACCAGCCUCAAUAACAAGUGAUUGAUAAUUUUGGGACAAUCUAAUCCCUGCUCUAUCAUUUACAUCAAGUUUCUUUUUUGCAUAUGAACUAAGGCUGCGAUUGCAUCGGAAAAAUUUAUACUCGGUUGGAGUCAACAAUGUAUGAUUGUGUUCAAUAUUUAAAACUCGAAUCCUCCACUUUCCGUUUUCCUCUAAUCCUCCUCCCAAUUUAAUGAUCGGUUUUUGGUAUAUACACACAUGUAUGCUUGAGUGUGUAAAAUCUCUGCUGUACCGUACAUCCGCCUUGGCCGUAUCUCACUAUCGAAUGACAUCCCAAUCAUUGGCUCAUCAUCCUGUAAGUUGUCCUCCUCAAUUUCCUCAAACUCUUCAACUUCAAUGCUUUUUUCCAUAUUCUUUAUUCGUACAAAAUGAAUAUAUUUCAUAUUAAUCAACUAAAUAUAUUUCACAUUACUCAUGAUAAGAACAAAAUUCAGAUAAUCAUAAUCAACACAAUCAACAUUAAUCGGCAAUUGCAAUAUAUGCUCUGUAAAAUUUAAAUAGAACAAAUAAAGAACUAAACAGAACCUAAUUGCUCAAAGGCUCACAAAAUUCAAAAAAUAUGACAAAAAAUAAGGCUACACGUUAGGCGAGGUGAAGUACCCGAAAUGGGGCAAAAUAAUUAAUCUUCAAUUAAUUAUAAAUUAAAGCAAUAAAUUGAACACUAACCUUAACAAGCUCUGUUAAUUCAGUUGUGUUGGGGGAGAGAGAGUGAUGCAGCUGAGAUCGAGAGAUUGAGGGAGAGAUUGAGGGAGAUCGAUGCUGAGAGAGUGAGGGAGAAUGAAGCCACUAGGAAUGAGAGAAAAUCGAGCUGAGAGAGUGAGGACGGUGCCGAGAUAAUGAGGGAGAACGAAGCCACCAAGAAUGAGAGAAAACCGAGCUGAGAGAGUGAGGACAACCGAGCUGAGAGAGUGAGGACGGUGCCGAGAAAAUGAGGGAGAAUGAAGCCACCAAUAAUGAGAGAAAACCGAGUUGAGAGAGUGAGGACAACUGAGCUGAGAGAGUGAGGACGGUGCCGAGAUAAUGAGGGAGAACGGAGUUGUUGUUGUGUGGAGAACGAAACUGCUGGGUUUUUGUUGCAGUGAAAGGAGGCAGACGCGAGUGGGAGGAGCUGGGAAGAGCGUGUAUGUUGUUGUGCACGUACGAAGAGCCUUUUAAAGUUUGCACAAAACGCACCGUUUUGUGCAAACCUUUGUGCGCAAAUUUGUGAGCAUAUCGCUACUGUAUUGAGAAUCCUAUAAUUCUGGACAUUGGUAUUACUAUCGAGAUCACUCUCUCCAAAGAAAUCGCUUUCAACCUAUAAUUAGACUCCCCUUUGGUAAUUAGUGUGAUGUUGUGACUUAAAAGCCAUAUACAGGAUUUCUAGCUAUUAAAUUAGAGUUAAUAGUAGUAUAAAAUAGUAAAGAUAAUACCAGUUCAUCAUGAAAAAUGAUGAAAUCAAAUUAUCUUAAGCUGUGGCAUUUUUCAAGAGUAGUAUUUCAUGAAACCUUUACUAGUUGAAUUAUAUCAACUAAAAUCUACAGUCACUUGGUGACUUAAUUUAUCGAAUAGUGUAGAAAUCAUAAAAGUUUUAAUUAACAAAAAAGACAUUCAUACAACAUUAAGCACAAUGUUAAGCACUGAACGGUGUGUGUUUUGAGUUAAGUAUAAAUUCUCACAGUGGCUAACACACAGCUCACAACAUGCGCAAAACUCACACGAGUUUCCCGCAAAAUCUCACCAGAAUCGAAUGCUCUCUCCAUUGGCUCUCUAUUUGUGUGGUGACUACCGGCUCUCUCUCUCUCUUUACCUCCCUCCCUCCCUCCCCCGUUGCUCACACAUCUGACCUUACUUCCUUUUCACCAUCGAUUUUCUCUGUCUCUCUCUCGCUGUGGGUCUCUCAACAGCUCGCCGUCGAUUGCAUCUCUAACGGCUCCUCAUUGUCUCUGUUGUCUCAAAAAUUUGACUUGCAACUUCAACUUCACUCUCUCGGCUGCUGUAAUAGAUUUGUGGAGGUAAUUUGAUUCAUUAAUGCCAAAUUUGGUUGAGUUGAUUAUGAAUUUUAGAAGAUUUAGUUGCCAUUGUGGAAAUUUGUGUAGAGAGUAUCUAUGGUCAAAUUUUGUAGUGGGUAAGUGAGCUAGUUUAGAUUGAUUUGUAAUUGCUGGUUGGAUUUGUGGCUUGAGUGAGGUGUGGAUUUGGUGGGAGGCAGAGGGAGAAUGCGCAUGCUGUCUGCCUUGCGUUCAACAGUGACAUUUUUAUAUUUGUGCUCAAAAUGCCCCGUUUGGUGCUUAAUAUUGGUGCUUAAUGUUGUGUGAAUAUCGGAAUUGUUUAAUUAAUUAGUUUGGUAAAUAUGUAAUCACAUGGCUAUGAAUUAGGAAAAGAAAGUUAGGGAUAGGAAAGAGAAGGAAUAUUUUCUCACUCAUGCGUGAGAAGAUAGAAUUUCACUUCCAGACUCAGCAGCUAGAGAGCAAGGUGAAGGGAAUUGAAUUGUACGUAUUCGGAUUUCGGUAAACCUCGAAAUGUAAUAAUGUUAAAUAAAUAAAUAAAUAAAACGUGUAAUUACUUUAAAUGUCUUCAAACUAAGAAAAGAGAAUUGUGAAGAAAAGAAGGAAUAUUAAUUGUGUCAGCGCAUGACAAAAGAUUGUGUAGAGAGUGGAGAAGGAUUCCAAAGACAAAAGCCAACUCAAAUAAUAAAUUCUCUUUCGGAGCUCAAGCGACCCCUUCAAUUCAUUAUAGCACAAGUGUGAAUCCAACACAUAUAAAAAGCAACACAUCAGGGAAAUAGGAAUGCAUAUAUCAUUCGCUCCACAAGACAUUUUCCUUCAUUUAAAAAAAAAAAAAAAAACAGAUACAUCAAUGGAAACUAAGCUUCAGCUCCCAGCUGAUUUCGAACCCUAUUGCAGAUGGCGGAGAGAGGAACAUCAAUACGUUCUUAAAGUCCAUCUCAAAGGUGGUAUAUAUAAAUAUUUCUAAAUAAAUAUAAUCAAGAAAAAUUAGAUGCUCUCAUUUUCAUAUUAUUACAUGGUUGUAGGUUUCAAGAAAGAUCAAAUUCGUGUCUUUGUGAACGAUCAGGGUAAGCUAAGGAUUAGCGGAAAGCGUCCUAUAGAUGAAAACAAUGUGGAGAGUUUUAGCAAAAGAAUCGAAGUUCCUAAGGAUUGCAAAAGUGAUCGAAUUAAAGCAAAGCUUUCUAAUGGAAUUCUUCGCUUAACAAUGCCAAAGAAAACACAUUCACAUGUAACACGAAAUCAAGCUGCUGCAACAGCUGGAAGAAACACUCUGAAACUUGGAGUUGGGGCGGUUGCUGUGGUGUUGGUGGCGGCGGCAGCUGCUGUUGAGGUGUAUGUAGCCUUCAAAUAUCGCCAAUGCUUUUUUAAUAUAGGCGAAACUUGGCGGUCGUCCAGGAUUCAAUAUUUUUAGGAAUGCCUCAUCUUUUAUAUUUCUUAAAUAAUACUCAGAAAUAAUGAUUUUUUUAAGUUACCCAUAAUGUAUAACUUCCAUAAAUAAAUAAAUGUUCGAUAAAUUAAUAAUACUGAUUAAAUAAUAAAAUCUUUCGGACUCGACUUAAAAUUUUUAGAAAUAAUCCCGUAUUCACAUAUCAACAAAUUGCGUAGAAAGGAAAUAGUUUUUACGAAAAUGAAAUUCUUGUGUAGGGCAAAGUAUAAAUCCACAAGUUUUAUUAUUCUUAUUUCUUUAUCAAAUAUUCUUAAUCAAACGAAUACAAAUUGAAGGAUCAGCUUAUAGUAAUUAACAUGCAAUAUUACUGCUCACAAAAAUUUGCAUAACUUGACAAGGAAUUUAUUUUUGGCCAAGUUCAAACCAGUGCAAAGUUAAUCGGCGAUCACCUAAAUGUUGCUCACACCAUGAUCAUUGAUCAUCACCAUAAAACGAAUGCGGCUACCGUAACCGGAGACCAGAUGGCGUAGGGCAUGUUUGGCUGUUAAGCUUCAGCUAUUAUGAGAUAAAAGCUAUAGUUAUUAAGGAAAAACUUAUGGGUCUAUGACAGAUAAUAAUUUUUUGUUAAUUUAUACAUUUAACAACGAUGAAAAAAAAAAGGGAAUCAAGUCAGAGGAAACAGAAAAGAAACAAACCAGCAGCUGGGCUGUGCCGUCACAGCCCAACGGGCGUUACCAAACACACAACAGCCUAGCUACUGAGAAGUAGUGCCAAACUGGCCCACAAUCCAGGAAGCACUACUUAUAUUAAUCAAUUAAUUUACUUAGUUAAGGUGCAGCAGCAUCACUGUAUCCUGACUCAGCCUAACCGAGGCUUCCCUUUGAUUUUUAAUUGAUAAUUUUAAAACAUACAGUAAAGAUGAUUCGAGUUUUCUUAUUUCAUAUUUAUACAUGUAUGUAUGUAUAUGUAAAUGAAGUCAAAUUAUUUUAACUUUUAAAAUGUAAUUGUAUUAUUGUUAGUAUUUUUUGAACAUGUCAAUGAAAUACUAGGUAAGCAACCCAAGAGGGGGAUGAAUUAAGUUUCUAAAAAUUGUGGAGAAAUAUAAAAACAAAAUGCAAAUAUCAAAUAAAAUUAUUCAAAUAAUAAAUAAAUCACAACAAUCAAAAUGUAAAGAGACAAAGGAAAGAGAAUCGAACAUGAGAUUUUUACAUAGUUCGGCAAACUCUACCUAUGUCCACGCCUCCAAACUCACCGGGCUUGAGGAUUCUACUAUUCAAACCUUACACCCUAAGGCUUCUAAAAUCCUUUGAUGUUAAAAUGAAAAUUGUACAAUUUUUUUUCACACAAUGUAUGAGUUUUACAAAUGAAAACCCAAAGUGUGAUUUGAUAAAAGACCAAUCAAGUUCCAAGCACAAGAGAGAUUGAAUACACAAUGACAAACUCAAUGAUGAUCGUAGAAUCCAACAUUAUUUGAAUUUGAUUGAGCUUUUUUAUAAUUGGAGAAGAAAACUAGUUGUUGGUGACUUUUUGGGCAUAAUCAAAUUGUCGUCCACUACUGUCGGAUCACCAUUUUGACAUUGUGUAAAUUACCGUUAUUCAGAAUUUUGAAUAACCGAUUCAUUGUUUAGAGUUGUUGGUUUGCCGUUUUAUUCCAAAGACCUGCAAGAUAUUUAUCGACUAGCCGUUUGUUCUAAACGAUUCACCAAUUGCAAACUAAUUCCUCUUUGAAAUUUGUCGGUUAGCCAUUAUCAAUAAACAGUUUAUCGGUUUCAAAGAAUUUACUCUCUAGAAUUUAUCGGUUAACCGUUUUUUAAUAAACAGUUCACCGUUAUCUUCCAAAAUCAAAACUAUAAAAUUUCCUUAAGAAAGCGGUUUGCUGACUUAGGAUUAACGGUUAUCAAUUUAUUUUCAAAAUCUUAUUUAUGUCUAAAACAACUUCAUAUGGCUUAAAAAAUAAUUAGUUUUAAAGACUCCAACUUAUUUAUUCAGUCUGUAAUAGGAAUGGCAAUGGGGUAGGGUGGGGGUGGGGAGGCCUACCCCAUUCCCCACCCCGUUAGAAAUUUUUGCCUCCAUUCCCCACCCCAUUCCCCAAUAAAUUUAGUGGGGUGGGGAUGGAGAAUCCCCAUGUGGGGAAUGAUUUCCCCAUCCCCACCCCAUUCCCCAUUUAUCUAUUUUAUAAUAUAUAUAAAUACAUUAUUUUAGUAAGUUAAAAAUUAGAGACUUAAAAUAAAAUCAUCAUCAUAUUAUAAAGUAUUUAAAUUCUUUUAAAAAAAUAUCUAUUUAAAUUCUUUUUAUUAAGAUGCAAAUGCCUCAUGGGUUACUUUUCAAGGAAACUCAUAUUUAUAAUAAAAUUAGAAUUUUUAGUUGUCUCUUUAAAUGACUACAACAAAAUCAAAUUUGACAAAAAGACUUUUCCUUGUAUUUUUGUAGGUUAUAGCCUGCUGUACCGUACAUCCGCCUUGGCCGUACAAAAAAUAUUAUAGGAUUUUCUUUCAUUCAUAUUUUGUUUAUGUUGCAUAAAAAUUAAAAAAAAAUUAUUAAUUGACAUUAUAAUUGAUAAAAUAAAAAUUAUUAAAUGAGAAUUAAAAACAUAUUUAUAUAUAAUGGGGAUUGGGGUGGGGGUGGGGUGGGGAGUACAAAACCAAACUCCACCCCAUUAAGAAUUUGGGGAUUAUUUUCCCCCCACUCCCCACCCCAUUCCCUAAAAAUUAUUCAAAAUUUUUCCCAUUUGGGGUGGGGCUCCAUGGGGCCCCAAACCCGUGGAAGAUUUUGCCAUCCCUAGUCUGUAAUCAUUAAAAUCAAUAUUAUAAAAAUAUGUAUGAUAACUGUCAACAAUUGUGACUUUUUUAAAAGUAAUUAAUUAUUCAUAGAACCUUUACAAGUUGAAUUAUAUAGAUGAACUAAAAUCUACAGUCACUUAAGUAGUUCAUCAAAUAGAAUAGAAAUUAUAUGAGCAUUAAUUAAUAAGUUAGGUAAAGGUAUAAUUAAUGACAUGGCUACUAGGGAGGAGGAAGAAGGAAUAUUUUCUCACCGAUGCAAAAGGAGAUAGAUUGUCAAGAGAAUGAGAUUAUCCAAAGGCACAAACCAACUCAAAUCAAAUCCUUUGCUUUCAAUAAGGAAUUUAUUCCCUUUCAAAGUCCAAAGAAAUCUCAAGAGUUGGCCCAUCAUAUAAAAAGCAACCAAGGGAAAUAGAGAUGCAUCAGCAUCAUUCACUAGAAAAUUACUCUAUAACUCUCAUACAAAAAUUAAGCAUAGCCAGAUUUAUAUACAUCAUUGAUGGAAACCAAGUUCUCAGUUGAUGAGAUCGAACCCUUCUGCAAAUGGCAAAAAGAGGAACAACAAGAUGUUCUUGAAGUCCAUCUCCAAGGUGGUGUUAUAUCAUAUUCAUUAACAAUACACGCAUUUUGCUAAUAAAAUCAUCGAUCCGUGAUCUCAUUAAAUUGUUGUUAUUGUCGCAGGUUUCCAUAAAUCACAACUGAAGGUCCAAAUCAACAAUCUUGGGGAGCUAACUAUUAGCGGAGAACGUCCUCUAGAUCAAGAAAAUAAACGAGUUCGUUUUCGCAAACAGAUAAAUGUUUCAAAAGACUGCAAAAAGGAGGAAAUUCAUGCAAAGCUUUCAGGAGGGAUUCUUUACAUAAUGAUGCCGAAAAUAAUCCCUGUUUCGCUUCCUGCACAAGCUCGAGAACAAAUUGUUAAUCAAGAAAAGAGUAAUAAUAAUAAUGGAAAUGCAAAGCAAAAUGAUAUUGAUCAUAAGCCUGCCGCCGCGAGCGCAACCACGGCUGGAACAAGCCGUGCCGCUACGUGGAGCAUGAUGAGCAAGCUGCCGUCAACAAAGUGCAUAUCUGAGCUAAAAUGUUCUGUUCCAAGGCUACAACAAAUGGACGGCAAAACAGCUCUGAAACUUGGGGCUUUGGCUGCCGUCAUGGUGGUGGCUGCUGUUGGGGCAUAUGCUGCCUACAAAUAUCACCGAGCUUUUCAUGUUGACGACUAAUUAAUUUACGGACUCCAACAGUGUUUAUGUUGUUUUCUUAAAUUAUUCCUUUGCUUGAUGAGAAAAUAACAAUGCCUUGAAAUGAAACGAUCGGCUUCAUUUUCUUAAAUCCAAAAAAAUUAUUAUUACUUUUUUCAAUUAAUCCAUACAGGUAUAUAUAUAAAGAAGAGUAGAAAAAAGCAGCUUAUUAAUAGGCUAUGUGCUGCUUGUGAAAUUUUGCACCAACUUAAUGUCACACAAAGAAUUUAUUGUUGGCCGACAUAUAAAUGUUGCUCUCACACCAUGAUCAUAGCCAUAAAGACGAGUGCAGCGACGAUAACCGGAGAGCCAGUUGCGAUGAUCCCGGAAGCAGCGUUAUCCUCGGGAGUAGUCGGAGAUGGUGCCGGAGCGUCGGAAAUGACGUUAAUGGCCAGCUUCUGGCCAAGGUCAGCACAGUGCCUCUUGGCCCCAACUUUGCCGCAAAUGUACCAUUUCUUUCCCGGGGUGGCGAGGGGGAUCGUGUCAUUUCCACUGAUGAGUGGCUCGCUCAGUUUUGAGGCAACGCAGUCCUUGAAUUCGUUAGCGUUCACUUUAAUCACAUUGUGGUUGGGAGGCGUGUAUCUGAACACUGAAAAACAUUAUAAACCAAUUAAAAAAAAAAAAAUUAGUGUUAUCAAAAUAAUUGCUUUUUAAUUAUUACCUUGCCCGCUAAGAAGUUAAUUAUUUAAUAUUUUAUGUACCUAAUGUGUCACCAACACGAAAAACUUUGUCCUUAGCCCAAGCUGCAUAAUCAAAGCCGGUCGUCCACCCGGUUUCAUCACCGACGAUGUGUUCCGUUGCCAUGGCGACUGCCGGAAAAACAAUUGCGACGAUCGCAAGGGUGACAAACCGAUAAGAAGCCAUUAGAAUAAUGUUGAAGCUUAAUCAAAGAGUAUUAACCGGUGAAAUAUGAGUAAAAGGUUUUGUUAUAAGCUUCAAUUGUGAUCUUGUAAUGGGUUAUUUGGGGUCUAUUUAUAGUGAAUAAUUGUCAGUGAAAAUCAGAUCAUCUGCUUUAAUAAUUAACUUGAAAACAAGAAACAAACUGGCAAAGGGCUGGCUGGCAUCGUGGCAUAUUAUUACAUUUCACAAUGUGUUGCUUUGAGAAUUGGAACCUCGGGUUAUACAAAAGAACUGAGGAAGUCAAAAUGAUGUCUUUUGUUUUGAGUAAAGACAUGCGAAUAAGGAUAAAGAAAUUGGUGGUGUCGUGCGUAUAAUUGUUAUUUUAGUGAUUUUUUGGUUUGUGGGGAAAGGCAGUGAUUAAUUCGAGACAGAAGUUUACCGCCGGCUUUAAUUAUACAAUAAUAAUAUAGUUACUGUAAAUAGCACAAAAUUUAGUACAAAAAACAGAAAAAAAAUUCUUAUCUUUUAGUAAAAAAAAAUUUUGUCUUCUAAUAAUGAUGUGCUAUUUUUUUCUUUUUUUACUUUUCGUGCAUAUAUCAUUGUUGUUAAUUAAAUAUGGUAGAAAGAAUAUUUGUGAGAAUAGUCCUCUCAUUUUCUUGGUUUAUUCGUUAGUCAUUACCAUUCACCGGCCAAAUACAGCUAUUUUGAAUCUAUUGAUCGGUUUUUGGUAUAUACACACAUGUAUGCUUGAGUGUGUAAAAUCUUUGCAUAUAACCUAACAUAAAAAUUUCUUUGCAUAUAGCCUAAUUAUUUGACUACUUUAUUAUAGAACUAAUUUAAUAAUUUUACCCUUAUAAUGUAUAAAGACCAAAUUAUAAGUCAAAUUAUUUCAAUCUAUAUAUUAUAAAGGUAAACUAAAAUAUUAGGAUUAAGAUUCAAUACUAAACUUAGUUUUUUAUGAGAAACUAAUCAAUGGUAACAUUUAUUAUUAUUUUUUUAUCUUUCUUAUUUAGCAAUUCAGCAUUGAAUCUUUGUCCAAAAUAUUAUAGUACGAUAAAUCAUGCUUUUGUCGAUAAUUUUAUCCUUUUACAUUACAAUGAUAAACUAGUCACUGAUAUUAUGUAAAUCAACCUUAAUAGUUAAAGACGGCGAAGGAUAAUUGAGAAAAUUAAAAUAAGGUGGAUCUAAUUGAUUCAGUUUGCUAUUUGCAAACUAUAUAUAUACACAUAUAUUUUAAGGAGAUUGUAGUGAAGUUUAGCAUUAAACAGGGGUGUGUUUAGGGGAAUAACUAUCAGGCCUACUUAAGAAUUAACGAAGGAAAAAUAAAAAUAGAGAAAAAGCCAUUCCCACAAAUAUUUCUUCUAUCAAGUUAUAUAGCCGACGCUCAACUUCAAUCAAUCACUGCACACUUUUCCCUCAAAGCCAUUAUAAAUAGUAUCAUUAUCAUUAUCGUCAUCAAUCUUCUUCACCUUCUUCAUUACCGUCACUAAUCCUUUGCUAGUUACAAUCGGAGAUUAUAACAAAAUAUGUUUAUUCACUCAAUUUCAUUUGUGUUCCCUUAUAACAAAAUUUUUUAAGUUAUAUAACAAAAAAAUUAUCUAUAUUUUUUCUUGAAUUUUAAGUUAAAUAAUAAAAAUAUUAUUUUAUCAGUGAAAAAUUAGAUCUAAUAGUCAUAGAAGUAAUGAUGUUGGCUUCUAAAAGUUUAAUUAAGUCUCUAAAAGUUUAAUUAAGUCAUUUUGAAAAAAUUUUAUUUGACUAAUCAUCCGAUUUAAAUCUUAGAAGAGGUAGAGGGUUAAAUUUUGAUACAAAAUUUUAUCAACACCUCUACUUUUUGAGAAAAAAAUAAAGUAUCGACAUUAAAAAUUUCAGUAACUUUUUAAAAAUACAAGAGUAAAGUGAAGUGAUAAUUAGACAAAACACACUUACUAAAAAGUGAAUUCAACCAAUAAUUUAUUACAAGUUGUCACAAGGAUGUGCGUUUUCAAUGUCUCGAUUCAAAUUAUUUUUUAAAAAAAAAUUCAAUGUAAUCUAUAUUGAUUAAUCUGUUAAAUCCUCAAUUCAGUUCAUUUUAAUCUGAUAUCUAUUCACCCAAGCCCCAAGGACCUAGGUUAAGUUGAUAAAGUUUCUAAGGCAACAAAUUAAGUUACAAAAUUUUAGGUAUAAAAUUGGAAAACUAAAAGUACCCGUAACAGGACUCCAUUUGGAUCACCUCACAAAUUUGUUCCCUCCAGCAAAAAGAAAAAAGAAAAAGAAAUUGAGAUCAAUUACGAGAGAAUGCUUCAGAGUUAAGAAAUUGGCAAAUUAAUAAUAUACGUAGGGGGCUUUGGGAAAGUACCAAUGUGCCAUGCAUGUUUUAUGUAGUACAUAAAUGUACACAUAUACUUCUGUAUGUUAAAUUGUUAAAUGAUGUUCCUAAAAUUUAAUGAGAAAGUACUAUAUUAAUAUUAUAAUUAAGAGUCACUAGGAGCUUAAAUUUAUAAAAUUGAUAGGACGUUGGGAUAUACUGAGUAUAGUUUAGAAUACGAGUUAGUAUAAAAAAAAAGAUACAACCCCUAUUUUAUUAUGAAUAAUGAAUGAGAUCUAAAUAGUCGAGUCCCAAAUUUCUUAUAAUUGAUCAAAUUAAUAUUUUACUAUCCAAUAGAUAAAGUCAUAUUAAUUGAGACUGGACUAUUGAGAUUCCUGACGUUACUCUAUUAAAGAAAAAAAAAUUGAGUAUUGAUUGAUGUACUGAAAUAUGUUAAUGAUGUUUCCAAAUCCAAUUAAUAACAUAAUAUGGUUACAUCAACCAUAAUAAAGCCAGCUGUGGUUUUGUGCACAUUAACUGGCUAGAGUGUUUUCAGAAAGCACAAGUGAGAUACGAGGGAGCUAUAUAUAUUAGCUAACAGUGGCCUUUCCUUUUUCCCUCUGUAAUCAAAUAUUUUGUGGAUCAAAUGUUUGGAAACUCAUAUGUUCUGCUUAUGCUACCCUGAAGAGGACAUUAUGUCUUUUUGAGCAUUUUUUUUCUCUCGUAAUUAUUAUUAGCAGAUAGAAUUGCUGGCACUUACGUUUCUGUAUUCAAUAUUGCUUUAUUUUUUUGCAGGACUUUACGGGAAAGAUUAAGGGUUAUUGGGCAGGCAGAGCAGAUUCGGUGCAAGGUUCAUUUGAACUUUUGCGUGCACGCACAACUUUAGUUAUUUAUUCAUUGCUGUGGUUUGUGUUUAUUAUCAAUUAAAGUCCUCCCACGAUUGAUUAUAGCAUUGAAAUAAUGCGAGUCAUUUAGAGGGUUCGCCCGCGCAUGCACUUUACUCAUGUUGGUUAUAUUAAUGACAAAGCCGACAUGUCGUUUGGAAACAAUACGAUAAAUGAUGGGUCAUCUAUAUCAUGUGUGGUGAAAAGAUAUUUUUAAUCUAUGAUAAUUGUUGUUGUUAUUAUUGCUGCUGCUGCUACUAAUCAAUUAAGGACAUUUGGUUCUGGUUUUCAAGGAAAACAAAAAACAAAAAAACUAAAUCGAAAUCUAAAAAUCGAACUAAAUCGAUUUUUUCAAAAUGGAUUCAGUUCUAUCCAACCAAAAUGCCAAUCAUAUCAUUUUUUUUUCUUGAUAUUUGAUUCUCAAAAUGAUUUCAUGCCUUUUUUUUUUUUUCGCACCUAAAACUAUCCUCAGUUAAUUGAUUAGCAUAUUUUUAAUAAUAUUUUAAAAAAGUCACUGACAUAGUUUUCUUUUAAAUCUAGAGCAUUCUUGAAGAAUUUUAUCUACAACAAAUAUUAAAAAAGAAAAAAAAAAGUGAAGUUUGUGGAUUUUAAGUUUACAAUAUCAUGAUGAUAUAAUGGUAUAUUUAUACGUAGAAGUUUAUCAUCUAGUUAUUUUACCAUAAUCAAAAUUAUAGCUUCAAUUGUAAUUAACAGUUGUAGUUGUAAUUGAAAUCAUUAUUAUAAGUACCAUCAAAGAUGGUAAAUAAGUGAUUUUGUAAAUUACAAAAUUUAUCAUCUAAUAAAUGAAUGACUUACGGUAGUUGGAACUCAAAUAUUAUGAUUAUUCAUAUUUUUGUGAUUUUAUCUUUUUACAAUUAUAAUUUUAAUGAUUAUUAUUCCAUAUAACUAUUAAAAAGCAACAAUCUAUUGAUAUAAUUAAAAUAAUUUGGAAUUCAUCUAAACAGAUGACGCGUUGUUUGCUAAGAAACAGUAAGAUGUCACGUCGUAUAUUUAUUAAUGAAGACUUUGACAUGUCGUUUAUGGUUAAAAAAACUAAAUGACGAGUCAUCUAUACGAUGCGCGGGCACUAACAUUUUUGGCAUGUCGGUUAUAUUAAUGACAAGGCCAACAUGUCGUCUUUUUUCUAUAAAACGAUAUGUUGUUUUAUUACAUAAGAAUAAAUGACGGGUCACCUAUAACCUUUGUGCCGAUUAAAAUAUUAUUAUUAUUACUAAUACUGCUGCUGCUGCUUCUGCUUCUGCUAUCACCACCACCACAACCACCAUUAACAUAGAUAACAAUAAUAAUAUUAAGGACAGUAAUUAAGGAAAUUUUGACAACUUGUAACAAUUCAUUUUGAUUUUUAGACAAAGUAAACACAUCAAUAAGAAUACAAUCUAUUCCAAUCUCGAUUCGUGCAACUAAAAUAAAUAUGUUAUUCUAAUUCUAAUUCCAAUCCAUUCCUAUUACCAAUUAAUAAACAUACUAUUAAAGUAUUAGAAGUUAUAUUACUGAAAAAUAGAUGACUUAUUGUCUCCGAAGUAAAAUUUUACAAUGACUAUUUUUUUCAAAAUAACAUUGACUACUAAAUGCUAAUUAGGGGCGGUUAACAAGUUGAGUCGAUUCGAUAUUGAAUUCUAAAGAUCUGAUAAGAAUAAAACAUGAAAAAGAAUUGAACCAGAACAAAAAAAAAUUUUGAUCAAAUCCUUCAAAUAUUUAUAAUGUUUUUUAAUUUCUUGCUAAUUUUAACUUUUUAUAUUUUUAUUUUCAUUUUUAUCCUUUUAAAUCUUGCUUUUGGCACUAUUUUAAAUAAAAAAUAUUAAUGUUUUUUUAUUCGGUUUCGAUAAAAAAAAAAAAAUCGAAUCAGAACCUGAAAAUCGAAUUAAACUAAUUUUUUUGAAACAGGUUUGAUUCUGCCCAACCCCGAUGCUUAAUCAUAUAUAUUUUUUUCUUUUUAUAAUAUUUGGCCCUCAAAAGGAUUUUGUACUUUUUUUUUGUCAUUUCACGCCUACAACUAUCCCCGAUUAAUUGAUUAGCAUAUUUUUUAAUAAUAAUUUUCAGAAAGAAUAUGUCACAAGACUUAGUUUUCUCUUAAAUCUAGAGUAUUCUUGACGAAUUUUGUAUACAACAAAUAUGAAAAAAAUGAAGUUUGUGGAUUUCAAGUCUACAACAUUAUAGUACAAUGAUAUAUUUAUAAAGCCGGAAUUUAUUAUCUUGUUUAUUUUUUAUCAUGCAACUGUUAAAUGGAAUGUUUGUUUGUCAAUAGUUGCACUACACUUACAAAUAUAUUGGAAUAAUCAUAAUAUCCCCUAAUUAAACUCCAUCAUAUAUUUAAUUUUGUAUUUUAUAUCCAAUCUAAUCCAAUGACUGAUUGAAAUCCAAUAUAAUCCACACUAAUAAAAAAUCAAAUCGAAUCAAACCAGUCAUAAUAAAAAUCUACAAAUAAAAAUCGUUAAUUGCUAUCUAGAGUUCUAAUUACUCUCUCUCUCUCACACACACACAUCAAUUCCUUUAAUAUUUUAUCAUUCGUGCUUUUUACUAUCAGGGUCCAUGUAGUUGAAAAAAAAGAACAAUUGAAAUUUGAAUAUUAAAAUCAAAUACUCGUUGCAUCUUGCAGUUUGUUCCCUGUAUUAUUAUUGUACAUUUAUAGUCAAACAAAUUCUUUUUUUUUAAUAAGUUAAAUAUAAAAGUGACACAUAACUUUGUAAAAAAAUUAAUUAAUUUGGAUUGUAUCCAUUUGUUAAUUGGAUUGGAUUGAAUUGUAAAAUCUCCAACUUACAACUUCCAACCUUUUGCGUUAAUAAUGAUCCAUUCUUAUUUCAUUACUAAAGCUUGAGGAGGGUUCAGUUUCUUGUGUGAUUUAUGAGAGUAACUUUUUUUUUAUUCUAUAAAAGAGUAGAAUUUCGAUUGUACUGCAUCAAUACGGAUUUCCACGAACAUCAGAGUAGAUUUUUUAAGUCUCCUCUUUCGUUUCUAUCCACAAGUUUGUAACGUACUGCGUAAUAUACUAAUAUUUAUGAAAAAAAUUGAAUGCAAGUAUACUUUCUGAACUCUGAAUUGAAGUACAUUUGAAAAUAAUAUUAAUAAAAAAUUGAAACUUUUAUUAAAAAAAUAUAUAUUGUUGAUUGACUUGAUUCCUUUCUUUCCAUAGAAGAAACUAAACAAAGGAAAAGGAAUCGUUUCCCCUCUUUAUUUCCUUAAUAACCAAGAAUCUCAACAAUCCCAAAACAUUCACUCAAAGACUCACCUGAAUUGCCACUUAUGUUUUAAUCUAGUAGUGAAUCAUUAUUUUCAAAGUUAAAAAAUAUUAUGAGGAUAGUGGUUCAAGUUUUCAUAUGCACAACCUCUUUCAAUUAAAUAAAAAAUUGUAUGAAAUUAAUUUAUAAAUUUUUUUUAUUUACGAAAUACAAGUGGAGUAGAGACAUCUCUCGUCUGUGAGGGUCAUAUGUGGGUAUGUACUUUAUAAAAUUAAUAUAAUAAUGUGAAUCACAAAUUAUAUAUUUAAUUAUAAAUAUUAGUGUAAUAUCUACUCUAAUAAUAAUUGUAAAUAUUUAUGUAAUAUAAUAAUAUGUAGUGUCAUCCAUAUUAAAAAAAAAAAAAGACUAAGCUGAAUUGAAUUUUUAACAACGUAAUUAUUAAAAAAAAAAACAGAACCUUAAAUCCCUCUACGAGUGGCUAAUCUAUUUUAGCUUUAGGACACGUGCGGUGUCGGGAAAGUGAACACGCGUGAUCAUGACGUGGCGUGCGCCUCCUCCCGCACCUUACGUAUAUGUCCUCAACAAAUCAAAAAUCACAUAAAGAACAGAACCGCUUGAGCGCUUCCAUGUUCUAUAUCUGUUCCUUGGCUGGCUGUUAAAUAAAAUAAUUUUAAUUCUUCAUAAAUCUUCCGAUUAAAACAUAAAAUUUGCGAAAUUAAUAAAUUUCAGAGAUUGAAAAAAAAGGAAAAAAAAAGAGAGACAAAAGUGUGUUUGAUUGAUGGACGUGGCAAUGCCGGUGGUUGCUUCCAAUUGGUGGCACGACGUUAACGAAUCACCGCUCUGGCAGGAUCGCAUCUUUCACGUACUCGCCGCCCUCUACGGCCUCGUCGCUGCCGUCGCUCUGGUACUUAUCCAACCCCCGGCGUUUUAUAUAAUUAUUAGGUUUUUUUAAGAUUCAAAAUUAGCUGAAACUUUUAUUAAUUAUUAACUUAGGGUUACCUUUUAAUUAGGUUCAAUUGAUUCGAAUACAAUUAAGAGUUCCAGAGUACGGCUGGACCACGCAGAAAGUCUUCCAUUUUCUUAAUUUCAUCGUCAUUUAUGAAAAAAAUUGAAUGCAAGUAUACUUUCUGAACUCUGAAUUGAAGUACAUUUGAAAAUAAUAUUAAUAAAAAAUUGAAACUUUUAUUAAAAAAAUAUAUAUUGUUGAUUGACUUGAUUCCUUUCUUUCCAUAGAAGAAACUAAACAAAGGAAAAGGAAUCGUUUCCCCUCUUUAUUUCCUUAAUAACCAAGAAUCUCAACAAUCCCAAAACAUUCACUCAAAGACUCACCUGAAUUGCCACUUAUGUUUUAAUCUAGUAGUGAAUCAUUAUUUUCAAAGUUAAAAAAUAUUAUGAGGAUAGUGGUUCAAGUUUUCAUAUGCACAACCUCUUUCAAUUAAAUAAAAAAUUGUAUGAAAUUAAUUUAUAAAUUUUUUUUAUUUACGAAAUACAAGUGGAGUAGAGACAUCUCUCGUCUGUGAGGGUCAUAUGUGGGUAUGUACUUUAUAAAAUUAAUAUAAUAAUGUGAAUCACAAAUUAUAUAUUUAAUUAUAAAUAUUAGUGUAAUAUCUACUCUAAUAAUAAUUGUAAAUAUUUAUGUAAUAUAAUAAUAUGUAGUGUCAUCCAUAUUAAAAAAAAAAAAAGACUAAGCUGAAUUGAAUUUUUAACAACGUAAUUAUUAAAAAAAAAAACAGAACCUUAAAUCCCUCUACGAGUGGCUAAUCUAUUUUAGCUUUAGGACACGUGCGGUGUCGGGAAAGUGAACACGCGUGAUCAUGACGUGGCGUGCGCCUCCUCCCGCACCUUACGUAUAUGUCCUCAACAAAUCAAAAAUCACAUAAAGAACAGAACCGCUUGAGCGCUUCCAUGUUCUAUAUCUGUUCCUUGGCUGGCUGUUAAAUAAAAUAAUUUUAAUUCUUCAUAAAUCUUCCGAUUAAAACAUAAAAUUUGCGAAAUUAAUAAAUUUCAGAGAUUGAAAAAAAAGGAAAAAAAAAGAGAGACAAAAGUGUGUUUGAUUGAUGGACGUGGCAAUGCCGGUGGUUGCUUCCAAUUGGUGGCACGACGUUAACGAAUCACCGCUCUGGCAGGAUCGCAUCUUUCACGUACUCGCCGCCCUCUACGGCCUCGUCGCUGCCGUCGCUCUGGUACUUAUCCAACCCCCGGCGUUUUAUAUAAUUAUUAGGUUUUUUUAAGAUUCAAAAUUAGCUGAAACUUUUAUUAAUUAUUAACUUAGGGUUACCUUUUAAUUAGGUUCAAUUGAUUCGAAUACAAUUAAGAGUUCCAGAGUACGGCUGGACCACGCAGAAAGUCUUCCAUUUUCUUAAUUUCAUCGUCAAUGCUGGUUCGUAUUUUAUUUAUUCACUUUUUUUUUUUUUAAAUUUAAUUCGUUAUGAUUUUUUUUUAAUUUUUGUUUUAUUGGCAGUUCGAUGUGUAGUUUUUGUGUUUCGGCGGGAUGUGCAGAAGUUACAACCAGAUGUAUGUUUGUGUUUUUAGUUAAUGUGUAUCGUUACUUUAUUUUACCUUAUUAGUCUCUAACUCUUGUUCUGUUGAUUGAUUACCUGCUGUUUUAGAUUGUCCGACAUAUAGUGCUUGAUAUGCCAAGUCUUGCCUUCUUCACGACGUAUGCUCUUCUCGUUUUGUUCUGGGCUGAAAUUUACUAUCAGGUUCGGAUUCUUUUUUUCUUUUUUUUUUAUGGGGCUUUUUUAUAGAUAUUUUGCUGCACUCUGAAUCAGUUGCUUUAUUUCAAUUUUGAUAUGUUUUUUAAACAGGCUCGAGCAGUAUCUACUGAUGGGCUGAGGCCGAGUUUCUUUACUGUUAAUGCAGUGGUUUAUAUUGUUCAGGUGAAAUUUCUCGUUCUUUGUCUCAGUCCAAGUCCAAGAAAAAAAUGGAAAGACACGAGCUGGAUUCAUUCCUUCUACAUGGCUGCUAGUCUUGUUUUAUGAAAAAAAAAAAGGCUUUUCUUUCCUGUUUCUCUAAUUUGAUAAUUGCCAAAUCAUUGAGGAUGCGUUAUAGAAUAGUGGAUUGGAAGUUUUGACGAAUGAAUUACUAUCCUCGAAAGAGAAAUAAUUUUAAAAUUGUCAUUUAGUGAAUUUGUAAACAGUGUAAUAAUACACUUUUGUUGAAUCUUUUGUAUUAAGCUUAUUUAUAAAUCUUGAGCGUGUGAUUUAUUUCUUUCUGUUCUUUUUAUGGAAAUACAGCUUAUCAAUUGUCAUACCAUUGGUUGAAGACUUAGGAAUUUUCAGUGACAAGUAGAUAUCAAAUUUAGGAUUUUUAGUUAAAUAUUUUGAUUCAAGUGCUAAAGUUGUAGAUGACAUAGGGUUUUAAAUCAUUGAAUUGACUGGAAGUACCUACAAAAUGAAGAUAGGACCUAUUUUGGGCAGGUCAGCUGUUACGUAUGAAGAAGUUGGCAACUUGGAGAUAAUUUAAAAGGAACGAACAUCUAUGUGAUGACAUGCUCUGUGCAUGCUAUCUACGGGAUCCUAUUGUCUUUUUCAACUCUCACUUUUCUCUUAUUUACCUAUUUAUUUUAAGGGCAUCAUGCAAAAAUUGUAGAAUAUGAUAGAUGGUAUUUUUCUUUUUUAAGAAUAGUAGAUAACAAGUUUGUAAAAUUUUAUGUUACAACUUUCUUUGCUGGGAACACCGUACAUGACAUUAAUAUGAUUGUAAACCUAGCGGUUAAUCCUACUCCAACUGGGUUUACAUGACGCAGAGUUUGGGUUUUCCUUUGGGUUGAUGGUAGAAAAAUUGACAGAUGGGUCAUACAUCCUGCUAGGCUAUAGGAUAUGAUGACUAAGGUCUAUUAACAUAUGUUUAUGAAGAGAUAGAUUUGAGGUUUAAGAAUGUUUCUAAAAUUUAGGUUCCCUAGAUCAUUUUCUAUGAUGUUAAUAGGUUUGUUUAUGCUGUUUUUGAAAUAAAUUUUUUCUUAGUAUGAUUGUUUUGAUUUUUUGUUUAAUAUCCUUCUUUCUUUCACUCAAUUGGUUUCAGAUUGCUCUGUGGUUGGUCUUAUGCUGGAAGCCUAUCCCAGUUAUUAUAAUCCUAUCUAAAAUGUUCUUUGCAGGUAAUUUCAUCGCCCUACAUUUACUAAACUGUACAUAUUGUGUAUUAUUUGAUUGUUGCAUUGAUAAACUUCCUCUCAAUGUCUAUAUGCCUGCAGCUGUAUCUUUGUUUGCUGCCCUUGGGUUUCUACUUUAUGGUGGAAGGUAAUUAUGUUUAAUUUUGGUGUUAGCUACGUUUGUUUAAAUGGUUGAAUGACAUGAGUGACAAUAUGGUUGUGGCAUCUAUAUAGGUAUUAGCAUUUUAUAAUUAUCAUAAUGUUGUGAACGAUUUUUAUAAAGUAUCAAAUGUCCUUAAUCUUAUUCCAUAUUUUCAGGACUUCACUCAGUUAAUUACAUCGACACAAUUACUUUUUCUGCAGAAAUACCAACAGCAUAUUCUAGUUUCUUGUCCAUAAAGUCAUGUCAAUUACUCUCUCUCUCAAACACAUGCGCACGCACGCACGCACAGAGUAACACAUGCACAUAUGUGUUUAUAUUAUUUCAUUGAUGGCGCACAUGUGAUCCUAAUUUGAUUAAUAUAGGUAAUAAGUCAUAAAUUGUACGACUUUAUUUGUCCAAGACAAUAAGAACAGAUUGCAUGUAGCAAUCACAUAAGAGUAAAAUGAUCUUCUUUGUGUUCCCAAAAAUGUUUUAAAAAAAAAAAUGAAAUGGUUAUUGAAUAUUAAUCCGUGAGUAACACAUUUUAAGCAAUUCAUGAACUAUUUUGUAAAUUAAUUUAUUAUUACAUAAAUUACAGAACUAUAGACCAAGAAGGGAAGAAUAAUAUUGGCUUCGUUGAGUUUCUGUGUAAUUGAUUAUGGAGCUUUGUCAAAUUAAUAUCUUACUAAGUAUCUAUAUUAUAGUCAACAACUCAACCCUUCUAGUCAGAUAUUCUGAUCCAUAUGUGAUGCACAGAAGAAAUUUUAGUGUUGAUGAAAUAUCUAGCAUUGUGUUUUAAUGAAAUGUCUACUAAAAUAUCUUUAUUGGGUCCAUUAUUAAUCUUCAAUCCUACAUUGUAGAGAAUGAUCCUAUUGAAGCAAUGAUGAAUCCCAACUUUGAAUGGGAUUAAUUUACUCUAUGUCAUCCUUCAUUGUCCCCUGGACACUACUUUGUUUCUGACAUAUGUCACUACUUAUCCUUCUUGUUUGCUUUACUUGCUGGACAAAUGCAGCCUUUAGAAUCCAGACAAGAAGUUGUGUUUUUAGCAAUUUGCAAUGUGGUUCAUAAAUCAUAGGGUUCCUUAUCUAGAGUUGAGCUCCUAAAGUUUUUUAUUCCUGGCUAAUGAACUUUUGUGUUUAAUGAAUCAAUGGUGCUUCCUAACAAAAAAUAAAAAAAUUGGCAGUAGUAUUAUUUUGUUUAUCGUUCAUUAUUGUGUAGUUCUUUUAAUCUCAACUCUAUCCUACGGUAUUGUUAUUUGGUGGUGGUGAUGAGAUGAUGUUCUGUUUAAUGAAUGUGGCAUACAGUAUAGCUCUGGCCUAUUCAUUCUUUUUCCUUUCUUUUGGUGAAGGGAUGAGCAAUCACCUCAUGUUUUGUCCUUGCGCUGUCUUCAUGCAGGCUGUUCUUAAUGUUGCAGCGUUUCCCUGUAGAAUCCAAAGGUCGGCGUAAGAAGUUGCAAGAGGUAAUCAUUUCUUUUGGUAUUUAAUCUUAUUGAUAAACGUCCAUCAUUUUAUUUUACAAGUUUUUUACAAAGUUUUACUUCUGUUCAUGGUUUGGCAGGUUGGUUAUGUGACCACCAUAUGUUUCACAUGCUUUCUUGUCAGAUGUAUUAUGGUGAGUUCUGUAUUUCAUCUCUCAUUACACUAUUAUGCUUAACUUGGGAGCUUCAUGUCUUUGAACAACAUAACAAUGAUGGAUAGUUAGGAUCAUUAACAAGUAAAACCAUUCCUAGUUGUCGAUUCAUAUGGAAACAUUGGCACAGGUAUUGCUUUUUGAUAUCUGUUUCCGGGUUCAUCUUACGUUUAGCUCUUUUUCUUGUUUCGUUUGUUGUAGAUGUGCUUCAAUGCAUUUGACAAAGCUGCAGACCUUGAUGUUUUGGAUCAUCCAGUUCUGAACUUCAUAUAUUACCUGGUAUGUUUUGGCUUCUGUAUGCAGUGUAAUUGCAUGGUCAGGUAUCAAGUGACAUUUUUUGGGCAUGCGUAUUAAAUAUUUAGUCUGCAGGGGUUGCUUAGUUUAUUUUUUUUGUUUCCCCUUCUCUCUCUUCAAAGGAUGUAUUCCGUUUGUACAAUGCUCUGUUUUUGCUGGGGUAAUAAGAUGCAACUUUGUGAUGAGAAAUAUUUGUCUUUUGUGUUAAUGAAGGUGAUGUUGCUUAUGAUCUGACAUGCUGAUUUAUAAUGCUACUAUGUAUUGAAAUUUAUGUUUACUUGUGUAGAUGCAUUUUCUGCUUAGAUAUUUUGCAUGUAAGUGUUUUCAUUCUUAAUGUUCAUACCAUGUCACCAACACUUCCUCUCUUUGCAGUUGGUGGAGAUACUACCUUCUACGUUGGUCCUUUUCAUUUUGAGGAAGUUGCCUCCCAAACGUGGUAUCACUCAAUAUCAUCCUAUACGGUGACGGGUCUGGAGAUACUUGAUAGACACAGACAAAGGCAUACCUAGAGAAAAAGAGCAAACGUUCUUUAACUCACAGAAGAUAAGAUACAAGAGGGGAGUCAAAAAAAGAUGCCUAUUGUGUUUAGAGUUCACAGAUUCACAAAUCAAGGGAGCUCGCUUGUCUGUGGAAACGAAAAUGAUGUUGUAAGGAUUGUGAAAUGUUUUGUUUGUGAUUUUGUCAUUGUAUUUCUUGCAACUGAAGUCGAUGCUUUCUUAAGAGAAAGGGUUAAUACUGUGUCUUGUACGUGUCCCAUUGUUUUUCCUUUCUGCUCUCGUUUCAAUAGGUUUUAUUGUUCGAUUUGCAGAGAAAAAUGUUUUUUGAGUUUGUGGUAGAUCCAUGCGGUCAAACAAAUUCACAGAUAGAGGUUUUGAGUUUAUAUAUUCAAGACCUGAGAAAACACACCUGUUGCAAGAAUUGCAAGCCCUUGGUCGGUAGUUUUACACGGAGGCUGAAAAAUCUUCUUGAAGGCUAUUUCUUUGUUCCUCGUUCAAUAGCGCCACAUGUUGUCUAUGAAUAAAACCAAUAAGGGCAAUAAGCAAUGAACUCACGACAUGAAAAACAAAUUUGAAGAAGUAUUUCAGUUUAUCAUUUACAGAAAACUACCUGUGAUUCUCUUUAAGUAUGAGUUGUGAUGCGAGAGCACGGUUCGAGCAGAAAAUUAUCUGAUGAAAUUUCAUGAUCGGUUUGGUGUCGGUGUGUAUGCUCUCCAGUUUCGAAAGCUGGAUAAAUAUUUCAAUAGCUAUUGUUUUAGUGUUGUUAAAAGGAAGGAGAAAGCAGAAUGAAUCUUAUUAGGAAAACAGGAUUGGUAGGAAAGGUAAGUUUUGACUGGCAGAUGGCUUGCCAUACUUAACGAACUCUGCAAAUUUGAAUGGUAGGUUUUAUUUGGUAUAAUUUACGAAGGAAGUUUGAAAUGCAUGUUAUGAGUUUGGCUUUAUAACUUGGGAAGAGUUGGACAAAUUCCUCAAUUGAGCCAAUUCGGAGACUCAAGCCUUCUAGCUUCUACCUCUUAAAUUAGUAAGGGAAAUUUGUUAGUAAUUCACUGAGUUUGUUGCUUCGUGUUGGCAUACGCAUAUUUGAAGUUAGAGAAUAAGAUUCUCCCCGCUUUGAACUUUUUAUCUUUGAGAUAAGGGAUUUGAUUAUAAUAAAUUAACAUAAAUCUUUAAAACAAUACAUCUCUGGCCAAUUUUCUUACCGAGAUGUAUUUUUUAUUUCACUAUUUCAUUUUACUACAUUACAAACAUAUGCUUCAACCACACAACACUUCCUAGACAGACCGACAAGUUAAUCAAACUGUAAAAAGGCUAAAACCAACUUAUUAUUUGAGUGGAAAUGACUCCUAAUCCAAACAAAAUGCUGUUUCAAAUUAAGCAACUAAGCUAGCACAUGCAACUCCAUAAAGCAAUCUGAUCAUUAAUUAAUCAUCACGGCCAGUUAGUGCUGAAAAAUGGUCUCUUUGCUUUCUUUGUUGAAUAAGUCAUGGCAUAGAGUGGAGAAGGGGCUGGAGCUUCUACAGCCUGAGGCAGCACAGUAAUGACAAGCUUUUGGCCGUAAUUGCAGUGGUUGCGAACACCGCAUAUGUACCAUUUUCUUCCUGGUGUUGCCAAAACAAUCACAUCGUUUCCGGUGGUUAACGCCUCCCUUAAUGGUGGCUUUUGGCAGUUUUGGAAGGCGGUUCCGUUCACUUUGAACACAUUGUGGGCUCCCACGGGAUACUGGAAAACUGCAUGCAUUAUACACAUACAAAUUCAUAUUAAUCAGACUGCACAUUAACAGUCAUUGUAUGCUUUGGAAAUAUAUAAAUGCUUGUGGAGUCCUAUUUUAGACCACAAUAACUAGCCAUAUACAUAUCUCCGUUCUCGCUCAUAUGGGCGCAUUUUCAAAAUGUGCGGACUUGAGCACCUUGAAACUUUCGUACGAAAGCAUAUCCAAUGGUGUAUUGCUCAAAAUUCGUAUUUCAUAACACUUGAAACAACUAUUUUAUAUAUAAUACUCGAGCAAACUAAUGUGUUGCACUUAAAUAAAACUGAGGUGUUUAGAAAUUUAUGUAAGAUGUAACGUAGAGAAAUUUAAAAUGUAAGAGUCAUGUAGAAAAUUCAUAAAAUGUGAAUUAAUAAACUAAUUUAAUUAGUUGUUUACCGAGUUUGUCUCCAACGUGAAAGACCUUCCCCUUAGCCCAAGCUUGGUAAUCAAACCCUACUGUCCAUCCCGAGUCAUCACCAACAAUGAACUUAGUAGCAGAAGUGGCCGUUGAAGCAAAUGCGGCAAUGGCCAAAAGCAAAACAAAUACGCGACCGAAAGCCAUAGAUAGAGGCAGUACCGUCACAAACAAGCUAUAACUUAAUCUAACGAAUUAUUAUAGCUCUGUGAUUUUGUAAUUUGCAGGGCUUGAUGAAUAUUCAUGGCUACCAAAGUGUGUUAUUUAUAAUGUCUAGGGUGGCACUGGCACAAUAUGUUUGUUUAAUACUUGAGAACGAGUCGCCGCCGGCCGAGGACGGCACGGCCGUUCCACGAGAAUAUAAAGGACUAACAAGUAGUAACACAUGCAGAUGAAAUAAUUUGGCUAGAUAGCAAUUUUAUUGAAGGCUCGGAGAUGAUUACAAAAUCAAACUUUGGUGUUUUUGAGGCAUGCCUUUAAUUUCUGACAUAAUUUAUAGUCAACUAGAAUAUGUAAUUAAUAAAUGAAAUAAUCGACUGAUGUAUACGUAUAAAUAUUAUAUGUCUGAUGGUUGAAUGGGUCUCGACUCUGGAGUUAAAUAAAAUCUUUUUCAUAUACACAUUGAUAUUGGCUUCUGAUGGCCGACAGUAUUCAAUGAAUAGGGGUCUUAAUUAUCUAAUAAUUUCGAUGUUACAUGUAACAGUAAACUCAUGCUUUUCCAACAAUUUUUUUUUUUUGUUAAUUCAAAAUCAUAAAAUGAAAGACGAUCCAAAUAUAAAUUUUAUAUACAAAAUCAUAGAAUGAAACAUGAUUUUUCCCCACAAUUAGCCCCAACUUUUAAUCCCUCGAGUUAAUUAAUUCCUCUUCUUACGAUUACUCUGAACAUUGGCGGUACUAAUUCCGCUAGCUGCUCCCCAGGGUGCAGUGACUAUAAAAACCGAUGUGUUAUACACACAAAAUUACUUACUCUACACAUUAUCUGGAAUCCUCUCCACAGAACAACUGACCUUCCAAACAUCAGAUGAAGGCACAAUUCGUGUUGAAGAUGCCGUUUUCAUAUGUGUUUUCUGGGAUUUUUUGUCUCGGAUUAGUUCAGCUUCAUGUAGAGUAUCUUAUCUGGUGUCACAACUGAACUCCUCGUUCUCCUAUUGCAUUGGAAGCUAGUACGAUCCAUUGGUGUCUUUCAAGCUAAAUUUAUCCGAUGCAAGUGUCCCACAUGCUUCUUGAUAAAUGCAUGGUUCGUUAGGACGGAAUAGAGUUUUCUCCUCGUCUGAAAUCUACUAAGUUUUUUAAGAUAUUUUAUUAUGUAUCUUUUAGUGGUAGUGUAAGAGUAAGAUUUAACUUCUUUAUUUAUUUUUAUUAAAUAUCAAUUAGCACUUAAGCUAUUUGCUUAGAACAUAAUCAGAUCAGAAGAAAAUCCUGAUCUCGCCGGAAAAUUUGUAGAGACUCCUAUCACCGCCGUCACUUUUUCGUAGACCGUUGCAUGCAAGUGAAUGCUGGCACAACAACUUCUUGUAGCUCCUUGACUCUGAAGGGUUAAGAAUGUGUGUAGAUAUCAGAUAGAUAAAUUGCAUAUGGCAUUGGUUAACAAGGCAAAUUUUGCUGCCAAAAUAUAUAGCUCGUCGCCCAUAUAAUCAAAAGAUGCAUAAACUAGACGGGGGGCCGGAUCGGGCCCCCUAUAUGUGAAGAAAACCAGUAGUACAUUACUCAAAUGAGGAAGGUUGAUAUUAGGAAGAGGAAAAAUUUGAAGCCAUUUUUGAAGGGAAUGAGUAAGAAGCUGAAUGGAGAAAUCAUGUACAUUCACUAGCUUGAUUUAUAGGUGAAAUUUUCUGUACCCACGAAAGGGCACGAGAAUUGAAUUUACAAAGUUAGCUAGGUUGUUGGUUAGGUCAUGAAAAUGCAGUUGAUUAAAUCAUGGACAGUGUGAAGUAACAGAACCUAUCGGCUCAAAAUUCGUUGGUUAACUAAAUAUAGUUGAUUAAAUCAUGAAUUGGUAUAAAUAUUAACAGUUAACUGUGAUCACCUAUUUAAUUUAAUGGUAAUAUUGUUCUUAAAUAUUUAUUUUAAUGUCAACAUGAAUGUUCUGUCAUGUUUGAUGAACACACCUAUUUAAUAUUUUAAUGGCAAUAUAAAUGUUUGAUGUCAUGUCACUUAUUAUUUUUAAGAGAAAUUAUCAUUUGUAUAUCAUAUAUUUAGUUGGGGAUGAAAUGGAUGGACAACAGGUGUCCGAUUACCAAUUUGGAUUUGUUAUUCAUACAUUUUAUUUUUGACAACUACACACAUUUAUAUAGACGAAUAUUAUUAUAUUAAUCAGAGGAAAUCAUAGAACUUGAGAUUUUCAUCUAAUAUUUGGCGAUGGUAAUAUCUAUGCGUAUGUUGUUGAAUGGGUUGUAUGUGUGCUACCUCGGAUGUACAGAUUUUAAGUAAAUUUCUCAUAAUUUUUCCGAAAUUUGUACUCAGUACCCACUUAGAAGAUUAAUAAAUUACAAGGGAUCAGCAAAUUUGAAAAGGCACGCAGAGGGCCAACGAGUCCUCGGUUUAAAUCAGUGAUUGCCGCUGUCAUGCAUGUACCAAGCAUUCGUUACAUCAAACCAUGAUAAUCAACGUCAGUUUUGUUGGUUUGUCAAGUUUAGAUUUCUAUUAUUCAUUUUAUAAUCAAGUAAUUUGUUAAUUUACAUUUACUUAUGAAAUGACAUUAGUUAUUUGUUGUUUUUAUAUUUAUAUUUAUAUUUUUGUUUUUAUUUUUUGAAUGCCUAUAAAGGUUGAGAUUAAUAACAUAGCAAAUUAGUGAAUUAUAACCAAAGAAGCAAGUAAGUACUUGGACGUGGACUUGGAAUCCUCCUAUAAAUGCUAUGGAUCGUGAUUCACUCGCGAUCUAAUUUUAAACUGAGCAAAUAUUCAACUGAUGAUUGGUGUGGUUAACAAAUAAAAAGAAAAAUAAAAAAAUUAAACCAUACUCGUAAGUCGUACCCUAUUAUUAAAAAAAGAGAAAUUAUCAUUCAUAUACCCUAUAUUUACUCUGUUAUUAAAAAUACUACAACAUUUUGAGGGUGUAUCAAUCGUCCACCCUAAGUUGACAAAAUGUAUCAGCUGACCACCAAACCGUUAGUUGCCGUUUAAGUAUGAUGACGUCAGAAGGGUAAUUUGAUCUUUUCAUAUGAUACACGUAAUAAUUUAAGGGUAUACAAGUGAUAAAAAGAGAAUUUAAGGGUAUACAAGUGAUAAUUUUCAAGGGUAAAAUCGUCAAUUCACUGUAAUUCCGAUAACUUUCAAACGGCAACUAACGGUUUGGUGGUCGGCUGAUACAUUUUGUCAACUAAGGGUGGACGAUUGAUACACCCUCAAAAUGUUGUAGUAUUUUUAAUAACAGAGUAAAUAUAGGGUAUAUGAAUGAUAAUUUCUCUUUUUUUAAUAAUAGGGUACGACUUACGAGUAUGGUUUAAUUUUUUUAUUUUUCUUUUUAUUUGUUAACCACACCAAUCAUCAGUUGAAUAUUUGCUCAGUUUAAAAUUAGAUCGCGAGUGAAUCACGAUCCAUAGCAUUUAUAGGAGGAUUCCAAGUCCACGUCCAAGUACUUACUUGCUUCUUUGGUUAUAAUUCACUAAUUUGCUAUGUUAUUAAUCUCAACCUUUAUAGGCAUUCAAAAAAUAAAAACAAAAAUAUAAAUAUAAAUAUAAAAACAACAAAUAACUAAUGUCAUUUCAUAAGUAAAUGUAAAUUAACAAAUUACUUGAUUAUAAAAUGAAUAAUAGAAAUCUAAACUUGACAAACCAACAAAACUGACGUUGAUUAUCAUGGUUUGAUGUAACGAAUGCUUGGUACAUGCAUGACAGCGGCAAUCACUGAUUUAAACCGAGGACUCGUUGGCCCUCUGCGUGCCUUUUCAAAUUUGCUGAUCCCUUGUAAUUUAUUAAUCUUCUAAGUGGGUACUGAGUACAAAUUUCGGAAAAAUUAUGAGAAAUUUACUUAAAAUCUGUACAUCCGAGGUAGCACACAUACAACCCAUUCAACAACAUACGCAUAGAUAUUACCAUCGCCAAAUAUUAGAUGAAAAUCUCAAGUUCUAUGAUUUCCUCUGAUUAAUAUAAUAAUAUUCGUCUAUAUAAAUGUGUGUAGUUGUCAAAAAUAAAAUGUAUGAAUAACAAAUCCAAAUUGGUAAUCGGACACCUGUUGUCCAUCCAUUUCAUCCCCAACCACGGACUCUUUUGCCAGUGUCAUGGCACGAAUGAUGGAUGGUAGAAAUGAAUGCAAGGAUUAUGAAAGAGCGAUGUAGAGCCAUUAGAUAUUGUCAAUACGUAUGUAAUUAACUAACUUGAUCAAGUUUUAAUGCUGGCUAUGAGACUUAGCAGCCAAGGGCGGCAUAGCCGAAUAAAGAGGAGAAUCACACCAAGUGGAAAUGAUUUUAAUUUACAUUGAUACAGAUAUAGAACCUGGUCAACAAAGAUUGGAGAUAUAUACAUAGUUUACAUUAAGCAGCAAUCACAUAUUUUCUUUUAUUUUUAGUGCCUUACUUAGGAAAUACGGGGAACCUUAACUUGUAGGAAAUUUAUAGAGGUUUGGAUUGUGAGUGCGGGGAUCGAACUAGCUUACAACAAAUGGGUUAAAAAUAUUUUUGGAUUAAUGUUACCUAUAAGUAUUUAUUAAAUAUUUUAGAGUAAGAAUUAAGGACGGAGGUCGUUAAAGACAAAUGGUAAAUGGGAAUCAAAUAUUAUAUUUCUGUUAAAUUUAAAAAAAAAAUCAAUUCAUUAAUUAACAUGGAUCCAACUAAGCUUCUUUUCCAUGACUCUAGACUCUCUAGUGUAAUAAGCUUUGCCCUUUGCCCUUUCAAAGAUUAAAUAAUUCUAUUAAAAGUUGUUUAAAUCAACCCCUCUAAUAUUACCAUCCACACAGGCAGCCGCGUUCUGCGCUGUUAGCUGAAAAUGAUGCGGAAGUCAAAUGAAAUGAAGUGCAUGACUUUUUGAAUUCAUUUCUAACCAAAGUAGGUAAAAUUUACAAUUUGGAUUGGUUCUUUCAUUAAAUUGCAGUACGAGAUUUAAGUUUCCGUAAUCAAUCAAUCAACUCGAACAUUUUCACAAGCUCUUUCUGAUCUGAUGGUGCGUCGAGGACAAUACUGCUGAGACUAGCAGAAGGACAAACUUAAACCACAAAGCUUUGCCUUGGGGCAUUAAAUAGCAAGCAACUCAAUGCAAUGAAUACUUGGUACUCACAUAAGAACUCCUUCAGUGUUACUGAGGGCUUUCUUUGCAAUCUUGAAUUUAUUAGCAAUCUUUUUGUUGGUUUUCACAACAUACUGCUUUAAGAAAAACUCGAUGCCACUUACAAGUGUUUCGAGCUCAGGGGAGACAGCUAUACGUGUGAACAUAUUCCAUAUGACAUUGUCAGGAUACUCAAAGACGGCCUCAAAUAGCAUCCUGAAAUGCAUAAUCCUCUUAGGAGUGAGCAGAUUGGGGUCGCUGAAGUCUAUAGUUUUCAAGACUGCAAGGGAGAGAGUAAACGCGGUCACCAUCUCAGCCACAAAUUUUGCUAGGUGCAUUGAUCUUAUAAGCUGCAUAGUCUCGAGCUCCUUAAAGUGGUCCCAGAGGCAAAACUGGAAACAUACCAAACAAAAGAUAAGAAAAAUAUCCAAAGAUAGUGAUGCAGUAACUUGAAGUCAUUUGAGAGAGUUUUACCUGUAAAGUAAACUUAUGGUUCUUGUCAUGCUCACACAACUUGGAAGCUAGUAUAGUGUAAUAUUUGUUAAACACUCUCUCUUGUAAACAACACUCCACAAGGACCCGUAUAAUCUCUCGGUCCUGUAGAAACAGGAGAUAUAAACAUUAUGGGUUAAGUAAAUGAGUUGAUAAGAAUGAAGAGGAAAAAAUAAAUAAAUAUAAGAUUUGCCUACCUGUUUUGCAGGCAAAUCCAGCCUUAGAAGCUUCUCAAAAGCAUCAAUGUAGUCGUCUCCACUCAUAAUUAUACAAAAUAUUGCUCUUCUAGCAUCAGUAUUCAUUCUUUGUGCAGCAGCAAGCUGCAGCAUUUUCUGUGCUUCAAGAACCUCUCUAUCAAUUGUGCUAGCAACCAAUUCCACAUUUUCUGUUUUGACAGCCAUGUCACCAGACAGCCACCACUGACCCUUCUUGUUAGGGUCAAGAAGCUUAUCCCACUUAAGUCCUCUUAUUAAAAUGUCUCCAACUCGUAACUGUAAAUAUCAAGACAAUAGAAUACAGAAUUAUAGAAAACAGACAACCUCAUCCAGAGAAGUUCAAUGAACAUUUAAUAUUUUUGACACAAUUUUCUCUCACUGAUGAUAGAAACCCCACAGCACAUGCACUGGGAUAAAAACUAAUGAGAUGUUCGAUCCCCACUAAGGUGGUCACCUAGCCAUAGCUGCUUCUUCAUCCCAAGGCAAAAGUAAGAGGUUCAAUGCAAGGCCCCCUUCUCCUCCCCAAGGCAAAGGGGGGGAGGGGAGAUUUAAUACUAAACAAAAGAACAGUGGAAAGGGAAAAAGAAUUCCAAAAUAGCAAAUACCUUUUGUAGCCAUUUCUUUAUCCGCACGUGUUGUACGGUGUCCUCUUUUGGCCUUUUCUUGUUAUUUUUUAUGUCCAAUAUGGUUUCAAGCAUGAACUCCAUCUGCAAAAAUUGCCUUGCAAGAUACAAAUCACAAGCAAAAAGUAGUAAACAAAAGUUUUACGAUAUAAACUUUGUAAAUAUCUCACCCUUUUGCCAUUUAUGCUUUCCUGGCUAUCUCCAGAAGAAGCCUUCAACUCGUUCACCCUAUUCUGAACGCCAAGAAUAAAAUCUUUCAUGGCAGCAGGAUCAUCGGCCCUUAUUUUCAUCCCACAGCCUUUUCAAUCAAUGGCAGUUCAUAUUAAACAUGAUAUUUUUGAUUCACUGGUUGUGAUAAAUUUGUACGCACACAAGCCAAUGCAAUGACAUAUGCUCUAUAACUAACAGAAAGCAAAAGCUAAAUCAUGCAGAAUAAAAACAUAGCAGUAACCACAUCAGGAAAAUGUAACACAUUUGAAAAUAUGUAGUCUGUGGAAGUUCAAAAACUUCAAUCCAAUCCUCAAUAAAAUAGCGAAUCUCUCUGGAUUUUGAGGUAAAAGUUAAAUAUGAUACAUAAAAGAAUUAACAGAACUGAAAACUGCGUAUAUAACAGAAAAAACUAUCAACUCUCAAAACAAAGCUUACAUUGCAGAAUUGUCAAGAUUGUAGAAACGUCAAUUUCCUUUAAGCGCUUGCUCAGUGUGACAAGGAAGUCAUAUAUCAACUCACUGAAAAAUAUAACCACAAACAUUGCUGUUAGAAUAUGAGUGCCCAAAACUUGAGGGCCAUAUCAAGGGACAUGCCAAAUGAAGAGAUUUCAAUCAAAAUUCUGAAGCAAAAACCUAUACAUGUCCAGUGUAACGUAGAAACUUUUUCAAAGAAAGCUCAAUCUAGGUACUUAGAAAAGUUAUAACAUAAACAGAAAAGUUAUUGCAGAAAGAGAGAAGUUCUCAAUCACAUUAAGCUUUAAUUCAGGGUUUCUUUGAAGGAAAAGGAAAGGGUUUCAGUUUGGACCUAGUCGUGGGGUGUGGAGUUCAAGUUACAUGUUCAGCAUCUAAAACUGCCAGGAAGUUGCGAGACCUAAGAUUACAGAGCUGCAUCAAUUCAGGAAUCUCCAAAAGAAUAUCCAGUUUUGAAGGUAGACCAGUUUAAGGUAAAGUUUAUACAUAUCCAAGCACUAUCAAAUGUCUUCUUUGGUAGAAAGUACUCACCUUGAGCAAACUCCGAAUAUGCAUAAAUAGGAUAGCAAGAGAGUAAGAUUUCGCAAGGAAAGAUUGUCUCGUUUGGAGUACUCAUUCUGGAACAAAGUGAAAAAACUGAAUUCAGUUACUUUUAAAAUUUUUGCUCUACAAGCUAACAAAACCACUGAGAUUCCCGAAAAGCAGACAACUAUAUUAGGCACCAAAUUGGUUAUUUUAUCUUAACAAGCAAUACAAAUCAGAAGAAAACAUUUUCAAUGGUUAUAAAAAAAUUCUUUUCUAAUUUGCAAGGCAACCUCAAAAGAUUUAGCAAGCGAAGCCAUAAGCUUUGCACUGAAGUCAAUCCCAACCAUACAAGCCAUGCCUGCAACAAAAGCAGCAAAAACAGCGGCAUACCUACAGAAACGUGGAGAAUGUCAUUAUAUAUACAACUGCCUAGAUUUACAUCCAGCAAUGCAUCAAAACAAACGAACAACCCAAAUGUGCAUAAUUUGAUACAGCACUGGCUCAUGGAAUAAAAUAAAACAGAUUACCCUACUGUUUAGUGCGAGUAGCACCAAUAGAAAGAGUUUCGUAUUGAUAGUCAAAAUAACUAGAGUUGAUUCUGCAGAUUUGUUCCUUUGCCAAACAUAAUCCUAUUUAUUAUAAUCCUGCUCUUUGGAAAUUAUUAGCAGCACAAAUAAAAACCUAGAGGAUGAAAUUCAUCUGAUGAACGUCUUCAGUUUAAGAAAACAGCAAUAAGAGAAAACUAAAACAAAAUGGAAAAUAGUCUGCAGGUAGAAAAUUUGCAUUUGAAUCCACCAUUUAUAGCUUCCAAUUAGACAGAAGUGAGACAUUAAAUAAAAGCAAGGGAGAGGAGAUAUAAAAUAGUAAUAAUAAAAAACAAACUCUUAACUGUUCAUUGCCACGAGGGCCACUUGAACAAGAAGCCAACACCUCCUCACUGAUUAUCUGACAACUGACACUACGGCCAACAGACUGCAAUAUUUAAGAUUUAAGAGUUAAGUAAUAAUUCUAGAUCAACAAUAGCAUACCAAUUGCUCAGUCAAAGCAUGAUGACAAGAACAAACAACAUUUAAUCUACAGUCUUGAUGUACCCAUAAUACAACAAACGAAUUAUUUUACUCCAGUUCAACCAUAACCGGCCAUCAAAUAAUCAUGUUCUACACAGUUCUAAAAGGUCAAAAGCUUUUUCUUUUUACCUUUUUCUGAUAAGAAUUCUAAAAGGUCAAAGUUGGAGGAGAUAAUUAUAACAAUUUCAAAAACUUAAAUUCUUUUAAGCAGUAAUGGCAUGGACAGAGUAAGUAUGACACAAGAAUGGUAAAACAAUCUCCUGUCAAGAUUUCAAGACGACAUCAAAAGAAAAAUUUACAGAAUAAAAAAUGAAUAAUAGAAUACUGACAUACAAGAUAAAUUGAGGAGACUUCUCCGGUAAUUGAUUCUACAUUAGAUUCAGACAGCCGAUUCAAAAGACCUGGAACGUUCCAACCACACAGAGAAUGUCAAGUUUAAAUAUGUAGAAACAAGAUUCCUAAUUUCCACAUAGAAACUCAAUUUCCAUACCUCGAAUCCUUCUACGGAUUUGAGUAUGCUCUUCUGAUUCCUUUGUUGCACAAGGUCUCAAGUGAGGAGCAACAUACUUUACACUGCUUCCUGAACCAGGUGCUCUGGCAGGAGUUUCCAAUGGCACCACGACAUCAUGGGUUUCCUCUGGAUUGGCUACCCCAGGACCUAUCUCCUCGACGACAUUCUCUUCUCGUCCAUGCUCUACUGAUUUUCUCUUUCUCCGCUUCUUACGAGAAGGGGCCUUGGUGGGAGUUUCUUCCAUAGCAACAUCUAAACCAUUGGUUUCCUCUGACUCAGACCCUCCAACUUCUAAAUCACCUUCAAGAUCUUGAUCCAAUACCUUUUGCUUCUUGCGUUUUUUCUUUAGACAAAGUUCUUUAGCAUCGGGUACUUCUUCUUCUUCCUCUAAUGAAUCAAGAACAGAUGGAAUCCCAUUAAUCAACAAAUCGAGACCAUCAUCCUCUCUCCUUAAUUUACCCUUUUUCACUUUGAGUUUCUUUGCAAGUUUUCUCUCCAAUUCCAAAUCUUCCUCUGCACUUAUGAUGGCAUUUGGCCUAUCAAUUUCAAGAAAUUCUUCAAACUUUGUUUUUUGAGCUCUCUUAGCCUUCCUUCUUUGGACUGCCUUAUAAGAAGUAAGCUCAUCUUUUUCAAAAGAAUUCAACUUCACUUCAUCUUUCUCCGAUAAAAUUAAUUCCUCUGAGCUUUGAUUCACCCCCGAAUCCAUUUGAGGAGAUGAACCUUUUAAUUUAUUCGCACGUUUUGACUUAACAUCCCCAAAGGUUUUCUUCAAUUUCUGGGAUUUCUGUGAAAUUAGAUUAAAUUAUAUAUUUCGAAACGUCAACUACAUUUAACAAACGACAUAAAAGAUAAUAUUGAAGAGACAACAACAAUUUCUUCUACCUUGUGCUCAAUCCAAGCUUGAUGUUUUCUUUGAUUCUUUGCUAAUCGUGCUUCUUUUCUCUUAUCUCGGCGCCCCAAAUUUUUCUCUGCCAUCAACUGAUAAACUGCCAAUCAUUUUUUUUUUUUUAAAGUAACUUUCAUGUCAAACAAUCGCAAGAGAAUAAAUUACAAGUUCAUAAUUCAAAUAAAAUUUUAAUACAUUGACUUGACAAACAAAAGGCCUAAAUAUCAUACCGUGAAGAGCUGACGGCGAGCUGCAACAACCGGGAGGCGUUACGGUGGCCAAUGGGAGCUGCGAUUGCGAGGCUGCUGUUGUGCUGGCUGAUGCUGAUUCGCUGAGGCUAAGGCUAUCGUGAGGCGUGAGCUGCUGUGGUCGGCUGAGGCUGUCGGCGACUGCCGUUGCUGAUUUGAGAGGAGAGAUGAGGCUGUGCUGUCGUGGACUCGCGAGGCUGUGCUGGCUAUUAGGGUUUGUUUAAUUUGUUUUGUGGUUUUGCGAAAUUGCCAAUUGGGAUCGGGUGUGGACGCUUCACGGUUUCAGUUUGGGCCUUCCCCCUCAAUGUAACUUGUUAUGGCGGCGUCGAACUGUGCAUAAGGUACGACAAGUUUUAAUACAAUUGUCAUCCAGUUUUGUUAAAGUUCUACGACAAUCGUCUAAGGGGUGCAACUAUAAACGACUUGUCGUUUUUUAUCAUUUUUAAAUGUUGAAGUGGACGAUUAGUCGUCUAAUUAUCUGGUAUCGAACUACAGCUAGGCUAUGAAGAUCUUUAAAAAAUUAAAUAAAUAAAUAAAUUGAUUAAUUAAUUUGUUGCCUUCUUUUAUUAAUUAAAAUAUUACUCGAGUACAAUUAGUAUCUUUUGAGUUUGAGACUUGUACUAGUUUUGUCUUUCUGUUUAAUUUUCACGAAUUCUGUCCCUUCAAAAAGUUUCGUAUUCAAGAAAUCCAUAACAUGUUAUGAUGUUAAACAUCAGCUUAUGUUAUGAUGUUAAACAUCAGCUUACGUAUAUGACUGUACCUCAAACCUGUAACCUGUUUGUCUCAGCCUCUAUGAAGUCAGCCAUUCAACUCUCAAACAACCUAAGCUAGUUUCAAAGAUCAAGAAAUUAAAUCCAUAACUUAUUAAUGUUAAGCAAUUUUGCAGAAAUGUAUUCACAAAUGUCAUACUGAGGUUCGGUAAUGAGCUCAUCAAGAAUACCACAGCAAUGAAAUCAGAAAGCUAACAGUAUGAGAAUCAUAUCACUAGUUUGAUUGAGAUCCAUCCGUCCAUGCAACCCAUUGAUUGUCCCUAUGCAGCACUGAGCUUCCUUCAGGAAAUUUCAUGUUUGGCCUAUUAGGGCGAACUCUAAUUAUCUUGCAGGUGCGCCCAUCUGCUCUAACUGACUGAGCAAUAGGAUCCACACGGGGGUCAACAGUGCAUUCCAAAGGCAAAGAAGAUGAAGGCAUGCCUUUUUCAACCCCAGAGGAGGCAGAGAGGUCAGAUGAGGAUGAAAACUCUGGUUGUGGAAAUUGAGAGAGAUCAUAGCCAGCAACUUCAGUAUUCACUGUAGUCAAUUCUGAAAGAAAAGGAUAUUGUUGUAAGUGAAAAACAAUAUGUCUACCAAGGAAAAGAGACCACAAAUCAUAUGAUGAUAUAUCAUUUGUCUAGAACUACAGCAGACAGUUCUCAAGCGAAAAUCAAGGUCUCAUUGAAAAUAAAGCGAAAAUCAUGACGCUUGAAUAAUACUACAAAAUUCAGCCUCAUUCUAAUUUGUUAAAACAUAUUUACCUCAUUCUGUUGUGUAACUGACAAUGAAAUAUGAAGAUAUUGUAAACACAUGCCAUGUAAAUUAUGCAAUAUCUCACUCCAUACAAAAAAAGAGUUCAUCACAUGUAAAUUGAGCCAAAGUUAUUAUAGAUAAUACUAGUACCAUAUUACACUACAUCGAUGCACCCUGUAGACUAUGGAUAAAAUAGGAGCUUGUUUUACAAAUGAACAUAAAUUAUUUCCAAUAUCAAAUUGCGAUUGAAAAUGUAGAUUCAUUUUCACUGAUGACACGACAUACUUGAGAAGAUAAAAGGGAAGCAACUAGAGAGAAGGUUAUCAGCUUUCAAAUGUUAUUUGUAUUUGAACUAUAUAUGAAUAGAAAUAAUUAAUGAUCAAGUGUUUUAUACACACAUUGUAACUUUAAUUAUACUAGUUAAGACCUAAAAUUUGACCGAAAUGAUCCUUUGUUCAGCUCAUCUAUCACAAUUAGUAUACUUUAGAGAUUAAAGAAAAGUUCACCUCUGAUUUCUUCAGCUUGCACCUUGGGCAUUGAAUUGGGAUUGAAAACCAUGCGGCCUGCAGUUUGGACAUUGUGGUGCAGAUCUGCAGUGACAUUUGAUUGCAAGCUGGAUGAUGAGUAGUCAGCUUGUGCUUGGAUGGCAGGAGAAACCAAUGCAGGACCCUGACUUGGAUUGGCUGAACCCAAAAAAAAAAAAAAUUUAAUUAAUUAAAAAUAAUAAUAAUACACAUAUAUACAUACAUAUUUUCAUGAUUUCUAAAGUUCAAACUUCUCUUUUCCGUUCUUGGAAUUUGUUAAUAACUAAAGCAUCACUUAUAAACUGUUCUGUAAGGAAGACCUAGAAUAUUUGCACUCAAACAGUAGAUGGAAAGUACUUCAUCCAGGAUUUAGGAUAUGGGCUCCGAUUAAACCAAAUAUUCAAAUGGUACAUCAGAUGCUUCAGUACUUUGGACCGUCUUUCUCUAUUUAAAAAAUUAAUUCUUCAUUAACCUUAAUUAAAGUAGUCAUCUUUUUCCUCACAUAAAUCAUGAAAAUUCUGUUUAAAGUACAAGAUUUUUCCUCACUUAGUAGACAUAAUAUACAUUGACCAGCCAACAGCCCUUAGCAACUUUAACUUACAAUAUGCAGGCCACUUUGUUAUGAGCUCCAAGCUAGAUUCAUAUUCAGUUAAGAUGUGCUUCUUCAAUUAUAUGACGAAACAAGCUGUGCUCCUAGAAUUACAUGAAGAAACAAAUUAAAAUACAAUGCUUCAAUAUUUUGCCUUUAUAAGACUAAUGUCUUCACAUACUCAGGAAAAGGUACGUGACCGCAUUAAAAUUACUGAAAACAAAUUGUAGCAAAAAACAUUCAUCAUGAAAAGUUUAGGGAACUUCAACACGAGUACAAAAAUGAGAAGCCAAAAAAAAAAAAUUAAAUAAUGCUGUACCUAUGUGAGUAGGUUUUUUAAGUCUAAAGCACGUAGAAACCGUAAGUCCUAAAUAAAUUCAUUGAAAUUGAAAGGCUUACUAUUAUAUAAUUAUCAUAAAUAAAUAAGCCAGAUGGUAUUUCAGAAAAUAUACCAUUACUAGUUCAAUUGUGCACAUUUAAAAAUUGGGUCCAUAAUCACUCACAAAUAUGAGAAUUGAUGACUUUAACAAUUGACCAUCAGGGAACGUAAUCCUAUGUGCUCUCUGUAAAGUAACUAUUUAUCAAAAAUACAUUGAAAAUCCAAAUUAUUCCAGCGAUAAUUAGUAUACUUAAAAAAUGUGCAGCUAAAACCUACUAAGUCAAAAGUAAGGUAGCUCAGUAUGGGGUCAAUGUAGAGCGAAAAACAAAAUUCAUCAAAGAGUGAAUAUGGUGAUAAUAGGACACUACUUUCUUUUACUCAAGGAGUGAAGCAUACGUGAACGAUUUUAUGCAGGUGGCAUAUUUCUUUGUCUUCCAUGAAGGUUAAUUUAUAAUGCAUGUACAUACUUCAAAUAGAAGGAUAAAUUAGAAAAGAAUAAUUUCUAGAGUUGAGAUAAAGCACUUUAGAUGUAAUUGAGGGAAAGAUGAAAAAGGAAUCAUAUAUAGCACAUACGUUCUUUUAGCCUCAUGUAAGCAACUUUUGCUGCACUCAUCUCCGCUUGCUUCUUGGACUUUGCUUCUUGUCCAGAAAAAACUUGUCCUCCUACCUCAACAGUUGACACAAAAGUUGGUGCAUGAGAUUCACCAGAUUGCUUAGUAUUAUAAACUGGCAAAGCAUACGCUUCUUUCUGAGCCAAUUCUUGCAAAAGGUUCUUGUAAAGAACAGAAUCAUCCUGGAAAAAUAUGUUUAUUAACAAAAUAUGCGAAUAUGAAAGAAGAUAGAUCACUACUAAUACGAAAUUCAUAAGUUAUUCAUUAACAGUUAAUUAGAAGACUGGCCUGUUGAAAUUUAUCAAGUGACAAUGACAUUAAUGCAACUUUCGCCGCUUCAUGCUCGGCAUCUUUUAAAGUAGGAAAAAACUGAUGACUCUCAUAAGUUUGUCCAUCAAUUGUGACCUUACACUUGAAACGACUAGCAUGAGGAGGACCUUCCCUCUCACAUGAAUACAUAGGAAGAGGGAGAUUUUUCUUUUGAGUAUAGCUCUGCAGCUGGUUUUUGUAUAGGUGUUGCAUAUCUAUAAUUCAGAAAGAAAUUAUGAGUCACAUGACUUCUCAUCAUAAACAAUAGAAAUUCUUUCAUUUCCUUAUUUAUUGCCUAGAUAAAAACCAGAAGUCAAAUGUUCAGAAUGCAAGGAAAUAGGAUGUCAAUUCAAUGAAACAUCAGUAAACAUAGCAGUGAUGGCUGAAUCGCCUUGAGGAUAGAAAUACCCCGACCUUACCCUCCCCCGCUCCUUAAAAGAGUACCCUUCAUCCAUACCCCACUCUCACAUCAGGACUGCCAUCUUUAAUAGUUCUUACCACAGUAGGACUGGAACGCACACCCAUGAUCUGUGUCCCGCCAGUACAAUAUUUUAACUAAGUAGCAGCAGAACGCCAAAAAGCAUCAAUGUAAUUGAAUGGAUAAAAUAAGUACCAUCUAAGCUAAAUUCAUACCUUCAAACAAGAAACCAUCGAUGCGAUCAUCAAGCUAAAUGCCCAAGCAAUGUACUAAAGCAAUCAAAUCUAAGAAAUUGAACGUACAAAAUAAGUUCCAAUUAAGCUAAAUUCAUACCUUCAAGUCAGAUACCUCUUACUUGAAAUAAAUCAAGGUUACAGGAGAUGAGAGCACAAUCAGCUUAAUUGGUAGAGUUUAAAAAAUAUUAGGUCCUCUCUGGGGCAUACACAAUGAUGAAGAUGAAAAAGAUGAAGACUCAAAAAGUGAGAGAGAGAAAGGAGAAAGCUGAGAUUAGCUGCUUAGAGAAGGAGGCAGCAGAGAGGAAACCAAAUGGGAACAAAACCCUAACCUUGGGAAAGGAAAUAAUAUAAACAUAUACUAAGGUAUUUAUACGAGAAAAAAUACCUGGGAAAGGGCUGAAAAGAAAGAAGUUGUAUCUAUACCCCAACUGCACCCUAUUAGUUAUUUGAUUGACACAUUGCUUGACCCAAUUGGCUAGGUGUUUCCUCGUACGGGCACUGAAUAUGAAGCAGUGUGAACACUGAAAUUUCAAGUUUCCUUAUAUAUACUUUUUGAUUUCACUAUUUUACUUCUUUUCACUCACCUGAGGCUCAAUGUAAGAUCGUCAAAUAGACGGAAUACCUGAGGCUCAAUGUAAGAUCUUCAAAUAGAUGGAAUUGGAUUGAAAGAUUGAGUUCUCUCACUUGAUAUCAAAUUCAGAGUUAACUUAGAGAUCUAUUUCAUUAUAUGUUAUUAGUGCGUCUCAAAAAUGACAUGUAAUGGUCCACUCAAAUGUUUUAUUUAAAUAUCCGUCCAUAUAUUAUCCAAUAUUCCCUUUCAACAUUACCGUACCUAGCAUUAAUAAAUUUUAGGCACAUCACAGCAUAUCCAAAUUUACGUAUGUCCAGCAAUUUUCUAAUUGAAAAUGAUUUUGUACAUAAAAAUACAGAUAUGUGGACAAGAACAACAAUCAAGAUCAUCAAAUUUAGUAUGGAAGAAAAGAAUACAAAUGAAAAUAUGUGACAAUCCAACUUCAAUUGAAGUUGUUAAUUAGAACUUCACCAAGGCCAACAGAAGUAUGAGAAACAUGAAUCAUAAUUAUAAAAAAUAAUAAUAACAUAAAUCACUUAGAAGUUCUCUGAUGCGGUAAAUUGAAAUAGAGCUACAUUCAAGAAAUCAUGACUAUAGGCUUUGUCUUUAAUAGCCUCUUUAAUCCUCAAUCUUUUGACAUCACCAUAGCAGAAAAGUAAGUACACAAAAUUCAACAAUAUAUGCAUGAUCAAUCAAUAAAACCAAUAAACCAAAUAUCUAAAUCAAGAAAUUACAGAAAGGAAAAGAAAUUAUUACUAAAAUAAUUAUCUGACCUCUUGAUUUGUGAACAUCAUUGACAGUUGAGAUCGUUGCAUUGACCUGAGUAGUUCGAUCUGUUUCUCGAGCAUUUACUUGCACUGCACUUUCACUCGAAGAACCUACAAAAAUUAUUUAUAACCCAGUGUAAAGAAGAAGUAAAGUUUUCCGCACGAACAUGGUAAAGUAAAGUUUUCUGUAGGAAAAUGGUAACUUCAAAAUCCGUUUCAAACCUAUCAUACAUCCCCCACCCUCAUUUAAGACUAGUGCUUGCAAAAACUAGAAGUAAUUUAUCCAGAACAUAAAAGCAGAGAAAAUCCAGUCCAGUAUAAAUAUAAAAUUAGAUAAUACCUACCAUUUACCAUUUCAUUCAAGAACACCACACAGUUAACGAAACCAACAUAGGUAUGUUUCCAACUGUUGUACUUUCAAGUUAAUUUUGAAAGCGCGGAAGCUAAAGCCUAAACUGUUGUUUGAUAAAAGCCCAUCCACUGACUGAUACUUGGCGGGUAGCAAUUCCAUUCAAUAGCAGUCAUAGAAUAAAAGUACAAAACAAACCCCUGUUUAAAAAAUGCAAUGAAGCAGCCAUGAUUUCAAUUAUUUGCAUGUCUGGGAUUGCAGUUGAUUCCAAAUUGAGAAUAUACUUCGAGAAUAUGUUUGAUAAGCCCUUAUGUGAUGAUCGCUGGUUUAUUGAGUCUUAAAAGAACAACUCAAUCAACUAAUGUUUGAUUUGAAAAAAAAAAAUGGCAAAUCAAAAAAGUUUUGGAGUAGAUUCUCAAAAGAGUGAUUAUUUGAUAAUCCACCAUAAUCCCACAUAGUUAUCAGAAUGAAAUUAAAAUCCGAGGAAUGUUAUUUAAGGCAAACAGCACUUUUUUUAUUUUAACCAACACUUGCAAAUUGCAAUUCUUAAACUAAAAGCAUGCAAAAUAAAUGCAAAUUAAGAACGCACCUAACAGAAAAUAAUAAUAAUAAUAAUCUGAAUUGGCAAUAUUAAAAUUACCGUUAGAAGAGGAAGCGGCAGGAGUAGAGGAUGGUGGAGGAGGAGACGAGAAAUGUUGGAAAGCGAUUCUAGCGGCGUCGUUUUGGGCCUCUUUGGACGACUUGUAAAGAUCCGGAGUGGUGAAAGAUUGGUCGUUAACGGUAACGGUUGCUUGAAAGCGAGGGUUGUGGUCAAGGCCUUGUUUGGCUGUUGUGUAUACUGGCAAGUUCCACACUCUCUGGUGGCAUAGCUCCUGCAGCUUCGUUUUGUACAUCUUUUUUGCUUACAAUAUUUUCACUGAUUUUAAUUUUUUUUUUGGAAUGGGAAACUCAAGAGAAGAGAGAAAUGGAAUUUAGUUGCAAAAUUUGAAGUUUAAUUAUCAAAUAUUACGCCAAGAGAGUACGCUUCAGUUCCACGAACAGGUUCAGAAUAAAUGACGCUUGGGAAUGCUGAAAUGGAAUAAGGCCUUUUUAUAAACAAAUAAUAAUAGUAAACCGACGCCACGGUGUUUUAAAAAUAAGUUUUUUUUUUUUUAACCUUGAAAUUCCUUAUCACAGUGACGUUUUAAAAUAAUAUUUUUUUAAAAUGCAAAAAAAAAAUUUCUUUCUACCAUUUAUAAAAAAGAAAACUUAAAUAAUUUACUGUAUUAAACGUUAAAAUAAACUAAUAAAAAAUUAUCGAUAUUCUAAAAACCAAAUAAAUAAUACCUUUCCUUUAUCUUCUUCUCAAGGAAGGUGGCUAAAAACUUUCUUCUCCAAAGAGAUCUUGUUCUAUAAGGAGACAUGACAUGAAAGUUGAAGGAGAGGGUGAUCGAAGGGGGGAAUAAAAAAUCUUUUAUGGUUGGCUCGUGGACAUGGACUUCUUAUGAAAGGUGGUAACGCUGUCUCAACGUCAUAAUUAUACCGAAGCUAAGUCCAUUUCAAUCAAUAUAAAAUAUGAAUGCGGUAACGACUAACGAGAAGUUAAUAGUUUUGGAUCAAACGAAUAUACAACGUCGUUCGUGUGUUUAUCAAAUAAGAAUUCAAUUUAAACAAUGUAAAUGUGUUAACAAGAAAUUGAGAGUUAUUGAUAAGACGAGCAUAAAAUUAAAACGUCAUUCAUAUGUUCAUCAAACAAGAGUCCAUUUAUGUAUAUGUAUUAACAAGGAGUAGGGAGUUUUAGGUAAGACAAGCAUGUUGAGUUGUAAUCGGAAUAGACAGAAAUCAGAAUAGGAAAUGGAGAUCAGAAUAAAUUAUUUAUUUGAACUGUAGGAAUCGAAAUCGGAAUGAAUUGAAUUGUCAUAAAUGUGUUUACUUUGUCUUGGAAUCGGAAUCGAAAUGAAUUAAAUUAUAACAAAUUAUUAAAAAGUACUUAAUAAAUUAUUGUUAUAAUUAUUAUUUUAUAUUUUAAUUAUAGUGAUUAUUUAUUCAAAAAUUAUUAUUAUUAAUUAUUGUCAAUAAUAUAUUGAUAUAUUAAUUAAUUAUAAUUAUUAUUAUAAAUAUAUUAAUUACUAAUAUUAAUAUAUUUAUCUGCUGUACCGUACAUCCNNNNNNNNNNNNNNNNNNNNNNNNNNNNNNNNNNNNNNNNNNNNNNNNNNNNNNNNNNNNNNNNNNNNNNNNNNNNNNNNNNNNNNNNNNNNNNNNNNNNNNNNNNNNNNNNNNNNNNNNNNNNNNNNNNNNNNNNNNNNNNNNNNNNNNNNNNNNNNNNNNNNNNNNNNNNNNNNNNNNNNNNNNNNNNNNNNNNNNNNNNNNNNNNNNNNNNNNNNNNNNNNNNNNNNNNNNNNNNNNNNNNCAUCUGCUGUACGGCCAAGGCGGAUGUACGGUACAGCAGAUUUGACUUUUUAUUUUUUAUAUUUAUAUCUUUUAUUUAAAGAAGGGGCAUUUUAAGAAAUUUUGAAUGUCAACGGAAGCAAAAGAACUCUAGGUAAUGGGAGAUUGAUUCUCACCUCUCCCAAGGAAUCAAUCUCUCAUUCCUCAUUCUCAAAUAGUGGUGGGUUCCAUGAUUUCAAUUCUGAUUCUUACUCCAUUUUUUGGAAGUAAAUGCCGUUAAUCAUUUUGAUUCUCCAAUUUGGAAAAUAAAUGUACCAUAAUAUUUAAUCAAUUAUUAUGAUUAUUGGAUUUUUCAGAUACUUUUAUCUAUUUUGGUUGGAGGGACGAAGUUCACUUUCUAUUAAAAGAAACAUUAGAGGAGCUUUCAAAGUCUAGGCUAAGGUUGUUUCCCAUGGCCUUGAAGCAAUACCCAAAAAGAGCUUUCCGGCUGGCAAAAUAGGCUUGUGUUUCUGCGUCGCAAAAUGAUGUGAAUGAGCUUUCGGAGUGUUUCCUCUGAAAUUUUAGAUGCUGCAAAAUCAACAUUGUCCCGCUCGAAGUAACCCGGACAAUUUCAUUUCCUAAUUUCUUCUUAUUUAUUAUGGCAUUGAUUUUCAUUGCAAGCUCAUUGCUCUGCUAAGAAAAAGAAUAAAUGGGGGCCAAAAAAGGAAGAAAGAAAUAGAGGCAAAGGCAACAACAUUAAUGCACAAACCAGUAAAGGUAUUCCAUCGAUUUACGGCCACUGAUAGCAAGCCGGGGCCUUUAAAAACGGAAAAUACAAGCAAAGAAAAAUAGAAGCCAAUUGCUCAAUAGUGCAUAAUAUGCAUACGGAAAAUUUUCAUCACAUCACGACCCACAGUUAUUCGAAUAGGUAAUAAGACAGGAAUUUUCUUUCUUUGUUUAAAGUGAAAAAAAAAAAAAUCAAUGGCUCAGGAAGUAUCCCUCCAAUCUCCAGAACCACUCACUUGGCACUGGCAAGCUGGGUGCGGAGUAGCUUGGCAGCAGCGACCAUGUUUGAGAGGGCUGGCUUCACCUCAGUGUACUUGCGAGUCUUAAGACCACAGUCAGGGUUAACCCACAAAAUGUUGGUUUCUAGCACAGCAAGCAUCUUGUUGAUUCUGUCAGCAAUUUCUUCAGUUGAUGGUAUUCUUGGAGAGUGGAUGUCAUACACACCAGGGCCAAUUCCAGCACCAUACUUGACUCCCUCACGGAAGACAGACAGGAGCUUCUCAUCAGAACGAGAGUUCUCAAUGGUGAUCACAUCAGCAUCCAUGUCGAUAAUUGAGUGGAUAAUGUCGUUGAAGUUGGAGUAGCACAUGUGGGUGUGGAUCUGUCAAUCAAUAUACAAUAAGAUGAGACACAACAUCAACAGCUAAAUUAGAGAGAUGAGAUUGGAGAUUGAAAGGGCAACUGACCUGGGUAGUGUCCUGGACGCCACAGUUGGUGAUUCUGAAGGAGUGGACUGCCCAGUCCAAGUAGAAAGCAUGCUCAGAUUUCCUAAGAGGCAAUCCUUCCCUCAAGGCAGCCUCAUCAAUUUGAAUAACGUUAAUGCCUGCCUUCUCAAGAUCCUCGACUUCGUCCUUGAUGGCCAAAGCAAUCUGGUAGCAGGUUUCAUGUCUGCAAAAUUGGCAGCGAUUUAUGUUAAACAAUGUUUCCAUUUCAAAAGGUUAACCAAUAGUGAACCAGUUCUCAUUUAUAUACCUGGGCUGGUCAUUUCUAACAAAGGACCAGUUGAGAAUGGUGACAGGGCCAGUAAGCAUUCCUUUCAUUGGGCGAGCUGUCAUGCUCUGAGCCAAGGAGGACCAGAAGACGGUCAUAGCCUUGGGACGGCUCACAUCACCAUAGAUGAUGGGUGGCUUCACACAGCGAGAUCCAUAGGAUUGCACCCACCCAUUGGCAGUGAAGGCGAAACCUGAUAAUUGCUCUCCAAAGUACUCAACCAUGUCGUUCCUCUACAAAAACAAAUGUCCCAAUUCAAUAUGAGAUACAGCAUACUUCGUAUGCAAUUAGAAAUGCAGAAACAAAAAUGUAUAAAAUUUUAUCUAAUUCAAAACCAGGAGACAUUGCUUUGCUUCCAUUGGGCAUUGUGAAACUCACCUCAGGCUCUCCAUGGACAAGGACAUCAAUAUCAAGCUCUUCUUGGAGUUUGACAACCUUGUUGAUUUCCUCCUUGAUGGAAGCAACAUAUUCUUCCUCAGAAAUCCUAAAAAGGACAAAUAGUCACGGCACAGUUAAUACAGUAGUCGAAGUAAUUUCACACAUGGCAUUGAAUGAAGGAAAACCUCAGAUUGACUCACUUCUUAGCCUUGUAUUCACGGCGGACUCUCCUAAGUUCAAUGGUUUGUGGGAAGGAUCCAAUUGUGGUGGUUGGGAGGAUUGGAAGAUUGAGCUUCUUCUGUUGAGCAUCCAAUCUAGCACUAACGUUUGUAGCACGUCUGUGGUCUGAUCCCUUCAAAGCAGCAGCCUAAUUUACCAAGAGGAAGGAAUCACCGUUAGCAAAAAAAGGAAACUCUAAGGGGCAGCCACAUCAUAAAAAUGGAAAACAAAUCAAUCAUGCCACUUACAGCCUUUUGAACUCUCUCAUUGGUCACUCUCGGGGAGGACUUUCUUGAAGCCUGAGCUGCAGCAUUGGCAGAGAAGAAUCCCUGGAAACAAAUGAAAAGGAGAAACAAAGUUAGUCUCAUUCAUAUCAUUUCAAAAGGAAUAUACAUAUGCAAUUAGUGGGCUGAUUGUGAGAGAAAAUGUCCACAAAACUUUAACCAAACACCAAAUGCCCAAGUUGCCAAAUGAUGUUUAAUUCGGAAAAAUAUAUUUAGAAACAUUCAAAUAAAUAAUUUCCCCUUCUAAAUUUUCAUUUUCAACAACAUAUUUUACAAGCCAAGCUCAACUUCAGGCCAAGAUUUUCUGCUCCUAUAAUUAUAUUUUACCAUAAAACUAGGUCCUUGAAAGGCUAAGAUUUUCUGACUCUUGUGACUAGUCAAAGCCUAAGAUUCUUUCAAUUCAUCCGUAGCUAACAUUUUAGACUAAAAGUAUACCUCAUCCUUUUGGCCAGCCAAAGCCUUGGCCAAUGCAUUCACUUCAACAACUUUCUGGGCAGCAAAUGCCAGCCAUGACUUGAUUUCAUCGUCGAGUUUGUUCUCAUUAACAAGAUCAACAGCAGUGUGAAGAAGUGAGCAGGAGGUGGAGACCACAAGCUUGUCUGCAAAGAAAAAUAAUAAAUUAUACAACAAAUCCCAUAAAAGAAUAAGAAAUAUUUAUCACAAAGAAAAAUGCAGGCAAAGGAUGUAUACCUUUGCCAACAACACCCUCAAGCCCCCGGAGAACACUAAGAGAAGCAGCAAGAUCAUUGGCCCAAAUGUUCCUUCCAUCAACCACUCCAGCAAAGAGGUACUUGCCAGCAGGGAAUCCACUCUUGAUCAAUUCAAGGGUCUUCGUUCCACGAACCAAAUCAAAUCCAUAAGCGGUGACACCCUUCAAAGAAGUGAGGGUCUGGAAUGCCUCAGCUGGAACAUCAGCAAAGUAGGUCUCAACAAGAACAUUCAAGCCAGACAGAGUUGACUCUAGCUCGGCAUAAGCCUCACUGAAUGCAUGCAAUUUGUGUGAGUCAAGAUCCAUAACAAGCAAUGGCUCAUCAAACUGAAUCCAGGAAGCACCAGCAGCCUUAAGCUCAGAAAUAACUUCCCUGCAGAAGUGUUAAUUGGUACAACACAGAUUAAUGAUGUCACUCGAUAUAUACACACAGAGUUAUUUAGCACAUACACAUUUAUAAAUCAGUAAUAGGUGAUAAUUUCUUACUUGUAGAUUGGAAGGAUUUUCGGAAGAAGAGAAAGAAGAGAAAAGGUCUUCGCAACACCCUUGGCAGGCUUAGACAGCAACAAGUAUGACACAGGGCCAAUAAGCACUGGGACAGUUUCAACUCCAAGCUGCAGCAUUAGACAAGUGAUCGAUAUUAGCAUCUCACAAACUUGAUCUGAUUGAUAGAAAGUUACAAGCAAGUUCAGAAUUCGUUUAAUGAAAUCUCUAUGAAAAAUCUUCAGGGUCCACAAUGUGUUGAAAGUACCCUUUUCAAGUAAUUUAUCUUAAGACUAUUUUGCAAACAGUAUUGCUUUCCUUACAGAUCAAAUAAAUCAAACAACAUAUGAACACAUUUACUGAACCAAGUCUAAGUUCAAAGCUCUAUAAAUAAAUGUCAAUGAAUCUAUAGUAAAUUCUAUUGCAUCCUAAGCUAAAGAUGAGCAUAUCAUAUAAGAAUUUCAAGGUGAACGUAACCCAAUUUCAAUAUAUUGUAGAUUCAGAUAUCAAACGAAAUAAAAUUUGUAAAUAUAGACAGAACUGAGAAUAAACACUCACCCCCUUAGCCUCCUUGUACUCAGUCACAGCCUUGUGGGAAGCGUAGGAGAACUUAACAUCGGGUCCCAAUUCAGGAACAAUGAAAUGACUGCAUCAACACGAAGCCAAACACGCGUCAGCAUUCAGUACAAAACCAUUACACCAUAAAUAACUUGAAAUGCCGCUCUUCCAAGUAGUGAAUACUUACUAGUUGGUGUCGAACCACUUGGUCAUUUCCAUAGCGGGAACAGAGGCGUUUCCUCUGGCCAUGGAGAAGUAAACAUCAAAUCCAAUCUCGCCGCCGUUCCAGUUAUACCUCGGGGGCACGGCACCGAGCAUUGCGGUGGUGUCGAGCACUUGGUCGUAGUAGGAGAAAGUGUUGCUGGGAAUGUAUUUGAUCCCGGCCUGGGACAUCUGUUUCCAGAUGGAGGAUCUGAGAUCAGCGGACACCUUUUGCAAAUCCUCAGCGCUGCUCUUGCCAUCCCAGAAGGAUUCCAACGCGAACUUGAGCUCCCUCUUGGGGCCCAUGCGUGGGUAUCCAACGAUGUGAGAUGCCAUUUUACUGUCAUAAUCACGUCAUCAAUGAAUCGAAAAUCAGUCACUUUCAUUAAAUCAAGAAAAUAUUCAUUCAAAUGGAUGGGUCAUUGCUAUUACUGCUCAAAUCAAAUGAAAUCAAGAACACUUAUCAGAGCAUAAAAUCUUAAAUUAAUUUUUUUAUAAAAAAAUAAAAAACCAGUUGAAACAAGCUGAUAAUAAUCCAAGAGUUUGAGAUGAUUUUUUUCUUUCUGUAAUCACAUGAACAAUUAUGUACUUUCAGUCAUUUUUGAAGGAUUAAAACAAAAAAUUCUACAAAUAGAUUCUGAAAAGAAGAAUCUAAAAAUAGAUUCAAAAACAGUAACACAAGUAGAGUUCAAAUUGUUUUUCGGAAAAGAUUAAUUACAGAUCUGAUUGAUUCACGUUCAGAUCUAGCAAAAUCACGGCAGCCAAACACUAGAUCUAACACUAACAGUCACUCACCAGUCCAUUAGAAAAUGAAAUCAAGUUCAAAAUUCUUUUAAAGUUAAUUCUUUUUUAGAAAAUGACCAGAUUUUAGUUGAGUAUUAGUGAGUUUUUUACAAAAUAAUUUAUUUUUGUUUUUUAGAUCCAAAAGUUCGGAAAUCAAAACCAUGUUCAAUGCUUAUUCAUGAUUAACGGCGUAAAAACGCUACUGCAGAGAAGACAUAACGAAAAUGGGAACCGUACCAAACAGAGAAAGAAGAGCAGAGAAAUUGAGAGUCGAGAGGAGAGAGAGAAGAGAGCGGCGAGUUUGGGGGAGUGCCCUCUCCGUUAUUUAUAGCCAAAAAUCAAAUCUGGUUUGGUGGUUGCCUUUGGCGUGCCAACCUGUAGAUCUGAGAUUUUUCAUCUUAAUUUCUUUCUCUUAUUUAUUUAUUUAUUUAUUAUGAUUUUCAGUGCAGUUCAUAAAAUAUAGAGCUGACGCGCGCUUUUCUGAUGUGGCGCGUGAAUUGGAAAUGCGGUAGGUCUUUGUGGGCCCCACGGCACGGUCAGGACUGAAGGAAAAAUGUGAGAAGUUAUCAUAAUUUCAACAGUGCCAUAAUUAGCAAUUACACCACCAAAUAUUUCUUGAGUUUUUUUUUUUUGAUUGCUUUAAAUGCAGAGUUGUUAUGAAUUGUGUUAAUUGUAGAGUUGUUAUGAUUAGAUUACAUUAUAAUUCGUCACAAUUAUGAUAGGUAUGUACGUAUAUAAUAAUUUAUGAGUAAUGAUAUAACCACAAACUCUUAUACAAACUUAUUUUGUACAAAUUGAUGUGGCAUGAUAAAAUUAGUUGAAUUAAAUAUUACUUGAUCCACAUGAUUUGUUAUUAUUAUUUUAUAUUUUCAUUCAACCAAUGAAUUAAUGACACGUCAGUUUGUACAAGAUAAGUUUGUACAAGAGUUUAUGGUUGUAUCAUCACUCAUAAUUUAUAUAAGAUCUCGAAUAUUUAAAAAAUUUAUAAAUCAUUAUUUUCAUGUACAUUUACCUGGUAGCAAUGACAAUAACAUAAAAUAAACUCCAAACAAGAAUGGAUUAUAUUAUUUAUGUUAUUUUAUAGCUUUUUAAUUGAUUUUUAAAAGGAUUAAUUGUUAAUCAUUACUCUCCAACCGUAAUCACCAUUAAAUAUUUAUUUAAUUUAAUAGUCGGUAGAUCAUAAAUAAGAUUAGAAUAUUUAAUGGACAAUCUAAUUGCUACUACAAUUGUUAUCAUUUUUUUAAGGUAAGGGAUUAGACAAUACUCAAAUUUAUUUUUUAACCCCUUACUCCCUAAAGAUUCGAAUUUAACUAACUAAUUAAAUAAGACUGCUUAAAAACCACUCAACCACAUCUUUUGGGGACCAAUUAAUAUCGAUGUUUAAACUGAGGUUUAUUAUUAAAUUUUUUAAGUUUCAAGUUUCAACCGCUAACAACAUUAUCAUCGAUUAAUGAUAAAUAUAAUAAUAUUUCAUCAAAAAACCAUUUAACACAUCCAUCCAUAUUAAACAUAAGUAAAAAAUUUAUCAUGCAUUUCAAAUAUAUUUUUCAUCCUAAAAGUUAUGGAGAAAAUCUUGAUAUCAAAACUUACAAUGUAAUUAUGGGAUGUAAUUUUGCAUUUGAGGUCAGCACAACUUAAAAAUUACUAUGAAUGAAAAUUUAUAAUAAGCAGACACCACAAAAAAAAAUUAUUUAUAAGUAUUACAAUCAUGCAGUUUUAUUUAAGUAUUUAACCAAGUCAUUCAAUUUCUAAUUAAGACGGUAUAAAUUAGAUUUGGGCUGCCUAAGACCAAAAGUCAAAAAAAAAAAAAGAAUAUUCCUAAUAAGCAGCCUACCGCGGUCACGCGCCUUAAGAAACGCUUGGACUUAGCACACGAUUUUAAUCCAAAAUGUAUAAAAAAGGAAAAAUUUAUGAGGUGUAUAAUUAUCUUGAGUUGUUAUAUUUUGAAGAAACAAUGAAGAAAGUUGGUGGCCGAAGUUGAUCCGGGGCGAAUGGUGGUGGGCCCACGUUGUUGCAUUAUAAUUGGAGUUAUUGUAAUUUUUCUUAUAAUUAAUAAACUCCAUUUUUCAAAGAAAAUAAAUAAAUAAAUACACUCCCGAUUACGAAAAUAUCAUUUCAUGAGUGUCAAAGUUAGAGCUGGCAAAAUUUGACACGACCCGAUUACCUGACACGAACACGACAUAAAUAAAUAAGUAUGGAUCGUCAAAUUUAACACGAUUAUUAAAUGGGUCGGGUCUGGGUCAACACAAUUUUUUUCCGUGUCGGGUUUGGGUUAAAAUUCUUGACCCAUUUACCCGAUCAAUGACCCGAUUAUAUUUUCUAUUUUAAAAUAAUUUACAUAUUCUUAUAAUUAAAACUCAAAUAUUAGAGAUAUUUUUUUUAUUCUUUAAAAUGGUGAAUAUAAACACAGUGUUUUAUUUAUAAAAUUUUACAUACAUUUAGAGCUUCAAUAGUGUAAAUGUGUAAAAAUUGAUAGACAUGUAUAUUUUAUAAUAUUGAUAUAUAAUAUUAUAUAUAUAUAUAUAUAAUUAAAACCUCAAUAGUGUACAUGUGUAAUAUAUUGGUAGAUAUGUAUAUUUUAUAAUAUCGAUAAAUUAUGUAUGUAUGUAUUUAUGUACAUACGUAUGUAUGUAUUUAUGUAUAUACGUAUGUAUGUAUUUAUGUACAUACGUAUGUAUGAUAGUGUGUAAAUAUUUUAUGUAACUUUUGUUCAAUAUAUAGAUAUUAAACGGGUUAUUGGGUAACCCGAUUGUUUUUCCGUGUCGGGUUUGGGUCUCAAUAUUUUGACACGAUUAUUAAAUGGGUCGGGUUUGGGUCGACCUAAAUUUGACACGACACGACACGAACACGACCCGAUGACCCGUUUUGCCAGCUCUAGUCAAAGUGACCGUCACCUACGCAUCGCGUUUGUUGGGCGGGGUGGGUAAGGUGGGGCGAGGAGUUUGUUUGAUCGUCUGAUUACUUUGAUUUUGAUGAAACGUAUGGACGACGGCGAUGGCUUGCCAGCAAGUGGGUUUAUCAUGAUUUUGAUUGUAUUCGGGGAGAUGCUUAUGUAUAUCCUCAAAACUUCUUGGAAAUGAAAACCGCUGGGGUGGCAAAUCUUGACCAAUAAAGUGUGCGUGAUGUUGCGUUUAUAAAUUUCAAUAAUACUAUUGGCCGAUUGAGAUUAUUUUUAAAAAGUUUAAAAAUAAUUUUUAAAGGUUAAAUGUUAAUUUUAAUAUUGAAUAAAUUUUUAAAAAUUAUUUUUGAUAAAAUCAUUUUAUCCUCCAAUAAAUUUUAAAAAAUAGCGAUACAGUAAUUUUUUAAAAUCUAAUUUUAAUAAUCAAAACUAUUUUUUUAUAUAAUUUUAUAGAUAUCCGCAUAUAUAUAUUAUAAAAAUUCGAAAUCAUUAUUAUUAAUUAGGAAAUAAAAUCAUUAACUUUUAAGAAAUUAUUAUUAUUACCAAUUAUACUGACAUAACAAAAUAAAAAAUUAAUUAAUAUUAUAAAUAUUUAUUUCAGUUAUCAACUAUUAUAUAUACACAAUAAAAAAUAUUUUAUAUACAUAUUUAUAAAUGUAUAAAUAAUUUUUAUUCAAUAUUAUAUCGAAUUAAUCAUUUACAUUCUUGCAACAAGUUAACAAUAAAAUUUACCAAACACAUACGAUUGUUUUUAAAACUCAUAUUAUUUUUUUAAAAAAAAAUUACUAAACCUUUAACUGAUUCUCUUACAACUGAUUAUUUCUACAGUACAAUUAACAACAAUUAUUUUAAAAACUAUAACAUUUUCAAACUAGCCCCAUGACAAUAUUGUUAUUGUUGUUUUUCUUACUCUUAUCAAUAAAACUACGUUGCACAUAAGUGCAUAAAAAUUCACACAAAAUAAACUAUUUAACUUUAGGGUAUUAAUUGAAAAAAAAAAUCAGAUUAAGGUGAAUAAAUAUCAGAAAAUAACAAAUAGAUAAACUCUCACACUCUUUAAAAAAAUUAAUUUUAUAAUUUUAUUUAAAACCAACAGAUAUUACCAAACUUAACGGAUCAAUGUUCCAAUGUUUUCUUUUUAAUUUCAAAACCAACAGAUAUUCUUUGUUCAUUAUAUGACCUCCAAACAAAUAAUUUCAUUAAUAAAAUAAUAAUGAAAAGUAUCGUGGUGAGUACAGAGUAAUUCGGUGGCUAAUAAAAGUCUCUAUUUUUCGUCUCUGUUUUUCAUUUUAACUCUUGGGGUUGGUGCCACUUCGGCCUUGGUCGGAGUGGUGGGCUGCUGCCCUCACAAGUAUUGUGAGGACAGUGGUUCAAGCCCCCACAAAUAUUUUUGUGGGGGCUAACGUACUUAUUUAUUUAAUAUUUCAAAAAUUUCUUCUCCCUCGUGCAAUACGAGUGGAGUAUGGACAUCCCUCCUCUAUAAGGGAUUAUUUGUCUGGGCAUGUACUUCACAGAAUUCAAUGUAAUAAUAUAAGUCUCAAUCAUAUAUUUUUGAUUGUAAAUAUCAAUAUAAUAUAUCUGCUAUAAUAGCAGUUGUAAAUAUCUGUGUAAUGCAAUAAUAUGAUAAUUAAUCAUUAUUCAAAAAAAAAACUCUUGGGGUUGGUAGGCUCGUGAAUGGUCCACGUAACCUCUGGACGUAACACUCAAACAAAGACAGCACAAGGCACAUGAAAAAUGCCUAAAAACCGUAAAACCGUGACGUGUUCAACAUAUUAAUAAAUUUAUACUGUGUUUUCUUUUUUUUUUUAAUACUGUGUUGAUAAAGCACUUACGAUGGAACGACCAAUUCUAUUACUUGCAAAACUAAUUAAUAUUUCACUCUAUCAUCUAACUAAUGGAAGGCCAUCUUAAUUGAGGUUGCAAUAGUUAGAAAGUAGCGGGAAGGGUGGCCAAUGCUCCAUAUUAAUUUGCAUCAAUCCCUUUCUGGUGAAGAAGUACGGGUGAAGUAGAGGUCAAAGUUAGAAGAUGAAGGGUGUGUUUGGGAAUUGAGAGUGAGGUGCUGUAGUUUUUUAGCUGCAGUUGCUGUGAAAUAAAAGUUAUAACUGUGGAAUAGAAGUUGAGAAAAAAAAUUUGUUAAGCUGCCAAAGCCCAGUUACAAAUGUUACCAAACACCUUAGUAGCUAGGCUUUGGCAGCCCAUCUACCCCAUCACACUCCCAAACGGAUUAGAAGGGGACCGGGAUUGCUUUGUCAUAUUUGAAAAUGAUUUUGAAAAAAUAAAAAUUAAGUUCAGAAUUUGGUAAAUUCCUUUAAAAUUUCUUUUAGCAAAAUCACUCUCUCCUUUAGAUUUUGAAAAGUAUGGAAUGAGUAGUUUUUUAAAAUUUAAUUUUGAAAUUCGGAUUCAUAUUUAAUAUAAUACCAUAUAUCAUAACAUGUAUUAUAAAAAUCUAAAAUUAUCCUUAUUCAAUCAAUUAAGAAGUAAAAUCUUACAUUUAAAGAUAUUAUCAUUAUCAAUUAUAUUUAGAUAAUAAAAAAUACAAUUAAUAAAAUAAAAAUAUUUAUUUUAGUUAUCAAUUAUUAUAUAUAUACAUAAAAUGUAAUUAUAUAAACAUAUUUAUAAAUGUAUGUGUAAAUUAAAUUUGUAGAUUUAUGUUUAUAUAGAUCAUUUGCAUUCUUAUCACAUUUUAAAAGUGAGAUUUAUUAAAUAUAUAUAUGAUUAUUUUUAAAAUUUACAGCACUUUUUAAAACAAAAGUAUCAAAAGUUUAAUUGAUUCCUUAUUUUUACUGUACAACUAACAGUAAGAUGUGUUUGGUUCAAGUAUAAAAUGAUGGGAUUGGACAAUUUUAAGAUUAAAUAAUCCUAAUGCAAUGUUUGGUACCAAAAAUAAUUGUGGGAUAAAAAUAGUGGACCCCACCAUUUAAUCCAACACAAUGUCAAAAUUUUAUCACAAAGGGGGGUGUGGGAUAAGCUAAAACUUAAACGUAGGAUAACAAAAAAAAAGCCCAAAAUUUUAUACAACACAGUGAUUUUUUUUUUUUUUUGAGUAUGUCAUCAUCCAAUGAUAGUAUAUAUGCCAGAACACUCUUUUGACGUUAAUGAUAUGUAAUAUUUUCAUAUAUACAGCUAGUGACAUUGUUAUGUAAUUUCUUUUUCAUUUAUAGAUUUAUAUUAUUAUUAUAUUUGUUGAUGAUAUUCUUGUUAUGUUUAUAAUUAUAUUAUUUAGUAAUUUAUAAGUUUAAAAACUAUAACAUGUUAAAUAUAAGAAAAACUUUAAGCGAAGAUUUUGUAUUUUUUAACAAAUUUACCAAUAAUUUUUUAUUUAAGUUAGAUUAUAUUCCAUGUCAUUUUAAAAUAAAUCUAAGAUAAUUUUGAUAAAUUAAUAAAUAAGACAUAUUAUUAGUUACUAACCAAUUUCAUGGCAUACCAAACAUGAGAUAUGAUUAUUUACAGUCUAAUCCAACAUUGCACCAAACGUAAUAGAGUAUUAUAUAUAAUCCAAUGUUAUCAAAUCCAAUCAUAUCUUAUCCAAUCCGAUCCGAUCCAGUCUAAUCCAAUUUGACAUACCAAACAAGCCCUAAUUAUGUUAAAAACUACAUCAUUACCAAACUGACCCUUAAUACAAUCUCAUACAUACAUACAUAUAUAUAUAUAUAUUAAAAAUUAAAAAUUAUCUUUAUUUAGUUAGGAAAUAAAACCAUUAUAUUUAAAUAGAUUAAUAUUAUUACUAAUUAUAUUCAGAUAACAAAAUUAAUAAAAUAAAAAUAUUUGUUUGAUUUAUCAAUUAUUAUACACACAUAUUUAUAAAUGCAUGCGUAAAUAAAAUUUUAUAGAUUUAGGCCAAGGCGGAUGUACGGUACAGCAGUAUCUUUAUUUAGUUAGGAAAUAAAACCAUUAUAUUUAAAUAGAUUAAUAUUAUUACUAAUUAUAUUCAGAUAACAAAAUUAAUAAAAUAAAAAUAUUUGUUUGAUUUAUCAAUUAUUAUACACACAUAUUUAUAAAUGCAUGCGUAAAUAAAAUUUUAUAGAUUUAUGUCUAUUUAAAUCAUUUGCAUUCUUAUAACAUUUUAAAAAAAGAAAAGAAAAGUGAUUUACCAAAUACAUGUAAUUGUUCUUCAAACUUACAACACUUUUAAAAUAGAAUUUAAUAAAUGUUUAAUUAAUUUUUUCACAGCUGAUUAUUUUUAUGGUAUAACUAACAAUAAUCUAUAAACUUAUGGUAAAUAUUUGUGUGAAUGUUGGUCCAUGUAAAGAAGUAAAAACAACGCAUAUAUCAAGCAAUAAGAUAUCAAAACUCUUAGUAAAAUACAUAUACUAAUGAAAGAAUGACAGCAAUGCAAUAAAUAAGAUUAUAAUAUAAAUUAUUAAAAUUGUAUAUUAAAAAUUGAUGUAUGAAAUUCUUUUUAUUUUAGUGAUAGAUAAUGUGAUAUAUUUGAAUAAUUUGAUUAAAUGAAAAGAAAAAUAACAAGUAUGGUUGUGGAGGAAAUAAACCAUUGAACUGUGGAAUGUUAUUAAUUAUUGCUAUUUCAUUAUGUAACGUCCUGAUAAUAAGUACAGUGUUAUAGUAUAUUGAUGGGUGGUGAUAUUGUCACCCCUUAAAUUGUGUAAAGUCAACCUCAUUUACAAAUUUUUUGAUAUAAAUUAAAAAGUACAUUAGUUUUAAUAAAUUAUAUAUUUAUUGAAUAAACUAGAACCGUUAGGGAGCUGUAAUGUUAGCACUGUUUUAACUUAUUAUAAAAAAAAAAGUUAUGAUUUGAUCAUAACUCUAAUUUAGAAAAGAAAAAAGAGUUGAAUUGCUAACAUACUUAAAAAUAAAAUAAAAACAUUAUUAUUAGAUGAAAAAUUGUAAAACUUAAGGGGGCAUUUGCAAGUCCGCCACUACUCAAUAGAGCAUUAUUCAGUACUCGUUAAUAUAUCUCGAACUUUUAGGUUUUUUUAAUAUAUUUUUAAUACAUUUUCUAGAACAUUUAGAUAAAAAGAGUCAGUACUCCAAUUGAGUUGUGAAUAAACAUUUAGAUAAAAAGAGUCAAUACUCCAAUUGAGUUGUGAAUAAACUCAUGUUAAAAAAAAAAAAACUCAUUUUCACACUUGAAACGAUUAGUAAAUGGGUGAUACGAAUUUAACUUGGUCAAUAAUAUAUACCAUCUUAAGUUAACUUCAACUCAUUGAUCUUCUAUAGGGUUGAUCAGCCUGCCACAAGGCCCACAAAUUAUCACCUCUAAUGCUUUUGCAACAGUCGUUAUAAAUGCUGACAAAAUGAAACUUCUAUAUAUUUUGGUUUUUUUUUAUUUCUAUGAAAUAUAAGGCCCUUAUGGCAAAUUUCCAUCCAGCGUGAAAUUUGCUAGUUUGGCCUUGGUACUGUGGCACAUGCGUCAUGCAUGCGUGGCUGAGAUGCUUCUAAAACUAAUAAAUUAUGAAGAAUUCCAAAUUCGUACCAAAAAUAAGAGAAUAGGAGCUUGUCAUAGGUGUCCGCGGAUCGGAUUUUAUGGGUUAAACAUUAAUUCAUAUUUGAUUCGUGAUUUUGUAGAUUAUAAAUUUUUAAUUUAAUUCAAUUUAUGGAUUAGUGAAACUCAAUACAAAUUCAAUCCAUAUAUAUGCAAAUUAGAUGCGGAUUUAACCCAAUGCAUAUUCAAUCCAUCAUUUGGCGGAUUGAUUUGCAAAUUAAAAGUUUUUAAUUUUGUCCAAUCUAAAAAGUAAUUAAAUUAAAAAAAUCUAAUAUAUAAAUAAUUGAUUAAAUAAAAAAAUCUAAUGUAAAAAUAAUUUUACUACCAAUUAAAUUCAAAAUUGAACAAGAUUUAAAUAAAUUUAGAAUAAUACAUUCAAAAUUUUAAAAUAUAACACACCGAAAAAAAAAUUCAUUUAUUUAGAUCAAUACAUGAAAAUUAACUAAAAUUAUGAAUUUAAAUGUUGAAACUUGAAAGCUUGGAUGUAACAGGAAGAAUUUAAGAAACUUGAAGAGCUUGAAAAGAAAGUAAGAAAUUAAGUUUAAUUACCUCAAGUGGUGAAGUGAAACAGUGAUUGGCUUGUGCGUGCGGUGGGAUAGAGAUUUGGUGUUAUAUGUCAAAAUAUUUUGUUUGGCUUGGGGUUUUUGUUUUGCUUUAGAAAUUUUAAUGUUUAGGAAACUAUAUUUGCUUAUUUAAUUAUUUCUUAUUUUAUAUUGUUAUCGAAUAAAAUAUAAUAUUUUGUUAAUUUAGCUAUAAUUUUAUGCUGAAUAUAUUUAUUUAAAACGAUUUUAUUAAAUAAAUGUGCAUAUUUAACGAAGGUCUCUGAAAUUUCAACCUGCCUGCUAAUGAUAGCCAAUACGGCACGACCCACCAAAUGUCGGCCCACGCGGGCUUGUGGGCCAUGACGACUUUUUUUGUAAGGGCCCGGCACGGCCCACGGCACGAGUCCGUGCCCAAAAAAAGCCCACCUACCUUUUUUUUUUUUGUCCACAUGUUCAGCGUGCCUAAAAAAACCCACGUGCCUGACGUGCUUUUUUAAGCCCACCAGCCUAAUAGUAACAACAACAACAACAAUAAUAAUAAUUUCAUAGAAAUAAUUAAUGAAAAAUAAAAUAACAAUUCUAGAAUAACAAUUACAUCUAAUUUUAUUUGAACAACUAAUAUUAUAAUUGCACAUAAACUCUAUUGAAUGAAAAUGUAAUUUUUAAUUUAUUAUAAAAAUAUUUUGUUCAUAAUUUUAUUUUUUUGUGCGUAAAUAUGAAAAAUAUUUCAUUCACAAAUGAAACAUAUCUCCAUUAACUAUUAACUAAGUUAUGAUUUCAUAAAUGAAAUAUUAAUGUCGUAAAAUUUUUUAUUUAUCAUUUAUAAAAUCAUGAUAUUUAUUUAUCCAUUUAAUAAAUUAUAAACAUAAAAAAAUUAGAAUACUUAUUUAAACUAGGACUUAAAUUAAUUUUAAAAAGCCUAUACUAAAAAAAUAUAUUAAAAUUUUUAAUUUCAAGGUAUUUAUAAAAUCAUGAUAUUUUAUAUUUAUUUUUCAUUAAAAAAUUUUAUUUUGAUAUACUUUGGCCCACGUGCUAUUGGUGGCCCACGGGCCGCGUGCUUAGCCCACCAAUAAAGUGUGCUUAUUACAUGCCUUUUCGCGUGCCGUGUUUUGCCCCAUCUCUAAUCAUACCGUGCUUUUAAGGCCUGCGUGCCUAAAAUUCUAGGCCCGCCAGCCGUGCCGUGCCGUGCCGUGCCUCGUGCCGCCUGGCCCAUUGGCCAUCCCUACUGCCCGCCAACCACAUUUGUCCAAGAUCAAUUUGUAGGAAAAAAAUUUGAAAAUCAAUAAUUUAUUUAAUUAAUUGUUAAUGUAGGCAUUUGAAUCCCCACAAAAUCUGGGUGUCAGUUCUAGACUUCUGGUGAUAUAUUUUUCUAAUUAAGGAAUAAAAUAUUUUUGUCAUUUUUUUAAUAUUUUAAUUUACCAGGCAUAUCAACUAAUUAAUUUUUCUACUUAGACUAUUAAUUCAUUACGUGCGCAAUCUGUAGCCCGGCGCUCCAAUCCCAUGCAUGUUACACACAACUCAAUCAUUAUUUAUUUAUUUAUUUAUUUUGACCAACAACUCAAUGUUUUUUAUAGAGCUGUCAAAAUUUGACACGACCCGAUUACCCGACACGAACACGACAUAAAUAAAUGGGUAUGGGUCGUCAAAUUUAACACGAUUAUUAAAUGGGUCGGGUCCGGGUCAACACGAUUUUUUUCCGUGUCGGGUUUUGGGUUAAAAUUCUUGACCCAUUUACCCGAUCAAUGACCCGAUUAUAUUUUCUAUUUUAAAAUAAUUUACAUAUUCUUAUAAUUAAAACUCAAAUAUUAGAGAUGAUUUUCUUUUUUUUUAUUCUUUAAAAGGGUGAUAUAUUUUAUAAUAUCGAUAAAUUAUGUAUGUAUGUAUUUAUGUACAUACGUAUGUAUGAUAGUGUGGAAAUAUUUUAUGUAACUUUUGUUCAAUAUAUAGAUAUUAAACGGGUUAUUGGGUAACCCGAUUAUUUUUCCGUGUCGGGUUUGGGUCUCAAUAUUUUGACACGAUUAUUAAAUGGGUCGGGUUUGGGUCGACCUAAAUUUGACACGACACGAAACUGACACGACAUGAACACGACCCGAUGACCCGUUUUGCCAGCUCUAGUUUUUUAAUAUGAAAAGGUAUUGGUUAGCUUUGUCUUUAGUUUUUUCAACUUAUAAUAAGUUUGUAUUAAGGCUCCCUUUGGUACAGAUUUUCAAGUAAAACUUAUUUAGGGUUAUUUUUAGGGACCUCCCCUGAGGUUUGGUGUAUUAACAAUCUGAUAGAAAGUAUUCACGUAAUUACAAAGACCUCCCCUGACAUUUGUAUUAUGUUAAGUGGACUGUUAUUGACUAUUGAAAAUCCAAAAAUACCCUUCCUGCCAAAAUAUUUCUUUAUUCACUGAUGAACUGAUGGGUAAUUCGUGCCAAAAUCACAAAUUACUUAAGAAGAUGAAAAUAUCCAUUGGAUAAAAAAAAUGAAAUUGCUUAAUAAAAAAAUUGACAUUGCAUAAUAAUAAAAAAAAUUGAAAUAAUGUGCGGCGGCAUAGCUGCAUCUUGCAUGCAUAUUAUUAUUGUGAUUUUUUUAUUACAAACUCCAUCCUGCAUGCUUAUUAUUAUUGUGAUUUUUUUUAUUACAAACUACUUCAUAACUAAUACAUGCCACAAGAGCAGAGCUAUUAAAAGAAAUGAUUUUCAUAUUGUAAACUUGAUAGUACAGGUGUUGGCACCGACCAUAAAACCCUUAUGAUACCAAUCUUUGCUCCAUCCAUAUUUAAAUCCAGAUCAAGUAAAUAUUAAAUUGGAUUUCAGGUCCUGAAAAUCCCACUCUAUAAUUGAUAUCUUCGAGUUUUGUUGGUGCCUCAAACCUGGAUCUAGAGCAUCAUCUCUGUCAUACUCGGAACACCUAAACUAAUGGACUUGCUGCAGCUGCUUAUUCUUCUUCUGAAAUGAUGCACGCAGAUAGAUUACAGACUUUGAAAUAAGAAAUACAAUAAACAACAUGUAAUCGAACUUAAGAUUUCGGCAAACUUGUUUGAAAAUUAGAAUCAAACAAGGAAAAUGGCAAGUCAAUAUUUUUUAAUCUAGAAAAAGGGCAAUUUCAAAGUUUAUCACAUGCCAAAUUCAUAGUCUUGCAUCCACUAUUUUCUAGUUUGAAUAACAAACAAAAGCCUUAGACAAAAACACAGAGAACAUCUCACAUGGGAGCAAAAAUUGUGUGUAGAACAAUAUACUUAAGUUACAUGUGAUUACAAUCACAUUAUUUAGCAAAUACAAAAUUACCUUCUCAAAAAAAAAAAAAAAAAAAAAAACACCACCAAAUUAUUGAAGGUAUUACAACAAUAAGGCAAAAGAACACCAAAGGCAUGCACAAACCGAAACUAACACACAACUCAAUUAGUGUCAUGACCCCAAACUGAACAAUCAUAUAAACCAUUGUGGGCUCUCUAAAAGAUUAUCACAUUAUAAGCAAACAGAAACCUAUAUUUGAUGAACUACAUCUAGUACUUACACAACUCUUAAAUCAUUAGGAAAUUGCUCUUAUCAGUCAUUACCCAAUAGUUUUUUUCAACUCAACACUAACAACCCCAAAGAGAAACAACAUCCAGCACCAUUUUCAUUAAUUAAAACAGACCCAUUGUUAUUUUUAAUCAAUAAAAUAACAACAAUAUCGUGUAAGCCACUGAUUCAAGCAUUCAAGCUGUGUUUUCGAAGACUGACCUCUUCUUGCUAUCUAAUUCCAGUCACGAUAGACGCUAGAUGCCGGCAAUACUCGCUUCUUGGAAGCUCUGGACCACCGCACGACGUCAUCUUGUGCAGUAGAUGAAAAUAAAUCAAUGAUUUCAGAAAUUAUUUGUGAGUUGCAGACGCUUCUUCUCCAUGGAUGAAAAUGAUGGUGGGUUUUGUUCAAGUGUAAGCUGUGUUUACGAGGAGAAGUACACUUUGUGAAAAAAUCAUUUUCUUUCAUCUACUGGAUAAUGACUUUGGACUGGGUAAUGGUGUGUUUAAGUCUCUAUUUCACGGACAUUGAAGCAUAUUUUGCUUGAAUUUUGAUUUUGUUUAAAUUUCAAGUUUACUUUUACUUGUUUACCCUUUUAUACUGACGCUUAUGUAUUUUUAUACUAACGUUAAGGGAGGUCUUUGUAAUUAUAUGAAUACUUUCUAUCAGACUGUUAAUACAACAAACCUCAGGGGAGGUCCCUAAAAAUAACCCAACUUAUUUAAAUAGAACUUUUACAAAAAAAAAUUUAGUUAUUUGGUUGUCAAUAAACUUUUCAAGUAUACUUUGUUUGGUACAGCUUUUCAAGUAAAACUUAUUUAAGUAGAGCUUUUACAAAAAAAAAAAAAUUAGUUGUUUGGUUGUCAAUAAAAAUUUUUAUUAAAAAAAAUAUGAAAUUACUUUAUUAGUCAAGUUUUUUUAAAGUUAUGCUAUGAAAAGAAUAAAAUAAGAUUGUCAAAUAAAUAGAAAAUAUUUUAAAUAUUUUAACAUUUAAAAAAACUUUUUAACCUUUAUUUUCAAAAAUCUAAAAUUUAAACUUUUACUAGUAAAGGCAAAAUAAUUUAUUUAAACUUCAAAAGCUUUAUUAGAAAAAUAAUCAAACAAUAACAAAAAUUAUUAUAAAAGCUUAUCGAAUUAAAUAAGUACUUAUAGUUAUUAAAGAAGUUAUAUCUAACAGACACUAAUGCCGAAAGCCCCUUCUAAUUGUGGGUGUAAAAGUUUGAAUUAUGCAUACGGUUAAGGAGUUAAGGUGUGUUUGGCAACUGCAUUAAGUGGAAAUUUUUAUUUUGUUUCGAAUAAAAAUACAGCAAGCUCGUGUUCGGCUCAAAAUAAUGGAACGUUUAAUUUGCAACCGUCGGCGGACGAAGCACACCGUUCACGGCCCUUCGUAUAAAAUUGCAUAUGUAAACGUAAAUAGGUCCGGAUUCAGAUUCGUUGCUGUAGAGAGUGGCACGCACGAUCGGGCUGCUGUCGGUGGUAGGUUGGCAUUGGAAUUCUCAUCACGCGCUUCCCCAGGCGCCUACUUAUGGCAAAUUGACACGUGACGCGUGUGGAUUGAAUGGACAGAGUCCCGGGCAGUGUGUCCAAAGCUGCCAACCGUGCUCUGAUUUUUGUCAUCCAUAAUGGCUAACGACUAACGAGGGAGAUUUCCGGGCAGAAAGAAAUUGUUGUCGUUUCUGAAGGGGAAAAAAAAGUUAUUUAAUUUGUUGUUGAAGACAAAAUGAAGAUCUAAAUAAAUAAUGGCUAAUUUUGAGUGUAAAGCAACGGUAAAUGCAUUAUUAAAUUAGAUUUAGGGUCUGAUUGAGAUUAUUUUUAGAUUUAAAAUUAAUUUUGAAAAGUUAAAAUUAAUUUUGAUGUUUAUUAAUUUUUAUUAAAAAUUAUUUUUGUCAAAAUCUCUCAUCCUCCAGCAUAUUAUAAAAAAUAAGGAAGAAAUAAUUUUUUAAAAUUUAAUUUUAAGAAUCAGUUUUAUACUUAAUAUAAUCCACAUAUAUCCUCGUAAAUAUUAUAAAAAUUUAAAAUUAUUCUUAUUUAUUUAGGAUAUAAAAUUAUUAAAUUCAAACAUAUUAUUAUUAUUAUUAUUAUUGUUAUUAUUAUUAUUAUUAUUAUAAAUUCACACACGCACACACAUACUUAUAAAUUUAUAAAUAAACUUUAUUUAACAUUUUGUUCACUUAAAUCAUUUAUAUUCUUAUAGCAGUUUAACAUUAUGAUUUACCAAACACAGAUAAUUAUUUUUAAAAUCCAUAAUAUUUUUUAAAAUAAAUUUUAAUAAAUGUUUAACUUAUUAUUCUGACAACUGAUUUUUUUUGUAAGGUAUAACCAUUAAUAAUAAAUAUUUUAAAAGUUACAGUAUCCCCAAAUUGGCCCUUACUAAUACUCUGCGUUGCCAACUAAAUACUAAUUGUAACAUUAAACAUCUGGAAUAUUUUUCUCUAACGAAACAACACAAUUAAUUUCCCUCUAAAAAAGAAAAAGAAAAAGAAAAAAUAAACUACCAACCCCACCCCUUUAGACAGCAGAGUUUUAGCUGAGGCGGCUUGCUUGCAUAAGCAUUAAGGCUGCUCUUCACCAACCAUUGAACAUUCUUUCCAUUUGAUUGUUACACUUUACUUCGCCAUCUCAUGUCCAUGUACAUUGUUUUGAAAUGAAGACUUUGCGUACAACUAAUCUUUUUCAAUUCAUAAUAAAAACUCUUUUAAUUAGUUAAUAGCUAUAGCUUCCAAUUGAGACUAUAUAUAAAAAUCCAUAUUGACUGACCAAACCAAUAAUUUUUAAUUGGCUUGAGCAUUGUCUUACUUACUUCAAAAUCGUCACUCUCUUUGAAAAGAACAUGAGAGAGUUCACCUCCAUCUCAACCCUUAACCCUAUAUCUCAGUCAAGAGAUUAUUCAUGGAAAAUUCAGAAAAAAGAAAUGUUGCAAUAUUUACGAAACUCACGUCACGUGAGGUAAGAUAAAUUAUUCCUUUCUGCUUUAAUUCAUGUACAUAAUCAUGAGAAUAACUUUAAUUAUAGUUUAUUUCUCCGUUUUAAGAUUUUUCCUUUUUUUUUUUUAAUUAAUUAAUUAUAGUUCAUUCAUUAAUCCCAUAAGAAAUUAACACCUUUGCCGGUAAAGUCACACAUACAACAAUAUUUUAGAACAAAAGGGAAGAUCAUGCACGAUCAUGAUGUUUUAUUAUAUCUCUAGCAAUAUAAUUAUCUUAUAAUUAAUUAAAAACAAAACAGGUAAUUAAGCCAAAGUGGAUGGCAUGCAUCAAUCAUCAUGCAGAACACCUCCCCUUGUUUUAAAUAUAAAUAAAAGAAAUUUGUGCCCAGAAGACUUAAUUAAUACUUCUCGUUUCUGAAGUGCUCACAUGAUAUAUAGUCGGACGCAUUAUAUUUAAUUUCAUGAAUUAAUCGUACGGUUGUAUUUUGAGAGAGAGAGAGAGAGAGAGAGUGACUGAGUAAGAUAUGGCUUAAUUUAACCAAAUCUACGUAUAAAAUUUUAAAAUGAAUUUUUGAGUUUUAACUUAGGAAUUGUCUAUGAAUAAAAGUGUUAAUCAAAUAUUUCGUGUAAAAACAGUCAGCUGUAACAUUUUCGGUUGCUUUAACAAAACUGUAUAUUUCUGUAAUUUCCUAUAUGGGCCAAAAGGAACAUUUUUCUCAGAAAUUAAAAACUUAUGGUGAAAAAGAUAAGAAAACCAACAGGUUCAAAGGUGCGAGUAAACUGGGCUCUGGUGCGCCCAACUCCCUCUUUUGAUUUUGAGACUCUAUUGACCAUUGAGUUUGAGGCCCCAACGGCCCAGUUUAAAACUGUUAUGAAAAGAAAAAAAAUAUAACUAUAAAAUUAAAAUUAAUAAUGUUUGAUAAAUAUAAUUUUUAAAUAAUAAUUUGACAAAAAUAAUAUAGGGUCUUGUGUAUAUUUUUAUUUGGCAUUUCAAUUAAUCUGCUUAUAUAUAUAUAUAUAUAAGUUAAUCUAUAUUUCUUGCAAGAAGAUAGUAUUUCUUUAAUUAAAGUCAUAACUAAUAUAUAAAUUAUCAACUAACCAUCAAACAUUUAUCUCAUUUUAUCUCCACCACGAUCAUCACCAUUCAUCCUGUCACGAUCUUUAUGUAACUACAAUUAUUUUUUCUUUAAUAAUGUCAACCCACCAACCCCAUAACAAUAUCUCCAAACAUCUCAUCUCAAAAUUCCUAAUAACAUAAGUGUUUAUGUAUGAAAGAAAAUGUGAAAUAUAUAAUCAAAAAGUAGUUUAAUAAUAUAAUGUUUAAAAAUUAUGGUAAAAAUAAGUGAGAGUUUGGCAUGGCAAGUUAAUAAAAAGAUAAAAGCUCGGACACUUGAUGCAUCAAAGUAGCAAUGUCUGUCCAUCAUUAUCAUCAUGCGGGUUUAGGUGCUUCUCAUGAUAGCAUUAGCUGGUAAGACCAUCAUGCAUCGUACUUUCAUUGUUAUACAUUUUGAAGGUAAGAAUGGUUAUGUUACGUCCCUCCGAUUAGGUGUAUUUUUCUUCUUCUUCUUCUUCUUUUUCUUCUUCUUGUACGUAAUAAUUUCUCUUUCUUCCAUGAAGAUUUCUUUCUCUCUUUCUUUUUUUUUUUUUUAUUAUAAAUAAAAUGAUAAGAACUAAUUUCCUUACUAAUUGGUAGGGUCGUUUAAUGGUUCAGAUCCAUUAGAUUUUGUCAAAUUCAAGUCCAAUCCAUCAUAUAUUCCAUUUUAUAUUCCGGAUCCGAUCACUAAUAGAAAUCCAUUAUAAUUUAAAACAAUAAAACGUCGAAUCCAAUUUAAUUCGAUAUGAUCAAUCCAAUUAAAAUAAAAAUUUACAAAUAAAAAUCAUUAGUUGCUCUCUCCAGUUAUAAUUCUUAACAAUUAAAAAAAAUACAAAAUAUCAACUCCUUUAAUAUUUCAUGAUUCAUGUACUUUAUUAUCAUAUGGUUGGAAAAAAAAGUUGAAAUUUGAAUAUUAAAAGCAAAUGUUGGUUGCGACCUGCUGUUUGUAUUCUAUAUUGUUAUAGUAUAUUUAUAGUUAUUUUUUUAGCAAGUUAAAUAUAAAAGUGACAUAUAGUUUUUUUUUAUAAAAAAAAAUAAAUAAAGAAAAUAAAAAAUUAAUUGGUUGGAUUGGUUUAUAUUGGAUUUGAACAUAUAGAUCCAUAGACCAAUCUAAUAACAUUAUAUUUUUUAUUUUGCAAUCUUAUCCAAUCCAAUCAAAAUGUCAAUAUGACAAAAGUUGGAUUGGUUUUGAUCAGAUCGAUUGGUUUGAUUGGAUUGAAUUGAAUUAGAUCUUGAACAUCCUACCAAUUAGACUUUCCGUGAUUUUUUUUUUUCCAAAUUUAAUAAAGAGACUUCCCAUGAAUGUUAAAUGCAGUUUUAUUGAUGAAUUCUGCAAUUUUAAGAAAUGUUUGAUACACGAAUAAUGCAUCUCAUCAACCAAGUAACUGCGUCCCCUGCAGCAGCCGCGGCUUCAACUGGAAUACUGCAGCCACACCGGUCUUGAGACUCAACAUUCGGCCGAAACUCAAGCAAAAGUUGAACAAUAUCAGGCCUGCUUUGAGCUAUAGCAAUAUGAAGCAAUGUUUGUCCCUGCGCACCAGCAGAAUCAGCUGGGUGGGUUCCAAGCAGGGUCACUCUGUUCAAGAACCUCUCUUAUCUCAUCCAUUUCACCAUCCUUAACUAGCUGAACCACAACAUGGGACCCAACAAACAUGAUCUUGAUUCCUAUUGAUGAACGCUGGCUUCUUCCUUCUUGUGAACCAGUCACCAGGAACCGAAUCAAGCAUCAAUGUUGCAUCUUUAAUUGCAGCUGCAGGAACGACAACGCUAUGCAAGAGGAAGGAAUCAUCACAGUGAGGGAAAGUAUGAAGGAGAACUGAUCCUGGAGGAAGAUGAUACGCAAUCUCUAUGCUUACUGUUCCGAGUGGUUGCAUUGACCUGAAUAGUUCGAUCUAUUUCUCGUGUAUCUACUUGCGCUGCACUUUCACUCGAAGAACCUACAAAAUUAUUCAUAACCCGGCAUAAAAAAGACGUAAAGUUUUCAGCGCGAGCAUGGUAACUUCAAAACCCGUUUCAUACCUAUCAUAUUUCAUUCGUCCCGCACCCUCAUUUAAAAGACUAGAGCUUAUAAAAACUAGAAGUACCUUACCCAGAACAUAAAAGCAGACAAAACCCAGUCGAGUAUAAAUAUAACGUUGAAUAACACCUACCAUUUACCAUUUCAUUCAAGAACACCACACAAUUAACGAAACCAACAUCGGUAUGUUUUCAGCCGUUGUACUUUCAACUUAAUUUUGAAAGCGCGGCAGCUAAAGCCUAAACUGUUGUUUGAUAAAAGUCCACCCACUGACUGCUACCUGGCGGCUACCGAUUCCAUUCAAUAGCAGUCAUAAAAUAAAAAGUACAAAACAAACCUAUGUACAAAAAAGGCAAUGAAGCAGCCAUGGAUUCAGUUAUUUGCAUGUUUGGGAUUGUGGUUGAUUCCAAAUUGAGAAUAUACUGCGAAAUUAUGUUUGAUAAGCAUUUAUCUGAUGAUUGCUACUUUAUUGAGUGCCUGUUUGGUAUGGCUUAUUUAAAAGCCAUAAGUGCUUAUUUAAUCGUAUAAGCACUUUUUUAAAAUUUUUAUGGUGUUUGGUUAUUUUUUUAGUAGAGUUUUUUUAGCUUAAAUAAGCUAAUUUACCUCUACUAGCAAAAGCCCAAAAUUUGAGCUUUUGGGAGUAGAGGUUAAAGAGCUUAUCUAAAAAAUAUAUAAUAAAAAAAAUAUCAUACAGUUUAAUGAUUCAAAAGUGUUUUUUUUAUUGACAACCAAACACCCAAUGACUUUUUGUCCAAAAACUCUAUUGGUAUAAGCUCUACUGCUAUAAGCUCUAUUGUUAUAAGCUCUAUUUAAUAAGCUGUACCAAACGGAGCCUAAAGCAUUCAUUUUUUUUUUUCGCGUUUGGCCUCUUCACUUUUUAAAAAAUUUUAUGGUGUUUGGUUAUUUUUUUAGUAGAGUUUUUUUAGCUUAAAUAAGCUAAUUUACCUCUACUAGCAAAAGCCCAAAAUUUGAGCUUUUGGGAGUAGAGGUUAAAGAGCUUAUCUAAAAAAUAUAUAAUAAAAAAAAUAUCAUACAGUUUAAUGAUUCAAAAGUGUUUUUUUUAUUGACAACCAAACACCCAAUGACUUUUUGUCCAAAAACUCUAUUGGUAUAAGCUCUAUUGUUAUAAGCUCUAUUUAAUAAGCUGUACCAAACGGAGCCUGAGUCUUCAAAGAAAAACUCAAUCAACUAAUGCUCGAUUUUUUUUUUUAAAUGACAAAUCAAAAAGUAUUUUGGAGUAGAUUCUCAAAAGAGUGAUUAUUUGAUAAUCCACCAUAAUCCCACUUAGUUAUCAGAAAUAAAUUAAAAUCCGACGAAUGUUACUUAAGCCAAACAGCAUUAUUUUAUUUUGACCACAAGGACCACAACCCUCAAGCUGUCAAGCAACCGUUACCGUUAACGACCAAUCUUUCACCUCUCCGAAUCUUUGCAAGUCACUAUCAAGCAACCGUUACUAAUAUUUAAUCAAUUAUUAGGAUUAUUGGAUUUCUCAAAUACCUUAUGUACUUUGGUUCACUUUCUACUAAAAUAAAUAUUACAGGAGCUUUCAAAGUCUAGGCUAAGGUUGUUGUAAACAUAGAGAGAUUCAGAGAUAUAACAGCUUGUAAUUACAUACCACAAAGCAUAACUUUGUUCGAAUGAUAAUGAUCAUAAUCCAGAUUAUAGACGUAGAGAGAGGAGAAGUCGUACUUGAGGGGCAAAACGCGGCGUUUUGGCUCGUGGAUGAGGUGCUGCUCCUGAUCGUCGUAGAUUGAAGGGAGGAGAGGUCGGUCGAGGAAGUUUAGGAGACGGUGGAGGCUGAAUUGGUGAAUUUCGAUGAAGACUGACGAAUCCAAUGGGGCUUGAGGGUUUGAUUUGCAAAGAUGAAAGAUAAGAGCAUUGUUUUGGUUUCUGUGCAAAAAAAAAAAAAAAAAACAUGACAAGCGUUGUUUUGGUUUUGGUUCUAAAAAGAUGAAAAUUUGACUGCAAUGGAUCCAUACGCAGUCGGUGUCAAAUAAGAGGAGAAACAAAUAUGUUAAUCACUCGCUCAAUCACUCAUGCGAAGUGCCUUUUUUUUCGUUGCUUUGGCUUCUGAGAAAUAUAUGCAUCAGAUAUUACAACUCUCGAGGAUAAUGCAUUUUGUUCCGGUUUUGACUGAUAUUUAGUGGCAUUUGAUAAACUGAUACCUCAGAACCUGGUAGAGAGUUUAUUAAAUACAAAGAGAACAAAAAUAUAUGACUAUAUAAGCUUUUACACGGUUGAAGAUCCGGUCAAAUUGGCUUUAGUUAGCAAGAUCAUUUAAAACUUUCAAAAAACGAAUGGUAUCAAAAAGCUCUGAGAAAAAGCGGAAAAAAGGCACCACAAAGAUCUUGCAAUUAUUAUCACAGCUUGAUAAGACAUGGAAAUGUAUCUUACAAAUUGGCCUUCCAAGCAUCAAAGAAUUGGGUGGCGACAACUCCCAUUCCUAGCUGCUACCGUGGCCAGUCCCUUCUAACUAAAAUGGGACAGGACCAAAAGCAAGGUCUCUCCCACUCUCCUUAUGUAUAUAAAAUUCCCUACAUUCGAAUAAAACUACAGAAAAAGAUUUGCACAUCAUCUUCUUUCACCUUAUUUUGCAAUCUUCAAGAGUUUGGAAGAUUUCAAAGCACUUGUUAGAAUGUAGCACUCCAUUAAGCAUUCUCACCUUCCCCACACCCCAAUGGACCUCCUUAAUCCUAUCGGCAGACCUACAAAUUCUGCUGCAACUCCAAUCAAAUAAAGCAACACAAUUGUUGCCUGCCUAAGCCUUCCACUCACAGCCUGCAAUGACAAGUUCAUGAUACAAAAUCAGAAACAUUAAUAAACAAAAAGAUAUUACCAUUACUUGCAGAGGGGGAUUUGUUGCAAUUAGUAAAUGCCAUACUUAUCACUUUCAUUGCAGAUAUCAUCAUCAUCAUAAUACUAGCAAUCCAGCACUAAUAGUCAGAAUAAUAAUAAUAGUAGCAUGAAUAAAGAAUUUCUGCAGAGUAAGCUCUAAAGAUGCCGAAAGUGUCAUCUAUUAUGUUAAUAAUAAAAAAGUCUAUCAAGAAUUCAAGGAAAGAAAACUCAUUAACAAAGAACUAAACUUUUUAAUAAUGUUUAAUAAACUACGUACCUAUGAUUUUCUAUUAUUAACAUAAAUGACACUACGUACAACUGAUUUUCGCUUUCUAAUGUUUCAAAUCAUACCGAGAAAUAUAACAAUUACCAAGUCAGUAAGUAGCACAAUUACUUAAUAAGACUUUGACUUGUCUAACCCAAAAUUGUACCCAAUUCUAUACUCUACCAUGAAAAGCUUAUGAAGCCGAACUUACUUUGACCAAACAGUACUAUUAGCUCAGUUAAAGGAAACCACAAUUGAACAAAGUUCAGCUGAAAUAACUGAACUAAAAAAACUUGAUAAAAUUAAAAGUAACUUAUAACAGUUUAGUAAAGAAGCAUACAAAACAUGAAGAUAAAUAAACAUAGGUCUAUUUUCUUGACACUACCAGGUCCUUUCCUUUUUUUUUUUUCAGAUAAGAUCUCGAUACUACCAAGUUUUGGAUUCAAAAUCACCAUAUUACAAUAAUAGUUGUGAUUCAUGGGAUACAAUAUGUAGCAGCUUAUAUGUCGGCAAUUAUAGUCAAAGAUGGUUGUCAAACAUCAUCGCAAAUCAAGAAGCUAAUAAAGACCAUGUCACACUACAUUAACAUAUAUCAGUUCUUUGAUACAAAGAUAUUGAAUGUUAUACAUUUCUAAUCCCAAGUCCUGAAAUACAAAACAAAAGUUCACUUCACACAGUCAUAAAGCUAGACUGCUAGAUAAAUGGACAAUAGGCAUUGGAUAUGGGUCAAUAAACUAUUAAGCUAAUUAAUGCACACGAAGGAAUCCGUUAGAGCUAGUAAAAUAGCCCUUACCAGAGAACUCGCAGAAGCAUUCAAUUUCCUCAAAGGAGAUAACUUACAACAUAAACAUUUUGAUAAGCAGCAACACACAUAAAAUAGCUUCACUCACUAGCAACAGAGCAACUUCUUCAACACAUUAAUAAAUCCAUUUUCAUUUUUAAACAACAAAAUAAUGCCCAGUUUCUCCAGCACAAAUAGGGUAAGCAGUAAUAGAAAAACAUGAUACAUAGGAAUUACCGGCCUCAAGAAAUCUCCAAGCUUUCUGUCCUCUGCUUCAAUUGCUCAAUCAAGAAUGCCCCAGACGUUGCGCUAGCGUGGUGGUGGAGCGUCGCGAAGCGUGUGGCGGCGGUGUCGGCGAAGGCAGGUCAUGAAGAUAGUUGGUGUCGCGCAGCGAAGGCAGUGCAGCUGGUGUCAUGCGGCGAAGGCAAAUCGCGUGGUGGUGGAGUUGGGGUCGCGCGGCAGUGGCGGUGCGGUGCUGAGGCAUAAUAGUGGCGGUGGCGUUGUGCGACAGUGGCAGUGUGGAGGCAGAUUGCGUGGAGCUGGCGGUGUUGAGGCAGAUCGCGUGGAGGCAGAUGCCGCGGUGGUGGAGUUGCUGUCGCGAUCAACGCCUGUGAAAGGGAAUGAAAGUGAAGGAGAUACCUACAAAAGAAAGAACGAGUGAAAUUUUUUUUUUUGUUCAAGGGUUUCAAACCCACAUAAACCCGACUCUCACACGGGUUCAGUAAGUUUAUGCGGGUUUGACUGCAUUACAAAUUGGUAUGACCACAACAACAGUACAAUGAUUGGUAAUUACCAAACAUGCUAUUUAUGUUGGUAUUAAAUUAAUUUAAUACAAUGAGGAGUGGUAAUAUCAUACAAUGAGGACUGUUAAAUAUGGUGUGUUUAAUAUGUUGUAUUGUAUUAUAUUAUUUUAAUACAAAUAUAUUAUAUUAUCUUGUAUUAUAAUAUAAAAUAAUGAAAAAUAUCGAAUUUCAAUAUAUAAAAAAAAAAUAAAUAUAUUUUGUUAUAUUCGAUCUGCUGUACGGCCAAGGCGGAUGUACGGUACAGCAGAUAAGAAUUUAAAUACAUACACUUAUAAUACAACUUAGUUUUUCCACAUUGUCGAGGGAUCAAAACAACCCAUCAUUGGAGUCCAAUAAGUUAUGUGGCGACACAAAAAAGUAAUUCUAUAUUUUUUACGUCAUAAAUAUGUAAAAAAAAUUGUAUUAUAUCUUAUUAUUAUUAGUUUUUUUUCUUCAGUUUUGACAAGUAUAGUUUUCUUGUUGAGUGGCUCAACAAGGCUGGUUACAAUUUCGAAAUAAUGUUCCAUCUGUAUCUGUUUUCCUUUUGUUUUUGAUUUUGUAGUAUAGUUAAUUUGUACGAAUUUGUUGCCUGGUUGGUUUUUAUGCUGAAAAGUCAGUUCAUUGGAAAUGACAGAAAAUUGUUUUUCUUUUUCAUUUUUACAGAAAGAGAUUUGCAACGUUAUAAAAGUAAGAGAUCCUAAGAGAUCCCUGAAUCAUAUUAAAUAUUAAACUUAAGAUACAGUCAAGGCUUUUAUUAUGUUACUAAUCAUGUAACGAAUAUAAUUAUGUAGCAGUCGUUAAAUACAAAUUUAACAGUUAUAAAAAUAACAUGAUUUUAUUAUCUUAUAUUUCUAUAAUCGUUGAAUUUUUAUCUGCUGUACCGUACAUCCGCCUUGGCCGUACAGCAGUAUUGAAUUUUAAAAAUUUAAUAUUAUUUUUUUAAUAUAAAUAUUAAAAAAUAUCAUAAUUCUUCAUAGAAAUCGAAGUUCAUGGCAUUAAAUUUUUAACGCCGCAUACAUAAUAAAAAAUUUGAUUCUCUAGUGCCAAUAUAAUAGAAUACAUAAAAACGAGACUGAGAAACUACGAAUAAAGCUCAUCAUCAAGGACUCCACAACAUUAUAAGAAGUACUAUGUAACAUUUGCCAAAUUACAACACCACAUCAAGACAUAUCACAAUGUAAAAUUUUUCCUAGAGAUUUGGUAAUUGAAAAACACAAUUCAAGUUGAAAACUGAUAGUCGACUUGAAAAGUUUUAACAUAUCCCAUAAAAGAAAUGUGCCAUGCCAAAAAUCCUAACCCUUGGCUCUUUGACGAUAAGAAAAUAUUGAAAAUUCCAAAGUACAGUGCAAUGGGAGAAAGAAUGCCUAUAAAGCUAGUAAAGAUAUUCUUAAACUACUAUUGGGAUGUUGGGCUGGUUGGUAGCAAAACCCAAACCCUGCUGCUGAUUUCCGAUACCACCAUCUUGGAUAAGCCGCUCUCCCUCCUCUUCCUAACUCCUAAGCCCAAUAUCUUUCCAAAACCUUCACAACCCACUCAUAAAUCUCAUUGUUGUCGUGGAUAUGCAAAUUCUCAAUCUUUUCUACUCCAUCACACUCAUCAAUCAUUUGGGUAUAAACAUUAACCCAAUUAUCCAUUCCUAUUUCCUUGUUAACCUCACCCACCUUGAAAAUGUUCUCAAGACCCUAUAGACAAACUGUGACGAUCCUUUGGUCCAGACAAACCAGAAGAUCACAGAGCGGUUUGAUGCAACCUUGGCUCACCAGGAAUCUGCAGGACCAUGGUACCAUAAGUGAUUCUAUCACAUGAACAUCAUUAGAUUAAAAAAAGAAAAAAAAAAGAAACAUCUAUCGUAUGAACAUUGCUGAGUGAAUAAAAGAAACAUACUGAAUAUGUUCAUGAGAUCCUCCAUAUGUGGCAUUUAAGACAGGCCAUGCAGCCUCCUUGAUUUCAAGUUCUGCAUGUUGAAGAAGAGGUGCACAAAAGGAAGGAUAAGGAAGGAUGAUAUUGGCCUCCAUAACAGCCUGUUGAACAAAAAUUCGACAAAUUAUAAUUAUGAGUAUAUUUAAGUAGCAAUUUUGUCAGAAUUAACUAGACUUGACUAUUGAGGAAGUCACAUUCAAAAAUAGAAAAGACGAGCAAGCAAUUGUAUUCAUGCUAUCGGGACCAAAAUACUAUGAUGCAAGCAAGAAAGAAAAACAUACAUACAUAUAAAACACUAUCUUUGAGUUGGGUAUUUUCUUUCAAUUUUGAUAAUGGCAACUUUGGAUUCUUCUGCUGAAUUACCACCACCACCACACCAUUGUAGUUUCACAUACUAAGAAAAGGCAGGUUCAGCUCCCGUGCAUGCCCAUAAGAAUAUGAUGUAUUAAUUAGAAGUAAAAUUAAUCUGUUCAAUUAAGUUCUCUCAUAUAUUUGUGUGCGUGUGUGUGUUAAUUAGUUUGCUUUCAAAUCUUUUCUCCCUUCUUAAUGAUAUAUAUUUUAAGCAUGAUAUCAACCACGAUGAAUUUAUUAGCCGAUUUUUAAUUAUACAUUCAGCAUGAUAUCACAAACCAAGAGCUUAAGUUAGCCUAAUUCUUCAUAAAUCUAAUAAUUGCAAUCAAUAAUAAUGCUGAAAAUACGAGUUUGAAUUAAGCUAGCAACUGGUUCUUAAAUUAUGCAAUAUGUAAUCAUAGGUUUACUUAAAGAUUAAAGCAUUUCUGCAAUCCAUUGUGCAAAAAGAUUAAAAAAAAAAAAAAUAGUUGCCAAAUUUUAUCUAAAUAAAAAUUCCUUUAGUGGUUAGUACUUGUGAAUUAUAGAAAUUAUUAUUAGUACUUGCUCAGCGCUUUUUAGAUUUGUACAGGUAGAUUACGCCAUUUCAAACCCGACCAUCCAUUUAGACAUACAAAUCCCCCCAAUUCCCUGUCCUCCGCCUUUACGCGACUCUCCACUGUAUGUGCCAACUAAUUAAUUUUUUAAUUACUUGUUUAACUAAUUAAUUCAUUUUCUCAAAAGCAAGAUUAAUCUAUUUGUUCAAAUCUGAAGGAGAUUAAGUUAAUUGAUUUUAUUGUAUGUAAAAAUAUACAAAGAACUCAUGAAGCCAACUAGAAAAAAAAAAAAAGACAAAAAAAAAAUCAAACCCAGAAAUAAAAAGACAUGCUUCGACAGAAAAUUAAUGAAAAUUAUACUGAUUGUGGUUCAAUUUGAUCAAACCCAAAUAAUAACCGGUUUGAUUGAUGACUCAGCGGCAAAGUGCAGGCGCAUCAGUGGUUGCACAGAUGAGUGUUCUCGUGCGGCACGACAAAGCAAUUGUCGGCGAUUGUGAUUGGUGAUGACAUCGAGCGAUGGGGGUAAUGGCAUCGGUCGUGACUUUGUGAUGGAGAAACGAAUGUUAGAUUCGUUCGAAGAUUCGUGUUUUGAUUGAAUAACAAAGAGAGAUUUUAUGAGUUUUAAUUAUCUAAUACGAUACCGCAUAAACCCGACUCGUACGUGGGUUUAUUUUAUGCGGGUUUCGGUGUACUAAAGCAGUAAAUUUAUGUGGUGCAAUUCAAACUGAUUUCACCGCCAAAAGAUCGUGUAAAUUUAAUAUUAUACAGGGUUUUAAUACUAUGUAAUCCAAUACACCAAACAUGCCCUUAAAAACGGAUAGCAAUCCGGGGCCUUUAAAAACGGAAAAUACAAGCAGAGAAAAAGAAAAGCCAAUUGUUCAAAAGUGCCUAAUAUGCCCACGGAAAAUUUUCGUCACGACCCACAGUUACUCGAAUAGGUAAUAAGACAGGAAUGCCUUUGUUUGUUCGAAUAUAGAAGCACAAUGGCUCAGAAAGGAUCCCUCCAAUCUCCUUGGCACUGUCAGCUGGGUGCGGAGUAGCUUGGUGGCAGCAACCAUGUUUGAGAGGGCUGGCUUCACCUCAGUGUACUUGCGAGUCUUGAGACCACAGUCAGGGUUAACCCACAAAAUGUUGGUUUCUAGCACAGUACGCAUCUCGUAGAUUCUGUCAACAAUUUCUUCGGUUGAUGGUAUUCUUGGAGAGUGGAUGUCAUAGACGCCAGGGCCAAUUGCAGCAUCAUACUGGACUCCCUCACGGAAGACUGACAGGAGAUUCUCAUUAGAACGAGAGUUCUCAAUGGUGAUCACAUCAGCAUCCAUGUCGAUAAUUGAGUGGAUAAUGUCGUUGAAGUUGGAGUAGCACAUGUGGGUGUGGAUCUGUCAAUCAAUAAACAAUAGAAUGAGAUACAAAAUCAACAGCUAAAUUAAAGAGAUGAGAUUGGAGAUUAAAAGGGUAACUGACCUGGGUAGUGUCCUGGAUGCCACAGUUGGUGAUUCUGAAGGAGUGGACUGCCCAGUCCAAGUAGAAAGCAUGCUCAGAUUUCCUGAGAGGCAAUCCUUCCCUCAAGGCAGCCUCAUCAAUUUGAAUAACGUUAAUGCCUGCCUUCUCAAGAUCCUCGACUUCGUCCUUGAUGGCCAAAGCAAUCUGGUAGCAGGUUUCAUGUCUGCAAAAUUGGCAGCGAUUGAUGUUAAACAAUGUUUCCAUUCCAAAAGGUUAACCAAUAGUGAACCAGUUCUCAUUUAUAUACCUGGGCUGGUCAUUUCUGACAAAGGACCAGUUGAGAAUGGUGACAGGGCCAGUAAGCAUUCCCUUCAUUGGGCGAGCAGUCAUGCUCUGAGCCCAGGAGGACCAGAAGACGGUCAUAGCCUUGGGACGGCUCACAUCACCAUAGAUGAUGGGUGGCUUCACACAGCGAGAUCCAUAGGAUUGCACCCACCCAUUGGCAGUGAAGGCGAAACCUGAUAACUGCUCUCCAAAGUACUCAACCAUGUCGUUUCUCUACAAAAACAAAUGUCCGAAUUCAAUUUGAGAUCCAGCAUACUUCGUAUGCAAUUAGAAAUGCAGAAACAAAAAUGUAUAAAAUUUUAUGUAAUUCAAAACCAGGAGACAUUGCUUUGCUUCCAUUGGGCAUUGCGAGACUCACCUCAGGCUCUCCAUGGACAAGGACAUCAAUAUCAAGCUCUUCUUGGAGUUUGACAACCUUGUUGAUUUCCUCCUUGAUGGAAGCAACAUAUUCUUCCUCAGAAAUCCUAAAAAGGACAAAUAGUCACGGCACAGUUAAUACAGUAGUUGCAGUAAUUUCACACAUGGCAUUGAAUGAAGAAACACCUCAGAUUGACUCACUUCUUAGCCUUGUAUUCACGGCGGACUCUCCUAAGUUCAAUGGUUUGUGGGAAGGAUCCAAUUGUGGUGGUUGGGAGGAUUGGAAGAUUGAGCUUCUUCUGUUGAGCAUCUAAUCUAGCACUAACGUUUGUAGCACGUCUGUGGUCUGAUCCCCUCAAAGCAGCAGCCUAAUAGACCAAGAGGAAGGAAUCACUGUUAGCAAAAAAGGAAAUUCUAAGGGACAGCCACAUCAUAAAAAUGGAAAACAAAUCAAUCAUGCCACUUACAGCCUUUUGAACUGCCUCAUUGGUCACUCUCGGGGAGGACUUUCUUGAAGCCUGAGCUGCAGCAUUGGCAGAGAAGAAUCCCUGGAAACAAAUGAUAAGGAGAACCAAAGUUAGUCUCAUUCAUAUCAUUUUAAAAAGAAGAUACAUAUGCAAUUAGUGGGCUGAUUGUGAGAGAAAAAGUCCCCAAAACUUUAAUCAAACACCAAAUGCCCAAGUUGCCAAAUGAUGUUUAAUUCGGAAAAAUAUAUUUAAAAACAUUCAAAUAUAAUUUCCCCUUCUAAAUUUUCAUUUUCAACAACAUAUUUUACAAGCCAAGCUCAACGUCAGGCCAAGAUUUUGUGCUCCUAUAAUUAUAUUUUACCAUAAAACUAGGUCCUUGAAAGGCUAAGAUUUUCUGACUCUUGUGACUAGUCAAAGCCUAAGAUUCUUUCAAUUCAUCCGUAGUAAAAGUAUACCUCAUCCUUUUGGCCAGCCAAAGCCUUGGCCAAUGCAUUGACUUCAACAACUUUCUGGGCAGCAAAUGCCAGCCAUGACUUGAUUUCGUCGUCGAGUUUGUUCUCAUUAACAAGAUCAACAGCAGUGUGAAGAAGUGAGCAGGAGGUGGAGACCACAAGCUUGUCUGCAAAGAAAAGUAAUAAAUUAUACAACAAAUCCCAUAAUAGAAUAAGAAAUAUUUAUCACAAAGAAAAAUGCAAGCAAAGGAUGUAUACCUUUGCCAACAACACCCUCAAGCCCCCGGAGAACACUAAGAGAAGCAGCAAGAUCAUUGGCCCAAAUGUUCCUUCCAUCAACCACUCCAGCAAAGAGGUACUUGCCAGCAGGGAAUCCACUCUUGAUCAAUUCAAGGGUCUUGGUUCCACGAACCAAAUCAAAUCCAUAAGCGGUGACACCCUUCAAAGAAGUGAGGGUCUGGAAUGCCUCAGCUGGAACAUCAGCAAAGUAGGUCUCAACAAGAACAUUCAAGCCAGACAGAGUUGACUCUAGUUCCGCGUAAGCCUCACUGAAUGCUUGCAAUUUGUGUGAGUCAAGAUCCGUAACAAGCAAUGGCUCAUCAAACUGAAUCCAGGAAGCACCAGCAGCCUUAAGCUCAGAAACAACUUCCCUGCAGAAGUGUUAAUUGGUACGACACGGAUUAAUGAUGCCACACGAUACACACACACACACACACACACACACACACACACACACACACACACACACACACACACACACACACACACACACACACACACACACACACACACACACACACACACACACACACACACAGACAGAGUUAUUUAGCACAUACACGUUUAUAAAUCUGUAAAUAGGUGAUAAUUCUUACUUGUAGAUCGGAAGGAUUUUGGGAAGAAGAGAGAGAACAGAAAAGGUCUUCUCAACCCCCCAGGCAGGCUUAGACAGCAACAAGUAUGACACAGGGCCAAUAAGCACUGGGACAGUUUCAACUCCAUGCUGCAGCAUUAGACAAGUGGUAGAUAUUAGCAUCUCACAAACUUGAUCUGACUGAUAGAAAGUUACAAGCAAGUUAAGAAUAUGUUUGAUGAAAUUUCAAUGAAAAAUCUUCAGGGUCCACAACAUGUUGACUAUACCCUUUUUAAGUAAUUUAUCUUAAGACUAUUUUGCAAACAGUAUUGCUUCCCUUUACAGAUCAAAUAAAUCAUACAACAUCUGAACGCAUUUCCUGAGCCAAAUAUAAGUUCAAAGCUCUAUAAUAAAUGUCAAUGACUCUAUAGUAAAUUCCAUCACAUUCUGAGCUAUGGAUGAGCAUAUCAUAUGCCAAUUUCAAGUUGAACGUAACCCAAUUUCAACAUAUUGUAGAUUCAAGUAUCAAACGAAAAAAAAAAUAUUGUAAAUAUAGACAGAACUGAGAACAAACACUCACCCCCUUAGCCUCCUUGUACUCAGUCACAGCCUUGUGGGAAGCGUAGGAGAACUUAACAUCGGGUCCCAAUUCAGGAACAAUGAAAUGACUGCAUCAACACGAAGCCAAACACACGUCAGCAUUCAGUACAAAACCAUUACACCAUAACUAACUUGAAAUGCCGCUCUUCCAAGUAGUGAAUACUUACUAGUUGGUGUCGAACCACUUGGUCAUUUCCAUUGCGAGAACAGAGGCGUUUCCUCUGGCCAUGGAGAAGUAAACAUCGAAUCCAAUCUCGCCGCCGUUCCAGUUAAACCUCGGGGGCACGGCACCGAGCAUUGCGGUGGUGUCGAGCACUUGGUCGUAGUAGGAGAAAGUGUUGCUGGGAAUGUAUUUGAUCCCGGCCUCGGACAUCUGUUUCCAGAUGGAGGAUCUGAGAUCAGCGGACACCUUUUGCAAAUCCUCGGCGCUGCUCUUGCCAUCCCAGAAGGAUUCCAACGCGAACUUGAGCUCCCUCUUGGGGCCCAUGCGUGGGUAACCAACGAUGUGAGAUGCCAUUUUACUGUCAUAAUCACGUCAUCAAUGAAUCGAAAAUCAGUCCCUUCCAUUAAAUCAAGAAAUUAUUAAUUCAAAUGAAUGGAUCACAUUGUAUAUAUAUGGGAUAAAUAUAAUUAUGAACAAAAGCGUCUAAUCAAUCACAAAAAGCAAGCGACUGCAUCAAAUUUAGGGAUCCGACCCGACCCGACCCGAUCUGUAAAUUCCGGUUUCAAUCGGAUUAAGAUGAAACCUCUAACCCGAUAUAGUUGGAUUUUGGCCAACUCGAUCGGAUCAGAUCGGAUCGGAUUAAACUUAGUCCAAUCCGAAAAAUUCAAAAAAUCAAAACUACAAUAAGUAUAAAUCUAAAUUUUCAAUUCAAUUUGAUCUAAUCUGAAUAUAUUCGAAUCGGAUCAAAUACUAUGCUCUGCUUAAACUUGGAUUAUAUUUUUUUCAAUUUGAUUAACCUAAAAUUCGAUUGGAUAGAUCCAAAACUGAAUUUAUCUACCCCUCAGUCAUCAAUCAAUUACAAAACCUAAAAUCCGAUUGGAUAGAUCCGAAACUGAAUUUAUCCACCCUUAAGUCAUCAAUCAAUUACAAAGGCGACUGAUGUUUAUACAAUGGACAAUUAUUAAGUUACAGCUCUUGUAAUUUACAACUUAUACAAAAAUAUGUGAAAAAUUGUGAUAGGCAGUACAGUGUCAUGAUUUUAUACAAAAAUAUGUAAACAAUUGUGAUAGACGGUAGAACCUCAUGAUUUUAUAAAAAAUACGUAAAAAGUUGGGAUAAGUAAUGGAGCCCGCAUAAUUUUUUAUCAGCUGCAAGUUGCAAGUUACAGCAACUGUAACUUAGCGACCCCGACUUCAAUGUAAAAUGAGAAAGUACUCCUCCGCAUAGUACCUGAUGCUCAAAAGUCAAAUCACACGAAAUGCAAAUAGACUUAUCAGAGCAUAAAACCUUAUAUUACUUUUUGAAAAACGAUUUGAAACAAGGGCAAAAUUACAGUGUAACCGUACUUAGUCAUUGAAUUCAGCUCACAAUUAUCAUUAUAGUUAGAUCUAAUAACUAGAUCCAACUGUAUCCACAGUUAUAUUGUAGUUAGAUCUGAUAACUAAAUCCAGAUCCAGCUGUCCCCACAAUUGUCAUUAUAGUUAGAUCUAAUAAUUAGAUUCGGCUGAUUCAGCUGUGAUGUAGUACCCUGUAGUGCCAUAACUGGACAAAGAAACAAACUGAUAUAUUUUCUUUUUUGAAACAAACUGAUACUAAUCCAAGAGUUUCAGAUGAUCGGUUUUUUUUUUUUUUUCUAUAGUCACAUCAAUAAUUAAGUACUUUCAGUCAUUUUCGAAGGAUUAAAACGAAAACUCUAAAAAAAUUCUGAGAAUGAAGAAUCCGAAAAUAGAUUCAGAAAUAGUAACACAAGUAGAGGUCAGAUUGUUUUUUGGAAAAGAUUAAUUGCAGAUCUGAUGAACUCAAGUCUAGAUCUAGCAAAAUCACGGCAGCCAAACACUAGAUCUAAGACUAACAGUCACUCACCAGUCGAUCAGAAAGUGAAAUCAAGUUCAAAAUUCUUUUUUUUUAAUAGAUCCAAAAGCUAAUAUACAUAUAUAUAUGGCAAAAUAUAUAUACCGUACCCGAGAAGGACGAGCAGAGAAAUUAAGCUUUUUUCGAGAGAACGAGAAAGAAGAGAGACGAGACUGUUAGAAAUUGCUGUCAGUUUAAUUUUUAUUUAUAGCCAAAAACCUAACCUUGUUUAGUGGUUACUGGUUACCGUCUUCGGCGGUGUUGAUCUGAGAUUUAUCAUUUUAAUUUCUUUCUCUUACUUAUUUAUUUAAUUUGGGUCCAACUACGGUGAAACUGUAGUACCGUGCUACAGUUAUUUUCAACCGUUUGAUUCACUUGGAUGGUGGGAUCCAAUAAAAUCCAAUAACUGGGUGCAACCGUAGCACGGUGCCGCAGUUGCACCACAGUUUUUCCCAUUUAUUUAUUAUGCUUUCAGUGCAGUUGGCAAAAACAUGGAGCUUACGCGCGCUUUUCUGAUGUGGCGCGUGAAUUGGAAAUGUGGUAGAUCUUUGUGGAUCCGCCGGUGCAGUGAAGAGUGAAGGAAAAAAGAGAAAAGUUAUCAUGCCAGAUCAUUUGAAGAGAGCCGCAAUUAGUAAUUACACCACAAUAUAUUUCUGAUUAUUUGCUUACUUUGAUGAUGUUUUUACUGAUUAGUAAUUGGAAUAUGUUAGAAUCUAAAUAUAGUAGAAUCAUAAUAGAGUUGAAUCAAAAUAGACUAUAAUUAGAAUGGAUAAUGGGAAUUAGAAGAAUUAUUUGCUUUAGUUGUGAGAAUCCAAAUUGGAAUGAACUAUAUUGUCGUUGAUAUGUUUACUUUAUCAUAGAAUAUGAAUGAAUUAUUACAAGUUACUAAACAGACCUUAAGUUGAUUAUUGUCAUUAUUUAUUUAUUUAUUAUUAUUAUUAUUAUUAUCAUCAUCAUCAUCAUCAAAAUUAUUAAUCUUAUUAUUAAUGUUAAUUAUAAUAAUUAAUAAUUAUAAUAGUAUUAUAAUAAUAAUAAUAAUAAAAGCAAUCAUAAAAUGAGAAUUUCAAGAUUUAAGUAGAGAUAAUAUAAUUAUUUUAGAAAAUGAGAAUUUCCAUGAGAAUGUGAACUCUAUUAAUCAUUCCCAAUUUGAAGUGGGGCCUGCCAUUUUGAUUCAAUCUCUCAUUUAAGCAAGUAAAUACGACAUUUAUUCUCAUUCCCUCAUUCCCACUCUCAGGUAGCGUUUGUUUUUUAACUUAAUGACUUAAAGUGACUUAACUUAAUUAAUUAAGUUAAUUAGAGGUGUUUAUUUUUAUAACUUAAUGAGACUUUUUAGAUAAUUUUGACUUAAUAAAAUGAGCCAAUUUUUUUUGGCUUUUUACUUAAUGGAGAAAUUUGAAUUUAGUCAAUUACUUACUAAUGUCAAAAAUAUCUAUGUUUUAUAAUUUAUUUUUCAUGUCUAUCCCAAAACUCACCCAUAGACAUUUACCCCACAUAAAAAUAUCCCUAUUUUUUCUUUCUUAUAUUAUAUACGAUAAAAUUUGAAAUUUAUGGUAUUUUAUAUAUUAAAAUUCUAAAAUAAUUAUGUAUUCACUUGAAUAUAGUUUUACUUAUAACUGUUAAAAUAUUGUGGUAUUUAAUAUAUUAUUUAUUUGACAUUAAAAUUUAAUAAGGAUACAAAUGUAAAAGUACAUAUUUUCAGUUUUUUCAGUUAAAAAAAAAGCAACUUAAUACUUAUUUUUCGAGAUUCAGACGAAAAAAUAAACAUAUUAUUCAUAUUCAGACAUUUAGAUAUAUUCAGAAUUCAAACUAAUUCAGGUCUAUUCAGAUUUUAGACAAAAAAAACAAACGCCACCUCAAUCAAUAAACACACCAUAAAUGUAGAGUUGUUACUAUUAGAAUACAUUAUAAUUCAUCACAAUUAUGAUAGGUAUAUACGUGUGUAAUAAUUUAUAUAAGAUGCUAAAUUUUGAAAAUAAUAAAAAAUCAUUUAUACAUAUUUAAAAAAAUCAUUAAUACAUUAAAAUGUGCAUCACAUAUACAUUUACAUAAUAGCAAUGACCAUAGUAUAAAAAAAACUCCUAAAAGAGAACGACUUCGUUAUUUAUGUUAUUUUAUAUAUUUUUAAUUGAUUAUUAAAAGGAUCAAUUGUUAAUUAUUAUUCUCCAAACAUAAUCACCGUUAAACAUUUAUUCAAUUUAACAAUAGGUAGAUGUUAAAUAAUAUUGGAAUAUUUAAUGAACAAUAUAAUCACUAUUGCAGUUGUUUUUUUUUUUUAGUAAUGGAUUAUUCGAAACUCAAAUUCAUUUUUUAGCCCCCUUACCUCUCUUAAAAUUCAAAUUUAAGUGACUAAACAAAUAAAACUGCUUAAAAUCUAUACGACUACAUCUUUGGGGACCAAUUAAUAUGGAUGUUUAAAUCUUGAUUUAUUAUUAAAUCUUUGAGUUUCAACCACUAAUAACAUCAUCAUCGAUUAAUGACAAAUAAAAUAAUACAUCAUCAAAACCAUUAAACACGUCCAUCAAUAUCAAAAACAAGUAAAAAGUUUAGCAUGUAUUUCAAAUAUACUUUUCAUCCCAAAAGUUGUAGAGAAAGUCUCGAUAUCAAUGUCACUAUGAGACGUAAUUUUAUAUUUAAAGUCAGCGCAACUUAAAAAUUACUAUGAAUGAAUAAUACACCAUAAAAAAAUUAUUUAUAAGUAUUUUCAUCAUGUAUUUUUAUUUAACAAUGGUGACAUUUAUUUUUUAACUUAAUGACUUAAAGUGGCUUAACUUAAUUAAUUAAGUUAAUUUUAGGUGUUUGUUUUUAUAACUUAAUAGGACAUUUUAGAUAAUUUUGACUUAAUAAAAUAGGCCAAUUUUUUUUAACUUUUUACUUAAUAGAGAAAUUUGAAUUAAGUCAGUUACUUUCUAAUGUAAAAAAAUAUUCCUACUUUAUAAUUUAUUUUUCAUGCAUAUUCAAAAACUCACCCAUAGAUAUUUACCCCACAUAAUCUCAUCUUUAUUUUCUUCCAGCCGUCAUGGAAUCCCUCCUCACUUUGCUUCUCUCCUCUAGUUCUUGAAUCUCCCUUUAAUUUCUCGCUAGGCAAAGCACUUGAAUUGGGCUUUUUUUUUUUCCUUUUCAAUUACGUUUUCCAACAUUCACUUAUAUAAUAAUCAACUAGUUGCUACUCUUUUUAGUGAUAAAAUUUGAAAUAUGGUAUUUUAUAUAUUAAAUUUUCAAAAUUAUGUAUUCACUUAAAUGUAGUUUUACUUAUAAAUAUUAAAAUAUUAUGUUAUUUAAUAUAUUAUUUAUUUGACAUUCAAAUUUAAUAAGGAUAUAAAUGUAAAAGUACAUAUUUUUAAUUUUUUAAGUUGAAAAAAUAACUUAAUAUUUAUUUUCAGAUAUUCAAAUAAAAAAUAUAUUAUUUAAAUUCAAAAAUUUAAAUCUAUUCAAAAUUUAAAGUAAUUCAGGUCUAUGCAUAUUUCAAUCAUAAAAACAAAUGCCACAUGAGUCAUUCAAUUUCUAAUUAAGAGGAUAAAAAAUAGAUUUGGACUAUCCUAAGACAAAAACAAAAAAAAAAACAAAAAUAAGAUUUCCUAAUAAGUGUACUAACGUGGUCACGCGCCUUGAGAAACGCUUGGACCUAACACACUAUUUUAAUCCGAUAUGCAAAAAAAGAAAAAAAAAAAAAAGGAAAAAUUAUGAGAUGUAUAAGUUUCUAGAGACGUGUUAAAUUUUGAUGAAACAAUGAAGAAAGUCGGUGGCCGAAGUUGGUAUGGGGCAAUGCGAAUGGUGGUUGGCCCACGUUGCCCUGUAAUUGGAGUUGUUAUAAUUUUUCUUAUAAUUAAUAGGACUUGACACAGACUGCAGCAUCAGCCGUUGGAUGUGGAGGGAGAAACUAAACAAUAGAAAACCGUAUGGUGGGAUGACGGUAGAUGUUUGUUACAGAAACUGUACCAUAGACAGGUCCUAAUUAAUAAGCUCUACGUUUUGAAACAAUAAAUAAACUCCAGAUGACCAAAAUAUCAUUUCAUACUGCUACCUAGACAUCUUGGCGAGGGUGGGUAAUGUGGGGCCCGGAGCUUGUUUGAUCGUCAAUUAUUCUCUGGUUUGGUGAAACGAAUGGACGGACGAUGGUGAUGGCUUUUAGGAGAUUAGUAUUAUUAUUAUUAUUAUUAUUAUUACAUUGAGAUCGUAAAACAAAAAAUUCAAUUAAUAAUAUAAAAUAUUUAUUUAAUUUAUUAAUUAUUAUAUAUACACAAUAAAAAAAUUUAUAUACAUAUUUAUAAAUGUGUAAAUAAAUUUCAUUCAAUAUUAUAUCCAAUUAAUCAUUUAUAUUUUUCUGCUGUACCGUACAUCCGCCUUGGCCGUACAGCAGUAAAGCUGCUGAUGCUUUAUCGCGAAUUCAUGAGGAAAAUGUGAUUGAAGAACCCAAACCAACAACUCUUUGUUUGUCGUUAGACAUUUACCCCACAUAAAAAUAUCCCUAUUUUUUCUUUCUUAUAUUAUAUACGAUAAAAUUUGAAAUUUAUGGUAUUUUAUAUAUUAAAAUUCUAAAAUAAUUAUGUAUUCACUUGAAUAUAGUUUUACUUAUAACUGUUAAAAUAUUGUGGUAUUUAAUAUAUUAUUUAUUUGACAUUAAAAUUUAAUAAGGAUACAAAUGUAAAAGUACAUAUUUUCAGUUUUUUCAGUUAAAAAAAAAGCAACUUAAUACUUAUUUUUCGAGAUUCAGACGAAAAAAUAAACAUAUUAUUCAUAUUCAGACAUUUAGAUAUAUUCAGAAUUCAAACUAAUUCAGGUCUAUUCAGAUUUUAGACAAAAAAAACAAACGCCACCUCAAUCAAUAAACACACCAUAAAUGUAGAGUUGUUACUAUUAGAAUACAUUAUAAUUCAUCACAAUUAUGAUAGGUAUAUACGUGUGUAAUAAUUUAUAUAAGAUGCUAAAUUUUGAAAAUAAUAAAAAAUCAUUUAUACAUAUUUAAAAAAAUCAUUAAUACAUUAAAAUGUGCAUCACAUAUACAUUUACAUAAUAGCAAUGACCAUAGUAUAAAAAAAACUCCUAAAAGAGAACGACUUCGUUAUUUAUGUUAUUUUAUAUAUUUUUAAUUGAUUAUUAAAAGGAUCAAUUGUUAAUUAUUAUUCUCCAAACAUAAUCACCGUUAAACAUUUAUUCAAUUUAACAAUAGGUAGAUGUUAAAUAAUAUUGGAAUAUUUAAUGAACAAUAUAAUCACUAUUGCAGUUGUUUUUUUUUUUUAGUAAUGGAUUAUUCGAAACUCAAAUUCAUUUUUUAGCCCCCUUACCUCUCUUAAAAUUCAAAUUUAAGUGACUAAACAAAUAAAACUGCUUAAAAUCUAUACGACUACAUCUUUGGGGACCAAUUAAUAUGGAUGUUUAAAUCUUGAUUUAUUAUUAAAUCUUUGAGUUUCAACCACUAAUAACAUCAUCAUCGAUUAAUGACAAAUAAAAUAAUACAUCAUCAAAACCAUUAAACACGUCCAUCAAUAUCAAAAACAAGUAAAAAGUUUAGCAUGUAUUUCAAAUAUACUUUUCAUCCCAAAAGUUGUAGAGAAAGUCUCGAUAUCAAUGUCACUAUGAGACGUAAUUUUAUAUUUAAAGUCAGCGCAACUUAAAAAUUACUAUGAAUGAAUAAUACACCAUAAAAAAAUUAUUUAUAAGUAUUUUCAUCAUGUAUUUUUAUUUAACAAUGGUGACAUUUAUUUUUUAACUUAAUGACUUAAAGUGGCUUAACUUAAUUAAUUAAGUUAAUUUUAGGUGUUUGUUUUUAUAACUUAAUAGGACAUUUUAGAUAAUUUUGACUUAAUAAAAUAGGCCAAUUUUUUUUAACUUUUUACUUAAUAGAGAAAUUUGAAUUAAGUCAGUUACUUUCUAAUGUAAAAAAAUAUUCCUACUUUAUAAUUUAUUUUUCAUGCAUAUUCAAAAACUCACCCAUAGAUAUUUACCCCACAUAAUCUCAUCUUUAUUUUCUUCCAGCCGUCAUGGAAUCCCUCCUCACUUUGCUUCUCUCCUCUAGUUCUUGAAUCUCCCUUUAAUUUCUCGCUAGGCAAAGCACUUGAAUUGGGCUUUUUUUUUUUUCCUUUUCAAUUACGUUUUCCAACAUUCACUUAUAUAAUAAUCAACUAGUUGCUACUCUUUUUAGUGAUAAAAUUUGAAAUAUGGUAUUUUAUAUAUUAAAUUUUCAAAAUUAUGUAUUCACUUAAAUGUAGUUUUACUUAUAAAUAUUAAAAUAUUAUGUUAUUUAAUAUAUUAUUUAUUUGACAUUCAAAUUUAAUAAGGAUAUAAAUGUAAAAGUACAUAUUUUUAAUUUUUUAAGUUGAAAAAAUAACUUAAUAUUUAUUUUCAGAUAUUCAAAUAAAAAAUAUAUUAUUUAAAUUCAAAAAUUUAAAUCUAUUCAAAAUUUAAAGUAAUUCAGGUCUAUGCAUAUUUCAAUCAUAAAAACAAAUGCCACAUGAGUCAUUCAAUUUCUAAUUAAGAGGAUAAAAAAUAGAUUUGGACUAUCCUAAGACAAAAACAAAAAAAAAAACAAAAAUAAGAUUUCCUAAUAAGUGUACUAACGUGGUCACGCGCCUUGAGAAACGCUUGGACCUAACACACUAUUUUAAUCCGAUAUGCAAAAAAAGAAAAAAAAAAAAAAGGAAAAAUUAUGAGAUGUAUAAGUUUCUAGAGACGUGUUAAAUUUUGAUGAAACAAUGAAGAAAGUCGGUGGCCGAAGUUGGUAUGGGGCAAUGCGAAUGGUGGUUGGCCCACGUUGCCCUGUAAUUGGAGUUGUUAUAAUUUUUCUUAUAAUUAAUAGGACUUGACACAGACUGCAGCAUCAGCCGUUGGAUGUGGAGGGAGAAACUAAACAAUAGAAAACCGUAUGGUGGGAUGACGGUAGAUGUUUGUUACAGAAACUGUACCAUAGACAGGUCCUAAUUAAUAAGCUCUACGUUUUGAAACAAUAAAUAAACUCCAGAUGACCAAAAUAUCAUUUCAUACUGCUACCUAGACAUCUUGGCGAGGGUGGGUAAUGUGGGGCCCGGAGCUUGUUUGAUCGUCAAUUAUUCUCUGGUUUGGUGAAACGAAUGGACGGACGAUGGUGAUGGCUUUUAGGAGAUUAGUAUUAUUAUUAUUAUUAUUAUUAUUACAUUGAGAUCGUAAAACAAAAAAUUCAAUUAAUAAUAUAAAAUAUUUAUUUAAUUUAUUAAUUAUUAUAUAUACACAAUAAAAAAAUUUAUAUACAUAUUUAUAAAUGUGUAAAUAAAUUUCAUUCAAUAUUAUAUCCAAUUAAUCAUUUAUAUUUUUACAGCGGUUUAAUAAUAAUAUUUACUAAAUACAUAUGAUUAUUUUUAAAAUUCACAGUAUUUUUAAAAAUAAAUUUUAUAAAAUUUUUAACUAAUUUUCUUUACAACUAACUAUUGAACGGUUUAACUAAUAGUAAUUAUUUUUAAAAUUAUAGUAUUAUCAAAUUAGUCCUAUGUCAAAUUUGUUAUUGCUGUUUUUUUUUUAAUUAAAAAAUUACAUAGUGCAUACGUGCAUAAUAUGCCCAACUCAAAAAUUCACACAAAAUAUACUAUUUAACUUUAAGGCUUUAAUUGAAAAAAAAAAUUAAGAUUAAGAUGAAUAAAUACUAGAACAUAACAAAUAGAUAAACUCUCCCAUUCUUUAAAAAGAUUAAUUUUAUUUUAAACUUACACUUCGAAUUCAAAGUAGACAUUGAUUGAUAAAAUUAUACAAACGGAUCAAUAUUCCUACAUUUUCUUUUUAAUUUCAAAACCAACAGAUAUUGUUUGUUCAUUAUAUGACCUCCAAACAAAUAAUUUCAUUAAUAAAAUAAUAAUGAAAAGUGUCGUGAUGGGUAUAGAGUAAUUAGGUGGCUAAGUUUCUACUUUUCAUUCUAACUCUUGAGGUUGGUAGGCGCGUGGGUGGUCCACAAAACCCGUGGACGGUAGCAUUCAAACAAAGACUGGAGGCACCAGAAAAAUGUCCAAAAAGUGUGAAACCGUGACGUGUUCAACAUGUUAAUAAAUUUAGGCAAAUGUUAAAGUUACGGAGCUGGCUACGUUACAGAAACUGUACGUAACAGCCAUGCAUUUUUUAUUCGUUGGAUCUAGAGACUGAAAUUGGAUGGUUGGGAUUAAAGGCCAGAAUAGAAAUUAAUCACGGGCAACCGUUUUUAACAUUUAGAAGGGUUUAUUUUCAUGCACACCCAAAUAUUUUGACAAAUAUCAAUAUGCACCCAGUAACUUUUUAUGUAAAACCACAUAACCGACCCGUUAACUUUUCUACUAUUGAAUUAAAAAACUAUCAUGCCUCAAUUGAAUUAAAUUGAUCAGGUAAAAUAUCUUUUAUAACUUGUCAAUUUUUACAGUGAAAUAUACGAGUAUUUAGUAAAAUCAAAUUUAUUUUUUAUUCAGUAAUCAAAUUUUUUUAUUUAGUGAAAUCAAAAUUAUUUUUCUUUAGUUGUAAGAUUUUUUUAACAAAAAAAUUCUAAAAUCAGAUUUAACUCAUUUACUAUUUUAAAAAAUGAACUUUUUACUAACCAAACUAGAGUUUAUCUUUAGUCAACAUAUUUUUUUCUCUAAAAUAACCUUUGAUAGAAUUACUUAUAUAAACAUGUCAGUAUCAAAAUUACUUCAUAUUUUACCAUCCAUCAAUUUAAACUAGUGUGAAAUUUUUUUAGUUUGAUAUUGAAAAUAUGAUAGUUGAUGAGAGAAAUCUAAUUCAAAUUUACAGAUAGAAUAGUUUCUUAUAAUUGCGUACAUGGUAUAUCAAAAAUAUUUUUUUGUGAGUUUUUAAAAAAAUUGUGUCACAAGAUGAAAUUAUCUCUUGAUUUUUCAAUUCCUGGAAUUUAUGUAAAACAAUAAACACAAGUAAAUCUUUUGGUUUGUGACUUCUUGAAGGAAUGUUUGGGAACGCACAAGUUCCUCUCUCCUUCAAAAAGAAUGAUAAGUGCAAAUACCAACCUAGAAAAUUGAUUUAUAAUUCAAAGAAGAUUUGAUUGAAGAUGAUUAAUUGAAAUUUAUCUUUGCAUGAUGUCAAACAUUUUUCAAAAUGACUAAGUCAAGUCUCUUUGUUAAUUCAAAUCAAGAAAAAUUAGAAAAAUAUUAAUGCAUAGAAAUUCUACUAAGAGUUAUUUAUGAAAUUCUCAAACGAAUAGAAAUUAAAUUAACAUUUUUAAAUUUUAGUUAUGGGUUUAUUUUAAAAAUGGGUUUAGAAAGAAAUUUGAGGGGUUUAAAGAACCCCGCCCUUUCUUUAAUUAUUCGGUGAAUUUGAAAUAUAUUAAUAAGGUAUAAGAAUAUGUUAUUCUAAUCUUCUUAUGCAAAAUCUAUGCAAUUAAAAAAAAAUUCACCAAACGGUAUUUGUCUUUUUAUUGACAUUUAAUAAUAUUGAUGGCAAAUAUAUACAAUUAUCAAUCAAUUGUUAUCAACUAUUCAAGAUAACUGAAAAACUAAUUGCGUGAAGUUGGAGUAAUGAUUGUUUGAAUUGCCAAGAGUUUUUUUUUAAUAGAAACUAUUGCAAUUCAUAUCAUUAAAAAACUUAAAGACUACAAGUCGAAUAAAAAAUCUUUCCUUAUAAAAGAAUUUGACCAACUCAAAGUACAGUGUUAAAUCCUUGAGAUACAAUGAACCUAAAAAUCCUACUUUGACACACCACAAAUAAUGAAUCUAACUUAACAAUCAAUGGAGAUAAAUCAAUUUUACUAGCAAAAUAUAAGCCAAAACACAAGGCAACGUCUUCACCAAAAUCAAUAUCAUUCAAAUAAUUCCCCUUGUGAACGCCUGAAGCUAUCAUAAAAACAACAAAAAAUAAAAAAAUAAAAACAAGUAGACAAGCAAAAAAAUUCCCCAAUAACAAGUUACCCUACAAAACUUUUCCUUGUAGAACAUACACAGAAACCGCAGCUAUAGGGCUAUCGAAAGUAGGGAUGGCAAUGGGGAGGGGAGGGGAGGGGACCAAUCUCCCCAUACCCAUCCCCGAUAUUUUGCGUAUGUCCCCGUCCCCGUCAGAAUUGCUUGAGAGAAUCUCCAUCCCCUCCCCGAAUAAUAACAGGGGAUCCCCGAGGGUCCCCGGUCUUUGGAAAAGCUAGGAAAGAAAAGGGACGUGAAAAACAAAGGGGGUAGAUUUUUUGAAGGGGAAAGAAAAAGAAACCCUAGAUCUAAAUUUUUCUCUUCUCUCUAUGAAGAACUAAACCUAUUAUUCUGGUUGAAGAUUAAUAAAGCUUUGGUUCAUCAUUACUGUGAGAUCUUUCUUAUGCUUUAAUUGUUUUAUUGCUUUUUGGGUAUUUGUUUAUUCUCUAAAUUAUUGUCAUGAUUAUAUUUGUUAAUUAGAUAAUUGGCCACUAUUUAAUUAUCAACUUAAUCUAUUGUCAAUUAAAAGAUUCAUCGUAUGAAGAUUUUAAUAUUUGUGACAAAUAGCAUAGCAGUGCGUUGUGUUAUGAGAAUAAACAAUCUAAUUUAAAUGAACCAUCGUAUGCGUUUGUUGAUUAGGAUUUGGGUCUCUCUGAUUUUUCAGGUUGUCAAUUAAUUAAAUCCUAUGAUUGUAUCUAGGGUUAUCUAUUAAUUAGGGAAAUAACCAAUGGUCGUACCUUAGUUAUCGACUAGUUAAAGAGAGAUUGGCUAUUAAAGGGUCUCAGUAGCUAGGGAUGGCAAAAAUCCCCACGGGGACGGGCACCCUCGGGGAUUUUCCCCAUUCGGGGAGGGUACGGGGAUAAUUUUAUACCCAAUUUUUUUUUCGGGGAGGGGACGGGGAAAAUUUUUUACCCAAUUUUUUAUUCGGGGAGGGGACGGGGAUGAGGUGGAAUCCCCAUCCCCUACCCAUUUCCCCAUUUUAAUUUUUAUUUUUUAUUUUUAAAAUUACUAAUAAAUAUAUAACAAAAUUAUAAAUAUUGGCAAGAUAUGAGUGGAAUUUUGGGUGUGACAUGUAUAUUUGAUCCAAGGUAUAAAAAGAAGUUCAUUGAAUAAUACUUUUCUUUUUAUUUUUAAAAUUACUAAUAAAUAAAUAACAAAAUUAUAAAUAUUGUUAAAAAUAAUAAAUAUCAAAAUAGUUGUAUGUUGGGAAAGUGGUCACCCCUUACCAGGAAUUAGUGGAAGAGUAUCAAUUGAAGUUUUCACCAAUUGUUUAUUGCUUUGAUUAUACUGGUUGUAGUUCUUCUAUUAGAUCUACAGGGGAUUCUUAUAAGAAAGCAACCAAAUGGAUGACAUGUUUUGAUGAUUAUGUAAACAAUGGAGAUUGUGCAGUUGUUGCAGAUGAAUUAGAUUCAUAUUUGGAUGAAAAAGUUAUACCCCGGAUGGAAGAUUUUAAUAUUUUGAGUUGGUGGAAGACAAAUGCUAAUAGGUAUCCUACAUUAGCUCGAAUUGCUACAGGACGAGCAGGAGGUAAAUAGUUUUAUUAAAAAUAUUAAUUAAGUAUCUACAUUUAUUUCAUUUAUUUUAUUGCCGAUGUAAAAAAUAUUUUUUUUUUCUUUUUAUUGUAGGAUUAUGAAGAUUGAGACAUUGAUAAAGAUAAUUAUUUUAAUAAUUUAUAUUUUGAAUGUGACUUUGUAAUGGAUCAAUAUUAAUGUAAGAUAUAUUUUAAACUUUAUUUUUAUCUGAAUUUUUUAUUUUAAUAUGAUUAAUUUAAAAUCAAAAAUAAAAAAAUGUAUUAGACUAUUAAUUAUUCGGAGACCGGGGACCCUCGGGGAUCCCCUGUUAUUAUUCGGGGAGGGGAUGGGGAUUCUCUCAAGCAAUUCUAACGGGGACGGGGAGGGGACGGGGACAUACGCAAAAUAUCGGGGAUGGGUAUGGGGAGAUUAGUCCCCUCCCCUCUCCUCCCCAUUGCCAUCCCUAGAUUUUUGCCAUCCCUAUCGAAACCUCUACCCACCACUAUUAGAGUUAAAAAAAUCUCUGAUAUGAGUGUAUUCUUCUAAUUUGAACUCUAACGUGAUUUUUUGAGAGAUUCAUUGGAAAAAAACCUUAAGGAGUUAAAGAAGAAAUUUAAAAAAAAAAUCAUAAAAAGAGGAAUGAAAAGAAAAAGAUGCUUUACCAAGAGUUGAUUGACAGUAAUUGGUAAAUUUGAGCAUGCAAUAAAAUUUACCCAUAUAUUCAUAUGACAUAAAAUAUAAUUUUAUUCAUUAAUUACACUACUAAUUUGUCUAAAUUUUAGUUUUUAAAAAAAUAAAUUUCUAUAUAUUUACAUAAAUCUUAGUUUUUAUAAAAAUAAAUUGAAAAAUAAAUUUAUGUUUUUAUAAAAAUAAAUUUAUGUUUAUUUUUUUACAUUGACCUGAAGAAAAGACUAGUACUACUAAGCUGCUGUACGGCCAAGGCGGAUGUACGGUACAGCAGCAAUUUGACUGUUUGGGGGUGGGGUUGAUGGCUUACAUCAAAGUUAGUGUGUGCUAAGGAUUAACAAUAAUAAUGGGGUAAAUAUGAAAUUAAUCCUUGCCCAAGCAUUAGAAGUUCGUCGGUUUUCUUUUAACCGGAUAAUUACCGGUGAAUAUGUCACGCGUUCCUACACGUGGCAGCAUCUAAUUUAUUCGCUUGUCAUUUCAGUUUCUGUUAGUUACAGUUUCUGUAACGUAGCUAGCUCCGUCAGGUACAGGCAUGUUGUAACUUACGUUUCUCGUAAAAAUCAUAUAAGUUCUAUUUCUACCGCUAGGGUGAGCAUGGGUUGAUUUGGAUUAAAUUUUAAGUUAAUUUAAAUUAAAUUAUAAAAAUUUGGGUGUAAUCUAAAUUAAUUUAAAUAUUUUUAACAUAACUCAUGGGUUGGUUAAAUCAAACUAUAAAAAUUUGGUCCAACUCAAAUUAACUCAAAUAUUUUCAACACAACCCAAAGCAACUCAGUUGGAUUUUAUUAAAAUUAUAAUAAUUAUUAAUUGUUUUUAAACCAACCAUUUUGAGUUUGGUUUGGAUUUUAUUAUCAAAAUAUAUUUUUUAUUUUGAGAAAUUUAAUUUUAUCAAAAUUAUAAUAAUUAUUAAUUGUUAUUACUUAUUAAAUUGAUAAUAACAUAUAAAAAUUAUAAUUCAUAAAAAUUAUAAAUAACAAAUUUUACAAUAACUUAAUCCUUAAAUUAAAGAAUACUAGAAAAUUAAAAUAAAGUUUAAUCACAAAAAUCAUUAUUUAUCAAUAAAUAAGAAAAUUCUAAUAAAAAACUUCUACAAGCACGAUAUCGACAAGUAAAUUCAAAGAAAGAAAGAAAGAAAGAAAAGACUAGUACUACUAAGUAUUAACCCUAUUACAACACAAACUCUAACAAUGUCCAUACAAAUAAAAAAAAAUAAGACAUUCUAACUCAAGUGUCAAAGCAAUCCAUCAUAAUCAUUUCCAUCCGUAGUACUUUAAUCGAGAGAUUCCACGAUUAACUGACAAAAUGUAUGACAAUGAUAAUUUACAUUGAUUAUGACAUAAUAGAGAUGGAUUUGUCAAAGCCAAAUCAUUUGCUGGAAAGGAAUUUAGUUGAAGUAGGAACCAAAAUUCAACUUAGAUGGAUCUAUAAAAUUGGUCAUUCAAUACAUAAGUACUUUAUCAACAGAUUCAACACAUUAUAAAUUUAUGGAUUCAACUAAGUUACAACCAGCUGCAACUUAUUCCUCUCACAUAAACAAUAAUACAGCGGUAGGCUAUAUUAUUUACAAAAAGUACUUAUGUAUUGAAUGACCAAUUUUAUUACCUGCAAAAUUAAUUAAUCUUUCACUCUAUCAUCUAACUAAUGGAAGGCAAUCUUAUUUUAGGUUGUAAUGAUUAGAAACUAGCAGGAAGUGGGGGCGAUGCUCCAUAUUAAUUUGGAUAAAUCCCUUUCUAGUGAAGAAGUUAAAAUUAUAAAAUAGAGAUCAAGAUAGAAAUUUAAAGGCCCCGAUUGUUUUUUACAGACUUAAAAAUGAUAUUGAAAAAUUAAAAGCUAAUUUUAGUAUUUAAAAAUUACUUUAAGAAAAAUCACCCUAUCUUCCUGUAAAUUUUGAAAAGCAUGAAAAGAGCAGUUUUUCAAAAAUUGAUUUCGAAAAUUAGUUUCAUACUUAAUACAAUUCCAUAUAUCCUAACAUUUAUUAUAAAAAUUCAAAUUAUCCUUAUUAAAUUAGGAAAUAAAGUCAGUACAUUUAAAUAAGAGUGAUGAUAUAGACACAAACUCUUGUACCAACUGACGUAGCAUUAAUUUAUUAGUUGAAUGAAAAUAUAAAAUAAUAUAAAUAAAUCAUGUGGGCCAAGAAAUAUUUAAUUUAACCAAUUUUAUCAUGUCACAUUAUAAGCAACUUAUAAACUCAUUGGAUUCGACUCUUUACUAAAAUAAAAAUAAAUUAAUAUAUAUAUAUAUAUAUAUAUAUAUUUACAUACAUAAAAUGUGAUUAUAUACACAUAUUUAUAAUUGAAUAUGUACAUAAAUUCUGUAGAUUUAUGUCUAUCUAUACAUUUGCAUUCUUACCACAUUUUAAAAGUGUGAUUUACCAAAUACAUGGGACUUAUUUGAAAUUUAUAGCACUUUUAUAAAUAAAAUUUAUCAAACGUUAAACAGAUUCUCUAUUUUCGCGUAUAUAUCCUCAUGUAAAUUAUAAAAAUUCAAAAUUAUCUUUAUUCAAUUAGGAAAUUAAAUCAUUAUUUUUAAAGAGAUUCUUAUUAUUACUAAUUAGAUUCAAAUAACCAAAAAAAUACAAUCAAUAAAAUAAAAAUAUUUAUUUUAGUUAUCAUUUAUUAUAUACACAUAUUUAUAAAUGCAUGUGUAAAUAAAAUUUUAUAGAUUUAUGUCUAUUUAAGUUAUUUGCAUUCUUACAACAUUUAAAAAAUGAGAUUUACUAAACACAUGUGAUUGUUUUUAAAAAAGUUACAACACUUUUAAAAAUAAAAUUUAACAAAUGUUUAAUUGACUCUCUCCAAAGGUAAUUGUUUUUACAGUAUAGCUAAAGUAAUUUAUAAAUUUAUGAUAAGUAUUUGUGAAUAUUGGUCUAUGUAAAGAAGUAAAAACAACAUAUAUAUUAAGCAGCAUGAUAUUAAAACUCUUAGUAAAAUACAUAUACUAAUAAAAGAAAGACAACAAUGCAAUAAAUAAGCUUAUAAUAUAAAUUAUUAAAAUUGUAUAUUAAAAAAUUAUGCAUGAAAUUCUUUUUCUAUUUUGGUGAUAGAGAAUGCGAUAUAAUUGAAUUAUUUGAUUUAAUAAAAAAAAAAUAUGACUGUGAAGGAAAUUAACAAUUGAAUUGUGGAAUGUUAUUAAUUGUUAUUGUAUCAUUUUGCAACGUUCUAAUAAUAUGGACAAUGUUACAGUAUAUUGAUGGGCGGUAAUAUUUUCACCUCUUAAAUUGUGUAAAGUCAGCUCCAUUUAAAAAAAUUAUAUAUAAAAAGCCCAUUAGUUUUAAUAGUUUCAAAUUAAGAUUAAAUGCAAAUAAUUAACCAAUUAAAUCCUUAUUAAUAAGAUCAUUGAGCUUUAAUUAAACUAAUAAAAUGCAUUUGAUAAAUGAAAUUUACGAUAUUUAAUUACAUGAAAUUUAUUGACUACAUGAAUAAUAUAAUUGUUCAGCUGUUUAAACUUUUUCCCUAUUUAAAUUUUAAAAAACAAUGUGAAAUUUUGUAAAUAGUUCUUUGAAAUGGGGUGGAUUUACACCAUUUGUGCAGUGCAAAUAUCCUAAUUCUAACAUUUUUUUUAAAAAAAAAGACCAAAUCAUAACAUUUUUUGUAUACUAAGUUAAAGUAGUACUAACAUUAUAGCCCCCUAAUGAUUUCAAUUCAUUCAAUGAAUAUAUAAUUUAAGCAUGUUAUAAACUAAGUCUCUAAAUCGAAUUAAAAAAAGAAAAAAGAGCUUAAUUGCUGACAUAGUUGAAAAUAAAAUAAAAAAUUUUAUUAUUAGAUGAAAAAUUAUGAAACUUAAGGGGUAUAAGCGAGUCGGCAGCUGCUCACCAGGGCAUAUGUAAUAUUUGUUAAUACAUUUCAAAAUUUUAGGUUUUUUAAUAAUAUUUUCAAUACAUUUUCUAGAAGGUUUAGAAAAAAAAAAUGACUCAAUACUUUAAUCGAGCUAUGAAUAAACUCAUGUGUUAAAAAAUUUCAUAUUUACACCCAAUAAGAUUAAUUAAUGGGUGAUACAAAUUUAAGAUAGUUAAUAAUAAUAUAUAUCAUCUUAAGUUAACUUCAACUCAUUAACCUUGUAUAAGGUUUGAUGGGUCGUGCCGCAAAUUAUCACCUCUAAUCCUUUUUGCAACAGGCAUGAUGAAUGCUAACAAAAUGAAACUUCUAUAUAUUUAGUUGUUAUUCUUUUUAAUGAAAUAAUAAGGAGCUUUGCUGCAAAUUUCCAUCCAGCAUGGCAUGGACGCACGUGAAAUUUGCUAGUAUGGUCCUGGACAUGCGUGGCUGAGAUGCUUCUAAAGGCAAAGAAUUCCAAGUUCAUACCAAAUAUAACUUUCUGAUAUUUUUGUGGUAUCAAGUUUGUUUUUCACAAACUAAGGUGUCGGCGUAAAGUUGUUGUCCAUGCAAUGAAGUUUUAUACAUAAAUAUAUUAACCUAAAUUGUUACUAAAGUUCCAUAAUUAGCAGUUCCUGAGAGUUUUUACUAUAUAUUUUUUUGUUUUAAUUCAACAUAUGUUUAUUUAAUACGAUUUUAUUAAAUAAAUGUGCAUAUUUACCAUAUUUGUCUACGAUCAAUUAGUUGGAAAAAAAAAAGAAAAUUAAUAAAUUUAUUUAUUUGAUUGUUAAUGGUUUAGGCAUUUGAAUUCCCACAAAGUCAGGGUGUCAGCUCUGGACUUCUGGUGAUGUAUUUUUCUAAUAAAGAAAUAAAAUAUUGUUGUCAUUUUUUUAAUAUUCUAAUUUACCAAGCCUACCAACCAAUUAAUUUUUCUAAUUAGAUCAUUAAUUCAUUACACGUGCAUUCGCUGGCCCAGUGCUCCAAUCCCAUGCAUGCUGCACAACUCAAUGUGUUUUAAUAAGAAAAGGUUUGGUUAGCCUGUGCUGAUGCCAGAAGCCCCUUAAGGAGUUCAGGUAAACGUAAAUAUGUCCAGAUUUAGAUUUGAAUAUGUAAACGUAAAUAGGUCCAGAUUCAGAUUCGUUGCGCUAGAGAGGGGCACGCACGAUCGGGCUGCUGUCAGGUGGUACGUUGGCGUGGCAAUUCUCAACACGCGCUUCUCCUGGUGCAUACUUACGGCAAGUUGACACGUGACCCGUGUGGAUUGAGUGGACAGAGUCACGGGCACUGAUUUUUGUCAUCCAUAACGACUAACGUCGGAGACUUCGAGAAGAAAGAAAUUGUUGUCGUUUCUAAGGGGAAAAAAAUAUUUAAUUUGUUGAAGACAAAUUAACGUCGGAGAUUUUUUUUAUUUUUUAUUUUUAAUUUUGCAAUCUAAACCAGUCUAAUCAAAAUGUCAAUUUGACAAAAGUUGGACUGAUUUAGAUUAGUUCUAUUAGUUUGAUUGGAUUAAAUUGAAUUAGAUCUUGAACAUCCUAACACUUUUCAUGAAUGUUUUCCUUUUUUUUUGAAAAAAAUUAAUAAGGAGAAUUCCCAUGAAUGUUAAUUUUAUUGAUAAACUUGGCAAUUUUAAGAAAUGUUUUGACGCACGAAUAAUGCAAUUCAUCAACCCACAUAGAUAUGGAUAUAGGAAGCAGAGACCAGAUCGAUCUUGACAUAACGAAAACUUGUAUGUGUAUAUGUAUGUUACAGACCAGAUCGAUCUGUAGCAUAGACUUCUCCUAUAUGUAGGUUAUAUUCAAAUUACAAAAUGAACACAUGUUAAGGAUCUACAACUUCUUCUUUAAUCUAAUAAGCUCCCUCAACUUUAUUCCAAAACAAAAAAGAAUCAAAUUUUUGUUGGAAAUAUUUAUGAAUGAAGAAGCAAAAAGCGCUUGUAUCAAGGAUCUAAUUAAAGAACUGCCAGAGGCAUAGAUCUAUCAAAGCUCCCUCGCAUGACUCUUGGUCUCGGUGGCUUCUUCUUCUUCAUUCCGAAUUUUCCCUCCAUCUGAUCUCUUCCAACCUUUCCAUUUCCAAAUUGAAUUGAAACUUGCCUCAUAUUCGUUUGUUGAAUCCCAUCUUUUGUUGCACCACCAUGCAUCAAAAUCCUUGAAAUCCCAGCAUAAUGCAAGGACUCAGCUAUUUGCAAUGGGGUCACGUUCUUACUUGUCCUUGCCUCAACAUCAGCUCCCUUCUUCACAAGCAAUUCAGUCACAUCUGUGUGGCCAGAUUCCACCGCACAAUGCAAAGCUGUGUACCCAUCUUCAUCUUUAGCAUCAACAUCAAUCCCUUUAUCAAUCAGAAUCCUCACAACCUCAAUCUUUCCCUUAAACGAAGCCCUAUGCAAAGCAGUCCAUCCAUGUAGGUCUUUCCCAUUGAUCGCGGCGCCUGCUUCGAUCAACCUCUGCAUUGUCCUCACUUCCCCUUUCCUAGCGGCAAUACACAGGCUGUCACCAAGCUUCAACGCGUCAAAGAGACGGGAGUGACCGCACUCAGCAGCAACAUCAUAAGCGGUCUUUCCGCUCUUGUUUCUAAUAUAUUUAUUAGCACCCUUCUGCAAUAACAGCUUCACCAUUUGCUCAUAUCCCAAGCUUGCGGCGAUAUGCAAAGGCGUGUCACCGUCUCUAGCGUUGCGUAUAUCAGGCCUUGCUCCGUUUGCUAACAGAAGUCUCGCGCAAUCUCUUCUUCUGUCUUCAACCGCGAGAUGCAGAGCUGUGUUACCAUCUUUUGUUAAAGCAUUGACAUUAGCACCUUUGAUUAAGAGAAGCUUUAGUACUUCCAAAUGGCCGCCUCGUAAGGCCAAGUGUAUGGGCCCCCAUGUUGAUGUUCCUGAUCUUUCUGUGCUGGCUUUCCUCGCCAACAAGAGCUCAACAAUAAGUGCUUCCCCUGCAGCCGCCGCGGCUUCAAGUGGAGUACUGCAGCCACACCUGCCUUGAGACUCAACAUCCGGCCCAAACUCAAGCAAAAGUUGAACAAUAUCAGGCCUCCUUUGAGCUAUAGCAAUAUGAAGCAACGUUUGUCCCUGCGCAUCGGCAGAAUCAGCCGGGUUCCAAGCCGGGUCACUCCGCUCAAGAACCUCUCUUAAAUCAUCCAUUUCACCAUCCUUAACAAGCAGAACCAAAACAGGAGACCCAACGAACAUGAUCUUGAUUCCGCUGUCGAUGAACACUUGCUUCUUCCUCGUUGUGAACCAGUCACUGGGGACGGAAUCAAGCGUCGACGUUGCAUCUUUAAUUCCAGCUCCAGGAACAACAACGCUGUGCAAGAGGAAGGAAUCAUCACAGUGAGGGAAAGAAUCAGGAAGAACCGAUCCUGGAGGGAGAUGAUACGCAAUCUCUACGCUUAGUGUUGCGAGUGGUGAUAUGAUUCCUGAUUGCGGCUUCACAGUAUAACGAGCCUUGUUUGUAGGCUGAAUCCUGAAAGCAACAGGCAUCGUGUGCAUGACAUUGCGGAGAGUCAGCUCCCCGGAACAUUUCUGCCCUGGUUCAAUUCUGAUAGCUACAAGGUUCGACGGCUCCAAGCUUACAAGCCUAUCCAUUGAUUAAUUUUCUCUCCGUUUCCCAAGGACUGCUGAAAGGGGUUCUUUGAACUUUUUGAUUCAGGCUUAUUUUCUUCACUUUUGGUGGCAUGGGGAGGAAUUAGAGGAGUAACUGUAAGAGCUGCAAGUGUUGGUGUAAUCAACUGUAAUAUAAGGAGAAGAGAGGGCCGGCUCUAAUGGGAGACUGCCACGUGGUGGUGUUAAAAACAAUGAGACUUGUUCUGUUCGGCGUCCGGAGUGUAUAUACAGUUGUGUUAGUGGUGAAAGUUAAAGAAAUCCUGAAGUUAUUUUCGGAGUGGCUUCUGCAAAGUCACUUUCAGGAUUGUAUUGUAUCAUUAAAAAACAAAGCCAGUUUUUGUUGUUCUAGUAAAAGGCGAAUCAUUGGACAAACUCGUAAGAAUAUGUUGCCAAAUGUAUAAAAUAUGAAAUUCAAACAAUGAUUACAAUGUGAAAUUGGACAAUGGACAUGGCCUGUGUGAAUUGUUUUGUGGGCUUACUAAUUAAAUUAAUUCACUAAAAAUAAUGUCACUUUUGUGUCUGUGAAGAAGCCGAAAUGGCACAGUCAUUUACGUGGCCAACUACGGUGACUACUUCGUCAGUAGCUGCUCGAGCACUUGGUCAGCACAAGUUGCUUUCUUUCUUGGCGGGAUUAGUUUUUCUUCAUUGCUUUAAGUGGUGCAUUUCUGCAGUUUCAUUUUGCUUUGCUUAUGCCAUUGGAUUUGUGCCCCAUAAAUAAAUAUAUAAUUAAGCGGAAAAGUAUCAAAUUUUGAAAAAGCUUAGGUUUUGUGUGUGUGUGUGUGUGUGUGUGUGUGUGUGUUUUAAGCCGAAUUACUCGGCUAAAAAUUAAUCCGAUUAUUAUUGUUUUGGUGCUUAAGAUGUGACUCUAACCUAAAGCUCAUUUGAACUCUCUUGAUGCUCAUAUGGUAUUUUUUGUGUUGUGUCGUGCUGGCCCUUACACAUCUCGGCUCAUAUUUUUCAUGUUACUAAGUUCUAAUAUGUACAAAAGAAAUAGAGCAAUGUCCGGUGGUAGAUCCAAACACUCAAUUUGGGGUGCUUAUUUUUCAGUCUCAAAUUCGAUUAUUUUCUUUUAAAAUAUUAAAAUAAUAGUAAUAAAAUACUUAUUUUAAAUACUGAGCUCAUUACAACCACAUAUGUAAAAGUAUCAUUUAUAUUUUUUUUCUAAAUAAUCUUCACAAAAUAUUUUAAAAAAUAAAAUUAUGUGACUAUGGGGAUUUGAACCAAGUCUCUCAAACUACUAAAUAACACUUUUACCACUAAAUUACAAAUCUUUUAACAUAUUAAAAGUGCAUCCAAAUUAUUAUUAUUAUUUAAUUAUUUCAUAAGAGAUUUGGGGCACAUUUAAAAGAAAAAAAAUUAAUGGUGCAUAAAGGACUAAAGCCUCUCUUGAGUCCUUGACCUUAACUAGGUCCACCCAUGGUAAUGUCAGUGAUACCCAACUUGAAAAAUAUACAAGAAACUUGGAAAUUUAAAUUAAUGAAUAAAUAAAUAAAUAAAAGGAAACUUAGUGAUUGUAGCUGUUGUAUUGUAUUGUGGAUCAAAGAAUUACAAGUUCUUGGUUUCUCGGUAUUGGCUAAUUUUGAAGUUAAAUGAAGUUCGAAAAUAUUUACAAGCAAUAAAAUUAUCAACUGAAUGAGACAAGGAAAGAGUAUAAAGACCUUAGCAAAUUAGCAAUCCUUCUUUAAUUUAGUAACAGUGACGCUUAUAAAGUUAGAAGACGUAUCAAAUCUAAUUUAGAUUUUGCCCCAUAAAACUAACUUAACUUAUAGUGCGUCUUUGUUUAAUUAGUAAAUAUUCCACAAAAACUGAUCAGCACUUUAUAGGAAAUUCCAAACACGUUUAUAUUCACAAGGAAUAUGUCAAGGAGAAAUGAGAAUAAAAAAAUGUAAAAACUAAUAAAGCUUCAUUAAUUAGAAUUUAUAACCAUAUGUGCUCCUAUACUACUUUUAUUAUUAAGAAUUUGAAGUAGAAGGUAGUUGAUUAUCAUGAAAUUACAAAAUUGUAAACGGAUUUGUUCUUUUGGAAAAAGAAAAAAAAAAAAAAAGGAAGGAUAGUUGAUUACUUGAUUAGUGAGAAAUCAUACGUAUAAAGGACAAAUUGAAAAAUGGGACCUGAAUUGCAACAAAGCUUCAUUGGAAUUAACUGCCGAUAAAAUUAAAUUAGUAUCACCCUACCCUUUCAUCUUAAUAUAUUCGAAAUUUCACCGAUCAAAGUUUCUAGCUUCGAUUUUUACGAUCUCUCAUCCUAAUAACACCAAAAGCAUAUUCAUUCGUUUGUAAGAUUAUGUAACAAAAUAUAGUAAAUAGCCUAUAAUUUUUUUGUUUUACUACUAACCUGUUAUCAUUCUUUUCUAAUAAUACAUGUUAAAAUAUUCACAGAAAAAAUUUAUCCCUAUUACACCCAACCACCUUUUUUUGUGUUUUUUUUGUUCAAAUUUUAGCAUUAAAGGGACAAUAAUGUCCUAUGAAAUAUGCAGAAAGACAGUUAAUAAUAUUCAAAAAUGUAAGUGGAGGUAUCUUACGCCACACACACAAAUUACACGACUCUCAUUAAUGUGUUGUUGUUGUUAUGUGUGGCGUAAGUUACAGUUGAAUGUCAUAUUCAAAAAAGUAAGUGGAGGUAUCAAUCUCCCUAAAUAAAUAAUUUAUGGAAGGUUGUUAGCUGUUGUACUUUUAGUUAAUUUUAAAAUCACAAUAAUAUGGUUAAUGUUAAGUUACAUGCAUGUAACUUAGGAGGAUCCCAAUAAUAUACCAUAUUUUAUUAAUAUGUACAGUAUUUAUAAUAUUUAAAAAUUAAGGAAUUAAUGUACGCAUGUAAAAGCUGCAUUGGAGCCAGUUGGAAAUCUUACUGUCUUGAUAUAUGCAACGAUUGUAGCAGCUAAAAAGGCAUGAUAUUUACUUAAUAUUAUUUCAAACAAUAAUUAUUUAUUUAAAGCAAAUAAUAAUAAUGAGGGCAGAAGGACUAUUCUAGGAUCAAUAUGGUGACAGUAUAAAUAAAUAAUAUUAAUUAUUAAUGCAUUGAUGAGUAUUGUUAAAAUGACAUAAUAGGUUUGUUUCAUUGAAUUGAACCUUUUCUCUUAAAAUAGCUAUAAUUUGUUCUCUCUCUCUCUGUGUUUUUGUUUUUGUUUUUCACUUUAGUUUUACUUCUCUUAAAAAACCAAAAAAAAAAAAACAAAAUUAAUGGAAACUGAUGAUGGGAAGACGGACAAUUUUCUAUAUUGUUAAAUAGAAAUGGGCACAAAUGUGAGUUUUUUGGGGCAAAAAAAUAUAGUCAAUGUACGUAGCGUUUGUCUAUUUGAAAACCCGUCAAUAUAAAAACAGGACGUAAAGCUUUCAGACAAAGUACUCUUAUGGCCGUACUUUCCAUAAACCAAAUCAAAAGAAGGAAAAUAUUUGUGUCUGGCUUCGAUGCGACUGUUAACAUUCACAAAUAAACACCUUUGCAUGGUCAGAAAAAUUAACAAGAAAUUAGAAGGCGAUGUUGCGUUCUACUUAGUUCUCUAGGAUUUGUGUCAUUUGUUUAUGCUACGGUUCGUUCCCAUUUGCAUUGCGUGGAAUAAUUGGCCGAAUAUUAUUAAUCUCAAUCUUAAUCUCUCAACUCUUGUCCCUUUAAUUUUUGUUUGUAUCUUUUUCUUUUUUUUUUUAAAUAUCACAUACAAUGCUUUUAAUAAAUAACUUCAUAGAAAUAUUUAAUAAAAUCCAACAUAUAUAAGUUCAAGAAACUCAAAAAAUAAAAGAAAAUAAACUCACGUUGUCACUGGAGAGACUCAAACAUGCUACCUUAAAAUUAAGUAGAGGGUGCAACUACUUGCACUUUAAAAAAAGAAAAGAAAAAAAAAGGGGCUUUGAACGCUCGUGAUAAUUUGCAAGUUAUGGAGGAUAAUCAUUGUACAAUGGGGAGAACUCUUAUGGAACAAUAUUCAAACUGAUAUUGAAAGCAUAUAAGAAUUUGGCUUGGGUGUUUUGGUGCCAUGAAUGAGUGCAGAAACAAAGAGGAAGCUUUGUCCCUUUAAUUUGAUCUGCUGUAUUAUAAUUAUUGAGAUUAAUCAAAUAAAUAACCGAAACAUGGUUACAGUUUUAUAGUGUAUUGCAAGUCUUUGGAGAUACUAUGUACCUCAAAAAAAAAUAUCGUAUAAAAGAGUGUUUUGUUUCACAGGGGUUCAAUGAGAUUUGAGAUGGCUGUAAUGAAAGUGAUGUAAAUUUUUUGGACUCUAAUGAGGUGUUUUUAGAUGGAGGGGGAUUUACAAGUAUUUUAUAGGGGUGAUAAAUGACUGUAUACCCACCAAAAAGGCCCAUUGUUCGAGUCCAUGAGCAUUACAGUUUUUUUUUUUUUUUUUUUUGAAAUUCAGAACAUGCAGUUUGUUUGAUUCAACUUCCGAAUUACAAAAUUAGAAUAAGAAAAAAAAAUGUGGAUGUUUUUUCUUUAAUUUACAUAAUAAUACAUGGUGUGGACGAUGUCUAUUGAGGGAUAAAAGAGGAAUGGGGGCACUGUGAAGUUUGUGUUUUUGUUUUUUUUAAAUUAUCAUAUUCAUACUGUCUAUAAAAAUAUGCAAGUUAAAAAAUUACUCAUGAUAUUGUUGUUUUUGUUUCAUAUAAUACUACUUAUGCACAUCGCCUCAUGCAAACAUUUCUUAGUUAUGCUUAAAAAAAUGAGAUUCUCACCAUGGGUCACUGUAAAAAUCCACAGAAGCCGUGGAUCACAGUAGGAAGCCCACUUGAACAGAAGAAGCUACCGAAAGCUUCGACAUUGUAUUUAUGAAAUGCUUAGUAAAUUUUGUUUUAUUUUGAAUUUAUAUUAUAAAUGGUGUGUUGCUAAAUUAAAAAAUAAAAAAGAAAUGCAAUGUGUCAAAAUACAAGAAUCUUACGGACAUUUUUGUCACAAUAUAUGUAAAUAAUUCAUAUCUUAUUCAUAUCCUAUGUAAGCUUCACUUGUUUAACACAAUGGUGGUUGAAUCUUCAAAAAUUCAUAAUCUUAAACAACCAAAUUUGGAAUUAAUUAAGCAAAUUGCCUCUAUAAAUUGAUUACAACAACCAACGACGUGUGAAGCCACAUGUCAAUUUCCCUAGACAGCCCAAAUAUUGAGGCGCUGUGAGGGAGCAAGGUGCAAUCGGAUGGGGGAAAGAGAGAGAGCCAAUGGUGAGAAUGGAUCGUGGUGAGGGAGAACCAACUGGUGGUGAGAUUUGUGGCUUCAAUGAGGUGAGUUUCGUGGCGCUGUGAGUGAAGUGAGAUUUGGCAUGAGUGUGAGGGAGAAUGCGUGUGUUGUGUGAGUGAGGUAAGCUGUGUCUGUUGUGUGCAUGGAGACUCUCACCACAAUUAGAAUUUAUAGUUAGCACAGAACGAAACACAAUAUUCUACGCUAACUGUGGAGUUAACCAUGGUGAGAAUAUCAUUAUUGUUUAUUAUAACACUUUUUUUUUUAAUUUGUUUUGACAAUAAAAUAAAGAACCUUGUAAGAAAACCUCAAUAACUCAAUUAAAAAACCAACUCAACCGAUGAUAGGUAAAUUGAGAAAUUUUCAACUAAAAAUUAUUAAGAUUGGUUUUAACUUCAAAUCAUAGUCACAUAGUUUUGUCCUUAUAAAGAUCAAAAUAAUGAAUUCUAACUCCGAAGUUUUUAGAUUUAUGUGACGAACUGACGAUAGUAUAUUGAAAUCGAUUGAAAUGAAAAAUUUAAUUAAAUGCAAUUCAAGAUGUAGUAUCAAAUUCAAACGAUUCGGAUUGUUUUAAAAAUUUCAAUGCUUUAAUCUAAAUCGAUUAAUCAAUUACACUCUUGCAAUUAUAUACCGUUAAAACUAAAAUAUGUAAAAUUUAGGGUGCAUUUAUUACCAUUUUCAAUUUGUUGUUUUUCGUUUUAUGAAAAGGAAAAUACAGAAAACUUGUUUGGUGAGCUCAUAUUGGUGGAAAACUGUACAGUGAUUAAAAACAAAAAAAAAUUCAUUUUUCAAUGUUUACAAAGGAAACAAGAAAACGCUAUUACACUGGGUUCUCUAUUUUAUUUCACUUUUACUCUCUGCCAAGGCCCUACCAUCUUAACUUUUAUAACAUGGUGUAAUAAAUUACGUGGGCCCAUUUAAUAAAGAAAUAAUCUAAUAAAUAAAUUAUUAUAACAAAUAUUUAAAAAUAAUAGCAUUCCAUACCUUACAGCUUAAUUACUUAAUAUAUUACCCAAAUUAUUUUAAAUAAAAAGUGAUAUCAUAUAAUUAUUAUACUAAAUUAUUACAUUGUUCGACCAAUAUGCAGUUAUUUAAAAAUUACUACAAACUUUCUUACAUAUAUUAAUGAAAAUAUAUCAAUAAUAAAGUUACAUCUUGACAGUUAAUAUAAAUAAAUAUAUGAUAAUUAUGAAAUAAUUAAAGAUUUUCUCAAUUAAUAUUAUCUUAUAACUACAAUUUAUUUACAUAAUUAAAAGUUUUUAAGAAAUUAUUAAAAUAUCUUCAAACCUAUAUGCAUUUAUAAUAAUAUAUAAUACAUCAUAAUAUAAUAACUAAAUAGAUAAAUUAUUUAUUAAUAUAAAAUAUAUGUUUAUAUUCAUUAUAUAAUAUUAUUCUUUCAUAGUAGUUUCAUUAAAUAAUUCUCUACUCUCUCUCUUUUUAUCUUUAUUUUUUCGGACAGACAAGUAACCAAACACCGCUUCACCUUUUUUUUAUUUUCAAAUACUAUUCUUAAAAUAAACUACCAAACAUAUUUUUAUUUUUAACAAAAACUAAUCAUUUUUAUUUUAUAAAACAAAUUGAAAAGUACUAUUUAAAAUAUAAUACCAAACUUACCCUUAAUAAUUUUAUAUUUGUCAAAAAGAUGAGAAGCUAAGUGGCACUAUCGUUUACCUAUUCAAACUAAACGUGGAGUCACAAUAUUGAAGACACUUUGGUGGCCACAACACUCUUUUCUUUAGUACGGAACAAUCUGGCUUACAUGACACUACAUAAAAAUAAAUAAUAAAAAAUCACCGAUUCCAACUGCCCCGGACAAAAAACAGGCCACACGUAAAAAGGCUUCUAUUUUUAUUUUUAUUUCUCCCCAUUUUAAAGAUGACGUCAUGGUGAUUAUGAAACCAGAAAAUAACAAAUUUUAGUUGUCUGAUUUUGUAGUUAUCCAGCGAAAACUAAAAAAACAGUGAACGCAGCAGCAGAUCUCCGUGUUUGUCGUCGUUCGAUGAGAGAUUCCGAUUCGUGAGCAUCGCAAGUGUUGAAAUGGAAUCAGACGAAAUGAGGAGUUAGCCUCUUAUUAUAUAAUAAUAAUAAUGAUAAUAAUAAUAAUAACUAAUCUCUUUUAUCAUAUAAUUGAUAAUGGAAAUUCACAUUGACAAAAGGCAAAUUACACACUGACUGGGCAGAAUAAAAAACAGUCUCUCUCAAAAGCAAUAAUUUAAACACUAACACCACCUUAAGGAGACACCCCAAAAAUAAAGCAGCAAGCUCUUACUGUGACCACACACACACACACACACCAAACUUUUAUUAUAGAAUAAAUCUAAGAUGAUGGAUGAUGGAUGCGUCACAUAAAAGUUAAUUAAUUUAAUCGCUGUCACUGCUGCUGCUGCUCUCGUGUCCGUCCUCGUGCUUCUUCUUCUUCUCCUUCUUUUUCUUCUUCUCUUCACCGUGGGCGGCGCCCUCGCCGCCGCCGACACCGGGGAUCUUCUGCUUGAUCUUGUCCACCAAGCCCUCCUUGUGUUCGCCCUCCUUGUGUUCCCCGCCGUGAUGCUGCUGCUGAUGGUGAACAUCAGUAGUGCCGACACCGGGGAUCUGCUGCUUGAUCUUGUCCACCAAGCCCUCCUUGUGUUCGCCGCCGUGAUACUGCUGCUGAUGGUGGACAUCAGUAGUGUGGUGGUCCCCACUAUGGUGCUCUCCCUUGUGCUUGUCCUCCUCCUUUUGCCCUCCUCCCAUGUGAAGGGCUUCUCCGAUCUUGUGAAUAACUCCUGACAUUUUCCCUUAAAAUGACUCUGUUCCUCUUCUUUUCUUUUCAAUGAAAAAUAGUUGUUUGCGAUCUUCUUCUGGUUGUUGUUGUUCUUGUUGGGUGAUCUUGGCUUGGUAUUUAUAGGCUCCAAAAGGAGGGACUAGAAUUAGGAUUAGAUUAUAGAUUAUUUUAAUACAUUUUAUGGCAAAUUCUGAUUUGGAAAGAUAAGAUUAUCCUUUUGGUUUUCCUUAUUUACCCUUUUGCACCCAUUACGUGUACGCGUCUUCGUGGGCUUUUUGGGUAUUUCAAUUAUAUCGCCAAUGCUAAAUCGACACGUUGCAUAUCAGCCGCGGUACUGCCGUAUGUAGUUGUCCAGAAAUCGAGUCGAUUCUCGAUCGUACAAUAAUUAAAUAAUAUUUCAUACGAAAUGAGUUUAGAUAUAUUUUGAAAAUUUAUUUUUAAUUUAAUUAUACGUGUUAUAUAUUUGUUAAUCGAAUAGAGGUCCCACGUAACAGAGUGUUUCUCUAAUCUUUCAUUGCUUUUAAUUAAUUUUACCCAAAUAAAAAAAAAAAGGAAAAUUUAGAGAGAGAGAGAGAGAUAGCGAAUUAGAAGUUGAUUGUAAUAUCGACACCUGUCAGACAAUCAAAUAUCGUUAGUUAAAAAUCAGUUGUCCAUAGUCAUGGUCAUAGAUGGCGAAAUUGAUACUUAUUUUAAAAAACAAAACAAAACAAAACGAAACGAAACUAAACUAACAGAUGUUGAAAUGCAGUUCCGUGUUAACAGUCUGUGAUGAAUCUUUAUCUUUGAGUAUACCAUUCAAGAAAUUAUCAUUCAAAAAUUUAUUUAAAGCAGCAGCAAAUCACCUUCUAAUUCCUGAAUCAAAUUAAUUCGAUUUUUUUCGAGUCGAUCAAUUCAUUAGAGAAUUAACGGGCUAAGUUAAAGUUUUGUUAGUUAUUUUUUUUUAUAUUCCUUUAGAUGAUAUGAUUGUCAUUGUCUUUCUUUCUCUGGGCAACAAUAAAUACAAGAUGUGCAAAAGCGUAGUGGAACAUAAUUCGAUUAUGGGUAAAGGGAUCAGUCCGCAUAAUGAGGAUAAAGUUUUUCUCUUUAAAAAAAUUUAACCCAAAGAAAAGGUCGUAGUUUGUAAUAGCCGACACGCAGAUAGAUCACAAAGCAUGGCGGUCCUGAUGGCAAUAACUAACUGAUAUCUUCUGCGAUGAGAGGAGAUCACGUGGUUCUGACACGUAUCGCCCCAUCAACUGAUGUUGUGGCUGCAAUCGCGGCCCAGUCUUUAGAGAGAAGAAAGAUCUGUUAUAACGGGACCUACUUUAGCAUCUAUUUACGACAAAGCCCCUAUUUACUCUACUUAGUAGUAAUAAUAGCAAGUGUCGGGCUUGGAUUCCGUGUUGCUUUAAAUAAAUAUCCGCGUAAAAAGAAAAUGCUUCUUUAAUCCCUUCCUUGUAAUUUUUCGACACGUGGAUGGUUGAAAUUAGCGUGCCGACAUCUUAGGAAUUUUAUCUUGGAGACGGGAACACUGCAGUAGGCAAUGCCAUUUUCUUCGGAUGGUGUGUGGUGACAACGCCUUGGAUUUUGACGUGCAAAGAAUUUAAAUUGAAAAAGAAAAAAAGAAAUUACCAGAAUAAGCAUAGAAGAGAUAUUUUUCUUUUUGUCCUUUUUGGAAUGGAAAAAGAGAUCAAGAGAUUGUUCCAGUAAGUAUUACACAUGUCACAGGCUUAUUCAUGCCCCAUUAUGGCAACUUUUAUGCCUCGCGGUGCCCUCGGUUCCAGCAUAAUAGCUAAGACUUCAAUUUUUCUAACAUAUUUUUGUUACAAAUAUGAACGGAGUAAAUGUAUAACUUUAAUCCUUUGAAUAAAGAAAUGGCGGUUCUCCUGCUCGUUAAUCUCACUUGAAUCCCACCCAGGCAAAAUUUCUUUAUUUUAUUUAACAACAAUUUAAAGAAAGAAACUUUUGCCAGGUUGAAUUUCAAGUGAGAUUCAUUCGUGGGAGAAGUGCCAUUUCUUUAUUCAAAAGAUUAUGGUAAUUACAACUUUCAAUUUCGACAUAAAUUAAAAUUAUAGGCUAUACAAUAAAAUUGCCCUAAAUUAGUCCUAAUCAAUUCAGAUUAUAAAUUUAGGUAUAUUUAUUAUUUUAAUAUAUUAAUGUUCUAUAUAUAUAUAUAUAUAUAUAUAUAUAUGUGUGUGUGUGUGUGUAUNNNNNNNNNNNNNNNNNNNNNNNNNNNNNNNNNNNNNNNNNNNNNNNNNNNNNNNNNNNNNNNNNNNNNNNNNNNNNNNNNNNNNNNNNNNNNNNNNNNNNNNNNNNNACAGCAGAAAAUAUUUGCUAUGGAUAAGGAGACAUGGUCCCACGUCCCACCGUCCCAAUGCAUAUUUUGUAUGUUUCCAUCUUUUCUGAAAUUUUAAUAAAUAAAGUUUUUUGACCACUUGGCCAAAGAACCUUACCCUUACACAACUUUGUGGUUGGAGUCCUGUGAUACAUGUAAGAACUUAUUUUUUUUCUUAAUUAUAAUAUUUUAGAAUAUAAUUAAGUGAAGUAGGUUUUUUUUUUAAAUAUGAGUAAAAUAGAUAUUUUUUAAAUAUUAAAGAGAGUAAAAUUUGAAUAAUAAUAUAUUAAAAUUAAUACAAACUAAUUUUAAUAAUUAUUUAAUUAUAAAUAUCAAUUAUAACAUCAUAUAAUAUCAAUUAUAAUAUCGUACAUCUCAAUUAAUUCAAUAAUAAUAAUAAUAAAUGUUUUUUGGGAUAAGUAAACAGUCGCAUGGCGACAAUAGUGGAUCUGGAUUAGAGUGAAGUGGUCCCAAGAGGCUGAGGCUGUGGCUGUGGAGUUCUAAAAGUCAAAAGCUCCACGCACUUUGUUUCAGUACCAUACACACUGAAAAAAUUUGCAUUUGCAAUGACGAAAACUUUUCACGAAAUCAAAACACCUCUAAACUAUUUUGUUAUCGAUAUUUAAUGGAGGGGUUUCCUACCUUUUUAACACUCGAUUCACGCCUUGACGCAUCUCACAGAAAACCUCAUGAUCCCAUUAAUCUUGCGUAACAUAUCUCAAAGCCAAUGCAAGUGAUCUUGUUGCCUACUUCCCUUUGACGAUUCAAAAUUGUUGAAAAUAAUUCUUUUUUUUUUUAACCUCAAGGAAGUGACAAAAUAUAAAAGAAUAUUUUCUACACAUUAAACAUCUAGAUUUUUUUUUCUUUUCUUUUUAGAGUACUUGCACAAACCGUUUCCAAGAGAGACCUUUUUUUUUUUUUUUUUUUUCCGGGCUUGGUUACUAAUUUGGUGUGAAUACUCUAUGGUGAAAAAGGAAUCACAAAGCUGUAAUCAAUUUUUUUGCAUCAUUUAGUUGUAACUUGAACAUUGGGAGGUUUAUAAAGAAUUAAAUUAAUUAUAAUGCCUCUACUAGGAAAAGUUCAGAGUAGCCCUUCACAACUUUUUAAAGGCUUAAUAAUUUUCGCUUUCUUCCUCUCAUAACAUAACAAAAAAUUAAGAGCUUUACUCGUACACGUCCUAUGGCUAUAUAGUAUUGGGUUCUCUACUUCAAUCGGCUAUCUCAAACCGAAGGUUAUUUGGACACACCAGCAGUCACGUUUGGAAACUCUCAAAUGCUUGGAUUGUAAUUCUUGUGGAUGAGAUCAUCUAAAUCUUGGGCCCAAGCCGGACAAUGGGUGGACAAAGAACCCUAAAAUACAGUAAAGCUUCUAACACCCCACUAAAACUCUUAAGAAAUCCUACCUUUUAUUUUUAUAUCUCUUUCUUUUAGAAAUUAUAGAGAAGACAUAGCAUUUUAAUUAUUUUCCCUGCCAUUGAAAAUAAAUUCUGUAAACAUAUUUUUUCAUAAUAAAAUUAUUGUUAUUAGAUAAUUUAUUUCUUCAUUGUUUCAAAAUUAUUAUAAUUUUAUCAACAAAAUUAGUUAUGUCAUAUAUUAGGAUUAAAAUUAAUUAGGAUCCAUAACUUGUAAAGACAUUUUAGUUUAAUUGAAUUCAUAUUUGUCAUUUUAUGUAAUUUUCAAUAAAAAUACGACUAUGAGUGCAAAAGUGGGAUGACAUAAUAUUAAAAGAGUGUGAAAUAAUCGGUAAUUGAAAUGGAUUGAAAUCAUAAUAGAGUAUGAAAAUCAGAAUAAAUUGUUUACUUUAGUUGUAGAAAUCAAAAUUAAAAUAAACCAUAUUAUCAUUGAUGUAUAUAUGUUUUCUUGUAAUCGAAAUGAAUUCUUAUAAGUUACUAUAAGACCCUUAUGGUGUGUUUACUAAUCAGAAAUCAGAAUGGAGUGGAAUUUGAAUAUAGAAUGGUAGGGGUAUUCGCGGAUCGGAUUUUACGGAUUGGACAUUAAUUCAUAUCCGAUCCAUAAUUUUACGGAUUAUAAAUUCUCAACACAAUCCAAAUCCAAUCUAUAUGUUUGCAGAUCGGAUGCGGAUUUGACUCAAUUCAUAUCCAAUCCACUAUUUGACGGAUUGAUUUUGGAAUUAAAAAUUUUUAAUUUUGUCCAAUCUAUGAGGUAAUUAAAUUUAAAAAUCUAAUAUAAAAAUAAUUUAUUAAAUAAAAAAUUAACGUAAAAAUAAUUUUACUACCAAUUAAAUUCAAAAUUGAACAAGAUUUAAAUAAAUUAAUUAUUUAAAUAAAACUAGAAUAAUUUAUUUAAAAUUUUUAAAUAUAACAUAUCGAAAAAAAAUUCAUUUGUUUAGAUUAAUAUAUGAAAAUUAACUAAAAUUAUGAAUUUAAAUGUUGAAAUUUGAGAGCUUGGAUGUAACAGGAAGAAAUUAAGAAACUUGAAGAACUUGAAAAGAAAGUAACAAAUUAAGCUUAACUACCUCUAAUGGUGAAGUGAAACAGUGAUGGUUUGUGCGUGCAAUGGGGUACAAAUUUGGCAUUAUAUGCCAAAAUAUUUUGUUUGGCUUUAGAAUUUUUAAUGUUUAGGAAGCUAUAUUUGUUUAUUUAAUUACUCAAAUAUUUAAUUAUUUUUUAUUUUAUGUUAUUAUUGAAUAAGAUAUAAUAUUGUGUUAAUUUAGCUAUACUUUAAUUAAUUAAUUAAUUUAUUAGUAAGUAGCAUUGCUACAUUUAUAAGUUUUAUUUUUUAUUAAAUAAAUACUUUUUUUUUUCAGAUUCACGAAUUUUUACGGAUUUACAGAAAUAAAUCCAUAUCUAAUCCAUCGACUGUGGUUUUUUAAAUUUUCAUUCCAAUCCGAUCUACCAAUCCACAAAUUAUAUUUUUACGGAUCGGACGAAUUGAGCGGAUCAAAUUGGGUUCUGAACACCCCUAGAGAAUGAGAAUCAAAAUAAAUUAUUUACUUUAGUUGUGUGAAUCGGAAUUGGAAUAAAUUGUACUGUCAUUGAUGUGUUUACUUUAUCUUGGAAUCAGAAUGAAUAAUUUCAAAUUACUAAACUGACCUUAAUUUUUUAUUGUAAUAAUAAUAGUAGUAGUAGUAGUAAUAGUAGUAAUUUUCUAUUAUUAUUAUUAUUUUCUCUCUCUUUUGUUUUUAUUUUUUUAUUUUUCUCUUCUUCUUCUCUUCCUCUUUUUUUAUUUUUCUCUAAUUCAUCGAUACUUCUUCUUCUUCUUUUUUCUUUCGUUUUUAUUUUUAAUUUUUCCCUUCUUUAUCGUUCCUUCUUCUCCGUCCAUUCUCUAUCUUCAAACUCUUUUUACUUUUUCUCUUAUUCUUCAUUACUUCUUCUCCCUUUUUUUUUUUUUUCUCUUCUUUAUUAAUUCUUCUUCUUCUGCGUCUAUUCUUCAUCUUCAAAUUAUCAAGUGAAAAAUACCCACGGUGCCUUACAAGAAGAAUUGGUUUUGUUUGCUUCAAUUAUUUUUUGUAUUUUGUACUUUUGAUUGUUUCAAAAGAGGAUAAACUUGUAAUAAUGCAAUUUAAGUAGGGAUGUUUUAGACAAUUUUGGGUAUGAGAGUCUAAUUCCCAACCCCCCACUCCCUCGUAGCAGACUCCCAUUCUUCAUUCCUAACUUGGUGUUGGACCUACUAAAAUAAAUCCCAUUCCCCUUCUUAUUUCAAGAAGCAAACACGAUUUUGAUUUCAAUUCCCCAAUCCGAAAGUAAACGCACAAAAAUUGUACCCAUAUGAGAUUGCUUAUCCUCGAGUUUUUAGAUUGAAAAAAAAAAAGGAAAAAAGAAUGGCCCCAUUAGGAAGGGAUUUUAAGUGUUAGAUAAAGCCGGUGUUAACCAUUAGAAGGUCUCCGACCUUCAACUGUAAUAUAUUAAACCCAGAUAAAUUUACAUAUAAAUCACACAAACCAACAUGCCAAUCAAAUAAAUUACAUCAACUAACAACAAUUGACACAUUAAUUUUCAUAAUACAGAGGAUGCAGAAAAUUAAAAUGUUUUAUCUUUUCUCCUUAUUUGUGAAUUGGAAAAUGAAAAUGUUAAACAUACAGAAGAGUGAAACAGGAUGGAUAUAUAUACACACACACACACACACAGCUUUGGAGUUCAAUGUCAUCGUAUUGCUCCAAGAAGAUUGGCGCCAUCAAGCUUUGCACCUUCCAGAUGCUGUUUAAUCAUCACCAUAACACCUUCAGUAGACAUUAAUACAUAAUAGAAACACAAAAUUCACAUGAUCUGAAUGUCUGGUCUAUUUUACUUACCGUAUCUCGAAGAUUUACGUGCCGUAAAUAAGCUCUUUGAAGGUUGGCACCCUUUAAAUUGGCAUUACGUAGCUUUGCACCCUGCCGCAUAAAUGUUCGAAGUUUCAACAAAUUAAAGUCUCCUGAGAAAUACAUGUCACGAAAAAGUAGGGCUGAAACUUGCAUCUAAUGUACAAGAUUCAAUCAGGGGUGCUUGUCCCACAGUGAAAGUGUAUGGGGGAAAGUGCACUUUCACAAACCAAAGGGGCAAGAUGUGAUUAUCACACGAUUACAAAAGGACUGUAGUCAAGAGAGAGAACUGAACAUGCAGCUUGUAUUGAGGCCAUGAAAAUUGAUGAAAAGCAGUAACAAGCAACCAUUUUGAAAACACUUCAUAUGGUCGAAUCAAUAAAUCAAAGCUAAAAUGAUGUUGACGAUCGAUAGCUUUUAGGUGAUAAGAGUCUUGGCACUACAGUUAAAAUUAUUAUCUAGGAGUGCACACAUUAAUAAAAAAAAACACAACCAAUAAGCAUGCACUCUUAAUCAGCAUAUAAAUUAACAAGUUAGUUGCACCUUAUGUUGUUCCACAAACAGAUUGCUCGAACAAUUCACAAUCUUACCUUCAAAUUAGCUCCUUCCAAAUUAGCUCCCUCUAGGUUGGCAUUAGUAAGAUCAGCAGUCUGAAAAGUCAAGAGGACAAACAGAUUGCAAUUUGAUUAAAAUCUCAAAGUAGCAACAUUCUGCAUGAAAGAAGAGCAGCACAAUUGGCAACAUACAUUUUAGAUUAAGAGGAUGGGAUAAAAGCAAAAUUACAAGGACAUGAAGCAAAUGAGCCAUGUUUAGUAUGGCAAUUUUGACCCAAUAAUUGUGGCAGGUCUUGGAGAUAACAUAGGCAUACACAUAAGGCAGAAGCAAAUACUGUCGCAAACUCCUAGCUAACUACAAAUGUUCCAUAUAGAAAAAAACACCUGCAAAAGUAAGGGAAAAAGCAACAGAUAAAGAACUCAAGAUGCUAGACCUGUAAGUGUGCAGAUCGCAGGUCUGCUCCACAGAAGCUGCAGUCUAUCAAGCAAGCAUCUGCAAUGAUUUAAGAUAAAUUUGAAUCCAAAUGACAUUUUACCGCAAGUAGUUCCAGCCAUUUUGGGAACAAACAAGAAAUGCUAUUUUGUAUUCAUUGUAAUUCCUUAAGCUAAAUAACAAUCAUGUGCUAUCUUAACCAAGGUACAGUUGCAAAUUCUGAAAUUGUGAUGCCAUAGGUUGUUCUUAAUCUUUUUGAACUGAAUAUUGAAAAAAUAUUCCUUCAAUCAUAAAUGUUAAAUAAUUAAAAGAACUGUGAGGGGGGNNNNNNNNNNNNNNNNNNNNNNNNNNNNNNNNNNNNNNNNNNNNNNNNNNNNNNNNNNNNNNNNNNNNNNNNNNNNNNNNNNNNNNNNNNNNNNNNNNNNNNNNNNNNNNNNNNGGGGGGGGGGGGGGGGGAAUGAAUAAGCGGAUGCAUACAGAAAAUUAUGGAAAAUCUGUUAUGGAAAUAAUAUGAAAAUGGGUAUGCAUAACUACAUACUGAAUCUUGACUAAUUUCAAUUUAAUUCAGAUAAGAAAUUCCAGUAUGGGAAUUGCCUUGUAAAUUUGCACUCUGAAGAUUUGCACCAGCUAGUAAAGCUCCACGAAGGUUUGCCCCAGCAAAUUCACAUCUUCCCUAGGCAAGAUAAAACCCUUAAAAGGCAAUUUUGAAAAAUACAUAUAAUUGGGAGAAUAUCCAGUAUUGCUUUGACUCUCUUACUCACGCAAAGUUGCAUUGUGAAAAAUGGAACCCUCAGCAUCCACAUCCUGUAUCAAGAACAGACAGAUUCAGUAUGAUUAAUAUAACUGGUUGCUGGAAGACAGGACAAAAUCGCAUCUUGUCACUGUCAACUUGCAUGUUAAGAAUUAAACACGAAAACUGCAUGCUGUCCAAUUAUAAGAAACCUAUAAAAUUCAAAUCAACAUCAAUACUGGCUUAAGGAAGAUAUAAAAAUAAAAAUUAUACCAACCCGAAAUUUCGCAGAUUGAAGAUUUGCACGUGAGAAGAAAACAUUUCUAAGACACGCAUAGCUGAAGUCCACAAGUGAAAGAUCCUGGCCAUUUUAAUAAGAUAGCAUCAGAGGAAACAAUAUCUAAUGAAUAUAUAAUGUUCUUUCUUGCUUAUCUGAGAAUACUAAUGAGAUUAUCAAAAAAACUCUAAGCUACUGCUAAGAAGUCUUGUGUUACAUGAGUAUGAAUUGAGGAGGUAAAGAAGACCCUUCUCCAAUAAGUUACCAUAGAAGCCACAUAAAACCCUAAAGCAGUUACAAACUUACAAUGACCAGAAUAAACCACCCCAACUAUCUAUUGGCAAGUAAAAUCACUUCUCUGGAUUUCUGAAAACUAGCAAAACAAAUGCAUAAAUUGGCAAAUUCGAUGAUUUCCUCUGAAAACCAAAUUAUAGCAGACAUAAAACUUGGAAGUAUUCAUAGAAUAAAAAUCUUUCAAGCACCUCAAUUCAGUAAUUAUUACCAGCUUAGAAAGAUCAAGGCCAGAAAGAUUAAGUCCUCGAAAUCUGACUUUUUCAGACUGUAUACACUUGAUGAUAUCAAUGCGUGUUAGCUCAGUAUCUAACUCAUUAUCUUCCUUUCUCUUAUUUAUGACAGCAUGGAUUCUCUCAAUUAGUCCCUGAAAUGAAACACAUUAGAUGCAAACUAUUAUUUGAAAAAAGAAAUACAUUUUAUCCACUAACACACAUGGAUUUCAACAGCAAUCAUACAAUAAUUGAGGAAGGACGGUCAUAUCAGACUCAUCUGCCAAGAUUCAAUAAGCACAUCAAACUUGUUUACAUGUAAUUUCCACAUUCCACGUGAAUUUAUAAGGUCUGCCUAAGCAAACCAAAGAAGGCUACACUCAGUACUGUGUGUAUACUGCCUUACCUUUGCUGUUCCCCAGAUACCGUCCUGCAAUCCAGAUACUUAGCUGUGAAGUUUCAAGCCAGCGAAACCAUUUUAAAAGUACACAUGGACACAGAUACCAUUAUCUGAAUCAUCUUCGAUAACAAAUUAAAAUGCCCUAGCGUUCAAAAAACUUAGGAUCUCUUUAAGUGAAGUUCCUUUAAAAAAGUAGAAAAAAACUGAACAACAAUGUCAUGCUAAUAAAAGGUAAAAAAAAUAAAAUAAAAUAAAGCAUAAGGACAGAAGUUCACCAGGAGCAUGCCAGUAUAAACCAAAACGACCACAAAUCUCAACCAUAAAAUUUAAAGUAGUAAAGUAAAUAAUCAAGGGCAUGCAGUUGGCACAGGUGCUUCCAAAUAAAAUGAUGAUUCUUUUCAAACAGAAAAAAGAAAUGGAUGUUAAUAAACUAGAAGAAACCAUGUCUUACAAGUAAUUGAUAAUAUUCUGCUUCCCGUAGAAGCUCUAAAAACUCUGACUCUGUUAAUGUGGGGACAGCCCCAUCCCUUAACCAAUUCAGAAUAUGCCGAAAAUGUUUUCCGUCCCUAUCAACAAAGAUAUAGCCCUGCAAUAAUUCAAUAUGCUCAAAGAUAAGAAUCUGAAUAAUAUACCCAAGAGAAGUGCUUUUCCCUGGAAUAAUAAAAAGAAAAUAAGUCAAAACGUUUUUCUUAAUGGAAGAACACAAAGGAACAGCUCUAUGACUAACAUGAAAACCAUAAAUCAGAAUAAGAACCCAAAACUGGUCAUUUGGAGUUUCACCAGAUCAAAAAGAUCACAUGGAAAUAAAAUUGUGAAAAUGGGAUUAUUUAUGCCGAGGUCAUGGCUAAACUGCAAUCAUUACUCCAUUUUUGGUAGAAGGAGAAGAAGAAAGAAGAGUAGGUGAGUCAUCAUUCUUUCAGGUGAGUCAUCAUUCUUUCUCUGUGAUUAAUUGAUAUGAUGGAAGUGUUGUAGAUAUUAAUUUGAUAGUGAUUCCUCCCUUCAAAAGAAUUCAUUCCUUUUUUUAUUAUUUCACAAAGUUUAACUAAGACUGAGUUUUCUCAAUUUGAAGGCAUCGUGCACUCUACCCCUUUCUUUUCCUCACAUUGCUUCUUCCCAAUCCCAAAGGGAAGAAAUCAAGAAACAAUUACAAUUUUUAACUAUUCACCAGCAAAAACAAGGCAAAGAAAGAUGCUGAGUGUAAGCAAAAAUAAGAGAGUUAUACACCUCAGAGUCUUGGCACACAGUAUGGCGACCGCUGAACAUAGCUGCAAGCAUAGAUUCAGGCUCACGACGAGUCAGAGUAUCAAUUGUUGUAUAAAAUUUCUUUCCCCCUGGAUAUUAAUACAUAAAAUAUAAAUUUGUUCACUUAAAAGCAUGAAUUGUGCAAAUUUGUCAAUAAUGUCAUUCUUUCACAAACGUUCACCGAAAUGUAUAACAAUAAGUGCAUCAUAACAUAACUAAACGGCUUAAGAACUGCGCAGAUAUUACAUACAGUAGAGAAACAAGAAAUAGAAAAUGAGAUUUGCCCUUUUUAAACAGAAAGCAAUCAAAGAGUAAACUAAAGAGCUAAUAAUUCACAAAAUUCAGUUGAUUAAACUCAUUUACAAGUAAUUAGCAACAAAAUCCAAGCUAAAUAAAAAUAAUGAAAAUUAGGUUCUUAUAACAUCCGUCAAUUCUAUGAAAGUUUACCACGAUCAGCAACAAAUAGAUAAAUCGCAAUAAAGAAAAACCGACGACAUGUCGGUUGUGUAGUGCAUAAGUAAAGGAAUUUGCAGAUGAUGUAAAGAGAAUGAGGGAUAGUAACUGACCGAUGUUGAGACGAACCAUUGAAGACGAAUCGGAGUCCUUCGCCAUUGUCGAGUGUAAUGACUUGUCGUCUUACUUGCGCUCAUAGGUAUUUAUAUCAUAGCUGACACUGUUCGAAGGACAGCAAGGAUUUGGUGGGCACAAAUGCAUUUUGGAAAUUGGGCUUCGGCCCAAGAAAUCGAAAAUCAGAGGCUUUUUUUUAAAAAAAAUUUAAAAGGAUUAGAAUGUCUAUAAAUUAAUAGGGCUGAGACCAUCUUAAAUCUAUUAAGUAAAAGAGAUAUUAAAUAUUUUAUUAAUUAAUAAUUUAUUAAUUUACAGAAUUAUUUAUAAUUCAAUUAACAUACAUUUAAUAACUAAACAUUCAAUGUACAUAAUUUCUGAUUACAAUUCAAAGCACUAACAAUACUUCAUAAUUUCUUAUUACAAUUCAAGAAUUCAACCUCAUAGCUUUUAGAUGCAAUAAGAAAAAUAAGAAAUAAGAUUCAGUUAUAUUUAAAUUUUAAGAAAAAAACAAUAAAAUCAUAUUUUAUGUAAUUAAAAUAUCAUAGUCAACUACAUUUGUAAUUUCAACAAAUUAUUACUCUAUGAUUUAAAUGAGACCACAAAGUUAUAUAAGAUUUUAUCGAAAUUAUUAAUUUAAUCCAUUAGUCCAUGUCAAGACCUUGAAAAUUUAAUAAUUAUAUAAUAGAGAUUAUUAAUUUAUCGAGUAUUAAUUUAUAGAAGUUCUGAUUGUAUAUUAUUUUAUAUUAAUAAAGAAUAAAGUAGCAUUCUUUUUUAAUUCCGAAGUAAUAAAAUUAUGGCUAAAUUAAGAGAGUAGAUAUAUUUUAUAACUUGGUUUAAUAACAUCACGCGCCUCCCUUGUAGUUUUGCAGCUUUGAAGCUUUAUAAUGAAUCCUAUUAGCUUUGGCUGGAAAGUUAUAUUGUUAAAGAGAGUUUAUAUAUUAAACAAGGUGAUCUAAUAUUUCCAAAACUAAAUUUGGGAUCAAAAAUAGAAAACAUUUGCAUGUUUUUACCUUUUGGAAGAAUUACUUGAUAAGUGCUUCACAGAAAAAUGCUUGCUAUUAUAGAGCACCCUAAAAAAAAUCCUUAAUAAUUGAGGGAUCAUAAUAAAGUUCAAUUCUAAAUCUGUCAGAUAGAUCGAAAGUAACAAACCAUAUAUAUUUAAAUCUAUUUAGUAAUCCAGGGUUACAAGCCAAGCGUGCAAUAGCCAAUUCUGAAAAUCAAAGCUCAGCCUAUGCUCUCUGAGCACAAAUAAGAUCUGAUAUAUACAUAUCGAAUCCUCCAUUAUGUGGAGUGAAAUUUCCAUCGUGUACGGUGUACCUAACAAUGAGAAAGCAUGGCAGCAUAAAUUCAUCUUCCAUGUUAUUCUACUUAUUAGUACUGGUUCCCUCAUAACUUCUCCAAAUCGGGGAGGUCUGCAAUGUGUAAAGCACGUAAUCAGAUAAAAGAAAGAGAGCCAAAAAAAAAAAAAAAGGUAACAGCCAAAAGAUUAAAUUUCUUUGAGAAAUAGAAAAUGGGAGCUUUUGGCAUAGGCACAGAAUAGAAAGUAACAGAGUCAUUUACAGUUGUUCAGAAUAUGCAAGCUGAAAACAACUUUGAAUGCAAUGGACAAUUCCUCCAACAAACAAUCGAAUUGGAUUGUGGAAGAGACAAAAGCUUAAUGAGGUUAUGGUUUUGGCUAGGUGAACUCAAAAUUCUUUUAUAGACCAAGUAGGUAAAAACAAAUCCCAUAUAGAUGGAUGAACCUCAUACCAUGAACAGUUAAUCGCGAACACUUGCAGGCUUAUGCACACGACUAUGAAGAUACUAAGGGUUUCACCGAUGGUAAGUGAAAAAUAUAUGAUGUAUAAUUUAAAUGGAAGCACAUAGUUUCGGAUUGAAUUCAAGGUUAAAGUUCCACAGACAGACAGAAGAGAUGAAGCUUAAAAACUUACAGAGCAUUCCUUCAUCAUCACUGCUUUCAUCAUUUUGGCCAACAUGCUGAAAAAAGAAUAUGAUUCAAGUUAAAUGAUUGAGCAACAAUAAAAAACGUGCAAAAUUAAUGCUCUCUCCACAAAAAUUUCAGUCUAUAUUGGUAAGAAGAAACAGGAAGAAAAAAUUACCUCAGCAUCAUCGUCAUUGGAAGCCAAAUCAGCUGUAAAGACCACAAAAUGUUUGGUUAGAACCAGUGGAAGUCUUACUCUAAAAUUUUUAAUUUUUGAAUUUCGAAAGAUCUCGUAAUGACAAAGAUUUUCAUAUCCAGUGACCAAGUUUUGAAAAUUAGAAUACGGAAUGACAUCAACUAAAUUCACUAAUAUAAGCUAGAGGAAUCCCUAGUAGAUAUAGCGCACAUGCACACAUGAUAUGCAUCCGAAUACACAAUAAUAAAUUAUCUCAAAGUCAAUAAGAAGCCAAAAUUAGAGAUAAACUUUUAGCCACUAUAAGGAAGACUGAUAUUUGCAGUGUGAUUACAAUAAACAAACAGAAACUUCACUACCCAUAAGUAAAACAAAAUAAAUAAAGGAUAAUAACUAACCAAGAAAUGGAAAAGCUCACAUUCUCUGAACACGCACCCCAAAAAGAAAGAAAGAAAUAAAUGUUCUCAUUGGAUCUGAAGCACAAGCAAUCCACUGACAUCCUUCUAUAAUUAGGUAAUUUAAAGGGGUUAAGCUCACAUCUUUUACGGAAGUAAGAAGAGAAUUAACAACCUUCCAGAGGAUUUAGGGAAAUACCACGAGGCAAGAAAAAAGAAAUAUCCUUCUUCAAUCUAGAUAUCCUGAUACUGCUCACCAUCUACAACAGUCUGUGGCUUAAAAAGCAGGUCACUGAUCUCUCCCUCCCUCUGGCACCAUUUUCUCUCAUGUCUCAUUUUUCCCUUCCUGCCAACUCCCACUACAGUAUUGAAACCUAUUCUAUCAACUCUUCCCCCUCCAAUAACAAGACCAAAACCAAUUUUACUCGCCGGUUAGCUAGGUAGUAAAUGGAAAUUUGUGAAUCUGUCAUUCAUCCGUAGAAACAAACCAGAACUGCAUAAAUUCUCUUCUCUCCCAACAGCUUCUUUUCUCCAGAAAUAGGCACAAGUAUUUGACAUGGAAACAGUUUAUCUAACAUGGCCACCUUUAAAGACAAAGACAUACUAAGGACGUGGUUUUAGAUACGGAUACAAGAAACAAUCACAAAAUGUAAAAUCUAUACAUAUGAUAUUAAUUUCCAAUGGAUACAGCAAUUCAUUCUUUGACAUAACUUCAUCAGAUUACUAGGUUUGAUUAGGUUAUACACACAUUUAUUCAUUUAUUGAAUCUACAUGCACUUAGAAUGAGAGGUACCUAUAAAAACAAGUUACCAGAAAACAAUACAGCUAGAAAACAUUAAUCUAAGUAGUUCUAUAGGUUUAACUAACUGCAGGAAAAAACCAUUGAUUUUGUCCGCCAGAUUAUCGAGAUCCUAAUUCUGGUAAAAAGAAAAUGAGAUAAUAGAAAAUCAAAAAUUAAAUAGACACAAAAUGAGAAAUCAAGAUCAUAUGGCAACUAAUAUAUAGCAUGGGCUGCAGCUAACAAGCAAUAUAAGCCAUGAUAUUAUGCCAGAUACAAAUUUUGAGAUCCAAGAGAGAUCAAGAAGCAUGAAUACCACUAAAAUAUCGAAAGAAGUGAGUGCAGAAGGAUAAGAAAUCAGGUUGAUAUUCUUCAUACUUUGGAUCAACACGUAGUGAUGCAAUAAACUUGUAAUUAGCUUCAAAUGUAUAGGCUACCAUGUCAACAUUUCCGAAAACACACAAGAUUGUGCUGGAUUCAUACAUAGUACAUAUAUAAAAAAACAAUCUGCUUCUAAACUUCAUGAGAACAUCGAAUAAUGAACUUACAAUUUGAUCCCUCAUCAUCUUCAUCGCACCAUUUGUUCCAAUCAACCUUAAUGUAAGGUGCUGGUUUCUCUUCUGACUUGAGUAGCCUUUUCCACCAACCUUUCUCUUCUUUUUGGACCGAGCAUAUUAUGUUCCUUAAGCCAACUUUAGUCUUACAUUUCUGCACCACCAGCAACAAAACUCAAAGCAUUACAAAAGAGGUAUAUUUAGCCGCUCUUGACUCGAGUGAGAGAACAGGAUAAAUAGCCUAGGUAUAUCCACAUCCAUGUUAUGAGAUUGAUUAUGCAACAGCUAACUUUAAUAUAAAGCUUUUGCUUCAACAAAGACUAAAAUGUUUGUAAUUGUUAUGCUUUUGGAGCUAAAAUGUUUGGCAAACACCCACUUUUACUCUGCACCUAAUAUCUACCACCCACCCACACACUAAGUCUCUCGUUUGGUACAGCUAUUUAUCAGUAGUGGCUUUAAGCCACAACAUUUAAAGCGAAUUUACCCUAAAAUUUUACAAUGAAAAACCUAUACUACCUUUAACAUUGUUGUCAAAAUUAUUAUUAUAAGUAAUAUUUACCAAACACUAUCAACUUCCAAUUCAUAUCAAAGAGCUUUCACUCCACAAUAGCCGUGUCUUCUUAAGCCAGAACAACACAAUACCAAAGGCCUUAAGCUAGUGAUUUGAUUUCACAACAACUGCAGAUCAAGCCUCAAUCCCAAACAUACAUAAAUCAAAUGCAGAAAGCAAAAAUUUAACAAUAUGUUUGGUAUACUAAAUGUCUUUCAUAGUUUCAUUUCACAGGGUAUUUAGACAUGCAAUGAUAAAUUGGAGCAAUUUCAAGAACCGAAUUGACCUCAGGUAAAAUUUUGCCAAAAAGUUCCAAGCUGAAGUCGUAAAGCUCGCCUUGGACUCCGACGGCCGAGAAGCCAAAAAUCCCCUGAGGCUCGCAUUUCACAGAAAUGUCUUUCGCAUCGGGUAAUGAAAUGGUAAGGUAUACUUUAUCGGAGCGCUGAGCCCAAAGAACCUCCGGAUGGCGACUGAACAUAAAAGAAAUAAUAAUAAUAAUAAUAUUAUUAUUUUUUAUUGUGACAAUUUUGAACUAAUAAUUAGAGACAUUUAACAACAAUAUUGAUUAAUAUUGGAGAAGAAAAAUAAGGUUACAAGAGAGAAUCAGAAAGAUUACCUCAUUCUGGUGGAUGAUUGAAAACGGUGGGUCGAUUGAUGAACAGAAGUGUAACUGUCUGGGAGUGAGAGUGACUCUGCUGUUUACUGGGUAGAGUGUGCUUACUCGAAGAAAUUGAAAGUGAUAAUCUCGGGCAAGCCAACACGUCGAUUUGGUCAACAGUGGUCCAACAAACCAGGAACUAGGUUUUUUUUUUUAAAUGAUUUUUUUUUUCAGUAUUAUAUUGCCCCGCCCGUGGGCUAUUACAUUUUGGCCCUUUUGGGGACCCCUCGUUCUCUUACAAGAAGGGAAUAUUCUUUUCCAUCCACCGGUUUGUAGGCAGAGUACAUAUACUCUUCGAAAUUAAGGACAAAUUUCUGAAUCGUGCCGCAUUAGAAUUAAAUUGAGUCUCAAAAGAAUUUUGGUUAUAAGUAUAUCGUUCAAACGGUAAUAUAUUAAAAAAAAUAAUAUUUACUACAAUGUAGACCUAUCGGGACUUUGAAGCCCAGACCAAUUCUUGAGUCUAGCCUAAUAACACCUCAACAGAUCAAAAUUGAAAUCCAACUUAAAUUUCAAUAUUGUGUAGGGAUCUGCCUUAAUUUAGAUAUGUCAAGACCUGCCUUAGGCAUCAAAGUGAUCUAUCUUAACAUAACUAAGACUUUCUUUAAACAUCACAAUGAUUUAUCUUAACGUAGUCAAAUCUAGCCUAAAAAAAUCUAAAGAAGGAAAAAAGAAAUUAUUUUCACGUAUUGAGAGACUUAAAUUCUUAACCUUAUUCAUAAGAAAAAAAAGUGUAUUACUUAACUAAAUCGUGACUAAAAAUUAUAAUUAUUAUUUUUUGUACAUUUAGCUUUAAAAAAUCAUUAUAUAUAUAUAUUCAUAUAAGUUUUGACAUAAUAUACAUACCACUUAUUUGUUUUUUAAAUUAUACGAGAAUGAAAAAACUCAAGCAUUAAACACCAACUUUUGUUUCAUGCUAUCAAUCAACUUGAGAAAUUUUAUAAUAUAUCGGAAGUUCUACGUCACAAUUUAAUACGAAGCCUUCGAUUAAUAAUAAUUAGACACAUGACAAUAGAUGCUAGAGAAAUUUUAAAUUCCCUCUUUUCAUUAUCCCUCCAAAUUUAGAAUUUCAAAAAAUUAGAGAAUAAAUGUUGCUUGCUCUCUUUGUUAUCUAAUUCUAAUUAUUAUUUUUUUCUCUCUCUCUCCAAUCAAGUUGCUAGCAUUUUUUAAAUCUAUUGAAGAAUAAGAAGAAGGUUUUUGUCGAUGAAAUGAUUUUGGCAGCCUUUUUUACCCAAAGCUAACAUGAUUGCUGCGACUACCAAUGAAGAAAAAGAUGUGUUUUGCUGGCGAAGAAGAUGAUUUUUGAAGCAUGAGUGGCUGCCGUUUAUUUUUUUCCUUCAUAUUUUUCGAUGUAGUGGCUGUCCUCAAGUUUUAUUCAUUUACUUUUCAGUUGGCCUACUAUUUAUUGGCAUAAUGAAAAAUUUUAUUUUAAUAAGCAUUUAUAGAUUAAUUUGAGGAGGUUUCUUUUGCAAUAUUAGUGUGGUUUCUGCAUUGGUAUGAUUUAAAUUACGAACUUGCUACAAUCUUUAAUUAAACUGUCAAAAGUAAUUUAAAAAAUCUUUAAUUAAACCGUCAAAAGUAAUUUAAAAACUGACAGUAGAUAGAUUAGAGAUAGGCUUGACAAUUUAGCCCGACUCUAUUUUUAGUCUGAUUGAUCCGAUCCUAAUUUUUAAGACUUUGGCCUGAAUUUUUUGAUUUCGGGUCGGGUUCGGGUCAAAAUUUUAAGGCCCGAACAAAUUUAGGGUCAGGGUCGGACUUAAAACCAACCCGACCCGACCCUAUUUAAAAAAAAAAAAACUAACACACGCACACAACACAUGACAGUUCACUCUCUCUAAAUCGUAAAUCACACACACAAAAUACACUUACACAAAUUCACAAAAACCCUAAGCCAGCCACCCAGCCUGCUGCCGUCCUAUCAGCCAACAUCGUGACCGUCCGCCGCACGCCAGCCAAUCAGCCGUCGUCUCGUCGUCGCAUGUCUCACCAAUCAGCCAUCGUGACCGUCUGCGACGCUGCGACAUGAACUUGAACCAGCCGCCCUUUGUCGCCGUCCUGCCGCAUCCGCCUGCCAGCCAACGAUCAAUGCACACAGUUGAAUUGUGGGGUGGGAAAUGGUUUCGAUAGGGUCGGGCUCGACCCGACCCUAACUAUAAAGAGGUAGGGCUUUUUUAGGGUCGGGUUUUAAUUUUUUGUUGAUCGGGUCGGGUCGGGUUUGGCCAAACCCGAGCCCGACCCGACGUUUUGCCAUCCCUAAUUAGAGAUGAAGAUUGGAGAGAGAGAAAAAUAUAAUUUGAAUGAGAUAAUAAAGAGAGAAGAAAUUCUAUAAUACAUCAUAAGUAAUAUAACUCAUUGAUGUAUGCAUGAUAUAUGUAAUUAACCUUAAUAUAACUAACACUUGUAUGGUGAUAUUUCAAAAUAAAUAUACAUAUGUUAUAAAAUCAUUUACUUAUUGUAUGACUGACAUUUUAUUUUUGAUGUAUUGUACAAUUUCUCAGAAGAGAGUAGUAUUUAUUAUCUCUAAUUUUUUGAAAUUCUAAAUUUUGGAAGGAUAAUAGAAAGAGAAAUUUUAAAAAUUUUUCAACGUAUAAUGCCAUGUAUCUAAUUAUUAUUAGUCGGUGUUCCACGUUAAAACGUAAUAUAGAACCUCUGGACCUUACUGUAUAAUGUACUGUAGAAUUUCCUGAUCACACACUUUCUCAGUUGCAAAAGAGGUGGGCAUAUGAGUUCCUUACGGGGAUUUAGUGUGAAUCCACGCAAAGCCCAUAUAGAUUUUUCCGGUUAACCGCUAUGGCAUCCUAGUUUUAAACUCAGUACUAAAUUUACAGAUCCAUUUAAACCCCCCAAAUCAGUCUCUCACCGUCUCAAGUCUCAAACAAAAAACCUGACCGGAACCCAAACCGCCAAAUCCGAUUCGAUGGUGGACUGUGCUAAAACCCCUAAAAUUCCAAGACUGACAUGCGGUAAAGGAGAUGGUGAUAGACUUAGCAAUCUUCCGGAGCACAUCAUUUAUCACAUAUUCUCGUUCAUGGAAACAGUUGAUGUUGUUAGAGCAAGCACUGUUUCGCGAAGAUGGAGGUACUUGUGGCUUUCCGUUCCUUAUUUGAACUUCGACUAUCACACAAUUUGGUCAGACCCGGAAAGUAGAUGGUCUCGUAGGAAAAUCAAUGAUAAGUUCAAAGAUUUUGUCAACUGGGUAAUAUUUUCUCAAAAUGGGUCUGUUAAUAUUCAAAGAUUUCGUCUUUGCUGCUGGGAUUAUUUAGCAAGUUACGAUAACGAUAGAACGAUUUACAGAUGGGUUUCUGCUAUGGCACGUCGAAACGUGCAAGUGCUUGAUCUGGCUAUAGCUUCACUAUACCCAUUUGAGUUUGACUUGCCACAUAGUCUUGUAACUUGUGAUUCAUUGGUGGAACUGAAGUUGAGUUUGAGCUUUCAUGUUCACCGAUGUUUUUUAAAGCUGCCUACUGCUGCUGGUUUUAUUGGGCUCAAGUCUCUUGAUUUACAAAGUGUUGCGUUGGAUGAUAAUUUGUUUCCUGAAUUUAUUUCAAAUCUUCCCCUGCUUGAGAAUUUGUGUAUGUUGUCAUGUGUUUUUCCUGAAUUGAAGGUUCUUGACAUUUCUUCCACUAAUUUGAAGAAUUUGGCUCUGGAAUCCAUUGUUGGCAAUGAUAAUGCUGGCAAUGAUGAUGCUGGCAAUGAUGAUGCUGGCAACUACAAGCUUAAGAUUGCUUGUCCAAAUCUUGUGUCUUUUAAUUAUAUAGCUUUAGCUCCAUGGUUACCUCACUUUGCUUUUGAGAGCUUAAACUCCUUGCAAAAUGCAUUCAUUGACCUGGAUGAUUAUAACGAGGAUGACAUGGAGAACGAAAGAUGUCAUGUUUUAUCUACAAUCUUCAAUGACUUUCGUGAAGUUAAAGUUUUGAAAUUAUCAGAAGCCAUUCUUCUCGAGGUAUGAUUUCAAAUACAUUCAUUGCACCAAAUCAUGAUUCUGCCAGAACUUGUCUACACUUUUUUAUUUUGACAUUAGAAAUGAAGCUUAAGUAAACUGAAUCUACUUUCUUUGUUUGGUAAAAUAAGAAUUCUAUUGAUUAUGGAACCUUCCUAAAUGCUAAUUUGUUCUUUAGACUGUGUAUAAGUCAUUGUGACAUUGUAUGAAGUCUCAUUUAUCUGAGUAAUCAAUUGUUAUUGAUGUCAAAGACUAGAACUCAUUGGUGACUUGAGUUUAUGUAUAUUAUCGUUUGUUAGAUUUUUUGUGUGAUUAUUGCACUUAACUUGACUAAUGUAUUCUCUUUCUUUUUGCCAUUGUUCCUCCAGGUUCUUGAUCCUGAUCCUGCUCACGAAGAACCAGCAUUUUUUUCCACUUCAUUCAAUAAUUUGAAGUCCUUAAUACUUUCUGCAGGUCCGGGUGUAUGUCUCAUGCCAUCAAUGCUUAGGUUGCUCAACUGCUCUCCAAAUCUAGAAGCUCUUGCAAUAUAUUCUCCUAAGGUAAUCUUAACACCAAAAACUAUUCCAUUUGUUAGAUACCGUCGCUUCUAUCCAUUUUUUUUAAAAAUCAUAUCUCCCAUUUAUGUGCUAAAAUUUUAAUUUUGUUAAAGUGCAACUGGGCUUUGCUUAAAUUAUCGCAAUAGAGUUGAAACCUGAAAGUAUUUGUGAUAUAUUAUGUUUACCGCUUAGAGCUUAAAGUAAAUGUUAAUCUUGUGGCCUCUUGGUUGUUCCCAUGCUAUUGCUUGUUGAGCAGAUGGUUGAAUUUAGAGUCAAUCAAUCGGUUGUGUUCUUCUGAGGUUUGUGCAAGUUUUGUAAAAGAGCAAAGUUUAGUAUUUGUUUAGUUUGUGAAAAUGAUAUAGCUUUUUCUAAUUCAUCUUACUCUAUUCUUUGCUUAAAAAUGAAUUCUCCUUUUGAUUUGAUUCCUUGACUGCAUUUCGGUCUGUUUUCUCUUGGCAGCAUCGGCGUGGAUAUAAUGCUUAUAGGAAAACACCGAACAAGGCUGCUAUUUCAUGUUUGACAAAUCAUCUCAAGACAGUUGAAAUAAAACAUUUUAGCGGUGAUAUGAAUCAACUUGAAAUUGUGAGGUUUCUUCUAAGGAAUGGACAUGUAUUGCAGAGAAUGAGUAUUAGAUGGGUGGCAGAUGUUAAGAAUCAAGGGAAGAUUAUCUCAAGGAUAAUGAAGUUUCGGAGAUCAUCUUCAAGUGUUGUGCUGAAAUUCCUAGAUCCUAAGCCAGCUGAUGAUUUUUCAGAUUAUUUAUUUGAUGAUGAGCAAAAGAACUAAAAUUAUGUUUAAAUUAAAAAAAAAAAAAGUGGUUUAAGUGUAUGUUCGAAUUAAAUAGUCUUUUGGAUUUGUAGAAACUGAAAGGAGUACAGUGCCAGUCACUGUGGCAGCCUUAUGUUUUGUUUGAAAAAAUUCGGAAGCUUCUAAAUUGUUAUAUACCUCAAUUCUGAAGUCGUUAGUAUGUAUAUUAUAAGCAAUACAUAUGUUCCAUUUGUCAUAUUUUAUUUUGGCAUUACGAUUGUUUUGUCUUGAUUAAUAUUGAUUAUAAUUUGUUUAACAUUUAUCUGGCAUAUGUAGAAUUAUACUUUAUCUGAGUAGAUGACGCUGCUGCGUACAUCUUCAGGACUCGGUCAUAAACUGUUUAUCUCUGCGUCUGUCUAGCAUCCAUCCACGUAUGACCUGUCGGCUUUUUGCCCGCAAGCAUACAGUUAGGGGUGGUAAAAAUAUCUGUCCGGUCUGGAUUCGGUUCGCACCCGGAUGUUUUAUCCGGCCCGGUCUUGGGCAUCAUUUGAUAAAUUCGGAACCCGAGUUUUAUUAAGCGCCUUGGCCGUACAGCAGUAUAUUAUUUUAAAUAUUUAUAUUUAUUUGACUCAUUUAUUACAUAUAUAUAAAGUUUUAGACACUUAAAGUUUAUAUUUUCAUGUCAAAUUUCAUUAAAAUAAAUUUAAAACUUAUAAAAUUACCAAAAAAUAAAAAAUAUAUACAUAUAUAAUAUUAAAAAAUAUAAAAUCUGGGUACCCAAAUUAAAACCCGGCACAAUCCGACCCAGGCAUCUAUGCAUCCGGGUCGGGUCCGGUCAUUACGAUACCCCGACCCAGCCCAGGGUUUUGCCAUCCCUACAUGCAGUGUAUAUGAAUUGCAGUUCUUGUACGGACAACAUGUCAUCCAUAAAACUCGAGUUAUGUUCUUUUUAAUCUUUAGUUUAGAUUACAUUUUGCAAAACUAAUAAACGAUAGAGCUCCUAGCAAGGUCAAUAGUUAACUGCGAAUCCAGAAGAUCGGAAUGCUAUACCUUUCAAACAUGCAUUUCAAAGCCAUCUGCGGAAAUGGAAAACAAGCAUUUCAAACUCGUUGUUAAAACAAUGAUAAAAGUAAUUUUAAUCCUAAUUUUUAAUUCCAGGCAUGAAGCUAACUCAUAUACAAAGAGAUAUCAAGUAAGCAGAGGCGAAAGCUAAAAGCUUUGGUUACAGGGGUCGGUGUGAAUAAUGUAUAUAUCGUUUAGACAUAUUUUUGAAUAUCUAUUUUAAUUUAGGGGAUAUUAUAUAUAUUUAAAAAAAAUUAAAAUUUUUACGGGAGCCAUGGCUUACUAUAGUCUCCAUUAAGAUUCACCCUCCCUACUUUUCGUACUUCAUUAAAGUAUAGGAUAAAUAUUUACAAUAUUAUAAAUAGAUUUUAUAAAAGCAGUCCAUAUAUGAAAGUCCUUCUGCACUCUGAAUUAAAUAAAAAUAACGUGAGACUAACAAUUUAAGAGUCUUUUUUGCAACGUAUAUCGUGCAGUGAUGUACUCUAUCGACGGAGGACUCUCUUCAUAUGCUUUUUAUUUUUCCAUGCCUGAUUAUAAAUAGGAUCACUCUAUGUUACAUUAAACGUAACGUACACACACUCACAACAACAGUAACAAGUCCCAUCAUUAGAACUGUUGCUGUGAGUGCGUGUAUGUUACGUUUAACGUAACAUAUCACUAGCCUUAUAAAUAACAUCACUUUUAAGGAUUUUUACAAAUUUUUAUUACAACCGUAACUUUUGUCCUCAUACAAUAACGGUGUCCAUUGUCCACAUAUAAAAAGUUCAUCAAUAAACAUAUAACCUAAUUAAAAUUCGUGACAAAAUCCAAAGGAAAGAAAGCGUGGAGUAAUAUAUAUAACAAAGGCAUUGAGCAUACACCAGGUGUAAUUUGCAUUGCAUGGCCACCCUUACGUGGCAGUUCCGCCGAUUAACACAUCUUUAAAAGUUAAAGCCCCCCUCUCUCCUUGUUAAGGGCGUUUCAACACAACACUCAUCAAUGCAAGCAAAGAGACAGUGAAGGAAAAAUUAAGAAACCAAUAUUGUCACUUGGAAGAAAGAAACAAUCAUUACAUAUAUAAUACGAUGGAUACUAAGAACAACAGGAAGCAUUUGUCCUGCAUUGCCAACGACGUCGUUCACAGAUGUGCACUGUACGUAUCUCUCUCUCUCUCUCUCUCUCCUUUUCUUUUUCUCCCCGAUCACUUUGUUUUCUUUAUAUAUACGAAUGUAUGUAGAACGUAGUAGGUUUUGUAUAAAUAUCUGUUGCACACAUUAUUUGAUGUGCAUUUAAAUAUAAUUAAUGGUAAUUGAGAUGACACACAAAGACAAUGCAAAAAAAGAAAAAAAAAGAGAGAGUAAAUUAAUGAAUUUGCCUUGAUCCAGUUAAUUUGUGUGCAUUUAGCUGACUGUAAGGUGGUUUCGAGUGUGUUUUUGUUUGGCAACUUUUCACACAAAAGCACUUUUGGGAAGCACUUUAUGUAAUGUAAGUGCCUCUAAAAACUGUUUUAUGUAUUACUGCCAAAUGCAGUGCAGAGGUUACAAUGGGAGGGUCGGUUUUAUACCUGUUCUUCGAGACUUAAUUUCAAUAGGAGAUUGAAAUAUUUAUGAGAAUUAUGUUGUUAGCAGACUUAAUUCUUUUGGAGGAAUUCAUUCCAUCGUAGACCACUCAAUGAAUUUGGUCGAUUGAGAUUAUUUGAGUGCAUGCUUCAAAACUGGAGCAUUAAUUCUUUGACAUAAAUGGGCUUUAACAUAAGGCGCGUUCGCUUAUUCCAUUUAUUCAAGAAGUUGGCACUCAAUUUUUUAUUACUAGCCUUUAGAUGGCCAGCAGCCUUUUGUAGCCCUUUCUAGUUUCUACUAAAGUGGUUAUGUGCAAUAGUUCUAUUCUGGGUUGCAAAAUUAUUGUGUCAGUAGAAUCCACAUACAUUAUGUACUUUUCUGUAUUUAAUUUCAAGAGGCUUAGUUAUAUCAUAGUUUUAGGAUUAUAAUAAGUCUGUCCGUUACCAUGUUAUUGGAAUUUUUUUUUUUUUCUAAAUUAGUUGGACACAUUAUUGGAUUGGUCAAUAAAGGAAAGCAUUUGGCAAGUACUUGGUUUGAUAUUAACAUAUAGUUGCAGUAAAGCACAUUAACUUGUGCAUCCUGAAAUUCUUGCAGGCAAGUAAAGGCUUCUGAGGAUUCAUUGGUGGAGGGGUUUGAAGCUGAAUGGAAGCCUGAAAUCGGACAGUAUUCGAAGAAAUUUGUGGAAUAUUGCAGCAUAAAGGCUCUUACUAACAUGUGCCAGAGCAUAGAAGAAAAGAUUAGUGAUGGAUCAUUUAGUCGACUCACAUUUGAUAUGAUGCUUGCCUGGGAAAUGCCUAGUGCCGCCGAUGAGGAGUCUCAUACUGUAAGCAAUCAUCAUAAUACUCAUAUCCUAUAUUUAUUUCAUGGUCCACCAAAUCAUUAUGAUAUUAUCCCAAUUUUGGUGUGCCUAUCUUCUCUUCAAGUUGCUUCUUCUAUUUCUUUUUCAUUAUACAUUCUCUGGUUCUCAUCAGUUUUCGCUCCAAUUAAAAGAAGCAUGAAUUCUUUCACUUAUCUGCUGAAUCUGUUCUAAUGAUUGGGCAAUAGAUUUUUAUUCCUCUCUGUGGUUACUACUAUUUUGAUCUUGUGCAGGAGUGCAUGGGAAAGGAGAAUGAGGAUAGAAAGGCUGUAAAAGUCACUUCAGAUCAUGAUGAAAUUCCUCUCUUCUAUACAGACAUCAUGCCUCUUCUAGUAAGAGCGUCUCUUUCUGAUCAUUUGAGUGCUAAUGUACCGACCAAGCAUUAGCCUUCACUGAAACUCGUAUAUGAUUUCAUGAACAUUGAUUAAUUGUUAUUUUUGCUAACUACUCUAUGAGAUCUGAUCAAAUUAGAUAUAUAAAUGUUGCGAUUGAUCUUGGAUUUGCUUUAUAUUUGGCCAUCAAUUAUAUUUUACUCUUCAUUUUUAUAUUUGUUUGGUUUGAUAAUUUACCCUCUGGCCCAUAUAUAUGAUGGUAGGUUAAUAAUGAACCGAGUGUUGGAGAAGAUGCAUUUGUAUGGAUGGGAUCCUUAGUUCCUCUAGUUUCAGAUGUUAUUAAUGGGAGAUUUACAUAUGAAAUUCUGACAGCGCCAACAGGAAACCGGCUCCAUUCUCCAGCAUAUGAUAUAUUUCUAAAGGAGAUGGACAAGUAAUUCUUCCAAUUCUUCCAUGCAGCAAUUUUACCACUCAGAAACUUUAAGUGCCGUUUGGUUUUGUGACAUGCAAAUUAUCAUGGAACACUCAAAAUGAGUUGUUCUUAACAAUUUCUAGAAUUUGCAAACUCACUAACCAUAUCUGAAAAUGCAGAAGCAUUAUUACCACUUAUUGAUAACAAUAUCUCUGCUCGACUUGUUUGGGUGCUUUCAGCCGUUUUUCAUUUUCUUUUGGAAAUCUUGAUUUCAUAGAUGCAUAAAACAUUUGCAAAAACAAGCAACUCCAAAGGGUGUUGAGCUGGCUGACGAUGAAUUUAUACUGCAUGUGGAGGGAACUGCAAGCACACAGAGAGUAGUGCGCCAUAUUGGGAAAACAAGUUGGCCUGGUAUGUCUUUAGUUUGAUGUCUUACAUCUUUUUAACUGCUGUAGAAAUUGUUACUUGGAUUUUACUAAUCAUAAUUGUUGUCUCUAGGUAGGCUCACACUGACAAAUUAUGCGCUCUACUUCGAGGCUUCGGGAGUAAUAACAUAUGAAGAUGCUCUAAAGAUUGACCUCUCAAAAGAUGCUGAACUAUCUGUUAAACCAACUGCCACAGGUCCAUGGGGUGCUCCGCUUUUUGACAAGGCAAUUGUAGUCGAGUCCCCUGAACAGUAAGCAUAGUUGCACUUAUAUGAAAUUACUGGAGCUAUUAGCAUCGUUAUUCUUAUUUUAAAAAUUGUUAAAUGCUUGGUAGUUAUCCCAUAAGCUAGAUUUUAAAUGCAUAACAUACAAGGCAGACAUCAGAAAGCAUUCUGAUUCGUUUAUUAAAGUUUGUCUUUUAUUAAGCUAAAGAUAUUAAUGCUGCUAGAUUUUUCUAAUUUGGUUGUAGAUAUUGGUUAGUUACACUGUCAAAUGAGCAAAUCUCGUGGAUAUUUCAUAGUGUGGUUAUGCAAUUGUUUUUUGCCCUUCACUUUUCUAGAUCUGAGGGAAUUGUCCUGGAGUUUCCAGAGAUAACUAGCUCGACAAGGCGUGAUCAUUGGCUGGCCCUCACAAAGGAGAUAAUGUUAAUGCACAAAUUCCUGUCAAAAUUCAAGGUGGAAUGUCCAAUACAAGCAUGGGAGAUGAAUGCAAGGACAAUACUUUGCAUCAUAAGACUCCAUGCAGCAAGAGAAAUGCUGAGGAUAUUGCCUCCAGAUCCCACAAAAUUCUUGAUUUUUGCUUUGUAUGAUGAGUUGCCAAAGGGAGACUACGUGCUAGAAGAGCUUGCUGAGAGUCUGAAGAAAGUUAAUUGUGGACAUCCUUCCAGUGCUAGCUCAAUUCUGAGAUGUAUGAACCUGUCAAUUGCCGCAAGUGGAGAAGUAAAAGAAGGAAAAGAACUGGAGGAACAUAAACAUAUAAGUGAUGAAAGCUGUUCAUCACUGGAAACUGCCAUCAAUCAAUCUAAAGAGCAAGCAAAGGCAAUUGAAAUUGCUAAGUCUACCACUGAGGGCCUGAAAGAUGAAGGGAUCAGUGAUAGUAUCCUUGUUCUCUUGGUAUGUUUUUACUUCCAAAUUGUUGUUUAUGCUGCUGAUUUUAUAUUGACAGAAUAAGUAAUGACAUCUCAACAAAUCAUGGUAUUGAGAGCUUGUUUGACAUUUAUCAAACACAGCAAAGAAAUUGAAUUUUAUGAAAUUCCUAUAGCACCCUAUAAUUUGUACCAAAAAAUCUCUGCACCUUUGGCAUGCUGUAUGGUAUGGAAGUAUAGCUGUCUCAGAGAGGUUACUGUUAUUUACUUUAUUUGGUUUUGUAGUAUUGAUGUUAAGUUUGAUUUAAUAAUGUAGGAGCUACUAAAGCCACUUAAAAGUGUUUUACCCUGGAUUCGAGAAGUUGUUUCAUGGGAAAAACCAGCAACCACCCUCACUGUGAUUGCAACAACUCUACUAAUAGUGUACAAGUAAGUCAGUGCUCCCUCGUAAUUUUCUUAUAUACGGAAAUUUUUUUGAAAGUGCAUGUUGAUCAAGAACCACUUCAUUACUUGGCCUAUUAAUGUGUAAACUUUGCAAAUGACUAGUAAACUAUAUAAUGGCAAUGUAGGGAGUGGGUAGGCCAGGCUAUAGCUGCUUGUUUGCUCACCAUCGUGGUGAAGAUGCUUCAGGCAAGAAAAAAAAGGUUGACAGACAAAUGCAAUGAGAUAGUAGUAUGCACUGCUUCAGAUCAGAGCACCGUGGAGAGCAUUGUGUCGGCUCAAUACAGUUUGAUAACUAUUCAUGAGAUGUUGCAGGCAGCAAACAUUAUGAUUUUGAAGAUAUGGUCGAUAUUAAUUUCAAAGGCCCGCAAGGUACUCAUUUUGAUAACCUAUGCUUUCAGCUUAGCAAUUAAAUAUCGUUUUCAAUCAAUAUUGCUUAUUCGUCGUUAGCUGAAGUUCGUUUACCUACUACAUUUGUUGGAUGUCUUCAAUUAUUGAGGAGUCUUAGUUGCAUUUCCAAAUUGUUCUAAAUCCUCGUUUCAUUUAAUGGGUUGCAGCAUGCGGACACGGUUAUGGUGGCAUUGACUGGGUUAGCAAUAGUAUUAGCAGUUGUUCCAUUCAAGUAUAUUGUCAUGGGAGGUGUGCUGUACGGCUUCAUUAUGAACUCGAAGCCAAUGAAGUACCUGGGAAACAACUCAAACGACCAAAGCGGCAACAGACGUCUAAAAGAAUGGUGGGAGUCAAUCCCUAUUAUUCCUGUUCGCGUCGUGGACAAGCUUCCUGAGUGCCCAAAAUAAUGUGUCGGCUCCUGCACAAUCACAGUUGCCUAAAUCCUCUGUUUCUGAACUUUUGUUAUCAACUUACUGCACGAUAUACACUUCUGAGUUUGCUUUUGCCAUCAGAGUAGAACUGUAUCUGAAACACAGCAUACACUUAAAUGCUCAUUACAAAUUUGGAGAAAAGCACAAGUAGAAAAGGAUUGAAGACAUUCAGUAACGUUGAAAUUCUGCAUUUUCUUUAAUUUUUGUUAUGAACAAGUUUCUUAAUUAUUUGUUCUCUUGAUGUAAAAUAGCAUAUUGCUGGGAGUAAUGAAGAUGUGACUGUGCUUUUCCUAUUAGCAUGUUAAUAAAAGCAAAAUGGAAAAUUAUUAGUUACGUCCUCUCGUUUUGCGGCUUAUUGAGCUAACAAGUAACUUCUUCAUUACUAGCGUGCAAGUUUGCAACUAGUGAAUCUCAAAUAUAACUCUACCCAAUGGAUGGAUGUACGAUGGAUGUACCUACCCAAUCAUUUAUUUCUCAUUAAAUCUGUUAAAACAGAAAAAGUCCCGACGUCAUAUUCUUCGCGCCUUUUAAAAAACGACACGUGUCGUAUCCCACUACUCGCGUGCUGGAAACUUUAACCCACUCUGACUGCGUGACAGCAGAUCAUUCCCAAUUCAUUUCAGUUUCACUGUCACUUUCACUCCUCCUCAGGCGCCUUCCGACAAACAGGAAGAAUGCAAACUUGAAAACCCCCAAAAACCCUAACGUUCCCCCGGAGACCCUAACCCACCAUAAACCCUGGCUCUUAAUCCUAGCCACUAUGAGCGACCAAGACGAGCAAUCGCGAGCUCAGAAAGCCGCCCAGUUAACAAGUCCGCUCUCAUCCUCUCUCUCGAACCUUUCUUCUUCUUCAAGAAGCAUCCCCUCUAAUCAAGAUUUCCAUUUCUUCUACAAUUUCCCUGAAUUCAAUCAACCCGUCCAAGAAAUCGCGAACCAAUCGCAGCUCCUCCUACAAUCCAUCGGCUCAUCGGAGAUUUUUAACCAACCGAUCAAUUUUCCUGAUGAGGUUGACAUCUCGGACGCCUACGACUGGCUUGUCGACGUAAACGACAACGUUUUCGAGCGUAUGGAUGUUUCUUUCGACGAAUUUAGUAAAGUAAGAGGGGAAAAUGGGGAAGGAGAUGGAAAUGAAGGUGGCUUUCAGUUGGUUUAUGGGAAGAACAAGAAGAAGGGCGACAUUGUGGGUGGCUCUGCCCCGGCCAGUGUGAAAGUGAAGGACAGGAAAGAGAAAAGCAAGGUGCCGUUUCAUAUAUCGACUAUAACAAAACCGCAAGAGGAGUACAAGAUAGUUGUGAACAAUGCGAACCAGCCGUUUCAGCAUGUUUGGUUGCAGAAGAUUGAGGACAGUGGACGGUUUAUCCAUCCUCUUGUAAGUUUGUUAUUUUUUGAAUAUUUUGAUAUUGGAUUUGACUUACUGGGUUUGUUAAAUUUGUAAUCUGAAAAUAGUACCUUUCUUAGGGACUUUUUAGUGAUCAAUUAUUUCUUUCAUUUUCUUUUUGGGUGGUUUGUGGUAUAUGUUUACGCUUAUCUUGUUUGGAAUUUGUGUGCAAUUCUUAUUAUUCAUGCGAGAAUUUUAACACUAUCAUGUGGUUCAUGCUUGCCAAAAAUAUACCAAAACACUUUUGCUUAUUGCUAUUGCUUUAUUUGUACAGGACAAUCUUUCUGUUUUGGAUUUUGUUGAUAAAGAUAUAGGGGAUGUGGAACCUGUAAAACCUCCCUCGUUGGAGCAGACACCAUUCAAGCUUGUGGAAGAAGUUAAAGAUUUAAAGGAGCUAGCUGCUAAAUUGAAGAGCGUAGAUGAGUUUGCGGUAAAGUCUGACUUCUGUGAUUAUGUUUUAUUGAUAAAUAAUGCCGUGGUUCAGCCUUACUGCAGUAGUUUCUUUUUUUCAGCCUUUUGAUUUCUCUUUUCUGAUGGGGCAUUUCAUAUACAGAACUGAACACUGUCCUAUGUAGAGGAUAUAGUGUAGUUAAGGCACAUGUCACCGAUGUCAGCUACUUCAAAAUUAUAUAGUGCUGGAUGUGGUUUAAGCCAAUAAGACAAGAAAGGGGUGUGGCCGCCUAUGAAGAUACAUACAAAUAUGUUAAUAUUCGAAACAUAUACAAAGAAAUGUGCCUGUAAUAGUUUUCCUGUCUACGUAAAGUAGUAAACCAGCUGUCUAUUUAAUCUUGAUACAAGUUUUGCAUGUUUAAAAAAUUAUCUUUCAUCUUUAACAGUGAGUCCAUUUUUAGCUGUAAUCCUUUUCUCAAGCAUGACUUGGUUUUGCUUUCGUUUUCAUCUCAACAGUAAACCUGUUUGCAACUAGAAAACAUUGUAAUUUUUUUGUAACUUUUCUCUAGGUCGACUUGGAACAUAAUCAAUAUCGAUCUUUCCUAGGAUUGACUUGCCUGAUGCAAAUUUCCACCAGAACCGAAGAUUUUGUGGUAGAUACGUUAAAGCUUCGCGUUCAAGUUGGGCCAUAUCUUAGGGAAGUUUUUAAAGAUCCUACCAAGAAAAAGGUUGGUCCCUUCAACAUGCUCUCGCGUAGCUUUGUGAUAAAUCUUAUUUUUUCCCCCCCAAAUUAUGUUAACUUUUACUUUACUAGGUGAUGCAUGGAGCAGAUCGAGAUAUUGUGUGGCUUCAACGGGACUUUGGCAUAUAUUUGUGCAAUAUGUUUGACACAGGACAGGUUUUAUCCCUUGAAACUCUCUUUGAAAUUUGAGACUUUAUUGAUGAUCUUGUCUGGUUUUUUGUACAAUGGUUAAAUUUAUCUUAUCUUAUCUGCUUUUUUGUGGUCUAAUUUAUGAGUGUUGAUGCAAGCCUUUAUUCUACUAAAUUAGUUAAAUUGAGUUAUCUUUUGAUACUGUAUUUUCAAUUUUGUAAUUCAUCUUAUGUGUUUGAGUCAAGGUUUGGCUUCAAAAAGCCUUGUCAGUUACAUGUCAUCUCUCCCUUAAUUUUUUCAAAGUAGCUUCGCUUGUCAUUUGAACUAUUUGUAUCAUUAUUUUCAAUUUUGAUGUGGAACUUCCCCCAUUUAUUAAUGUUCUUUUGGUUGUUUUUGUGUAAUGCUCUUUUGUAAAUUUUACCGUGGCAUUUAUUUUGUUUUGCAUUUCAAAUAAUAGUGAGAAUUGCUUUUUUCAGUCCUAAGUUUAUUGGUUUAUUGUAAAUAUACUGUAUAUUUAUUUUGGUUUGCAUUGGGAGAUGAUCGUGGGAAUUUGUUUCUGUCUUUUCAUAAGGCCUCAAGAGUCUUGAAAUUGGAGAGAAAUAGUUUGGAGUAUCUUCUACAUCACUUUUGUGGAGUUAAUGCCAACAAAGAGUGAGUCCUUUUGUAAAGUACCUGAUCUGUUUCUCCUUAUAGUUUCCGCCCUUCAUCAUCCUAAGUCAACUCAUUGCAGAUACCAGAACGCAGAUUGGAGAGUACGUCCUCUUCCCGACGAGAUGCUGAGGUACCUUUGGUUCUCUUUUUAUCUUCUUUGUAACCUACUUUUCUAAUGAGUUCUCCAAAAAAAAAAAAAUUAUGAUCUGUUUGGCAUGAAAAUAAUUACUACUAUUUUAAAGUUCUUGUAUUCUUUGGAAAAGCAGAAAUCAUAUAUCAUCAUUUAAGUGUUUGGGGUUUCAUCUUUGCCUGUAUUUUUGUAGAAACUAAUAAUAUUUUUUUUUCUGUGGCUUAGGAUUUGAAUUGUGGGAAUAUCUAUGUUGGAAAUUAAUAAUGAGUGCACAUUGACUCUUGAUAGUGGACAAAUAUUUGGACAGCCAGGAAGGGGAAGGCCAACAAAAGUUUUGGGUUUUUAUAAGUUGAAGUUAUGAAUGGUUUUAUAAUUAAUUAGGUAUAGGUUUCCUCAUUUGGGUAUUUCUGGGAGAUCUGGGUUAUAAGAUUGAGAUAUUCCAGCCUGUAUAGAUAAUUGUAGGGUUGCCUGUGUUUGUGAUAUUCCAGCGCGUUUAUUAUUACUACUUCUUAUAUAUAUAAAAUUUUAGACUCUUUCCAUGUCUAACAAGAAGUUUUCAUGAUAUCACUUGGAUCCUACUCAUGCAGACUUGUAAGGCAUCCUUAGGUGCGGUUAUGUGAUCUGGUUUUUAUAAAUAUUUUUAAAUUUUUUGUCAGAGACAAUGCCUGUAGUGACAAUGUACUGACUUAUCUUUUGGUUAUUACCAAGCUGAAUCAGGUUGCCUGUGGUUUAUGACCAUACCAUUUGGUCUUAUAAAAUGUUCUUCCCUUCACCUCAUGUUCUCAUACUUUAAAGCAUGAAUAAUAUCUAAGGGCCUGAGAUUAUUUCAUUAAUUUUUCCCAAGUCUAGAUCCUUCCCAGAGAAAUGGAUGGAUUACCCACACACUCACCAGUAACAUGUCGUACUUUAUGACGGUUUUGCAUUACUGCUGUAUGUCAUUUAAUUUGCCCUUUUGAGGAUUCUUUAUUUUCUCUGGGCUGAUGUUACUUUGUGGUGCUUUUUUUUCCUAUUUAGUCAAAAUAUAUAUUCAUCAUAGAGUUUCUCUGUUAGAAUUUUCUUAGCUUUGAGGAUUCGUUAGUGGCAUAUCAUCCAAUUGAUUAUACUUGUGAUGACAGAUACGCUAGAGAAGAUACACACUAUCUGUUGUAUAUAUAUGAUAUAAUGAAAAUCAAGUUGUCCUCAAUGCCCAAGGAGUCUGAGAAUUCUGAUACUCCCCUGACAGAGGUAUGAUUUUUGCUUAACUGUUGGUGUUGUUUUGUAAAACUGUUGGGCAUCUCUAUGAUUAUAGAGAAUCCAUUUUUAAAUGCUUUUUUCAGAUCUUGUUGUGCCAUGUAUGACAGACCAUUGCGUCUGGAGAUUGGCAUGGAGCUUAAUAAUUACAAUGUUAAAAAUAGAACAUAAAAUAUUGGGAAGUAUCUAUCAUGACUAAUUCUUCAACUGUUUAAGGAAGAUAGUUUAAAUCCGAAUAUCCUUUUUUGGAUUGUGGACUAAAGAAAAUUGUCAACUCUUGAUUUCUCUUCCCAAGGAUGAAGACGUAUCAGUCUGUUGGCAAACACAUUUUUUGAAUUUUACUUUAGUUAUCUAUAAUUUUACCAUAUUGAGCAAACAUUUUGUUGCAAACAGGUCUACAAGCGCAGUUAUGACGUAUGCAGGCAGCUGUAUGAGAAGGAGCUUCUGUCAGAAAAUUCUUAUCUCCACAUUUAUGGGUUUGUCUUUGUCCCUAUUCAUCUCAGUUUAAGUUUUCAUUUAGUGGCCUCGCCUGUUUAAAAUCUUCUCUCAUACAGUUUUUGUUUGUUUCAUUCUUUACUUAGCAUUACUUCUCUUGUUUAAUUUUAGUUCUAUUUUGGACUUCGUAUUUAUGUGAUUUGACAGAACUUAAUCAGUGGAGCUUAUUUCUCUAUGUUGAAAUAGGUUGCAGGGGGCUGGUCUCAAUGCUCAGCAGCUUGCUGUUGUUGCGGUAUGUCAGUUCUUCAUGUGUUUUUCAAACUUUGCCACUUUUCUAUCUGGAUAUUAUAUGCAUGAGGAUGCUACUGAAAAUGUAUUAUCCGCAUGUUUUGUUUACUAGUUGCAUCUUCAAAUGAAACAAAGUCUUGACCCAGAAGAAUCCGUAACGCACCAAUAGUCACUAAUAGGAUUGUCUUGAGAAAUUUACUUCUAAAUUUUUGAGUGGAUGAUAGAAGGGUGGAUUUUAAGUAGCUGACACAUCAUUGCCAACUGCUGAUAGAGUCUGUUGCAUACUUGAGUAUUCUUGCUAGUUCUGGCCCCAUUGAUCCCACUUCAAUGAUUUGCAGGGUCUUUGUGAAUGGCGAGAUGUUAUUGCUCGUGCAGAUGAUGAAAGUACUGGCUAUGUAUUGCCAAACAGAACUCUGAUUGAAAUUGGUAGAAACCUGUCUGAAUUUCCUCCAACUCUCUCUUCUAUAUGUAUAUAAUCCAUUUGGUGAGUUAUGAGUUAAUCAUAUUUUCCUUUUGUGGUAAAAGCCAAACAGUUGCCUACUACUGCUGCCAAGUUACGUCGAUUGUUGAAAUCAAAGCACUCAUAUAUUGAACGCUAUAUGGGUCCGGUACUUAGCAUCAUAAAAAAUUCUAUGCAAAAUGCUGCUAAUUUUGAAGUCAUUGCUCAAAAAUUGAAAGAGGAACGUAUGGAAGUGGUAAGACCUGCAUGCUCAUGUUUGAUUGUUUUGUUAUAUCAGUGAUCCAAAUUGAUUAUUUUUCUUUGAGAAUUUGAUGUUAAUGCCUUCAAUGGAUUGCCAACAUACAUUGAUUUUCUUUUUCUUUUCCUUGGAUUUCGUUAGAAUCAGACCAACCAUCUUUUAAACGAGGAUGAUGGUCCAAAACCUUAAGGUCUACUACGAUGAAUUGCUACUUUUUGUGCAAGUUCUUGUAAUUCACUCAGCUGGUUGUCUUCGGCAAAUGAAAGGAAAAAGGAAAUUCAUCCAAUCCAGUUCUAUUGAAGAAAAAGAAUCCUAGUUGAUCUUACAAAAUUAAGCUUUCAUAAUUUGUUAACCCAUGGAAUGUGAUUAAAACUCAUGGACAAAGGAUGUUCCAGUUGAGAAAGGGAUUUGAGUGAUUUUUAGCAAUUAUCAGUGAUGUCUUCAUUAGAAGUAAGUUUAUGGUUUAUAGCAGUAAAUGCUCAAUAAUUAGGUACUCCUUGUAUAUUGGCUGACCGGGUCCCAUGUUUGUAGUAGGUUUUGUGAGCUACAGAGGAUUAACUUCAGUCAGUUUUCCAUGUUAUGGCUGUUAAGAGCUAUGUCACCAUUUUUCUUUGUUUACAUCAAACUAAUCUUUUUUUUUCCCCCCAUUUUUCCUUAUUUGUGUAGGCAUCAGAAGAAACUGAAGUUUUAGUUCUUGAUACUUCCUCAAACUUGAAAAUUCCGAAUGUUGGAAGGGAGAGUGUUGAUGGUGUUGAUGCAUUAGUUGGUACCACGAUGCCUCACCCACCAGCUUACACCCAGCUGAAACAAGAGCCUCCAAAGGUUGGAAGCAGUGUCGCAGAACUUGACAGAAAUGGACUAGGGUCUUUUGCGCAUCCUGGAGAAGCAAUUGCUUCAGAAAAUAAAGAAGCUACUCAUAUUUCAACACUUUCCAGCUCUGGUCAAAGUAGAGACUUGAAUGCUUGCAAGUCACCUUCACCAAGGGUUGUGAAUUUGAUGCCUUAAUGUGGAUUUUUUUUUUUUUUGGUUAAGAGGUUUAGCAUUCAAUUUCUUUUUCUUUGGUUGUGAAUUUGAUGCCUUAAUGUGGAUUGGAUUUUUUUUUUUUUUGGUUAAGAGGUUUAGCAUUCAAUUUCUUUUUCUUUAUAGGUUACUGAAGCUGCUGUUCAGGCUCUAAAGAAGCCGAACCGUGGUUUUGGAGCACUGCUGGGUAACCCAAAGAGAAAGUUUGAUGGCGAGAAAAAGGUGAGUUAAUCAUUUGCUAGUAAUGGUUGUUAAACAUCUGCUAUGUCAUUGUCACAUAGCAAAAUAACUAUUUCUGAGGCCUGCCAGUCACCCAGUUUGUGCAUGUGUGGUUGGGAAGAAGGCAACAAAGGAAGAAUAUAGUUAAACAUUUGCUAUGUUAUUCUUACAUAGCAAAAUAACUACUACUGAGGCCUGCCAGUCAGCCAGUCUCUGCAUGUUGGUUGCAAAGAAGGCAACAAAAGAAGAAUGUUUUUUUUUUUUGAAUCUUCAUUCCAUGAUUCACUUUCUUUUCAAUUUUUCUUGUCAACUAGCAUGUACAUUUGCCUUCUUGUUGCCUUUUUCGUUGCGUGAGUCAUUAUGAAUUAUGAUUUAUAUUAUACGGAAAUUGUGAGUGGGCAACUGUUGGGCUAUAAUCAAACAUGCAAAAUUUCGGGUCCCAUGACUAAGCGCUGCUAUCAUCUGGAUUUGUGUGUUGUUGCAUUUUAUAUUUGGUUAACACCCUUCUUAUUAUCCUCCUUUUGAUUGUUUGUUUGUCUUAAUUAGGACAAGGAAGCUAUGAAACUAGAGCAGAUUAAAUCCUCAGUCAAUCUUCCAUUCCACUCAAUUUUUGCAAGAGAUGAACAGUUAAAACCAGUUGAUGUGAUGAAGUCUGAACCAAAUAAGCCUGACAUUCCAUUUCCUUCAUCUUUUGGUAGUGGGCAACAAACGAAACCAAUCAUAGAGGAAUCCAAUAGAGUUACAGUAGUUUCCCAAUCAGAAGAACCCGCUCCGGCUGCUAGGUCUGAUACAGAAGAUAUUAUUACGUUGGAAGAUGAUAUAGAUGAAGAGGAACAAAACCUUGGUAAUUUGGAAACUGCAAGUGCGCCCGGAGAGGACGGUUCUGCAGGGUCUGCUUUGGAAAUGGGUAAACAAGAUGAGACCAUGUCUCUCUCUGAUUUAUCAACUAGUUUCCAGGAGUGCUUCCACUCUGCUAACAACAAUAGAAAACCUGGAAAGCCUGAGAGAUCUGAAGAACCUAGUGGUUUUUUGCAGCUUAAGCCGUUUGACUUCGAAGCAGCUAGGAAACAGAUCGAGUUUGGAGAAGAUGCCAAAGAAAAAUCAGCUGGGGUUGAUGGAAACAAAAGAAAACCAGUGAACUCUGGAGAUAAGAAAAAAGUUUCAGCUGUAGAUCAAGCUCAAAAAGAUGAUGGAACAAAAGAACUGUCACAAGGUAGACGACGUUCUGCUUUUCCUGCAACUGGAAAUCGAAGUGCAACAUUUCGCUGAGUCUCUGGUAUCAAUCAUGCUGCUCUGUGUAGCAGAAAUUAGUUGAAUUUUGGAUUUUCACAAUCAUGUUCUUGAUUUAAAUGGAAAUUAAUGCUGGUGGACAAAUUCGCAAUGGUUGUACGUAUAUUUCCAUUGCUUGAGGUCUUGUCUGAUACAGCAUGAGCUAACCUGAUCAUCUUUUGAUAUUCAGUAACAGGAGAGAUGUAUGGUCUGCAGGAGCCAAUGAUGGGCAAGUGAUACCUGAGGCCGGUGUCUAUUUGAAGGUAAAAUGGGCGAUGGUUCUAGGUUUCAUAUUAGGUUUUUGAUAGUCUUGAGUAAUUGCCCUACUAUCUUCAUAUUUAAAAAACAGGAUGGUUUCAAACCAAAGUGCGGUUUGUAAUCAAAAGCAUUUGAUCUUUUUGUUUUUGUAACUUUACGGGUUUUAUUUUUAGAAAAAUGGUUCUGUACUAUGGUUUAUUUCUGCCUUAUUUGAUAUUGUGGUCAUCUUAGGCUUUAUUUAGUGUAAUUUUUCAGUUAUAUGUUCGUUUGGGAAGAGGAAAUGAAGUUAAUUUUAUUUCACACUUGCAUAAGAAAAAAUUGUAAUGUUUAUAUUAUUUUUGUUAAAAUUAUUAUUUAAAAAUUAUAUUUGAUAUCUAUUAAUAAUUUUUAUUAUAAUUAUAAUUUUCUUUUUCCUCCAUCAUCUCAAUUGCUUAUAACUGCUGUUGAGGAUGGUUGGUGCGAUGUUAAUAAUUUGUAAAGGGCUUAGUAACAUCUGGUUCCGUGAUGUCGGCCAAACCAUAUCGAAGGGCUUAAUUUGACGGUCAUCGGGGCCUCCUGCCCAGCUGCCCUCCUUUACGGAUUCCGCUUCCGCAAAUUAUUUUAUAUAAACUGUUGUUACAUGAUAGUGGUGGCCGGAUGAAAAUACUACAUGACCAUAUAAUGCUUUCGGUGCAAUGAGUGAAAAAGAGAAAUUUUUAUGUAUUCUCGGAUUGAAGGAGAAAUUUUAAGAUUAAGAUUGUGGAGUGGUAGCAGGAGUAAAUUAUUUACUUACAUCACUAUGAGAGUGUGGAACGAAAAUUAGAAAUUAUGUAUUUUCUUUGUCUUAGAUUGAGAGUGAAUCAUUUUAAAUUAUAAUUUUAUCCUUAUUUAAAGAAUUGUAGUUUUUAAUUAUAAAGUAAAUAAAAAAAUAUAUUUGCACAAUAAAUUAUUUAUUUUGUUAUUAAUUUUAAUUAUAUAAAUUAAUAAUAAUUAUUAUUAUUCUUAAUCAUGUGAAUCAUGAUUUUUUUGUUAAUUUUNNNNNCGUACAGCAGAAAUAAAUAUGAUAUUUUUAUUUUUAAAUAAAUGUGAUAUUAUUUUUAUUUUUAUCAAUAUAAUUAUAUUAUAUUCAAUAAGGAAAUGAUAAAAAGAAAGAAGUGGGAGUAGAUUUCUACUUUUUAUUCAAAAACAAAAAUGAGACCCACAGAGUAGAAGCCUAACUCUCCUCCUUAGAUGAGUACUAAAACGUUUAAGUAGGAGAAAUUCAUAUUUUUGACUCCCACUCUACAAAGUAAACAUAAUAAUAAUAUCAUAAUAACAUUUGAUAAUUCUAUAUAUUUGUGACGUCAUAUCUCAUCAAUUGAUUAAUAAAAUUAAAUGGUGAUUAUUUAUGAAAGAACAAAAUUAAUUCAUGUGAGUUAUGGUUAAUAAAUAAAUAAAAUAUAAAAUGUUAAAUUUUGACUAUAAACUAAUUUCAAUAUCUAAUAAUUUAAAAGCUCAAUAGAGCUAUGAUAAAAACUAAAGGGAGGAUUCUUAAUCCGAUCCGGGAUCUUAAUCAGUUCAGGACCGAUCCACUUCCAGCUAUUACGCGUCAAACAUCCAUUUGACGAUUGACGUGUCACGCCAUCUCACUGUCCUCACAAGAAAACCCGUUACCUUCAAAAUGCUCCAAACCCAUCAACGCCGAAUUCAAAUCAAGCCCCAAGACCAAAUACAAAGCAAAAACAAAUAAACAAACGUCUGUUCAUUCAGUCUGAAAAAAUCAAAAGAAGUAAAAGGAUUGGCGAUGGCGAUGGCGGUUGAAGGAGGAGGGACAUUAUCGGAGAUAUAUCAAAGUGCGAAGAAGUUGCUGUUGAGAGCGAGAGACGGAGUUGAGAAACUGGAGAGACUGGAGAGCUCGACGUCGACUGGGGGAUACGAUUCGCCGGAGCUCUCCUUCGCUGUCAAGAAAGAUAUUUCUCAGAUCCAGUCACUCUGCGUCGAGAUGGAUCGCCUAUGGCGCUCCAUCGCCGACAAGUCUCAGCGCGAUCUCUGGAAGAGGUACCUAUUCAUUUACUGUUUUGCCACGUGGCACCGAAUCAACCUUGUGUCGUGUCCUAAUUGCUCUACGCCAGUUCGGUUGCAAUUCUGUGCAUGAACCGCAAUUUUUAUACUGAAUAUUACAUUAUUGAUUUUGUCUGAGCGACAAGGCAUGCUUCCACGUUUACUUGUUGCUUAGUUUUAUUGUUUUGCCUUCUAUGUUAACAGUCUAUAUAAGUUUUAUAUGUGUUACAGGCAUGUGUAUAUAUGGAAGUACAUUAAUAGCUGUUCAUGCUGUUGCUUGCUUGAGGUCGUUGGUAUAUUUGCAUUUGGAACUAAAUGUGCUUGGUGUGGGUUCGCUAUGUGUGUGUGUGUGUGUGUGUUUGUUUGCGUUUGAUGUUAAAUGGAAUUACCUUCUAUCGAGUCAGUGCCGCAAUUUGAUUGCUUGGUUUUUCAGAGGUGUGUUUUUAUGUUAUGUCAUGCAGAAAAGUUGAACAAGUAGCAGAAGAGGCUGAAUCAUUGAAAGAGAGUCUCGAUAAGUACUUUUUAAGAAAUCAGAGACGGAUAAAUGAAGCUAGAGAGAGGGCGGAAUUGCUUGGAAGAGCUGUAUGUUUAUUCAGUUUUCGUUAGAAGUUUUGAACGGAUUCUGUAGUGUUUUUCUUGUCUGGAAACGAGAAUUAGCUUUCCAAUCUGAUGAAUUUCUUUUAUGUUAUAGAAUGGAGAGUCGUCUCAUAUUUUGAGAAUUUUUGACGAGGAGGCGCAAGCAAUGCAGUCAGUACGCAAUUCAUCGAGGAUGUUGCAAGAAUCGUUUGCAACUGGGACAGCCAUUCUUGCCAAAUAUGCAGAACAAAGGGAGCAUCUAAAGGUAUUGACACUUAAGCUCCUUGUUUACAUGCACAGUUGCACACUAGAAAUUUUUGCCAAGCUCACUCAAACUGUGUGCAAACAAAGUUCACUAAACAGGGUCAAAUGAGAAAUUUACAUUCUUGUCAUGGUUGUAUUCUUAACAUGAUUAAAUAUUUAAAUGAGAACAAUGUUAGAUCCUCAAAGCAAUUAUCUUUAAUAUUGAUUUAUACUACUGCUAUAGAAAUUAUAAGUGUUUGCAGCACCUGCACAAAUGGCUGCAGAGAAUUUAGUCUGUCUAUGGUAAUAAUUUUAAAAGCUGGUAACUCCAAAUAUUCAACAGUGGCUGACAAAAACAAUCCUCAAGUUUUAAAGUAAAAGCAAACUUUGCUUUGAAAUAAUCAGUGACAACAAUGACGUGAAAGUGUCACCAACUGUUUAUAUAUAAUAUCUCCAAUAUUCCAGAAUUUAGUUUCAUAAUGGCUGGCAAAGACUUGGUUUUUUUAAGGUUUAAAGUAAAAACGAUCUCUGCUUUGAAAUGUUCAGUGGCAACAGUGAUGUAAAAUGAUCAGCAACUGUUCAUAUCUAGUAUCUCCAAUGUUUAGAAUUUUGUUUAAAAGAUCCGUUCCAUCCAUAAAAAAAUUUCAUUCUGAAUAAGCAACUCAAGAUUACACUUCGCAAGAACACACCAUCUACCAUUUCUCACAAAUUUAAAUGUCACAACCUAUGAUCCAUUACCAAUUGUGAGAAACGGCAGAUUAUUUGUUCUAAUGAAGUGUAAUUUGAGUUGCUUAUUUAAAAUGAAAUUCUUUUAUGGGUAGAAGGGAACUUCUAAACGAAGUUCUAGGAAUCAAAUUAGCUGUUUAGAUUUGAAUAGUUGGUGAUGCUUUGAUGUCACUGUUGCCACUGAUUCUUCUCGAAAAGAAACAGAUUUUUAAAUGGUAUUAUAGAGGUCACAGAAAAAAAAUAGUCAUGCUAUCAUUGAUAGCACUUGCCACUGAUGUUGAUAAUGAGUUUAACUGAUUAACUUCCAUCUUUGGUUCAGAAAGCACAAAGGAAAGCUCUGGAUGUUCUCAACACUGUGGGUCUGUCCAAUUCAGUAUUGAGGCUCAUUGAGAGGAGGAACCGUGUCGAUACAUGGAUCAAAUACGUAGGAAUGGUUUCUACAGUGGUCAUCUUAUAUUUCUUCUGGAGGUGGACUAGGUGAUCCGAUCUUCAUACUUAGCCACGCAUAGAUCAUUAAUCCGCAUACUUUGGAAUGAUUAAGUUUUGUUCUUGAUAUUUGCCCCAUAAGAGGGUUAAUGAGGAUGUACAAGGCAUUCUUUGAUGAGAGACUAUCCUCUUAUGAGGAUGUAUAAAGCAUUCUUUGUUAAGAGACUAACUCGUAUAGGACGGACUCCCAAAGAAGGUUCUUUGCAAUUCUUGAACAUUUAGAGCGAAGUUGACGAAACGUGCUAGUUGUUUUUGUAUUUUGGCAAAAGGGGAAUUACAGAGUUCGAAGAUUCUAAGAAAUGCGCCAAUUUUGUUUUGUUGUCAGAACGCAAAAACGGCCUGAUUGUGGACGGUUAAAUCCGGAAUUAUGUAGUGGAUUUGCAGUUAUUGAAGGGCAUGCUUGGGAAAAUAAUAUGGUCAAAUAAAAUCAAGAACAAUUAUAUUGUAUCUGCUGUUUAUGCGUCCGUACUUGAAGGUGUCCACGUGGCUGGUGUGUGUUUGUUAAACCAGUAAAAUUAAGUAGUGCGAAGUUCUGAUCGCCGCUCAUUGAUUGUUUUUUUUUUUAACUUUAAAUAAACUAUGAGAAAAGGCUUUGAAUGAGUCGCAGAUAAAUUAAAGUUUUUUUUUUCUUCUUCUAAAUUUAUAUCCAAUGGUUCGGCACAUGUUAUUUUCUUUAUUUUUAGUGCACACGGUAAACUAUUGAUAGUAUUUGGUGUAAACUCACUUUCAAAUCGAUGCUUCACGAAAAGUCCAAAUGACGCGCUAUGAAAGUAAUAUAGAUAACUAGGAUAAGUGGAAAUGAUAAACGAAUAAAAUGAAGUAAAAAGAAUUUUUCAUUUUUAAGGGUUACAAAAUAAGAAUAGUUAAUUACUUAAUUAGUUGACUUGCUAAAAAUUUUUCAUGCAAACAAAUGGUCUGGACUGGAAUCCGUUUAAAUGGAUAGGAAGAAAAUUAGAGUGUCGUAAAAGUACUGGAGUUUCAAAUCCCCUCACGUAGUCACAAGGAUUAGAAGAAAAUUGAAUUGUUAGGCAAAAUGAAAAAAAAGAAAAAAGCUUAACAUUUUUAUUUUCUAAAAAAAUGUUUUUCUUAGUUGUUUUGUUUUUUAAUUUUAAAUAUAUUUAAAAUUUUGAAAUUAAUAAAUGACUUUGAAAACUUGAGUGUGCUCGAGCCUCGAGAUCUACUCAAAUUCUUUUACAUUAUUACAUUAUGAAAAAUUGUAUGAUGUCGUGAUUAAACUAUUGUAUCAAUACUAUGAUAAACAUAAAUUUUAGAAAUUAUAUAUAAGACUAGUAAGUGAAAUGUAAAAUAAAUUAAUUAAUAUAAGAGUGGUAAAUAAUGUUUUAAAAUUAUAAACAAAACAAACACUUAUAAAAAUAACAUAAAAAUUAUAAAUCAACAUUAAAUUUUAAUGUAAAAAUAGUUUAUUUAUUUAAUUUAUUCAAGCAAAGAAAAACUUUACUCAUCAAUUGAAAACAAAAAUUUUGUAUUGAAAACAAUGGGAAUAAGUUUUAUUAAUUGAUUUAACCAUGAAUUUUAUAUUCAUGUCAGGAUAUUUAUAAACUGUUUUUUUUUUUCAUUUUCUAUCAUAGUAUUUGUUUACUAUACAAGUUGAUUAAGUAAACUUAUUAUUAUUAUUAGUAUUAUUAUUAUUAUUUAUGUGGAUCAAGCCAAAACAAAAUAAAAAUACAUUUGAAUAUUACUAGACAUAUAUGGAAUAUUAAUACAAUUGAAUCUAACUUUCAGUUUUAUACAUAAUUCAUCUAGUUUCAAAUUUUACUUCUUAUACUAAAAGAUCAUUUGAGGUUGCUAUCGAGGAGGUUUAAAAUGAUGCAAAAUCACUUAUAUCACAAAUAAAAUAUGAAAAAAAAUUUCUAAAAUUUGAUUUUGAGAGUAAGUUUUAUCCUUAAUAAAAUUCCACAUAUAUUAUCACGUCUAUUACAUAACCACAGAAUUAUCAUUAUUUGAUUUAGAAAUAAAAAUAGUAAAUAUAUAAUGUAAUCAUUAUUAUAGUGAGUUUUUAUUUAUUUUUUCAAUAACUCUUAUAAUAUUUACUUAUUUUACAUUCAUUUACAACUCUUCUAUUUUACUUUUAUAAUUUAUAUGUUAUUUUACACUUAAUGUUGAUGUACAAGUUUUAUAUCACAUUUGUAAACAAGUUUUACUUUAUAUUUACAUGUAUUAUGUUUUAUUUACUUAAUUCAUGUUUUAUUUUAUACUUAAUGUUGAUUUACAAGUUUUAUAUUAUAUUGAUAUAAGUUUUUAUUUUAUUUACUAAUGAUAUAUCAACUUACCACUGUUAAUUUACUUAUUUUACCUUCAAUUUGCAAGUCUUGUGUUUCAUUUACAUAAUUUAUUAUGUUUUAUUUUACGUUUAAUGUUGAUUUACAAGUUUUAUGUUAAAUUUACACCUCUUAUAUUUUAUUUACACAAUUUAUGUUCAAUUAUAGUAUAUUAUAGAAUGACUCAUUUGACAUUACAAUACAAAAUUAUAAACAUAAAUAGAUGUAUCAAAAAGUCUUGUCGAAAAAUGAAUCCACCUUAAUACGGACCUGUCUCAUUGUUUUAUAAUUAAAGUUGCACACUCUUACAAUGAACUUGAAGAAAUUGAAUUCUCAACAUCAAUAAUGAGGUGUCUAUUACUAAUAAUAGUUUAUAAAAAAAAUAAAAAAAAUAAAGAAAUAUGAUUAAAUUGAUCAAUGUAAUUUUAUUAAAAAAAAGAAGCAUUUUUAUUACAAAAGCAAUCUCAAAAUAUAUAUUUUUUGUAGUUACAAAAAAUCAUGACCUAGUGGCGACCUAGUGGCGACCUGGUGGGCGUAUAUACAAAAAUCAUAAUAUUUUUAUACUGAUUACAUAAAUUCGGUGAUCACAGACCACAGUAAAACCCUGAAACCGCCCAACGGGGUUCUUUACCAGAGGAAAAAAGGGAGGAAAGAAAAUGACUUUUUAAUAUAACGGCACGGGUUUAAGCCAAAAACGGUGGAAUCAAAUCAUUGACACGUUCGUGCGAUGCCUUCACUCCUCAGGCAAACCAGACUCCCGCAUGUGAAUGCCACGUGAACGUAGCUUCUUCACAUAAUUUUUACCCCAAUGUCCAAAUUACCCCUUAUCUUUUACUCCUUUUUUUUUCUUUUUAACUUUGCCCGAUUUUGAAGUCUAUUACGUAUUGCGGACUGCUGCCCUCGCUUGACGUGUUUUUUCUCCUUUUUUUUUUUUUUCCCUCUCCAAACUAUUCUUUUCAAUUUUAACUAAAUAAUUUUUUUUUUUAUUACGAACAUCAACUUAAAAUUUAGGUUAGUUAGACACUUCCCCACUUCAUCCUUAAAGUCAAGUAUUCAUAUCUAUCUGUCUAUGGUGAAUAAUUUUUUUUAUUUUUUAAACUACGAACAAGUUAUCUUUUUUUUUUUUCUUUUCCAAUAUCACUAUUUAUCCACUUUUAGUUUAAUUCUUUCUGCCUAAGAUGAUCAAUUUAAAUUAAAAAUGGGAUUUUGAAAUUAUUUACUAAAAAUCAUGAUUGUUCUUUUGACGUAUUUGAAUAAAGUUUAUUUGGAAAAAUUAAUGUAAAAAAAAAAAAUGUUGGAAGAUUACGACAAUGGAAAUGUAGUCUCUGGUGAAAUGCUCUGAUUCAAUCAAUCAUCAGCAAAUGCGGUUCGCACGUUGGCAAUGGAACUCGUGAUAGCACAACCGUGAAAUGUCCUUCAUUUGGGAGUCCACGUUAAUCACAUGUGGGUCCAUCUUGAGUGCUUUUGUGCUUUACAAUUAAAAUAGACAGACAGGCUGAUGACCUGACAAUUUCGAGCCUGAUAAAGCCCCUUCAUCAACUUGAUCAGAAGGACAGGACAGCUAUUAAUAGAAAAAAGCAGCAGACUAGUACUAAUCGAGAAGUCAAACAGAUAAAAACUAAAACUAAAUAAUCUAAUCUCCUCCUAAUUCACUAAAUUAUUUUAUUUCUAUUGGUAUAAUUAAUUAAUUGAUUGAUUAAUCAAACAUGCCUUCACAAUUAAAUAGUUUCAACAGUGUAAGUUGAACCACGUGUCAAGCAAAAGCAACCAUCAUUUAUUAUAAUUUUUUUUUAUUUUUUUCGAAAAAGGAAAAAUCAAAAAACAAGGCAAGUUGAUGCCAACAGGAUCUGAUCCGGAAGGGUAACCGAGUCAUUUCGCCGUCAUGCAUGCCUCAAUCCGGAUUGCCUGCCCGCCCCCACGUUGGAAAACCAGGGACGCAUCGAUAAGCAGUUUCAACACCCAAAACACAAACUUGGGGGCGGGAAUUGCAAAACGAAAUAACAGCUUUUGCUUUUGCUUUAAUUUUUUUCCGUUUGUUUUCUUAAAAAGAAAGAAAAAAAAAAAUACUCCCAGUUCCACAAUAGAGCCCCUGGUUUUGCCUAUUUCUUUAAUCCUUUUACGCAGACUCAUGAUAAAUAUCUCCAUCUAUCAGUCAGUCCAUACGGUUUCCUUUCAUCACCAACCCCACCAACGAAAACAAAAAAAACAAAACAAACCCCCUCUUCAGAAAUAUAAUUAUAAUUUUCUUUUUCUAUUGAAUUAAGCUUGUUGGGUAUAAUUUGCUAAUUAAUCAAAGAUCGAUCUAUGACGACGGAAGCGGUCAGCAAGGUUGGAUAUGCGCAUAGUAAGGUUGCUAUGAAGAAGAAGAGCGGUUAUCGAGGUCGAUGCAGGAGAAGAAAUCACGACAGAUAUGCACCCGAUAAUAAAACGGUGCCGAUGGCGCUGCAGCGUCUGUUUCUUUCUUGCAAAGACGUCUUCAGAGGCCCUGGAACCGUUCCCGCUCCUUCUCAUGUCCAAAUGUUGUGCUCUAUUCUUGGUAAGUGUUUUUUUUCUUACACUUCAUCAUUUCUGGUCCAAUUUUCUUGUUUUUCAUUUGGCCGCUGCACUCGCAUGACGUGUAUGUUGUGAAAUCUGAACCCAUCAUCAUCCUUCAUCCAUGCACAUAUAUAUUAUCAGUCAUGAGAAAUUUUGAAUCAGCCAUUAAAAAAAGAAAAAAAAAAAGAAAAGGAAAGAUUCAAUAUUAUCAAAUCAAUACCAUUUUGUUUCAUGAGAUGAUCUAUGAAAGAUGGGAAAGGAGCACUGCUCCUUAUUUCAUUUCCUGUCACGUCUGUGUUUCAAUCAAUUGUAAUAAUACAUAUAGCCACGUAAAAAGCAAGGGGCAAUACUCUUUACAGCACGAAAACCUUCUCAAAAAAGGGGCUUUACUUUAUUGGCAGUAAUGAAUUGUUUUGAGCAAUUCAAUUCAUCAGUGCACUUAUCAUGUUUACGUAGUUUGUCAAUUUGGUUCCAGUUUUUGGUUCUUUUUAUUGGAUUCAGUGCCGAAAUGUCAUGUGUGUUCAUAGGACGUACUGGGAAAAGGAUUAGAAAUCUGUACUGAAUUUUUUUAAAUUUUGGGGGGGGGUUUUUUUUUGGGGUGGAUGGGGUUAUGGAUCUAAGUGGAUGGUACCAAUUUUCAAAAAUGUAGUUUAAUUAACUUUCCAGUUGAAAUUACAAAACCAAACCAUCCGAAAUGGAUUCUUCGAGAAAAGGUGGGUUCAGAAAACAAAGUGGUUGCUUCUAGGUGAAUCCAGAUUUUUUUCACGCGGACACAUGGUACCUUUUGGUUGAUUACCCAGCCACAGUGUUGCUUGAGGGGACAAAAAUAUCAUAUUUGUUUUUUUUUUUUUUUCCAAAUUCCUUUUUAAUUCGUAACUCAAUCUCAUGGGAUCCUACUCAGCAGCCAUUGUGAUUAUUUUUUUUACCUGACGACGCAAAAAUCUUUGCAUUAGAAAGGAUACAUAAGCACAUUUGCCUACUGUUGCUACGUGUACAUGUGCAAUGGUUUGGUUGCAAAACUGGAAGCAUUGGCACAUUAUAUAUAUGUGUGUUUUUUUUUUUUUAAUAUGUAUAAAUGCAUGGAUCAUGACACUUGGCUAAGUUAAAAUUUCCAUUUUCUCGUUAUCAUAAAGAUUGCCAGUGACUCAAACAAGCUUUUCUUUUUAAAUUUAUGAUGCUACAGAUGAAAUGAAGCCAGAGGAUGUUGGGCUUAGCAGUAAGUUACAGUUACUUAGUGCCAAAGAUGCAAUGAAAGGGACGCCAAUUGUCACAUCCACUACAAUAUACAAAUGCCAGAACUUUUCGGUAAAGACAUAAGCUAUUCAUAUUGGGCUAAAUUAAAUUCUUUUAUUAUCGUAUACUAAUUUGUAAACCAUACUAAUUAAUAGUGCAAAUUUGAUUUAGAACUUGAUAGAUUACCUUUUGGAUUCUCUUUUGUGCAGUUGUGUCUUUUCUUUCUUCCUCCAACUGCUGUGAUCCCCUUGCACAACCAUCCGGGAAUGACUGUUUUUAGCAAGCUUUUGCUCGGGACAAUGCACAUAAAAUCGUACGAUUGGGUCGAUCCUGUUGACGCAAACGAUUCUGCAGCCCCCACAAAACGUGAGUACCGCUUACCUUAUACAUAUAUGUCCAUGUAUAAUGCACACACGAACACACACACACACACACUCACAUAUCAAAACAACACGAUAACUUGAAUGUGCUAGCUCGGACUAGGAUGAUCAUUUGUGACUGAAAGUGAUGAUUUAAUUAAUUUGCAGCGCGAUUGGCGAAGUUGAUAGCCGACAGUGAUUUCACAGCACCUUGCAACACUUCUGUGCUAUAUCCAACAACAGGAGGCAAUAUCCAUGAAUUCACAGCCAUUACGACAUGUGCCGUGCUCGAUGUGCUUGGACCUCCCUACUCUAAGGACGAUGGUCGGGACUGCUCAUAUUACAAGGAGUUGCCACUUCCCGCGGUUCCAAGUAAGCGAAACAAAACCACUUGUUACUGAUUAAAAACAACCUCGUUUAAACCUCCUCGAGUAGCGCUUUCAGAGGUCUUACCAAUUAAACCCACCGAUUUUGUUAAUGCAGAUGGAGAGAAUCAGGAGGCAAAAGAGGAUGAUGGUGGUGAGAGUUGUAGGUGGUUGGAAGAGAUUGGGGUGCCAGAGAACUCACACAUGGAUGAAAUUGAGUACUUGGGACCGCAGAUAAUUGAGUAGUAGCUGUAACUAGCUUCAGCCCACAGUCGCGUGAUAAAAAAAAAUUUCAACGCAUUAUCUUCUUUUGUUUCAUAGCUAGUCAAUGGUUUUGUAUUUAUAUAUACACAUAUAUUACGUUGUUUCCUGACCUGAGUUUUCACUAUGUUAAUAGCAAAAUUUCAUUUCUUUUUCUUUUUUCUCUUUAAUCCCGGUAUCUUCUUUAAUAACUUGAUUACUUGAGUACACUGUACCAUUGAAAUCAUGGUUCAUGCCAUAGUUCCCUUAGAGGAAGGUCCAAACCCGGCUUAGGAGAAAUGGAGGUUUGGGCUGUCGAGGGCCUUGGUGUUGCUAUGUUCCCAAGAGAUGUUUACUUGGGCUGUCGAGCGCGCCGAGAAGUGCUUAAUAUUACAUCAAUGGGCCGGGCUUGUAACCGACUACUACACAUUCCCAUGGCGGCAAUCCUGAUCAGUAAUUAACUUGGGAUUUUGCAUUCAAUGAUUGCCACAAUAAUAUCAGCAAACUUUUCAGAAGAACCUUAAUUGAUAAUUGUCAUUUUGCAAUCAUAGGUUAGUUGAUGGAUAUACCAUGGGCCCUGAAAAUUAAUUAAAAUAUCAAACAUUGUAUGCUCCUAGGUUGGAAAUUUUUCAAAAUUUUCAAUAGAAAAAUAACCUCAAAAUCAAUAUUUUACAUGUGAAGAUCUGUUUCAUUAACAAGCGCGAUGGGCCAAACGGAGGGAGCCAGGAAUUUUAAGCUGUUCAUAUUUGACGCCCUAAUUUGGGAUUUGCUAAUACGGAAAAACUUUGAGCUGCUCACUAAUUUAUAUCUUGACUUCGAGAAUCUGCGCAAUUACUAAUUAGUAGCCAUCAAUAAUUGUCAAAAAUCAAUUUUGAAUUUCGAUAUUUUUGAAUGCAUUGGUGUUACGUGUUUCUCCAUACGCGUUAGUAAAUUUGAGAUGGUGUAAAUUUGUAAUAAACUAAUAAUAUCUUCUUUUUUUUAUAAUUUGAAAAUCAACCCAAUCUGAUUCUCUAAAUUAACAAGAUCAAAUUGACUAUCCAAUGUUCAUUCACUAGGAAAGUCCUAAAGGUCCCUCUAAACUAGAAAGUUACUCAAAUCUAUGGCCAAAAUAAAGUCUUCUUAUAAUUAAAGAAACAACCCAUCUUUUUUUAAGAUCUUCUGACAAUGAAUUUUCAAUUAUGAUGGGGUUUGAAGUUUUGAAAUUUUCUAAGAAUUAUUAACAACUGAAAAGAGAAAGCAAAAGAAAAAGGACGAUGUGAUAUGGCAUGGGACAUGGACUUCCCACCACCUUUACAUUGCCAUCAUGCAAAAAAAAAGCUCUCAAUUUUAUGCUUAGCUUGUUCUUGUUUUCUUUCUUUUAUCACUUCUUUAUUACGUGGGUCUUGAAUUCUCAAUAGUUUCUAAUUGUUAAAAAACUCCAUGAAAAUUGCUUUCCCUAUUGUAAUACCUCCAUUAAGGAGAAUGAAGGGUUAAAAAUGUACCGACAGAUACUGGAAAAUUAUUGAAUGAAGUAAUCAACAUGAUUGUUCACUGACAAUAUUAUAUUCGGAAUAAUGAUAGCUGGUUGUUUUGGAUUGUUUUAGAUGUUGUAUUAGCCAAUUAGGCAUAUUGGUAUAUAUUAUUAUUAUAUGAAAUACUAUUGCCUUUUUUAUUAGCAAAAGACUUUCGGUUAAGAUUUUGCUUAAUUACACGAUUGCAUCGUGAUUGUUUUUAAGCUUCAUCAUUCAAUUCCAAAACUUAACGUAACAAAAGAUCUUACUAACAAUACUAUUUUAAUACCCAUUUUUUUCCCAGUCACGUGAGUGUAUAUGAUCUCCAUAUCUUUGGUACUAUAUCUAAAAAAUUUUUCCAAUCAAAUUAAUUAACACCCGCAGCUACAUUUAAGCAAAUUGUUCUAAGCCGCUAGGGUUUAAUCUAGUAGUUAAAACACAACCCUUACAAUUGUGAGAUUAUGCGUUCGAACCCUCACAACAAUACAUUGUGGGGGUUUAAUUUUCUUCUCUAAUUUGAGUGAAAGCAGUCUCAUAAAAAUAUGGAUUGUGCUUGUCCCAAAAUUAUUUAAUUAUAAAUAUCAGUAUACUAAUCUCAUAAAAUAUAAGUAAAUACGAGUUGGAAUAUGAUCAAUAAUGUCAUAUAAUUUUUUUUAUUUAAAAAAAAAAAAGCAAAGUGCUAUGCAAUCCACUUGAUAUUACGACAAUAACUGGCACACUAAUGAACAACUAGUAAAUUCAUUUUAAAAGAAAUAACACCCCAAAUCAUUAAUAUUUAAAAAGAAUCAUUUGAAAAAAUCUUAAAAAGUGUUCGGCAAUCCACUUGUCAUUGUAACAAUCACUCACACGCCACUGAUCAACUUUAGUUUCAUUCAGUAUGCCGAGAAAUAGAAUUUAAAAAUAACAACACCUCAAAAUCAUACAUAUUUGAGAAGAAUCACAUGAAAAUUGAGCAGGUCAAAUAGUUGUGUAUAGAACAAAUUUUUUCAUGAGACAGGCUGGAUAGCAAGAAAUGGAAGCCAACUGUGAGUUUCGGUCUUUCAUAGAAUUUGGCCUAACGUUGUCACAUUCACUAUUCACGUACCCAUAUUAUCAUCAUCCCAGUGGGCACUGGCACUGCUGAGUGCUGACCCAAUAGAACAAAAUAAUAAUAAUAAUAAUAAUUCCCACUUGCUCAAUAUUUUAUUCUUUUCAUUUUAAUUGUCAUUUUCCCAAGUAAAUAAAAACCUUUUAUGCAAUUAAUUCUGCUUGUCGGGUGGAUGAGGUGGUUCAUCACGUUCAAAUGUUCAAUCAAUGACAAUUUUAUCGCAAAUUCCAUUGCUUAUAAUUGUUGUAACCAAACAAAUCCCUGGUGCCUGCACUAACACCUUAGCUUCAUUUUCAAUUAAGGCGGUUUUCAACAACUUAUUAACUUUAUUUUUAAAGAAAAAGAAAUCCCAAGUGUUUUUCUCACUAAUUGAUUGCUUAAAAAUACUUAAGAAAAUUACCCACAAAUAAAUUAACGAUAAACAUUUAGUACUAGCUUAUGAUUUUUUUGGGGGGGGGGGGGUUUCUAAUAAAAUUUGGAUUAUUUGGGUUUUAUAUUUGAGAAAAGUUAAGUUACGACGAUCGAUAAUUAUAUACCCUUAAAUAAUUAUUAUCUAAUUUGGAUAUUUUUAUAUCUUAAUGAGUUCGUGUUGAUUUGCCAAUCUUACAAGUCUUUAUUUUACAAAAUAUAGAUAUUUAGAUUGAAAAAAACAUAUAUAUAUAUGUAUGACAGUAUGAGUAGUGUAUAUGUUACAAGAUAUUUUAAAAUUUAAUACUUUAGUUGAGAAAUGCCAUCACCCUCAACUACUCGGUUACAAGAAUAUUAUUGCGUUAUUUAAUAUUCUGUUAUCGAUUGCUUUAUUAGGAAGAAAUAAUGAAAAAUGGGACAUCCAUUGCUAAAGUACAACACAACAUUGUUGACAAGUGAGUCCCCCUUGAAGUGACAACUAUUUUUUUUCUUCCUUAAUAAAGGACGAGCUAUGUGUAUGUGGUUUUGCCGUGCAACCCAAGUUUCAAUGUCUGUAUCAUUUAUAGGGGGAAACCUUAGGUGCAACCCACACACGCCACUCGGCUUUUGGCAGCCUGGUUGAGAGGGCAGCAGUUAUUUUUGUGGGGGCUAAAACAUUCAUUCUUUUUUUCUUUUGUAAUUUUUCAUCUGUGAGGAUUAUUUGUCAAUAUAGAAAUUUGAUACUGUAAUCAAUAUUAAAAAAAAAAAAAAAAGUACCCACACAUACACACAUAUAUCUAAGAAAAUAAAUGAUGAAUACUAUGUAAGAGAAAAUUUGGUAGUUACAGGGUGAACACUUUCUUAUCAAAAUAAUAAUAAUAUAAUAAAUUAGAGACCCUCCUGAAUAUUUCCAACAUGCUUCUCAAAUUGCAUGAGUGUUGGAUUCAUCAACUUAUUAUUAUUAUUAUUAUUAUUAUUAUUAUUAUUUUAUCAUCAAUUGAUGUGCAAAAGGGUGAUGUUAUCAGUUAUCACGGCCUCCUGAGAAAAAAAAAAACUUUAAAUUCAACGUGAAAUGAAAAAUGUAAGGAAUCAAAUCGAAUUGUCAAAAUGAAAUGAGAGGCGAACAAUUUAACUGUUCAGAAAAGAAGCAAAGGCGCCAAAAGCAACGGACGGAACAUAAAAGUGGGUCCCACGUUUCAAAGGGACAAAACCAGAGAAAGCCAAAGCCCACCCCGCAACGAAAGUGAUGCCAAAGCUUACAAUUUGUAUUACCUUAAAAAUUCUGUUCGGUUCAUUUAAAUUUUAUUAUAAAAUCAUUUUCAAAAUUCCAAAUUUUAUAACCAAAAAAUUCGCUGCAUGCAGCGAGAAAGCAGCAAGUGAAGAAUAAAGGGUUCCCCCCGUCAGCAAGAAUCUUUUCUUUUUUUUUUUCGCUUUUUUUUUUCCCUUUGUUUUUUAAGAAAGCAAAAAUUAAGAGAGCAUUAGUUUUGCUGUCAUGAUAAGUAUGGUGUUCAAGAGAGUGUCGGCUAGUGGGAAGUGUUUUGUCAUUCAGUCAUUGUGUUUGCAAUUUUCUUAUGAACCCGUGUCAAUAAAAUGUCUUGGCUUGUGAACAGAAACUGAAAUUGAGCUUCUUUGUGUGUCAGUGAGAUUUACAGUGUCUGUGCAUUGAAUGUAUGGUUGCUAAAUUUUUGCUUUUUUCUUCUUCUUCUUUUCUUUUUUCCCCCCGAAGUGGAUAGUCAAGAAAUAUGAAGAGAUUAUGACUUGAGAUUUUUUUUUAUUUUAUUUGAAGUGAUGAUCUGAAUUAACUGGGCUUUGGUUUCUAUGGUAGAAGUUUUGUUCUAUUUUGUGAGGGGAUUUCUUCAUGAGUUAGGCAAGGAAUUAAUUCGUUUUGAAGUUAGAAUUUAUGUGUUCAAAGUUAGUUUCAAGUGACCUUUCUAAAGUCUUUAAGGUAUAUUGUUGGAAAUUAGCUGGCUUUUUUGUUCAAUCAGUCUCUCAAGAGGUAAGCUCCUUAUGAUCCUUUAGAAGUUUUUAGUUAUGAUAAUGUCGAUUGAUAAAUUAUCUGUAAUUUGUAUAAUAUUUGCAGAGUUUCUGUUGAUCUUGGGAGCUGGCGCUUCUGUAAUUGAGAAGCUAGAGGCAUCACUCUGUUAUCCCAGCGGAUUUUUAAAAGCUCUAGAAUCCCUUUGUGAUUUUCUCUAGUGUUCCUUUUUGUAUGCAUUGAUGGCAAGAGCAUCCAGAUUCAGUCAGUGUGCACUUCUGGUGCUUGCUUACAUUUUGCUUCAGGUCAAUCAUUCGGAGCAACUGCAGUCUUCUCAGGCUCAGACCCUUUUGAGGAUUCAAGGGCUUUUAAACAAUCCAACUGUUUUAAGCAGCUGGAAUAUCACCACUGAGUUCUGCAAUACAGAACCAACCUCGUCUUUAACUGUAGUAUGCUACGAAGAGAGCAUAACCCAGCUGCAUAUAGUCGGCAACAAGAGAGCUCCUACGUUGCCUCUAAGCUUUUCCAUGGAUUCCUUUGUGACGACUCUUGUUAAGCUUCCGGACUUGAAAGUCCUCAGGCUGGUUUCUCUAGGUCUAUGGGGUCCCUUGUCUGGUAAAAUUUCACGUUUAUCGUCACUGGAAAUACUUAAUAUGAGCUCAAAUUUCCUGAAUGGUUCUGUACCUCAGGAGCUUUCAAUUUUAACUAGCCUUCAAACACUCAUACUUGAUGAAAACAUGCUUGCUGGUCGGGUUCCAGAUUGGUUGGGUUCAUUACCGAUUUUGGCUGUUUUGAGCUUGAGGAAUAAUAUGUUCAAUGGGACUUUGCCUGAUUCGUUUAGUUACUUGGAGAAUCUUAGAGUUCUUGCGCUUUCAAACAAUCACUUUUACGGAGAAGUUCCUGACUUCAGUGGUUUGACUUACCUUCAAGUACUUGACUUGGAAAAUAAUGCUUUGGGACCUCAGUUUCCUAAAGUUGGCAAAAAGUUGGUUACAAUGAUACUGAGCAAAAACAAGUUCAGGUCUGCCAUUCCUGCUGAAGUGAGUUCCUAUUAUCAGCUUCAGCGGCUAGAUCUCUCAUCUAAUAGAUUUGUUGGACCAUUCCCUCAAGCACUUUUAUCCUUACCUUCUAUUACUUAUUUGAAUAUUGCUGAUAACAAACUCACGGGGAAGCUUUUCGAUGAUCUUUCUUGCAAUCCCGAACUUGGAUUUGUGGACUUGUCAUCAAAUCUGCUGACUGGACAGUUGCCGGAUUGUCUACUUGCAGGUUCUAAAAACAGGGUUGUCCUGUAUGCUAGAAAUUGUCUAGCAGCUGGAAAUGAAAAUCAACACCCGCUUUCCUUUUGUCAGAAUGAGGCUUUGGCAGUGGGAAUUUUACCUCUGCAAAAGAAGCAGAAACAAGUUUCCAAAGCAGUUCUUGCGUUGAGUAUAAUAGGAGGAAUUAUUGGGGGAAUCUCACUUUUUGUGAUUGCUUUCUUGCUUGUUAGGAGAACUAAGUCCAAGCAAACAAUGAAGAAGACUCCAACAAGAGUAAUUCAAGAAAAUGCUUCAACUGGGUACACCUCGAAGUUCCUCUCAGAUGCAAGUAAGGCUUCAUCUCCCCUUAAUCCCCCUGCCAAGUAAUUCCCAUUCUGUGUUUCUGUUGAAAUCAAGCAUGAAUCUGGGCACACCUCAAAGCUGCUACUGGAGUCAUGCAUUGUGCAAGCUUUAAUGUAUUUAUGCAUGUGUCCACACACAAUGUAGUGUUGCAUUUUUAGGACAUAGGACCGUAAGUUUUAAUUGAAAGGUUGUCUUUGAAUACUCUAUUUUGAUCAUCCAACUUGAAGCCCUCACAUAGAAAUUAUUGACCAGUCAGUUGCAAGAAAUCGAGUGAUGAUUGUGUUCUUGUCUUAAAGCCAGUUAAUAAUAUUCUUGAACUGUUAAAUUGUUGUCCAAGUUUUAAGCUAUAUUAAAAUUGACCAUAUGAUCGUUUGUGCCCCCUGAAGGGUAUAUUUCUCAAACAAUGAAGUUGGGAGCACUUGGUCUUCCAGCUUAUCGAACCUUUUCCUUGGAAGAGCUUGAGGAAGCUACAAACAACUUCGACACCUCUGCUUUCAUGGGUGAAGGUUCUAAAGGGCAGGUAUGCUACUCUGGUACAAUAUAUAUAUGAUGCCUACUUUCAUGUCGCAAUGAUGCACAGUAUGACAGUUCUGACAAUUUGUAUUUUCCCUUUGCGUGAUCCGUUCAAAGAACGGAAAAGGAAAAGUUGGUCCAGCAUUUCUCUACACCUCACAUAUUUCAUGCUUGCAGAUGUACAGGGGUCGCCUGAAGAAUGGUACCUUCAUUGCCAUUAGGUGCCUUAAAAUGAAAAAAAGCCACAGCACUCGAAACUUCAUGCACCAUAUAGAGCUGAUAUCAAAACUCAGACAUUGUCAUUUAGUCAGUGCUCUUGGACACUGCUUUGAAUGCUACUUUGAUGAUUCAAGUGUUAGCAGAAUAUUUCUCAUCUUCGAAUACGUUCCAAACGGCACACUAAGGAGCUGGAUAUCUGGUAAUUCAUGAAAAUCUUUAAUUCGUUUCUCAGGGUGGAGGAUAUAAAGUAAUUAAAGCCACUCUUUUGUACUCCUCUGCUCUAUAAGCCGGCUUUAUGGGGUCUUCAAAAGUAGCUGUGAAUUUUUUAACCUUGAUCCUGCGUGUAGUCAUUGAAUAAAGUAAUCAAUCAGUCUAGAUAGUUCAGUUUCCUGCAAGUAAUUAAUUUACUUAAAGAGAAUAAUUCGUGGUUUUUAAAAUAUAUUGUUCAAAGUCAUCAAGAAAAGACCGAAUCGGAAUCAUGUUCCAUAGUAAUCACAAGAAAUUACUAUUUUAUGUCCUCCAUCCUGACUUGUUGUUAUAUCCAGUUAAUCAAAUUAUGCCUUUAUGUUCUGGCUGGUUUCAAAGUCUUAGAUACUUUUAUGCAGAAGGGCAUGCCUGGCAAUCACUUACUUGGACACAACGUAUAUCAGCUGCAAUAGGGGUGGCAAGGGGCAUACAAUUUUUACAUACAGGGAUUGUGCCUGGUGUAUUUUCAAAUAAUUUGAAAAUAACAGACAUUCUACUAGAUCAGAACCUUGUUGCAAAAAUUAGCAGUUAUAACCUGCCUUUAUUAGCAGAAAAUGCCGAGAAGGUAAAAAGGAGAGAAUCUUCCUUUUCAUCAUUCUGUCCAUCUUUUCCAGUGCCAUGCACUUUUCAGUUGAUUUGUAGCUUGCUUCAUCUGUGCAGGUUGGUCAUGUAACCCCUUAUUCUGGAUCCAUAAAUCCUACAAAUAGUGCAAGGUAGGUAAUUGCUUCAAUAGUCUGACAAAUGUUGUUGCAGUUCAUUAGAAAUAUUAAAAAAUAGGGAUAUUAUCAUUUUUCCACCAAAGGUAUUCUGACACAUCAUGUCAGUACCACGGUUUAGUAAAACUAUCAAUUUACCACCAAACAUUUAAACUGUUAGCAUUUUCUCACCAUUCCGUUAAAACUCAGUUAAUAUGUAAUGAAAAUUUUCUAAAAGGUCAAUUUUACCCCUGGAGCAUAAAAGACCAUGUAAUUAACUUUUUAUGAAUUUUGUAAUUAAAUCAUCAUUUAUUGUUCUUCCUUCUUAAAGGACAAAAAUUACCCUUUAUGAAUUUUGUAAAAUUGACCGUGUGGUGUUAGGUAAUUCAUAAAUUGAUUUAAUUUAUUUAAUUUUUAAAGGGCAAAUUUAUUUAUUUAAUUUUUUGUGUAAAAUUAUUAUCAUCAUAUCAAAGAUUAAAUUGCUUCUUUUGCACUUUUUUUUUUUUUUGCCCUUUCAUAAAUUGAGUUUUAGUAGUAUAAUAAAUUGUCUUUAGCUCGUCAAUUUAAUAAAUAAAUUUGCCCUUUAAAAAUUAAAUCAAUUUAUGAAGUACCUAGCACCACACGGUCAAUUUUACAAAAUUUAUAAAGGGUAAUUUUUGUCCUUUAAGAAGGAAGAACAACAAAUGAUGAUUUAAUUAUAAAAUUCAUAAAAGGUUAAUUACAUAGUCUUUUACGCUCCAGGGUAAAAUUGACAUUUUAUAAAUUUUCUGUUACAUAUUAAUUGAGUUUUAACGGAAUGGUGGGAAAAUGCUAACAGUUUAAACGUUUGAUGGUAAAUUGAUAGUUUUACCAAACCAUGGUACUGACAUGAUGUGUCAGAAUACCUUUAGUGGGAAAAUGAUAAUAUCCCUAAAAAAUAAAAGGAAAAACUAAAAAGGAAGCCUUAACGGGCAACUAAAAUUGCUAAAAAGAAUAUGUUGGGUAUAAACGUAUAAGAUCAUGCACUAAUAAAUCAUGCUGCAUGAAUAUCUACUGCUAUGAGAAAAUAAGUGAUGACAAUCUUCAAAUUUCCUCUAGUUUCUGCUCUUAGAAUUUUCUAGUCAUACAAUUCUACCAAAACAAAUUCAUUCUGAUUUAAAUUGAUGUAAGAACUGUUCUCUCUACACUCUCUUAUUUGGCAGGGGGAAACUUGAAGAUAAGAUUGACAUUUAUGACUUUGGAUUAAUUUUACUAGAAAUUAUUGUUGGGAGGCCAUUAAAAUCCAGGAAAGAAGUGGAUCUUCUGAAAAAUCAGGUAAUGGUUCUGCUUGUUUACAUUACUUUCUUUCAAAAAUCUUUCAUAUCCAUUCUUCUUUCUCAGUCAUCAUGUGAAGAGUUCAGAAUGCCGUGGAAAUUUGAUCACUCUUUGGUGCACAGCUAACACAGUAACACCCUAGGAUUUGUGUUCUAAAAUUGCAUCUACUCGGGCUCUUCUAGAUUUAUGCCAACUCUACUGCUAAAACUUGAAUGUUUCUCUUCUUUGCAUCCUUAAUCUGGUGGCUUACAACUAUGUCAUGUUAACAUAGACCGAAACCUCUUCAUGAUUACUAGCUGGUUACUCAUGACAGCAUACCUUUGACUUUCUGUAGUUACAAGCUGUCAUUACUGCUGAUGAAUCAGCACGACGGAGCAUGGUUGAUCCAGCAGUUAACAAGGCAUGUUUGGAUGAGUCACUGAAGACAAUGAUGGAAGUCUGUGUCAGGUGUCUGCUUAAGAACCCAGCAGAGAGACCUUCAGUUGAGGACGUGCUAUGGAAUUUGCAGUUUGCUGCUCAAGUUCAGGAUGCAUGGCAUUCUCAGAGCAGUGAAGGGUCUCCAAUCUCACCUCCAUGGCCAUCACACCAACACCUUUCCUUUCAUUAGUUGCAACAUUCAGGUCCUUACACUGCUAAAUAUAAACCUGUUAACAAAUCUUUUGAUAUAAAUACACAUCUUAUUUCCUACAAACUCUCCAGUAAAUGUUGAGUUUCUGGUCUUCGAUCUUCGCUUUACAUUGUGCCUACUGAUUUGAAACAAAAAAUUUGAAAUGCAGGACAUGCUGUACGUGGCUUGAUGACAAUUGUGCCUGAACAUUUUCUAUCACUCCUACCUCUUUCCUUCCAUGUAAUUUUUGCGACAAACAACUCUAAAGUUACAGUUGAAGAUGACAUUUUUCAGAGAGACCAAAAGCUAGCUGUCUCUUGUUAUGCUAAACAUCUUGUUUCCAGUUCUCCAUGGUUGGAUCCUAGCACAUAUCCUGGAUUAUAGAUCAAUGGUUGCAGGUCCCGUAUCCCAGUCAAAUCAUCUAUGCAUUUGUUUAAUAUUUUUCCACAAUGAUGAUCAAAGGGGAUAUGUUGUCUGCGUCCAUUACUCUUUCUUUACUAUUGUAAGGUGCAGCUAAAAGUAAUGAUGUACAAGCUUUUUCUAUGUUAUUGUAUACACAUAUCUAAGCCCAAUGUUUUGGCAGGAGAUGGUUGUUCACUUUCGAACGUUUUGCUUCUUUCUGGGAUCCGGGUUGAAUCUCAAAUUUUUACAAUUUACAACCUCAAAAUCGUUUAGCCGUAGGUGUGGCCUGUCAAAAUUCAAGUUUCAAGAUCAGUCUCUAUUUGAAUAACAUUCAGUAAAACCCUACAGGUUUAGUAAGAUAUCGUCAACCUAACGGAAUUCAGAGAUCCAUCUUCAGCCAUUAAUAUUCCAUCCAACUUACAAUGCAAUGAGCGUAUCAGAUAUUGCCAGAACAAGAAGUCUCCAUUCACUAAUUAGAUUAAGACAGGAUUUUAUCCCAAGUCUUAAUCGCAUCUGUUCAAUUUUUCUAUGCAAUCGCUUUCCUAGCUCAUGGCCCCCAUAAUUCGUGGUCCUCUAUGUCAGUUGUCAUCCUCUUGAUCACCUUUAUAUUUCAUUUUUCCUCUUCAAAUAAUAAUGUUUCGAGGUUUCAUGUCCAUGGAUGUCGACAUGCUCAAGCUCGAGGAAACUCCAAAAGGGAGGUAAAAGGAAAAUGAGGUUGUAAUGGAGAAAGGGAAUUUGGUGAAAAAAUAAUCACCAUAAAACACAAUGCAAAAUAAGAGUUACUAAAAGACGGCCAUUCACAACAUUCAAAAAUCCCACAAAAUAAUUCCAGUGAGUAAGAGCUCCUCUGUUUUCCUCUUUUGAGAGUUGAAGAUUGUCUUUAAGACAUCAUUGUACUCCUAUACAAAUGCUACAAAUAAAUUACAGUUAGAUGAAAAAUGUUUCAAAAGUAUAAUUUAAAAAAAAAAUUGAGAAAUUAGCAAGAGGUUCAACCAGAGCUGUCUACAAAUCAUCCAAAGAAAUCCUCUAACUCUGAUAACAAUGCACCUGAAAUCACAUUUAUGAAGGACACCACUAUUGGACAAAUCCAGGGAACAUCGUCACUUCAGAACCAGAGUGCUUUUAUUAGGCUUUUAGUCUGCUGUCCAGCUCUGCUCCACUAUUUCCCGCACUCUUCGGUUGUACUCUCUCUUAUUCUCACUGAACAGCCGAGCUGCUUCAGAGUUUGCAGGAGAGUUUGGAUUUGGAUCACAAAGCAGAGACUGAUAAAGACAUAAGUAGCAUCGGGUUAGCAUCAUCUUGUACAUCCACUGACAACCCCCCAAGCUCAUUUAUUUUAGGAUCAACCAUAACUCACAUGAAAUCUCAUGCAAAAACCAAAUUGUCAAGUGCAAACAUAGCAUAUUUGAAAGCUAUAUUAUUAACCAAUUAUUUUAAAGAACACAUUAUAACCAAACUAUAAAUGUUUGAAAUAUUGAUGAAGAAGCUGAUGCAAGAUUCCAUCAUGUUGUGAGUGAGUGAGUGAGUCAGGGGGGGGGAGGGGAAGAAAAGUCAGUCACAACCUGGUAACAAGGAUAAUUUCAGUUUGAAUAAGCAUGUAUUCUGAUUACCAGCUACCAUCAACAAAGAUCAAAAAGAUAAAAGAAAAUGCCAAAAUCAUAACAAAUACUCCACAAUGCCAUCAUUGUUAUGAGAAAGACAAAUUUGAAAACUUUUCAUUUGCAUUUUAAGUCAAAAGACAAAUUUGAAAACUUUCCAUUGCAUUUUAAGUCAAGUUAAAUAUGGUAAGUACAAUAUCAUGUCUUCUCCCACCAAAAACAAAAAAAAAAAAAAGACAAUAUCAUGUCUUCUCCCACCAAAAACAUAUGGUAAGUACAAUAUCAUGUCUUCUCCCACCAAAAACAAAAAAAAAAAAAAGAUUCCAGAUUAAGAGUGCCAACAGUAAUACUACCUGGGAUACUUGUCAUUGUACGAUUUUGACCCCAUGCACAUGAGUUUAGGAAUGAGCAUGAAAUUUUACAGGUUCGUCUAUGUACAGUAAAAAGUGCUCUAUAUCACAGUUUUAUGUUAGCUUUCGCGUGGAUUAAAAAUUAGAUAACUAGAAUUCCAGCCUUGUUUUGUCUAGUCCAUAGAAACACUUGAAAACAGCCGCAUGUUUGAUACUAAAUCUCAAAAAUCAGUUUGUUUACAGCAUUUUUCAGAUGAGACAACUGACUAUAGAUUCCUCAAAUUUCUUUAAUGGAAAAUACUUAAAAUCAUUCAUAUCAAUGCAUCAAACAGUAAUAUUUAUGUGUCGUAUUUCAGACCAUAAACUUAAACAUCAAAUAAUAAAGUGACCAGGUCAUAAAAUCACAGAUAAAAGAGAAGCAAGAUAUGUUGGGAAGAAAACAAAAGAGAAACACCGUGCAAUUAGUCUUUCUUAUGCACAUAAAAGAUACAAAGGAACACAGUAGGCAAACCAAAUAAUAUGAAGUCAUCAUUUGAUGAAACAGGGACUUUGGUCUAUGCAAACCAGCAGAUUUUCUAUUUCGAAGAUUGUCUUAAAACAUGGAAGAUUCACAUUUAUGUUCAGUUAAUAUAUGAAAACAUAUAUAAUGAUGCAAAAAAAAUGCCUUCACAGUGCAGGCUUGUUGACCUCAUAAGCACUUGGAAUUGCGUCAGGGUAAGACAAUCUGAAAAGCUUUUAGCCACUAAUAUCAUGGGUGUGAUUCAGUUGCCAAUUCAAACUAUCUCCACAUUUCAAUUAAGUAGAAGGACUUAUAAAAAGAAGAAAGGGGGAAACAGGAAACAUAACAAAAAUACGGAAAAGGGGGAAACAGGAAACAUUUAACAGGGGAAACCUUAAAAAAUGUGUUAGUCAUAUUGUCUAUUCUCUUUUCUUUUUCCCCCUUCAAAGCAAAAAAGCAAUUUUCUUUCAAUAACCAACAUUAAUUAUAAGAAAUUACGCAGGCAGAAAACAUCCAAUAUCAAUCAAUGAUUAACAAGAAAUAGAAUCCUUUUCCCACAAUCAAGAAAAAUGAAAGAAAAGUCAAACAAAUUUGCACCUGAAUAGAGGUCAGUAUAGCUGCAACAUCAUAUAUAGGACUCCACUGAUUUUGUAAAAUAUCCAAACAAAUACUUCCAUCUGCAUAGACUGAACAAACCAUAGGCACAAGUCAGAAAUCAGAGUCAAUCAUUACGAAGACCAUGUGCAAUAUAAUAACAAGCAACAUAUCAUUUAUCACCAAAAUUCAAAGAGAACAAUAACAAGAAAAAUAUAAUUAAUAAAUAAAUAGAAAAAUAAUUUACAAAUAACAUACUAUUUGGAUGAAACAUCCGUGAGACGAAACGAACUGUUGGGGGUUUAUUUGGAUAAUCCUCUGUGAAUUGUAGAGUCAACUUGAACGUACCUGAAGAAAUUCAAGAAAAUGCUUAGAUGACAAAUGCAAAAACCUAAAUAUUUCAACUGUAAAGACAAAGGAUAAGGCAUAAGCAAUCAUUUUUGUUAAGUAGGAGUAUUUAGGCCUCAAAUGCGACUGAAAGCAAGGAUAGCACGAUAUAGAAACAGAGGUAUAAUUAUUUACUAAAGCAGAUUGUCCACCAUCAUGCAGCAAUCGAUCUAAAGCCACUUCGGCAAUUAAAAUUCCAUCAAAAACACCAUUUACAUAAUUGGAACGUGAAAGCAUCGUUUACAAGAUAGCUCAUUCUGCUCAUAUUGACAGUCCUUCUGAUCAAAGAUGAUGACAAAAAAAAAAGAAAAAAAAAAGAAAAAAAAAAGAGGUGAUCGAAUUUUCUCAACAUCAAACCGGAAAAAAAAAAAAAAAAAACCACUAACACAAACAUGGACAAGGUAAUUAAAUUGUAACAAUAUAUACAAGUUAUGACCCACAACAGCAAAUACAACACAAGCCAAGAACCAUAGGAAUUCAACCAUGUUCUAUACACAGAAUCAGCUUAGUUACAGGCAAAAUAAAAAAGUCAGCUCAUCAAAGCUUUCGCUUAAUUAUACAUUAAAACUAAUGAACGAAACCUAACAAGCAAAAGCUGAGUGAAAAAUGAAAUCAAAAGCAUAAAAUUAUUUCUAUAAAGUAAAAAGACAAUAAAAUUCCCACCUCCGUCCCAGGGAGUAUCAUCGGGCCUGCAAAACACCACGAAAAAGGAAAAAAAAAUCAAAACAAAAACCAAAAGAAGUACAAAAAAGAAGAAAAGGAAGAAAAGAAAGUGUACCCAAAAAUAACGGCGUUCCACAACAUGAUGUUGUUGUCUUGAGGGGCACCGCUGAUGCCGGCGGGUGGAUCUUGCUGGAGGCGCUUGAAGUCCCGCAUCAGCCGCUUCUUCGCCGGUGUUGACAUGGCGACGUCGUGUUCUACAGAGAGAGAACGAGAGAGGAAAGUUCUAGAGAAAAGAGGGAUCUGAGCAAAAAUCUAAUCUAAAGAAGACUUUGUUGCUGCAUACGAGUUGCCAUGACAUAGCAAUAGGCCCAGGCAAUAGGCAUAACCUGUGCAACACCGCCAGCUAGUUUUGGUUUGUGAAUUGUGAUUGUGAUUUGUGAGUCCCACGCACACACUCUAGUCACAGCCGCCUUCUACUUUUUAUUUAUUACGCGUCGUGGGAUCUGAGCUGUUCAAACUUCAAAUUGUUUUAUGUCAUUUACCGCAAGGGCCACGUAAUUUUGUUAUGUAUUUCGAAAGAAAUUAACCGCCGCCACCACCACCAAAUUACUUUAUUUUUUAAGAAUCAUCCAUUUUACCAGUAAUUGUUUGUAAUGCUGAAAUAUCUUGCAUGGGAGUGGAGAGGAUAAAGUAUCUGAAACUCUUCAAUUUAAUUUAAUCCGAAUUGGGGUUCGCAUCCAGUUCGGAAACUUUUCUCACCCUUCACUGGCCCCAACGUUCAGAUUCUUAUGCUACUAAAUUUUAAUUCUAUAAUAUUAUCCCUCUCCUCUCGACGACCCAUAAAUAAAUACACACCUUAUUUUGAAAAUUUCUUUCCCAUAUUAACCCUCGAAUAAAUGCAGAAUUUUCUGGUCUUUCAUUUUGGCUUGACAUCAUCUAUAAUGGUCUGAUGGGGGCAGUUACAGUACAUGCAUGUAUCUCAUACAUGCAUGCAUAAAAAAUUAUCGUUAGAUUAAAUGGAGUAGAUCCAAUGGUUGAGAUUCAUCUUAGUGUUAAAUAAUAAAAAAAUUUACAAGAAAUGAAAACAUGUAAAACUGGCAACUUGAAACUUUGAACUAAUAAAUAUGAAACAACUACCAUUAAUAUUGAUAUUAUAACCAUUAAACUUGAAACCAAAAUAACUUGAAACUUUAGACAACGAAUAUGAAACUUGUGAUCAUAAACUUGCAAUCUCAAGAAUCAUACAAAUCAUGUACCAAUAAUAUAUGAAACAACUACGAUUAAUCUUGAUAUUAUGACCAUUAAACUUAAAAAUAAAGUAACUUGAAACAUAGGGUAAUGAACAUAAAACUUGAGAUCCUAAAAAUCAUACACAUCAUGAACCAAUAAAUAUAAAACAACUACCAUUAAUAUUGAUAUUAGGAUCAUUAAACUUGAAACUAAAGUAACUUGAAGCUGAGAGCAAUGAACAUGAAAUUUGGGAUCAUUAACUUACAACCCUGAAAAUCAUGCAAUUAAUAGACCAAUAAACAUGAAACACCUACCGUUAACUUGAUAUUGUGACCAUUAAACUUGAAACCACAAAGAAUUUGAAACUGAGGGCAAUACACAUGAAACUCAAGAUCAUAAACUUGCAACCCUGAAAAUCAUGUAAUUAAUGAGUCAAUAAACAUGAAACACUAUUAUUAACUUGAUAUUAGAACCAUUAAAUUUGAAACUAAAAAAACUUGAAACUGAGGGUAAUGAACAUUAAAUUAGGGAUCAUUAACUUGCAACACUGACAAUUAUACAAUUAAAUAGACCAAUAAAUAUGAAACAUCUAUUGUUAACUUGUUAUGGGAACCAUUAAACUUGAAAUCGAGGGUAAUAAAUAUAAAAUUUGAGAUCAUUAACAACCCUAAGAAUCAUAUAAUUAAUGAAUUAAUAAAUACAAAACACCUACCGUUAACAUGAUACCGAUAUUAUUAAACUUAAAACUAUUUUUUUAUUGUUAUCUGACCUAUAUUAGUAAAAUAAGUAUUAUUUUAUUUCAUAAUUUUUUAAUCGUUUAAGGAGCUCCAAGUUCUUUUUCUUUUUUUCCAACUGUUUGGCUGCCAAGUGGCAAUGUUUUUUAAUUUUUUUAUUCCUUGCAUGUAUGUAUGCAUGUAUUAAUUUAUUAUAGCACAGGCCUGAUUGCAAGCAAAAACACUUUAGGGUCCUACGCUCAUCCUGUUCGCUCAUAGCCUAGCAACAACCGAUUCGCGCCUCAAAACAUUUUCUAUCACUCUUCUCUUGCCCCGCCUACGUAAAUUUGGUGACAAUCAUCACCACAAGGUUAACAGUUGAAGAGGAGAGACAAAAAGCUAGCUGCCUAACUGCCAAUGCCUGUUAAGUUACGUCCUGCAUCCCAUCAAGUAUGGUCCUGUAGCCACCUCCUAACUUAAUUGCCUCCCUUCAUCCCUAUUUCAGAGAAUAUAAUUACAAGGUUUCACCUCCAGCAAUGCGGACAUUGUCAAGCUCAAGCAUAUUGAAAAACAUAGAUAAAAAAGAGGGAGGUUAUAAUACAUUCCAACAGUAAUGGAGAAAAAAGGGCUUCAACAGAAUAAGCAAUCACCAUAAAAAUACAAUGCAAGAUGGCCGUUCACAACAUCCAAAAAUCCGACUAAAUAAUUCCAAUGAAAAAGAGCUCCUCUGAGGUUGUCUUAAGACAUACAUCACUGAUUCACUGCAGCAAUAAUACCCCUAUACAAAUGCUACAGAUAAAUUACAGUUACAUGAAAGAUGUUGAAAAGAAGAAGAUGGAAAUGUUGAGAAAUUAACAAGAGGUUCAACCAGAGCUAUCUGGGAGGAAGAAUCUGAAGAGAUUCUCUAAUAACAAUGCACCUGAAAUCAGAUUGAUUACGGAGUACACGACUAUUGAACAAACCAGCCACACCAGCCCCAGUUUUCAUCUUUUAUUUCUACAGCAUAACCGGCCGGUGCUUUCAUUGGACUUUUAGUCGGCUGUCCAGCUUUGCUCCACUAUUUCACGCACUCUUCGGUUGUACUCUCGUUUAUUCUCACUAAACAGCCGAGCUGCUUCAGAAUUUGCAGGGGAGUUUGGAUUUGGAUCACAAAGCAGCGACUGGUAAAGACAUAUAAGUAGUGUCAUGUUAGAAUCAUAAAUACAACCACUGCGAAUCUCACAAGCUCAUUUGCUUCAAGAUCAACCAUCAUUUGUACUAAAUAUCAUUUGAAAACCAAGUUGGCAAGUGCAUACAUAACAUAUUUGAAAGCAAUUGACUAACCAAUUACACCAAAAAAAAUAAAGUUUUGAAAUAAUGGGGAAGAUAAUACAGGGGGCCAACAUAUGGUGACAGAAUCAAUGAAACCUGGUACUAAGGAACAUUUCAAUUUAAUGAAAACAUGUGUACUAACUAACAUCGACAUAGCAAAACAGGAUAAAAUAUCCUGAAAACCAAACAAUGCAAUCCUUGUCAUCACAAGGCAAAUAUGGAAAUGUUCCAAUGCAUUUUAGUAAGUAUUAGAUAUGGUACGUACAACAACACUUUUUUGAAAAUUGGAUAUUGAUGAUCGUCUCAAACAUGGAAGAUUCACUUUUUAACUUUGUUUAAUAUAACAAAAAAAUAUACAUAAUGAUGCAAAAAGGCCUUCACGGUACAGAAAUGUAAGCCGACAGAUGCUUUCGGACGUCAUGAGCACUAAGAUCUUAUUAGGUUCAGAUACUCUUAGAUAUAUUUAGCCAAUAAUAUCAUAUGUUUGACUUAGUUGAGUAUACCAUUCAAACUAUCUCCUCAUUUCCUUAAAAUGGGAGGAAUUACAUAUACACGAAACAAAAGGACAAAACAAGUUACCAGUCAUAUCAUUAGUAUCUUCUUUCUUUGAUGCAAAAGCACAAUUUUCUUGCAAGUUCUCGAUAAUCAGGCAUUAAUUAUAAGAAAUUAAGCACAGUGAAAACAUCCAAUUUCAAUCAAUGAUAAACAAGAAACAGAAUCUCUUUCCAAUAGACAGGAAUGAACAAGAAAAGUCAAAACGAAGUUUCACCUGGAUGGAGGUCAGUAUAGCUGCAACAUCAUAUAUAGGACUCCACUGAUUUUGUAAUAUAUCCAGGCAGAUACUUCCAUCCGCAUAGACUGAUCAAACCAUAGGUAAAGAGUCAGAAAUCAAAAUCAAUCGUUAUCAAGACCAUGAGCCAUAGAAUCCCUAUAGCACAAUAAUCAGCAAAAUUCAAAGAAAGAAUAAUAGCAAGAAACUUAUCAUCAAUAAAACAUUAGCAACAAAAUUUAAAAAUAAGAUAAUGACGUACUAUUUGGAUGAAACAUCCGUGAAACGAACCGAACUGUUGGAGGUUUAUUCGGAUAAUCCUCUGUAAACUGAAGAGUCAACUUGAACGUACCUAGAAAAGUUCAAGAAAUAGCUAAAACAACACUUGCAAAAACCUAUAACUUUCAAGAAAAAGAGACGCUAUAACGAAAUAUGAUAAGUCAUAGGCAAUCAUGUUACUUAAUGGUGGUUCAGGUUUAGUGGGAGUCUUUAUUUUAAGCCUACAAUGUAAAUCAAAGCAAGUAUACCAUAACAUACAACCUAACAUAUAAUUAAUUACAGAAGCAGAUUGUCCACGAUUAGGUAACAAAAAUUCAACAAAAAUAAGCUACAAUCAAAUAUUAGGCAAAACCAAUAAUUCAGCUUAACAAAAGUUUUACAUUUUUACAGCUGAAUGAAAGUAAAAUUAAAAGCAUAAAUAUUUUGUAAAAAUCAAAGAUAAUCAAAUACCCACCUCCGUCCCAGGGAGUAUCAUCAGGCCUACGAAACAUCACCAAAUGAAAAACAAACAAGAAAAUCAAAACAUAAACCAGAAAAGUUACAAGACAAAAACAAAGGUUAAUUAAAACAAAUACCCAAAAAUAACGGCGUUCCAUAACAUGAUGUUGUUGUCUUGAGGGGCCCCGCUGAUUCCGGCGGGUGGAUCUUGCUGGAGGCGCUUGAAGUCCCGCAUCAGCCGCUUCUUCGCCGGUGUUGACAUAGUGGCGUUUUAGAGAGCAAAACUGAGAAGCGGCUUUUGCAGAGGGGGGGAGGGGGGAGAAUGAGAGAAGAAGCUUCUAGAGAAAGAAGAGAUCUGGGCAAAACCUUGUGAGGAUGCUGCAUGCGAGUUAACAUGACAAUAAUGGGCCGGGGCCGGGGUUGGCUGAGCAGUGAGCACCAAUUUUUCUUUUUUUAAUUUUAAUGUUUAACGAUAAAGUUACAAAUUUUUCCACGCAUUUUUAUUUUAUUUUAUAUUGAUAUUAAUUCAAUUCGUUUUAGUCAGUGGGCUGAGGAAAAAUAUACAUAUGGUCCCCACGCCACACACAAGUAGGACACCUAUGUAUUUAUCGAAAUUGACCUUGGCCAAAACUCCUUUCCAAAAUCGUCUUGCAUCCUUCACAUGUUCUCUCAUUGGAAAGCAUGUAGUGCAGCAAUAUGUCAAACACCAGUACACCACCCGCAAAAUUCUACAGAGAGUAUGAGUAUAUUGAGGAAUUUGAUAUUAUGGAUGCAUUUUUGUCCAUAUUUGCAAAUUCCUCAUUUUCUCAAAUGCUUAGCUCAGCACUCCUGUCAUUUAAUGAAAACCAUCAGGGACGAUAAUGAUAUUCGCAAACCCGUAAAUCCAUUCACACCAGUCCGUUGCGGGUUGUGAGCGGGUUUGAUAUUAGGAAUUGAAAUUCGCACUAUGUUGUAGGUGGAUUUAGUAUUAGGUACAUAUCCGAUGGAUACUCACAUGAAUAUCUGCCAAAUCUAUAAUUUUUUUAAUACAAUUUUAAUUAAAAAAAUAAUUAAAUCUAAAAGUAUAUAAAUAAAAUAAAUAUAGAGUGCAAACAUGUCAUGUGUGGUGUGUGCAAGUUGCAACUCAUAACCUAACCUAAAGGAAACCUAACUUAAAGGAAACCCAAACUAUUUCUUUUUCAUCUGUGAGCAGCAGUCGCAAAAUCUAACCUUCUAAACUAUUUCUCUUUCACCCAUGGGCAGUAGCCGCACACCCAUUUUCCUUUCACCCGUGAGCCGCAGCCGCACACCCAUGAAAUUUUCAUGGCAUUUGUGGUUAUUUUUUAUGGAUUUAUAUAUUUCAUACUUAAAAUCGAGAAUUUGUAUAGAAUUGAUGUUGAAAUUUUAAUUUUAUAUUUACAUUGAUUAAAUUUAAAAUUCAGUAUAUUAUGUGGAAUUUUAGCUUAAUAAUAUAAAUUUACAUAUUGAUUUUUAUUAAUAUAACCUUUCGACAGUCAAAUCAGUCACCAGACUUUUGGAAAUAUAAAUUUAGAAGGAGAAAGAUUAGAGAGAGAAAGUUAGACUUUUUACUUUUUGAGUCUAUUUUUUUUCUUACAUUUUAGUGAGAAUGAAAGACAUAUUUGUCGACCAAACGGAUUUGACUUAAGUCUUAGCUAUUUUGAUGACAAAUGUCAUUGCUCUUGUGACAUUUGACAACACUUAUUUUUUAGUACGCAUGUUGAUUGACAUAUGGAUAUACAAACUUAUCUAUAGAUUAAAGGAAAAAAACGUUUUAUCUUUAGGUUAUUUUUACUAAGACCUUGAGAUUAUAGGAGCCUUUAAAUUUAAGAGGUUUGUCCUACGAUAAGAGCCUAGAACCUCAACAUCUUUUGGGCUUUGAAGUCUUAUUACUUAGGAGAAUCAUUCUAGGUGAUUUGUCCACCACUUCGUGGGCUUAAUUGAGAGAAAAUUUAUUAAAUGGGCCUUAUUGAGAUUAAAUUUCUUUGGGCUUUAUUAAAUCUAUUUUAUUUUUGAUCCAACACCAACUUGGAUUUAAGAUUCAACACUGCCUCCUUUAGUUGGAAAGAGUUCAACUUCCCUUCUUAGUUUGUAUAAAAUGUAAAUUUCUUCAUAAUUUAUUAUAUCUAAAUUCUUCACCUUUUGGGGUCAAUUUAGCUACGCUAAUCAGAGUUGACCCCGAUAAAUUUGUAAUCUUUUUUGUUUCAUUGUAUGUUGUUGUGUGUUUAGUCCUCUAUCUAAUACAUCCGUAUCACAAUUGCUUGUACGCUAAUUUCCUACUGUGUAAUUUUUUUAUGUUAUUUCGUUAAUUUCCUCCAACAUGACUCGGGGACAGGCUGCUGCGAGUGGGACUGUGAGGUCUUGCAAUCCAAUUAAUUGGGCAUAGUGAUGGACCAGGACUGUAUAUAAAAGAACUGCUUAAAGAUCGUACAAUCUAGCAUCGGCAAGGCCAGUGCUUUCUAUGUAUUUGAUUACUAUGACUCCAUAAAAAGUAUAUAACAUGUACUGUAAAAUCACUUAAACUGUUAAUUAUUAAGAGAAAACUAAAGAAAAAUCAAGAAACCCUGAACAUAAAACGGAAGUUAAUUUGUUCUCCUGUGAUUGUGAAGUAUCUGAUGAUGAUCAUUAGUAAACAUGAUUGGAAUCUGACUCUCUUCUUCAUCAUCUUCGUCGUCGUGGGCAGGCCUUGAAAGUUCAUGAAGAGGCUCCAUGCUGUGGCAAGAUAGCACUGUCUCAGCUGCAAAGUCGAAGUUGGAAGUAAGGUUGCUCAUGUUGAUGAAGUUUGUGGAGGCCGAGGAGCUGUUUGAGUAAGCAGGCUGCUGUUGCUGUUGAUGCAGUAAUGCAACAUGUUGCGGCUGUUGCGGUUGCUGUGAUGUUUGGAGAGCGUUUGCCAUCGCAAACCUGCUGUUUAAAAGUUGAUUUUGCACCAUUGUUAGCUCUGCUUGCAGGGAGGCCACCUGCAAUUUAAUAUUUAUAAUAUCAAUUGCUUUUCUUAUUGCAGUUUUUGGUUCAAUGGGGGCUAGAAGAAUAAAUUACAGACUUUAAAGGGCUAAAAUAAAAUAAAAGAAAAUCUGUAAUGCUAAAAUGUAAAAUGUUCAAAGUAAUUGAUCAAAUUUCAAUUAACGCCCUUAUUUUUACCAGAAUUUUGUCACCUUUUAUGUGACAUUUCUCAUGAAGCGGUACGCGCAAGAAUUGGUAGUUAAUCUACUCUUAUAUAAAUAAAAUAAUAGUAAUAAUUAAUUAAUUUUUGUAACUGAAACGAGCAUUUGGCUUAGAAACAAAAUUAAUUACUAUCGGCAAAUUAAAACCUGUUGCUGCAGAGCAAGAAUGGUGGAAACACAACCGUAAACCGGGUCGGAGAGGCGGGCCUGGGCCUCGUAAGAUAUAGUAACCACAGCAUCUUGCCGCCGGUUCACCGGAAUGUGUAGCAAGAGCUUGGAUACAUUGCUAGCACCAAAGACUUUGUGCACGGCAGCGAACCGGGCGGCUCCCUGGUCUGAGCCAAAGUGGGGUGCAAAGAUGCACCCACUAACGCACUUUCUCCUCAAGAACUUGCAUGCCCCACAUGGAGCUGCUGGUGCAGGUGCUGACAUGGGCUCGGCCUCUGGCGAGGGCGCGGUGGUGGCACGUUUUCCAGCGCCCCUUCGACGGGGUUCGGAUAUGGGGUCGGGCUGUUGCUCAGCCAUUUUCUGGGGUGGGUUAGGCUCAGAGUUUGUUCAAAACGGAAAGGUGGUGGAGUUGUUACUUAUAUGUGAGAAAUUAUGACGCUGGGCACGUUAGUUUCGUGAUGGGUAGCAUGGUGAAUGUGGUAAGCUUCUUUAUCUUUUUCGUUUUUGUUUUAAAAAAAAAGAAUAUGUAUGACCAUUGCAACCCAUUUUUGUAAAUUCCAUAUAAAUGUGGAUAUACACACACACACGAAUAAUGUAAUGACCAAUAUUGCUAAUGUUAUAAUCUAUAACAUCAUCGUGUGAUGUUAAGUUGAUAAAUACUUUGUGUGAUGGUGUCAUGUAUGUUGAUAAUGCUCUAUAAGGUGAGCAAUCGUAUCAUGCCAGUGUAAUUAAAUUGAGGUAUAGGCUAAUACUAUCAUACCAUCGAUAUUUAACAGUAAUUUUGUAUGGUAUAAACUACAUAAAUGGCUAUUUAUGAAUAAAUCAAAGAACUUAUAUAUCUUCGUAUUGACGAGAUUAAAUCUUUGUGCUAUUGUCCAUGAUAUAUAUUAAUUAAUUAUAGUUUGUUUUUAUAUAUAUUUUUUUUCCUCUACAAAACGUGUAUCUAGCUAAUUAUCUUUAAAAUGUAAUUAUGAUAUCAGAAACAAGAGAGGGACAUUAUGGUUGGUGAGGGAGGGAGAGAUGGAAAUGGGAAGAGCCUGAGAGUGUGAUGGGCACGGGCAAAGGAGGUGUCGGUGGGUGGGUUAUGGGUUUAAUUAAUUAAUUAAUUACAGGUUUAAGAUGAGAAAAUUUGAAAAAUAAAAUAAUGAUGUUAAUAUUUAAGGUUAUUAGUUUGGAACAUGAAUCAUGAUACAUGAAGAAGGCUGGGUUGUCUUGAUGAGAAGGCACAAUAUUUGUGCUGCCCGUGGCGUGUGGGAUGCUUCACCUCCAACUCCAAGCUUGCUAAUGCUAACAGUAACAGAAGUUCCAGACACUUCCAGUAAUGCAUUUUGCACUCACCCUUUUUAACUUUCACUCCUCCUCGACAUCCCUACGCAACUUCACUACACAUCAUUUUUAAUUUGCAACAUUGCAUUCCAAAAUUGGGUCUCAAAGAUUAAGAAAAAUAUAUACUGGUCCAAGAAGACACAAGAUAAUUCUUCUCGUUAAACAUAUAGAGUAGGGUGAACUUGGGGUAAAUCUUGCAAUAGAUAGAUUCAAGUAUUCUCUGAAGGCAAGAUUCCAAAACAAGAAGUGCUGCCACAGUAACAUGGUAGGCCCUUUGGCCUGGCCCUAAUUUCCCCGUAGCUAAAAGCAAGCUCUUCACCUUCUUUUAUGUCUUUUGAAGCCAAGAAGCAGAGGCGAGGAAGUAUAGAUCCUGAGCUUCUCACCAGUGUUGUUGACAGGUCACCACCAUCGCAAGAAUGAUUAAUAAAUCGGGCAAUGUUUCCAAUUAUUGUGGCAUCAAUGUUCAUCCUCAAACAAGCCUUUCCAGAUGGAAGGUGCUCCCUUAUGACCAAAAGAGCAGAGGAAUUUCCGGGACUCGAUGCAAGUCCAUCAUAGAUUUGUUGCCGCCGCCUUGCUUCUUUUGUGGUCAAAAGUUCACCUAUUCAAGCAAACAUCAACUAAGACAAUUUCUAACAAAUGUCCACAGAAACAAACAAUAAUUAUUUCUUAAAUAUCCAAGUAAAUGAAAAUGUUUUACACACUAGACCAAUUCAAAGCAAUCAGUUAUUACCAUAAUGUUUCAUAAACCCCGUGAUGUGGGAAGAAUGGAAAGAAAGAUCAAAAACAUCACCCAAAGUGCCCAACAAUGGCUAGUUGAAUGGAGAAAAUACAAUAGAGAGUCAAAGCUAUAACUCAGGAAAAGUAAGCAGCUAUAUAAUGGUAGUCAUAAGAACUGGAAGAUAUGGCUAACGGCAAGCUAAACAGCCCUAUGGUAGAUGCAAAACAUAGUGGUUAUAGACUCUAUUCUACCACGUAGCAGAUGUAAAAUAUAAGCUGUAUUAGACGAACAAAAUUUGCCUACCAAUUAGGCAAAAUUAAUCCAAAUAAUAAGGGAUAAAAACUAUAAGAUUUGAAACAUGGGAUUCGAUAAUACUGCCAUUGAACUAGAAUUGUACGAACUGAAGGUGGUCUUCUUCUUGGUCAAAAUAAAUAAACAAAUGUAAUUCCUUCAUCCGCACAAUCCCAUUCUAAAACUAUGAACUUAUGAUUCCAUACUACCGUAACACAGCAGAAAUAUAAUUCCAACAACGGCACGCGCUAAAUCUAAUAAUAAGUCUUACUGUAUCAAAUAAUCAUCAAGCAGAUGCAACUAGGCAUAUGUAUAAUUAAAAUCACAAGCAUCAAAAACUCUAAACAAAUAUUACAAAAAUGCCAACAUACAUUUCCAUUUUGCCGAUACCUGCGUACUCACAGAUGAAUUGCCCUUGCUUUAUGAAUUGAUCGGCAUAUAAACCCCACCCUUUAUUCACACUCCUCACAAUCUUCAAUCUCACCGAUAUUCCUCUCUGAGUCAACCGAUUCCCGCACUCAGACCCGCACCCGCAACUCGGUCCGCACUCACUCACUAUGCCCACAUCCUCCAGACCCGAAAAACACGGACACCCAAAUACCCCAUCACCAAGUCCCACCUCAAAACACUCUUCACAGUCGCACCCAGAUUCACUUUCGUCUGACUCGCAGACAAGACUCACUGAGUCAAACCCGAGUGGACUCAGAGAAGAGUUUGAUUCAGCAUCAGCAGCAGCAUUGGUGGAGGCCCAAAAUUGGCGUGGUGGGAAUUGGGCAGGACAAGGAGGAGGGAUUAUCUGUGAUGGGGUGUAAAUGAAGUAGGCGUAGGGGGUUUUGUCGACGGCAUUGUGAAAUGGGAUCGGGAAAUUCUCGACGGACCUGGAGGCAUCGAGAGAGCGGGAGAGAGUGAUGGAUUUGGAGAUUUGGGAAAAGGUUCUGCAUGUAAGAGAUACGUUGGCGAGCUCCCCUGGGGUUAGCCAUGGGAGUAUUAAGCGAGCCCACUGAAGGAAUUGAUUCUGCUUUUGUUCUUCAUCUACCUCGAUGGUUCGUUUGUGACAGUUUAUCAGCUCCGUCGGUGCAUUGCUGAAUGCCAUCGAGUUUUCAAUGCUGUGUCGUCUGGAACUCGCAUAGUCGCAUCUCGUUUGUUGUGGUUUUUAAGUUUUAGCAUGAACAAAAUGUACACACGGAAAAUACGAUGUCGUUUCGACCACUUGCUCUAAAAGUCUUAAUUGUUAUCAUUAUUAAGCAGAAGCGAAACAAUUACAUGGGGGUUUCGUAGGGGUGUUCAAAAUCUAAUUCGAUCCGCUCAAUUCAUCCAAUUCGCUGAAUUUGAUCCGUAUAAAUUCGAUUCGUGGAUUGAAUAUGGAUUGAAAAUUUAAAAAUUCGUAGUCAAUGGAUUGGAUAUAGAUUUACUUCUGUAAAUCUGCAGAAAUCGGUGAAUCCAUAAAAAAAAAAAAAUUUAGCCAAGGCGGAUGUACGGUACAGCAGACUUUGGAUUAAUUUCUGAAAUUACAUUUGCAACAAAAUUAUUAUAUUACUCUUUACAUUUCAUGUGGCAAAAAAAGUUCAAAGACACCAAAAAAAAACACCUUACUACGUAUAUAUACACAUCUCAACACACACUAGCAACAUUCAAUACUGGUUGGAUACACUCUCGACACGGAUUUGAAGGACAUCAGCCGCGCGAUUCCGGCGAGAGCAAGCCAUCUUCUUUCCCAAGUCCAUCAAGCCACUUCACAUUCAUUGGUUCCAGCUGAACAAUUUCACUAUCACAACCUUCAAGAUCGCCACCCGUACGGCUUCUCCUGGUUCCUAUUGUAGAUGGUUCCGUAAUCACCACUUUUCGACAGGCGCAACAGCCCUGGUGAAGGAUCAGACUGUGUUUGGUUUCCAAAACUUCGUCAUUUCAAUUAAUUGUGGCUUUAUUUGAACAAUUAAUUUCGGUGUUAUAUUAACGUAUUAUUGUAACUUUAUUUGAACAAUUAAGCUUGGUGUGUUAUAUUUUGAAACUUUGAACGUAUUAUUGUAGCUUUAUUUGAAUAAUUAGUCUCGAUGUGUUAUAUUUUGAAACUUUAAAUGUAUUAUUUUAGCUUUAUUUAAACAAUUAAUUUAUUUAAAUUUUAUUCAAUUUUAAAUUUAAUUGGUAGCAAAAUUAUUUUAAUAUUAGAUUUUUUUAUUUCAUCAGUUGGAGAGAACUAAAAAUUUUUAAUUCGAAAACUAAUGGGCAAAAUGGUGGAUUGCAUAUGGAUUGAGUCAAAUCCGCAUCCGAUCCACAGACGUAUGGAUUGGAUAUGGAUUAAAUCAAAUCCGCAUCCGAUCCGCAGAUGUAUGGAUUGGAUUUAAAUUGAAUUUUAUCAAUCCGUGGAUUGGAUUGGAUUGAAAAAUUAUAAUCCGCAAAAUCAUGGAUCAGAUAUGGAUUGAUGUCCAAUCUAUAAAAUCCGAUCCGUGAACACCCCUAGGGUUUCGUGACAUAAAAUGUGGCAAAAGAGAGAUAUGUGAGACUGCUUUUAUAAUUAAUUUUUUGGUGACUUUUACAACCAAAGCAUCCCUGGAAGGCUGGAAGUGAAAAAAAUAGUGAGUUAAUUACAAGAUUGUAUACAGGUUGAAAAUGACUAUUUCUCUAAUGGCUCAAUUUUAUCAUUUUGGUUUGAAGGCAAAAAUUGGCUAUACUCUCGUGUAUUAACACUUCAAAAUGUGGUUACAAGACCUAUGCCUAGCUCUUCUGCAAGCUCAUCCCAUACUGGAAGGAGUGUGAACAGAACAAGGAAUAUGGCCACUGUAACAAUGGCUUUCCUCCACGUUCCCACCUCAGUCACAUCGUUUAGGCAUGGUUUUUCUGGAGUUCUCUGAAAAACAUAUAGUUGAAGCCGAAAUCAGAAAAGGAUUUGAAAGCAUGAAAAACAUAUAAUUCACCCUUAUUUAAUUUUGCCUAUCUGGGUACCUGGCAUAUUAUCACAUAUAGUCCCCAAGGAAGGGAUAAAGGCCCACCAAGCUGGAAGCAGAAAAAAAAAAAUUAGUUGAGAAUAUAAAUCACCUGUUCAAUGAUUUAAAAAACAAACUUAUCUGAAACGUUAAAGAUGCUAUAUCGAAUCAAAGUAAAUCAAAUAAAAUAGAAUGGAUGCAGCAUUGUAUUAUGUGCCAUCAGCACUAGAAUGACCAAACAAAGAAGCAUACCACUCCCAAUCCAAGCAUUGUGUAAGUUGUCAAGCCAAAACCAAUCAGUGCAUUUCUUCCAAAAGCACCCUAUAAGCACAUGCCAUCAGUUUGUGCUAAGGGAUUGAGAUUGUUUCCAGUCCAAAACUAUACCCCUUGAUUUAACAAAAUGGAUAUCCCAGUUCAAAUAGAAGAUAAAAAGGCUACCUGUACAGCUCUUCCACCAUCAAGGCACCCCACUGGAAGCAUAUUAAAAGCUGUUGUGGUCAAGCCACACCUGCAAUAGUAAAUUUUAUGCAUCAGCAUACCUCAUAAUGUUACAAGUAGAAUAAGAGAUUCAAGAAAUUGUGGGCUACCAGCCAGCAAUCACCAAAGGAUGAAUUGUAACUGUUGAAGCAUGCAUUGCUCUGCAAGUUAAUAAGAGCAACGUGUCAAUAAAAAUUUCCAUGAUGCAAGCAAGAAUUAUUAAGUUCAGAUUAGUCAUCUGCUAGAGUAAUCGAAAUAGGAAACAUAGCAGUGGCACCAGUGAAUUCAUAGUUUGCCAACUAAUACAGUUUUUUUUUUUUUUUAAACUAAGUCCAUGGAAGCAGAGAAGGGCUCACGUGUAACCAAGAGUGGCUCUGCUGAUGAGACCAAGAAGCAAUGAACCUUGAAACAAUGUGCUGGGAACCUGCACCAAAUCUCCAGCAGCAUCUGGAUUUGAUGAGAGCAAUAGGCCAACAACAAACAUUGAGAAAGAUAAAGCAGCACCAGCAAUAGGACCCGCGAGUGAAAUGUCGACUUUUGUACUCCGAUCUGGAAGAAUGGAUUUAAACUACAAAAAGAAAUAUGUUUUAGUCAUUCAACUUAGAUGAUUGAUUCUAAGAUGCAUUAGACUUGACAACAGAUAACUUGCAGAGUUGCAGUUAUUUUCCAGAGUUCUUUAUCUAUUGAAGAUCAAAAUCUGAGAACAAGAACACCUGAUAGGAACAAUGCAUUCAGACUUGAAAGUAAAAAUAGGCAUACGAUUUUUCCAACUUGUUUCAAAGUCUACAGACUAGAGUCACUGUCAGAUAGGUUUACCUGAGUGAUUGCACCAAAGCUGCCAAGAGUAAUGUUUGGAAUGAAAAAGGGAAUGCUUAGUUUUACUUUCUUCGGGAAAGCAGCUAAAAAGUGACCAACUUCCUGCAAACAUUCAUCCCACAUUUAGCAAGACAAACCACAGCAUCAGAAUUUAAUUAAUACAUAUAUGACCAACAUUUGAUCAUGUCACAUGGAGGAAAAACACUAACCAAGAAAUAGUUAGAAACAAAAUUAGACAAUGCAUAAUAAAAAUUCUGAUUACUGUUAUAUUCCAAUCACUAAUAUACAUGCUGUGUGAUUCUCUGACUGAAAAUCCUGAGCGUUGAAAAACACCAACAUUAAUAGUACAGUAAUCAAUGAACAAUAUCCAUGCAUCUGCCAGAGGUUCGGAAGUGUUCAAUACAGUGUCAAAAAUGGCAGUCAAACUAUCCAUACACAUGAAAAUGAAUUAC
This 354082-nucleotide long non-coding RNA is filed under the name Citrus sinensis (sweet orange). RNAcentral's name for it is "long non-coding RNA (CSIN_LNC002323)". The stretch from base 51750 to 51822 matches the Rfam family "tRNA". Lineage: Eukaryota; Viridiplantae; Streptophyta; Magnoliopsida; Sapindales; Rutaceae. The record is from RNAcentral.